Molecule: long non-coding RNA, 261485 nt
Filed under: Gossypium raimondii (Peruvian cotton)
Lineage: Eukaryota; Viridiplantae; Streptophyta; Magnoliopsida; Malvales; Malvaceae
Description: long non-coding RNA (GRAI_LNC003387)
Source: RNAcentral
ACAAUUUGAGUGGCUCAAUUCCAAAUUGCUUGAACAAUAUGAGUCAAAUUUACACUUUCGAUGUAUCUUAUAACAAUUUGAGUGGCCCAAUUCCAAAUUGCUUGGGCAAUAUGAGUGCUCUGAGUUGGUUGGGUUUGCAAGGAAAUAACUUCAGGGGAAUGAUGCCAAAAUUUUCAAAAACAACCCAACUGCGCUUUCUGAAAGUUAGUGAGAAUAGAUUGGAAGGGAAGUUGCCCAGAUCAUUAGCUGAAUGCACUCAGCUUGAAGUUUUGGACGUGCGAAACAGCAAGAUGAAUGAUACAUUCCCUUUUUGGUUGGAGAAAUUGCCUUACUUGACGGUUCUAAUAUUGCGGGAAAACAGAUUUUAUGGUCAAAUUAAACAUAGAUUUGUUUUCCCAACUUUGGGUGUGUUGGACAUUGCUUCAGACCAAUUUUCUGGUGAACUAUCCAUUGAUUUCCUUCAAGCCACUCGACUAAGGUCACUCAAAAUAGGUGGGAAUAAAUUAGAAGGGCAGUUGUCGAGAUCAUUAGCCAAUUGUAAAGCACUUGAGGUUCUGGACCUUGGAAAUAAUAUGGUUCAUGAUACAUUCCCAUUUUGGUUAGAGAAGCUGCCUUCCUUGAAGGUUCUCAUUUUGCGAGCAAACAGAUUCUACGGUACAAUUACAAAAUUCAACACAGAACAUGGGUUUCCAAAGCUACGCAUAUUGGACAUUGCUUCCAACAAUUUUUCUGGCGACUUGUCCAUUGAAUUUUUGCAAAGCUUGAAGGCAAUGAUGCAGUUAACAAAUGACGACAAAGCUAAGCUGGAUUACAUUGGAGAGAAUUAUUAUCAAGAUUCAGUGACAAUUUUCAACAAAGGGAUUGAGCUGUUUUACGAGAAAAUCUUAACCACUCUUACUUGUCUUGACCUUUCCAACAAUAGUUUCCAUGGGAGAAUACCAGAAGAAAUACAAAUGCUGAGGUCACUCAAAGUGCUAAACUUGUCCUAUAAUAGCUUCUCCGGUGAAAUUCCAGUAGCAGUUCAAAACCUAAAGGAUCUGGAGUCUUUGGAUCUCUCACAGAAAGAGCUAUCAGGGAAGAUUCCUCCACAGCUUACAACUCUAACUUUCCUAGAGGCACUGAACUUGUCUUACAACCCACUUGAAGGGAGCAUACCGCAAGGCAACCAAUUCAGUACAUUUUCAAAUGAUUCUUAUCGUGGGAAUCCAAAAUUAUGCGGUCAACCAUUGUCCAAGAAAUGCAAUGAAAACUGUCUUCCAGUGCCACCGCCUCCAGGGGAAGAGGAACAGUCAUGGAUAUAUGCUAUGUCAACUUGGAAAAUUGUUUUGAUAGGUUAUGGUAGUGGUUUGGUCGCUGGGCUAUGUAUCGGAUAUACAAUGUUGAAUGAGUUGGGAAACAAAUGGGUUGACAAGUUCAAAAAACAUGGGAAAAGAAACAGAAGAAGAUCUAGGUGACUGUGUCGGAAUUCAUGUAUUAAAGUCAACAGGUAAACAUUUCCUAUUGAAACUAAAGUCUUUAGAUUUUCAAAAGAUUGAUGUUACAAACUAAUUUUGGAUCAUAUACAACAUUGCAACUCCUUAAUUUAAGCAGCAGGAGUGGUGACACAGUGAUUUUGUUUGCUUAUGAGAAGUUAUAUUCUUGGUGUUUCUUAUUUUGUCACAGGGAAAUGACCUCUGUCCUUCUAAGCUUCAAGUCAUUGCAUGUAAUUGGUGGCAAUGAAUCACUUUAAGUAGAAAACCAUGCAAAGUAUGAUACGUUUUGUCUUUUUUGUUUGGGUUUUUGUGCUAUAUAUUUUAUCAAACAGAUGUUGGGCUUUAGGCUCGGGUGUAAUAGGUAGACCUAUUGGUCCGGAUUUUAGUGUAGUCUGACAUUUGUUUUGUACAAAUAAUUUAUUUAUCUUUUAAUAACAAAUAAGUAAAUAAAAUAUAAUGAAAAAUUAGAUAUAUUAAAAUAUGGUCCUUUUUCCGGAGUUAGUAAACAAUGUAAAACACUAUAAAUAUGAUAGCUUUUUCAAAUGGUUCUCCCAUUAUGAAACAUUUAAACGAAUUUACAGAAAUGAAAUAUUUAUUUACAAGAAAUAAAAAUUAGCCAUGUUAUGCAUAUGAAAAACAUGAUAAUUGCAAAUGGAAUGAGAAGCUUCAUAUUCUAAUUUUCAGACCAACAGUCUGAGAAGAAAGCACAGAUUGGCAGAAUAAGGUUGAGAAAAGGAGAAGCAUAUGGUGAAAAGGUUAAUCCCAAAACCAAUAUGCUACACUCGACGUUCUCUUACAUAUAGUUUGCAUCAUACGUGGAUGGUUCGAUCUUAUUAUCUUAGGAUUUAGUUUACCCAACUGUGAACUUCUGCCUUAAAUACAAUAAUCCUAUUCUAAAUUGGUAUUGAGAUUAGUCUAUUUAUUUUUUCAAUGAUAGUUUUAUUAUUUUAAAAAAAUACCCUUCAAUUAAACAUGUAAUAAUAUAAUAAUAAUUAAAAGAUAAUGAAAGAAAUUAUGUCUUACAGUCUAGGCCAACAAUGUGCGACACUAUCAUUACAAUGUACACAUACUUUGUAGGGAAAUUUAUCCAAUGAAACAGAGGAUUAAACUAGUUUCCCAGAUGCAGGGAAGAUUUGGUAUGCUACAAUACUAACAAAAAUACUAAUAACAAAAAAACGAAUCACCCUUGUUACUUUUUAGUGUUUUUUUUUUUAGGUAUUAUAUAUUUGUAUUUGAACUAUGUUUAUAAUGGUGACCAGACCCGUUUUUGAUAUAUUUGAGACCUAGGCAAAACAAUAAAUUGACGUCUUAUUUAAAAAAUUAUUAAAUGUAAAACAAUAAAACAAAAAAUGAUCCCUUUUUAUUUUUAUAUUUUUUCUGCCUGCAAUAAGUCGAAAGACUUGAAAAGUUACAAAAAUAAUUUCACGUUAAAAAUUGAAAAAAAAGAAAUUUUUUGUGCCCUGGACAGCCUGAUUAAAUGCUAAAGUUACAUAUUUUAUGUAAUUAAAUUGGUUAAUUUAUGAGAAUGCACCACUAAUUUUGCCAUAUUUAUUGAAUUUUGUGCAGGAAUGCAAUUUGGGGCUAAAUAGAAGAAGAAGGAAACAAUUGGGCUAGAUUGAAGAAAGAAACAAAGAAGGAGGGUCAGAGCAGAAUUUUUCCAAGAAUAAUUAGCUGAAAUUGUUGACUUAGUGGGAGAUUAUUUUGGGAUAUUUUUUGUCCUUAAUUUUCUAUGACUAGUUGGCUCCUAAUUUAGUAAAGCCACUAGUAUAAAUAGAGGCUACAUUGUUCAUUUAUUCAUCAAUAAAAAAUAUUAAGCUUUUAUCUUUCAAUUCUCUCCUUUCUCACGUAGCAUUUGUUGUUUCUUGAGUUUCCUUUCCUUCAAUUUAUUAAUUUCCAAUAGCCAACCACCCAUUUACCUUACUUUCAACUAUUCACGAAUAUAUUUAUUGUCUUCAGUUUUCUUUACUUUCAAUUCCUUAAAACUUCUAGCUUGUUACCACUCACAAUUUACAAUUUUUUUUUUUCAAAUUCCCUUUCCAUUCCCAAUAGUCAACCACCCCACUUUAAUAUAUUUUUCCAACCCCCACAAUCAAUCACGUCACCCAUCUUUUCACCCAUUUACCUUACUUAAUUUAUCAAAUACCAACAUGCCCCAAACCUUAGCCAACUAAACCCAUUUUCAGCUUUAGGUCGAAAUUAACCUUGUCAAAACCCUUGAGUUACGAACCCAAGCGAUUUAACUCCUAAAUUCUAGUACUUAUUAUUUCUCCGGAUUAAGAGUAUGAUUUUGUCAACUCACAAAGUCAGAUCAACAUUAAGUCAAAAAGACGUCAUUUGAUUUAGUGUGGUUAGAUGUACAGUUGGAAUUCCGAAAGGAACGUUUCUAAUCGGUUUUCUGUGAACACAUUGGCGUGCCAAGUGGAGAUAGCUGUUUGGUUCCGUCAAGGGAAGUAGUAACCGGAUUUAAAUGUCCCACGCAGUUGAGGGCAUUGGUUCGAGCUAGGUUCUUCUAGAACGCAAAGCUGCCGGAGUUCUAAAUCACGAACAUUUCGUGAUUGUUCGAUCGGUAAGGGUUAGUUAUUGGACGUUCCAUAACUAAUUUACACAAGGAAGAGUUAGUGUCCGAGGCGUCCUUGGUGCUAUAACUAGCUUAUUGGAGAAGAGGAGUUCAUUUAAUUUCGAGGAUCGGUUCAAAGACGAGGGAAAAUCCAUGCCUAAGGCUGAGCUUAUUUUAAUUAAUUCUCCUUCAUAUUUUAUUUAACUGUUUUUAUUAUUCUGUCUUCAACUUUUACUUUUUACGCUUUUUAUUUAUUUAUUUCAGGUUUCAGAUUUUAUCCCCCCGAAUUUUUUGGGCACGACAACUGCCCCGACAAAAAUCUGGUCAAGAGAGGAACAAUUUGCAGUAAACCCAGUCUCUGAGGGAUCGACCCUACUCCCUAUACUGCUUAAAUUGCAAGUUAGGCGUAGGUUUAUAUUGGUGGAUUCGACACCCAUCACAGCCACACUCUCAAACUACCCUAAAAUCAGGCUGAUGGUGACUAGAAAACAACCCAACAAAUUCCAAUCAAAUCUCAUGCUCCGAAAUUGGAAUUUACUAAUGGAAAAACAAAAAGACAUUGGUAAAGCAAAAUAAGUGUGAAACAUGAAGAAAUUGAUAUGAAGACUAAGAAGAGAGCAUGAAAAAUUUGAAAAUUGUAAUUUAGGAUGACUUUAAAAUAUGGGGAAGAUUCAUGGAAAUUAAAUGGGUUUGAAAUCAAUGAUUUUGCAGCUUCUCUUUGUUGAUUUGGUGGAUGUUUCCCACUACUUUUGCUUUUAAUGGUUCCCAUUAUAUACUUGGAAAUUGGAAUUACUUUUGCCACUCAUUUCUCAUGUUUGUUUGGCCAAUAAAAGAUUUUUUGCAUAAAGCAACAAUGGGGCAAUAAGCUGCAACAUUUCCACAUGCCUCUCAAACAUUUUACUCCAAUUUUAUGUUUUUAAAAAAAAAAAAUUAACAUAUUUUUAAAUUUUUAAAUUUGAUAUUUGAUCCCUAUACUUUAAAAGUUAAAAUUUUAAUUCUUUUACUUUUUCAAUUUAAAAAUCACAAUCAAACCAUUAUCGUCGUUGAUAGUUUUUGUCAAAAUUUCUCAAUUUAAUAUGUUUAUUUCUAUCAAUCAUAUGUGACGCCAUAAGAUGACACGUUAAUCAAUAUUUCAAGUUGACAAGUUUUAUAGAAAGUACUUGCGAUUUAAUUAUUGCACUGAGAUUUUUAACUUUUUAAAUAUAUGAACUAAAUCUUAAAAAUAUUUAAUAAUAUAAAAUAUUAAAAUAUUAAAAUUAAAUAAUAAUAUAAAAAUGAAAAUUUUUCUUCAAAUUUCUCAUCCAAAUACAAUCUAGAAAAGUUUUAAAGAUAAAAUUUAAAUAUGUUUGUUUCAAAAGUGGAAAAUUCUAUAUAUUGUAUCAUCAAAAUUUUCACUUAUUGUGUGCAUCAAUCCAGCUAAGACUUAACUUGUGCACAAUAGUUCAACGUUGUUUUUGUGCAUGAUUAAUUACUUGGGCAUUUGCAUGCAAUGCCAAAGACUUAAUACUUAGGGCCUAUAAUAUUUCCACACUAUCUUUUUGGUCCAAAAUUAAAGAUAUUAAAAGUUUAAAUUUAAACCAUUAUGAUAAUUUAAAAUUCGAUGUAUAAUUUUGAGAUAUAAAGUGAUUUAAUUCUUUGAUAAAUUAUAACAUAUUUACAAAUUCGAUACUCAUUAACAAAUUAAUUUUACAUUAUUCGAGUUUUUCAUUAUAAAAUUCAACUCGAAACUCGAAUUGUAAACAUUUUUAAAAAAUAUAAAACAUAAAAAAUAUUAAAAUAAAAUAAUAAUUAAAUAAUGAUAUAGAAAUGAAAAUAUUUCUCCAAAUUUCUCACCCCUAUAUGCUCUAAGGAAGUUUCAAAGCUGAAAUUUAAAUAUGUUUCUUUCAAAAGUGAAAAAUUCUGUAUAUUUUAUUAUAAAAAAUUUCACUCAUUGUGUCUAUCAAUCUAUAAUGUGACUUGACUCGUACACAAUAGUUGAACGUUGUUUUUGUGCAAUAAAAACUUAGACAUUUGCCUGCAAUGCCAAAGGCCUAAGACUUAAAAGUCCUAUAAUAUUUCUAACUAUCAUUUUUUCUGGUCCAAAAUUAAUCCUUUGAUAAAUCAUAACAUAUUUACAAGUUGGAUACUCAUUAACAAAUUGAAUUUAUAUAAGUUAAAUUUUAUUCUUUUGGUGCUAUAACAAAAUUAACUUAAAAAAUUAAAUAAUGUAGAAAUAAUUAUAUAUAACAUACAAAAUGAUAAAAUUUACCUGAGUUUGAAAUAAUUUAAAGUUCAAAUAUUUGUAACAUCGAUUUUUGUUCCUAAAAAGUUCAUACCUAAAAUAUAUAAUUUAAACUCAAAAUAUCCGUUUAAUUAUUAUCUUUGCUCAUUCUAUGCGUAAUAAUGAUUCUAAUAGGGUUUAAAGUACAUUAUUAUUGCUAUAAUUUUGUCUUUUUAAUGACUUUGAUUUAGUAAGGAGUGGGCAAGAAAACUAAAACCUUGGCAUUAACAAGAAAAAAGAGAUGAAUAAAAUAUUAAAAUCUCAUUCUUCAAAAUUAAAAUUAACAAAAAAGAAAGACGUAAGGUAAAUUUAGUGUGAAUUUAACAACUUAUUUCUAAUACUAACAAUAAAUAAUUUAUGCAUCAUCACUAACAUCUUUACAUAAUAAAUUAUUAUCCCUUGCUUUUGUAUGUUGGAAAAAAUUGACCAAAAAGACUUAACUAAAGUGGUGGAACAGUAUUUUGAUGGAGUCUUGAUUUGGCAAAAUGACUUACAAAUUGCAUGCAUUGCCAAUCACUCUUAAACAUUGUUCCAUGGAAACUACACACUUGUGUAUAAAUAAGUUGUAUGCCAAACACGAUCCUCCUUCACACCCACCCAACAUGAACACUCUUCAUUCCCUUAUUUCUUCACUCUUUCUCUUCUCAUGCUUCCCUCCUCUUCUCUUGUCUUUUUCACCUCCUCAAACUCAUCUCCCAAUGCAAUGCCUUGAUGACCAGAGAUCUCCUCUGCUGCAAUUGCAGCAUCAUCUUUACUAUGCCCCUAAUUUUACUUUCUCUUCCAAAUUUGACCUCUGGGAUGUCAACACUGAUUGUUGUUCUUGGGAAGGAGUCACUUGUGAUGCUUAUGGUCAUGUCCUUGGCAUUGAUCUUAGUUACAAAAACCUUUCAGGCACCUUCCACUCCAUAUUCGAUCUCCAUCAUCUUCAACGCCUUAAUCUUGCUGGAAACAACUUUAAUACCACUCUGUUUUCGUAUGGGUUUGAUAAACUCCAAAAUCUAACUCAUCUCAACCUUUCAAGCUCAUGUUUCCAUGGCCAAAUUCCAGUGGAGACCUCAUUCUUAAAAAGGUUAGUCUCUCUUGAUCUAUCCAAUCAAGAUUCUUGUUAUUUUAGAUAUUACAAAGUUCUCUACCCUGGCUUCUACAACUAUUACGAACCUCAACAGCCUCUUAAAUUAGAGAAUCCAAACUUCAAGACAUUAAUCAAGAAUUUGAGGUUUCUCACAGAGCUUUAUUUGGAUGGGGUGAACAUUUCAACUCAAAGUGCUAAAUGGUGUGAAACCACAUCUCUUGUACUUUCCAACCUGCGUGUGUUGAGUCUGUCAAACUGUGGUUUGAAAGGUCCAUUAUGUUCUUCACUCUCAAGACUCUCUUUUCUUUCCAAACUUAUCCUUGAUUGGAACCCAAUCUCUUAUUUACCUCCCAAUUUCUUGGAAAUUUCCUCUCGUUUGGUUUCUCUCAGUUUUAGGAACUGCAAUUUGAGUGGCCAUUUUCCAACUGAAAUUCUCUUAUUGCCAAAAAUUCAAAGCAUUGACAUUUCAUUUAAUCUCCAACUUAUGGGUCAGUUGCCAGAAUUUCCAGCAAACAAUGCAUUACUGAGUUUGUCGCUUUUUUAUACAAAUUUCAGUGGAAAACUACCCCUAUCAAUUGGUAAUCUCGAGUUAUUGACUAAUUUAGAGCUGUUUGGUUGCAAUUUUUUUGGACCCAUUCCAUCGUCAAUUGCAAAUCUUAGUCACCUGGUGAACUUGGAUCUAAGUUCAAACAAGCUUUCUGGAUCAAUACAUUCUUCUUUAUUUACUCUUCCAUCGUUGAAGACCUUGGAUCUUGGAGAAAAUCAAUUGGUUGGGAAAAUUGAUGAGUUCCCCAAUGCAUCUUCUUCUUUGAUUGAAGUACUAUAUAUAGGCAAUAAUUAUUUAACAGGACCAAUCCCGAAGUCAAUCCUCCAACUUCCAAGGCUUGAAGGGCUUUAUGUCGGAGACAAUAGCUUCAGUUCCAUGAAGCUUGAGAUGUUUGUCCAACUCAACAACUUAAGGACUCUCUGGCUAAACAAUAUAAGCUUGUUAAUUGAAAGCGACCACAGAAGUCUUACUUUUCCCCAAUUAGAGAGGCUAAGCCUAAGGUCAUGCAACCUUACUGAAUUUCCAGAAUUCAUUAAAAGGCAAGACAAGUUGGUUGACUUAGAUCUUUCUAGCAAUCAUAUCCAUGGUGUUGUGCCUAAUUGGUUGUGGAAGAGCAGUCUUUCAUCCUUAGACCUUUCUUUCAAUGUGAUUGAUUUUCCAGAAAAACUUCCUUUAAGUGAUGCAAACUUCUCUUUCCCAAUGUUGAGGGGAUUGUAUCUGGGAUCUUGUAACAUAAGUGCAUUUCCGGAGUUCUUAAAGAGUCAAGAAAAUUUAGAAGCACUCGAGGCAUCUUCUAACAAUUUGAGUGGCCCAAUUCCAAAUUGGUUAUGCAAUAUGAGUCAACUUCAAACUUUCAAUGUAUCUUAUAACAAUUUGAGUGGCUCAAUUCCAAAUUGCUUGGGCAAUAUGAGUGCUCUGAGUCGGUUGGGUUUGCAAGGAAUAACUUCAGAGGAAUGAUACCAAAAUUUUCAAAAGCAACCCAACUGCAAUUUCUGAAAGUUAGUGAGAAUAGAUUGGAAGGGAAGUUGCCCAGAUCAUUAGCAAAAUGCACUCAACUUACGGUUUUGGAUGUAGGAAGCAACAUGAUCAAUGAUACAUUUCCUUUUUGGUUGGAGAAAUUGACUUACUUGAGGGUUCUAAUAUUGCGGGAAAACAGAUUUUAUGGUCAAAUUAAACAUUUCAAACAUAAAUCUGUUUUCCCAACUUUGGAUGUAUUGGACAUUGCUUCAAACCAGUUUUCUGGUGAACUAUCCAUUGAUUUCCUUCAACCCACUCGACUAAGGUCACUCAAAAUAGGUGGGAAUAAAUUGGAAGGGAAGCUGUCGAGAUCAUUAGCCAAUUGCACAGCACUUGAGGUUCUGGACCUUGGAAAUAAUAUGGUUCAUGAUACAUUCCCAUUUUGGUUAGAGAAGCUGCCUUCCUUGAAGGUUCUCGUUUUGCGAGAAAACAGAUUCUACGGCACAAUUUCAAAAUUCGACACGGAACGUGGGUUUCCAAAGCUACGCAUAUUGGACGUUGCUUCCAACAAUUUUUCAGGUGACUUGUCGAUUGAAUUUUUGCAGAGUUUGAAGGCAAUGGCGAAUAUGACUAAUGACGAAAAGGCUAAGCUGGAUUAUAUCGGAGAGAGUUAUUAUCAAGACUCUGUGACAAUUGUUAACAGAGGGAUUGAAAUGUUCUACCAAAAAGUCUUGACAAUUCUUACUUGUCUUGACCUUUCCAACAAUAGUUUCCAUGGGAGAAUACCAGAAGAAAUACAAAUGCUGAGGUCACUCAGAGUGAUGAACUUAUCCAACAAUGGCUUCUCUAGUGAAAUCCCAUUAGCACUUCAAAAUCUAAAAGACCUCGAAUCUUUGGAUCUCUCGAGAAACAAGCUGUCAGGGAAGAUUCCUCCACAACUUACAAGUCUAACUUUCCUGGCAGCAUUGAACUUGUCAUACAACCAACUUGAAGGGAGCAUACCACAAAGCAACCAAUUCAUUACAUUUACAAAUGAUUCCUACCGUGGGAACCCAAAAUUGUGUGGGCUGCCAUUGUCAAGGAAAUGCAAUGAAGUCGGUCUUCCAGUGGCACCACCUCCACGGCGAGAUGGAGAAUCAUGGUUAUAUGCUAUGUCUACUUGGAAAAUUGCGUUGAUAGGUUAUGCUAGUGGAUUAGUCGUUGGGCUAUGUAUUGGAUAUACAGUGCUGAAUGAGUUGGGAAACAAAUGGGUUGACAAGUUCAAAAAGUGUGGGAAAAGAAAUAGAAGAUGUAGGUGACUCCAUCAGAAUUCUUGCUUCAAAAUUAGCUGGUAAGCAUUUGUCUUUCUAAUUUGAACAGAUAGUUGUUGAUAUAUAUAUAUAUAUAGGUUUUCAUAACCUCAUUUUUUGCUGUCUUUACCAAGUUCACUAUCAUAUCGUACUUGUAAUUUUAUGUUACCAUUGAGCAAUGCAGGAGGUAUACUUGAAGCAGGACAUGGAAUGCACAGUUGUGAGGUACAUGAAGAAUGUAGGCAAUUAAUGAUCCUAACAAGAUCAAUCCACUGGUUUGUAAUUUUGCUUUAUAUGCACUUUUUUCCUGUUGUAGUUUUCCAUGAGUAUAAAUAAGUGUUUAUUCAUUUUGCAUCCAGGUCCCUGUGGAUUUGGGGGAUGCAAUGUUUCACUGCUACUGAAUUUCCAUGCUAAUAAUGAUAUUAUAAACAUGGCUGCCCAAGCUUUCUUUUAUAUGCAAUUUACUUUUACUUCAAUUUUUUUUUUAUCUUCAGAAUAUUUAUACAACUGAGGAGAUUUGAUGGCAUGAUGUUGAUGAAAGCCAUAUCUGAUGGACAUUGGACUGAUUGUGUAAAGAGACGCAGAUGCUGCUACUCUAAUCCUUUGCUCUUCCAAAUAGACAUUAGCACGCGUUAGGCUUUAAGACCGGGUGUAAAGGGUGGACCUAUUGGUUUGGGUUUUGGUUCAACCCGACACUUAUUUUUAUACUAGUUUAUUUAUUCUUUCAAUGAUAGUUUUAUUAAUUUCAAAAAUAUGGUUGAAUUAAGUAAUAAUAUGAUAAAAAUAAUUAAAAUAAUUAAAAUAUAAGAAAGAAAUGAUGCCUUACAAUGUGGUGUGGUUUUUAGUAUUAGCAAACAAUCUAAAACAUUAGAAAUAAAAAAAAUAUAUAUUUCAAUUCUCUUAUUGUAAAACAUUUAUAAGAAUUUAUUUAAGGGAAAGGAUGGUAUCAAAUUGUGAUUUCACGUUAUCUCUUAGUACAUCCUCGCACUUAUUUUGUACCAAUCUGUUUCGCGAAAAUUGUGUGGUCAUCAUAAUUUCCACUCCAUAUCCCCAUCAAUCCAUCUCAAGAGCAACCCAACUACGGUUGGUCAAAGUUAGAAGGGAAAUUACGAAGAUAAUGGGUGAAAUGCAUUCAUCUUAGAACUUAUACGUGUUGGUUGUUAAACCUCACCAAACCAGCAAAUACCAUAAUUUUUGUUCUUAUCGUCCAUUGCAGCACCUAUGGGUUUCUUCAUCUUUAAUUCUGCUAAAGAAGACGGGAUUUUUAUAGCUUCAAUUGUUUUAUCAAACCCAAAGUCCUCAUCUUUUACAAUCUUCUUCACCACUCUCCCUACUUCCUUCUUUAACUUUGUUUCUUCCCUUGUUUUUACUGACUCCUUUUUCUCAGCCGUUGAAACAAAAUGGUAGCUUCUUUAGGAACAGAAAGGAACAAGAUUUUGAUACCCAAUGAAGAGAAACAAAGAUGAAAUCUUUCUAAUGCAUUUUCUGAUGCAUCCUUUCUAGGAUUCUAACUAGGCAGAGAGAAGAAAAAUAAGUAAAUGAAAAAUGGGAGUGAAUUUCUUUUUCUUAAAAAAUAGUAUUCGUAUAAAAAAUUGGGUAUUUUACUAAGAAAAAGAGAGCCUAUUUCCAACAUUAUUUACGGAAUGGGCCACUUAAAACAUUAUUUACGGAAUAGGCCACUUAAAACAUUAUUUAUAGAAAUAGAUCACUUAAAAAAUAUUUACUGAAAUGGUCCAAAAAACACAAAACCCACCUACGUAAAAGUGUUUUAAGCGGAAAUUUUAGAAAAGCAACUUCUCGUGGGAGCGUUUUUGCCAUGUCAGCAAAAGCGGGUUGACAUGGAAGUGCUUUUGCUGACAUUGCAAAUAACAUACAAAUAACCUAAAUUCCCUAGAAAUAACACGGGCUAAAGAGCUCCCAUGAGAAAGCGCUUUUCUGAAAUUUCCCUUUAAAAUGCUUCCACGUAAGUCCACGUAGGUGUAUUUUGAGUUUUUUUUGACUCAUUCCAAUAAAUAAUCUUUUAAAUGACCCAUUUUUGUAAAUAAUAUUGGAAAGGGUUUUUUUUUUAGUAAAAUGUUCUAUAAAAUCACCUAUAUAAACUAUUUUCAUCAAAAUUUAAUUUCCAAGAAAUUCUCUUUGUUGCCAAAAUUUCAAAGCAUUUGACAUUUUAAGCAAUGAUGAUCAAAAGUAAUUUCGAAUUCCCAAAAUCUUCUUCUACCAUAAAUAUUCAAAUAAUUGGAAAUUUCAUUAUUUAUGAUAACUCAGUCAACAAACUCUUUAAUCCUAUUUGGUUUGAAAAAAUAGAUAUAUUUAUGAUCAUAAAUCUUAAGAAUAGAAUGAUUUUACUAUAAAAAAUUUCAGGUUUAUAGGACUUUAUCAUCAAUGUAACUAUUUUUAAUGUGGUUAUAGGAGAGGGUGUGGCUGAAUUAUCAUUAGCUAAUCAUGGUCGAGCCAUAGUUGCAGACAUGGAACCUGAAUAAUGUGCAACCAUGGGUUGUCUUUCCUGUGGAUCAUACAGCCUUGCAAUUCCUUAAAUUAACCGGCAGGAGUGGUGACACAGUUCAUUCUCUGCGAGGUGAUGACUCCAACAAGGUUUUAUGUUAUUAUUGCUACUAUUUUGUCUUUUUAAUAAUUUAGAUAUAAGAAAAUUUUCAUAUAUAUAUAGAAUAAGGAUGAGACAGAAAGACCAAAAUAUUGGCAUCAAUAAGAACACUAAGACCAAUAAAAUCUCAUAUUUCAAAAUUAGAGUUGAAAAAAAUAGAAAAAAUUGAAGAUGCAAAGCAAAUUAAGUGUUAAUUGAAAACCUUAAUGCUAAGACUAAGAAUAAAUAAUUCAUCCAUUAAGACUAAUAGCUUCAUCAUCACCCUCUGCUGUGAUAUGACUCUGGCUUGAAUUUAAAGAAGCAAAUAUGAAGAACUCAUCAUGGUCGAGCCAUUAAGACUGAUAGCUUCAUCAUCAUCCUUUGCUGUGAUAUGACUCUGGCUUGAAUAUAAAGAAGCAAAUAUGAAGUACUCAUCAUGCGAGAGAAAAUUACUUAGCUAAGAGAAGAAAUCAUUUACUUCAACCAAACUAUCCCCGGUAGAAAUAAAAGCCAAAAGAAUUAAAUUCAUUCAAAACAAAUAUUGUAGGGAUUAGUUUUAUAAUUCUACUUAAAUUUUCAUUUCAACAGGAGGACGCAUGUUCGAGUACAUUGAAGUGCAUUAUCCUCUUAUUUAUGGGUUGGGGAGAGACUAUGGGUAGUUUUAAGGCAUUGUAUCAAAAUAAUAGAUUUAAUCAAAACCUAUAAUGUAAAAAGUUGCUACUAAAAAGUUUAAAAAAUAGAAUUUUUAGUUUCCUUUUGUUUAUUUAUUUAUUUUUUUCAUAAUAUCUUUUAUGUAUAUUUGAAGUGUUUUGGGUUUGAUUUUUAAUCAUUAUAAUCAAAAACCCAAUUUUGUACUAAUAAAUCACACCAUUGUUAGUUUUUAGUGUUAUCUUUUGAGGUAUUAUAUAUUUGUAUUUGACCUAUGUUUAUAAUGGUGAUCAGACCCGUUUUUGAUAUUUUUGAGACCCUAGGCGAAACAAUAAAUCAAGGUUUUGUUUAAAAAAUUAUUAAAUGUAAUACAAAAAAUAAAAAAAUUGAGCCUUUUUUAUUUUAUAUUUUUUCUGCCUACAAUACUAAAGAAGUUAAAAGAAUUUUCACGUUAAAAAUUAAAAAAAGAAACUUUUUGAGCUCUGGACGGCCACACUCCAAAACUACCCUAAAGUUGGGCUGACUCCAACAAAUUCCAAUCAAAUCUCAAGCUCCAAAAUUGGAAUUAACAAAUGGAAAAACAAAAAGACAUUGGUAAAGCAAAAUAAGUGUGAAACAUGAAGAGUAAGAAGAGAGUAUGAAAAAUUUGAAAAUUGUAAAUUAGGAUGACGUUAAAAUAUGGGGAAGAUUCAUGGGUUUGAAAUCAAUGAUUUUGCAGUUUCUCUUUGUUGAUUUGGUGGAUGUUUCCCACUACUUUUGCUUUUAAUGCUUCCUAUUAUAUACUUGGAAAUUGGGAUUACUUUUCCCACUCAUUUCUCAUGUUUGUUUGGCCAAUAAAAGAUUAUUUGUAUAAAGCAACAAUGGGGCAAUAGGCUGCAAUAUUUCCACAUGCCUCUCAAACGUUUUACUCCAAUUUUAUGUAUUUUUUUAAAAAAUUAACAUAUUUUUCUACCUUUCUUCUUUCUCUUCUCAUCCUCUCUUUCUCAAUCUCACCUCCCCAAAAAAUGCAAAAAUAAUAAAAAAAAUUAUUUUAAUUUUUAAAAAAUAUAAAUUUUGGAAUUUUUAUGAAUAUUUUGAAUUUUAUUUUAAAUUAUUUUGUAAUUUGUGUUGAGAGAGAUUAAUUUGUUAAAUUUUAAAAUUGACAGGGACCAAAGGAGCAUGUACACCAAUUUAUUGUUUGAAUUAUUUGAGUUAUUUAAAUUAUAAAAUUCAUCUCGAAACUAAAAUUAUAAAUAAUUUUAAUAUUAUAAAACAUAAAAAUAUUAAAAUUAAAUAAUAAUAUAGAAAUGGAAUUUUUUUUCUCCAAAUUUCUCAUCCAAAUAUAGUCUAAGAAAGCUUGAAAGCUGAAAUUUAAAAAUAUUUCUAUCAAAAGUGAACAAUUAUAUAUUGUAUCAUCAAAAUUUUCAACAUGAAAAUAUUAAAAUUAAAUAAUAAUAUAGAAAUGGAAUUUUUUUCUCCAAAUUUCUCAUCCAAAUACAGUCUAAGAAAGCUUGAAAGCUGAAAUUUAAAAAUAUUUCUAUCAAAAGUGAACAAUUUCUCAUCAAAAUUUUCACUCAUUGUGUCCAUCAAUCUAGCUAAGAAACUUACUAUAAUUUUGUCUUUAUAAUGUGACUUGAUUUGUACACAAUGGUUGAACGUUGUUGAUAAUACUCUGAAAUGACAUAUUUUUAUGUAUUAAUUAUGUAUUUAUUUUGAGUAUGAACCCACGAAAUUGAGCUAUUUAUGGUUUUUAUCUUGUAGGGACUAAAUUGAAGGCAAAAGGAAAUUUAGGGGAAAAAUCAUGAAUUUUAAGAUAAAAUGGGUCAGGAUGCGAAGAAGGAAUGAAGUGGUGCCGAAAAAUGCAAAGUAUGGAAGACUUGGGGGCAACCGUUCAAAGGAGAGAUUUUAUAAACACAAGGCUCUAUUUAAAUUUUAAUUAUAUUAGGAUUAUUGUUAAGAUUAUUAUUUAGAUUUAAUUUUAGCUUUUAUCUUUAUUUAUCUUUUAGAAUUUAGAUAGGAAUAAACUAGGUUUUUUGAGUACUAUAAAUAGGGGAUGGAGUGACACAAAUUUAACUCAUCUUUUCUAUAAAAGCUCCCUCUCCCAAAAAGCUCUAGCUUUCAUAUAUUUUUUUCAAUUAAACCAAGAAAGUUUAAAAAGUUCAAUCUUUUUCAAGUUGUGUUGAAAUUGCACUGCUUCUCUACUACUUGAUUUAUAUAUUUCUGUGGUUUUUAAUGAAACUAGCAACCCUGGCAAUCGGGUUAUUUAAGAGUACAAUCGUCUAGGAUUAAAAGGGGCUUAAAUAUAUAUAUUUUUUCAGUUAUUAAUGUAAGGAAAAAAAAUUAAGUAAAAUAAAUUAAUUAAAUACAUAGGGUUUUCUAUUUUUCACUAUAAAUAUUUCAUCUCCUAGACCGCAAAAUAUGUCCAGCUUUUAUUGCAUUACAUUUUAUAUAAUUUUUUAAAAAAAAACCUAAUUUAUUAUUUGUCUGAAACCCAAAAAUAUUAACAACUGGCCUGAAAAUUAGUAGAACAUAAUAAUUAAGUAAUGACCGAACAAUAGGAGUCAUUUGCAAGUAUGCAUGGCAAGACUAAGUCAAAGAUUAAAUUUGAUAAAAACCCAUGCAUAGUAUCGUUUCUCUGUUAGUUCUACACUAAAAACAUAUAAUUUCCAAAAUAAAUCUAUGAGCUUUGUCUCUAAAUACAUUGUGUUGUUCUACACUCAAUGUCGAGCUUUGUGGAGUUUAGGAGGGAUUUUAAAUUAUUGAGAGAUAAAUUUUCAAUGAAUUGAACUUGAGAUGAAUAAUAUGAUUACAAUCUAAUUGAUUCAAGAUGAUCAGUUGAGUUCCACCAUUCAGCUGUGUUACGAACUAUUAAAGAAAUUAUUCAACGUCUUUGGAUGAUUAAGGUGACAAAUGUAUUCAAAUAAGGUAACUGAGUAGUCGAUGGACCGAAAGCAAUGAUAUUUUCAAGGCGUCUAGGCAUGUAUAGUUAUAUGCAACCCUUGGAUAAAUUUCUUCAAAAGUUAUAUGAUUAUUGCUCUGGAAUGACCUGGCCCGACUUAAUCCAAUUAUGAUUUUAUGUUUGUUCAUGUAAAAAGGAAGAAAGAAAGAUAACGAAUUUAAAUAAUUGAAGAGAAUAAAAAUUAAUUAUGUAAAUCACCGAUAAAAAGAAUCUAAUUUUGGACUUAAAAAACUAUAUGGUGGUUGCAUUUCAAUUGGUUGGACAAACUUUGAAAGUGUAAAGGAUUGAAAAGUAGCUAAUAUUAUAAGACAUUUCAACUAAGCUCUGAUCAUCAUUUUCAAUCAACCCAAAAUAUAAAUUUUGGAAUUUUUAUGAAUAUUUUAAAAGUUUUGUUGAGAGAUAAUUUUUUUAAGUUUCAAAAUUUAUAGGGAUCAAAUGAGUAUGUAUACUAAUCUGUUGUAUGAAUUAUUCAAAUUAUUUGAGUUAUUCAAAUUUUAAAAUUUAACUCGAAACUUGACUUAUAAAUAUUUUUAUGUUUUAUAUUUAAUAAUAUAAAACAUAAAAAAUUAUUUAAAUUAAAAAAUAAUGUAAAAAUGAAAGUCUUUCUCCAAACUUCACCCAAAAACACUUUAAGAAAAUUUCACUCCUUGUGUCCAUCAAUCCAUCUCAACCAACUAACAAAUUUACUAUAAUUUUGUCUUUAUAAUGUGACUUCACUUGUGCACAAUGGUUGAACGUUUGUUUUUGUGCAAUCAAAAUUUGGACGUUUGUAUGCAACGCCAAAGACUUAUGAUAUUUCAUACUAUCAUUUUUUUCGAUCCAAAAUUAAAGAUAUUAAAAAUUUCAAAUUAGAACAUUAUUUACAAUUUGAGCACUUAAUAAGAACAUUAUGAAAUCUAGAUACUUUAAAAAAUUUUAUAAUUUUUAAAAAUAGAUUUUUUAAUUUUUAAAUUUUAAAAAUUAUUAAAUGAUGAGGUGUCAUCCAUGUGACAAUUCAUGUGUAUGCCACAUUAGCAAAGUUAAAAAAAUCGUUAACAUUUCUAUCCAUUUUGGGAGAUUUGAUAAAAACACAAGUUUAAAGAUUAAAAAACAUAAAAAAAAUAAAUGAAUGACUAAAAUAACUUUUUUUUUGUAAAACUGGAGGCCAAAUAAGUCAUUACGACAAAAAAAUUAAAAAAGUAUUUUCUCCUCCAAAAGUAGAAUCUGAAGUUAAGUGGAUAUUAAAUAAUAAUAUUUACAGACUCGAACAUCAAAAAUGUAUGAAAUUUAUUGUUGUUCAAUAAAUUUAUUGUUUAAUAAUUACUUUUGUUUUGGCCAUUGGGAAAACUUACUAGCCCUUAUAAUAUAUAUAUCCAUAUUAUUGGAUGUGCUUCUUUUAUUCAAUUACAUUGCCUAAGGUUGCUUAUUGCGAUUAUGGUAACUAGAUGUAUCAUCCCCUGACUAAAUCUUCUCAUUUUCAGUGUUAGAAUCCUCCUCUUUAAAAUUUGGGACUCAUGUUGCUUUUUGAGCAUCACUAUACCAUUCUCCUCUUAAACACGUCGAAAAAUCCAGUAGGAGCUUCUACUUCCGAUUCUGGAGAAGUUGCCUCCCUUGAACUCAACAAAACCCUAUCAGCUUCCGGAGAUGCUAUACCUCAUCAAAAGCCUUCUCCACUUGUCCUACUACGAAUUGGAUUGAGAACACCAAAGCCAAUGAGAACACAACCAAAAAAACCUUCGCCAUCUUUUUUAUUUUCUAAAAAGGUUAAGAAAUAAGUAAAGAUAUAUUUUUAUUGAUGCUUAAGGAUGAAAAUGAGAUAAAAUUUAAAGAGUUUAAAAUGAGAUGUUUUGGGCGAAUUUAUGGGUCGUUGAUCAGUCUAGUGCCUAAUAGUCAUAACAACAAAAAUACAUAUAAAUUCUCUCCCCAUUUUCAGUGGCCAUGUUUAUCACUAUUAUUUUCGGGUUCAAUUUACUUCACUUUGCUUGACUCAAAGACGUUGUGGGUGAUCGAUGAUGUGUUUUAAAAUCAUUCUGACCUUCUCUGUUUGCAUCACCUGUACCAAUCAAAAACACUCAUCCUUUUAUAGUUUAAUGUAUUUUCCAUGAAACAACUUCGAACGUCAAGCAAAAUCUAAAUAACUAUCUUCUUCUAUAUCGGAUACUGACUGUUAAAUUACCUUGGAUUUAAAGUAUGUUCUUCUACUUGUCUAUGGUUAUCGAUCAUAAUACCGAUUGCCAAAUCGUCGCUUGGAGCUUGCUACCUAGGCUUUUCAAAAGAAAAAAAAUUAAUAGCCAAAUGACCAGGCCAGUUCUUGGCAUUUUUGGGGCCCUAGGCGAAUCAAUAAAUUGGGGCCCCAGAUUAUAAGAUGUAAUACAAUAUAACAAAAAAAAUUGGGGCCUUUUUUUUCUGCAUGCAAUAAAUCAAAAGAUUUAAAAGGUUGAAGAUUUUUAUUUGAGACCCUUCCAGCCCUGGGUGAUUACACUCUGAAACUACCCUUAGGGUCGAGCCUGCAAGUGACGUAAAUAAAAAUCUUCUGAAUAGUUCAGUAAUCAUUUUUAAAGUCAAGUAAAUAAUUAACCGUAAUUCUUCAGAAAAAUAUUUGAACAUAAAAUUUAUGAAUUUUUCUAUAAUACAUUAUUACAUUUUUUUCACAUUUUCAAUAGUUAUAUAUACAAUGAUAAAAUGAUAAUUUAAUCUCGUGGAGUGGGCAAGGUAAUAAUUUACCAUAAUUGCUCCAUACUUGCUAUUUUAAAAAAAAAAUCCACCUCGCCUUGCUCUACACCCACUUUUGAAAAAAAAUCCUCUUUAUCUGUAGUGGAUUGAUUCGGGAUCCAUAGAGUGGUUCGGGUCUUACCAUCCCUAGUUACACAUCUAUACUAUUAUUUUAAUCUUAUUGGAACCAAUCUCAUUGCCCAACCAAAAGGACCCAAAAGGCUUUAAAUGAUAAUAACAACAAUGGUAUAGAUAAAUGGAUUUAUACGUGAAUGUGGUUUUUUUUAAAAGAAAACUGAAAGUGACAAUAUAAGUGCUAUAUUCCUAUCUGACAUAACUCAUCUUGUCAAUUGAGUUUUAGUUCGAUUAGUAUCAUUGCUAAUUGCAACAAUCAAGAAAAUGUUGGUUUAAGCACAACUAAGUAAGUGUAUUUUUAAUCUGAUUUAAGAGUUAAGGGUGAAUUAUGAGUAGGAGUAAUGAUAAGUGAUAAAAGUAACAUAUUUUAAUCUCGUUCUUAAUGCGUUUUUGGAUGAUUAUUUAUGCAAAUUGGUAAAUUUUAUGCUCCUGAUCCUUUAAAUUAAUGUUUUUAUACUUAAAAGAGCAUUUGGGAGCAAAAGGAGCGAAAAAACAAGUAAAAAUCAGACAAAUAGAGCAUAUUUCAAGAGCCACAUAGGCUAGACACACGACCGUGUAAGCCACACAGGCUGGCACACGGCCAUGUGCCACACAGGCUGGCAGACUGUGUCAAUUAUGCGAUUUGUAUCCCAAACAUGCGGAAAAAUGCAAUUUUUAUGAUUUCGUGGCAUUCUAAAGUCUAUAAAUACCAAAUAUAAUAUGAGAAGUGGGGGAGAUCAGAGAGUAUUGAAGGAAACAACUCGAAGAACUCUAUUGAAGCCAACUUUGAAGUAGAUUUCUAUCAAGAUUGAAGAUCUUCUUUUAAUUUCUUUGAAGCUUUUAUGAGUUUCUUUAUCUCUUAUGGUUAUAUUGACUUUGAGAUUGUAAUACCCCGAAAAUUUCUACAGUAAGAAAGUAAGAUAAUAUCUAUGAUAUAGUAAAAUAAGGAAAUAAAUUGAUAAAAAGGGUAAUUUUGAGAUUUGAUGGCAUGAUGUUGAUGAAAGUCAUAUCUGAUCGACAUUGGACUGAUUGUGUAAAGAGACGCAGAUGCUGCUACUCCCAUCCUUUGCUCUUCCAAAUAGACAUUAGCACGUGUUGGGCUUUAGGAGCGGGUGUAAAGGGUGGACCUGUUGGUUCGGGUUUUAGUUCAGCCCGACACUUAUUUUUAUACUAGUUUAUUUAUCCUUUCAAUGAUAGUUUUAUUAAUUUCAAAAAUAAGGUUGAAUUAAGUAAUAAUAUGAUAAAAAUAAUUAAAACAAUUAAAAUAUAUGAAAGAAAUGAUGCCUUACAAUGUGGUGUGGUUUUUAGUAUUGGCAAACAAUCUAAAACAUUAGAAAUAAAUAUGUGACCUUAAUUAAAAAAAAAUCAAUUCUCUUAUUGUAAAACAUUUAUAAGAAUUUAUUCAAGGGACAAUUCUCUUAUUGUAAAACAUUUAAAAGAAUUUAUUUAAGGGAAAGGAUGGUAUGAAAUUGUGAUUUCACGUUAUCUCUAUCCCCUUCUUAAUAGGAGGAGAAUGACAAAUUAAAUUUUUAUUCCUUUGAUUUGUCUGAUUUCUAGCAUUUUUAAUUGGGUUUGAAUUUUUUCAAGAAUUGAGAAAAAAACUUUUGAAAUUGAAAUUAGUUUUUUCAAAGAAUUAAAAAAUUGUUAAUAAUAUAAGACAUCUCGUCAGUCUCAUUUAUCUUUGAUAAUUUCAAUUAAAUCUAAAAAAAUAUUUGUAACACCCCUAACUCGUAUCCUUCGCCGAAUUAGGGUUACGAGGCAUUACUGAACAAACACAACCAUUUUUUUUGCAACCAAACAGAUCACAACAUGAAAAUUUAAUUACUUUCGACUUUCCCCGAUCUAAUUCUGUUUUCUUCAGUUCGCGAUCUAAACAUAUUCAAAUUUAACCCUCUUAUUCAUCAAAUCAUUCAAUUUUAUCCAAAAACACAUAAAUUGGCAAAUUACCAUUUUGCCCUAGACAUUUUACACUUUUUGCAAUUUAGUCCCUAUUGCGUAAAACACAAAUUACACAAAAUCUCACAACACCAUAGUUAGGCCGAAUCUUCAUUGUAUUCAUACAAGUCCAUGUAUUUCAUUUAUUUCCUAUUUUAGUCCCUCAAAAAUUUAUUUUCACAAUUUAGCCCUAAAUACUCAAAUUCAUCAAAAAUCCCAAGACAAAACAUGUUAAUCUAAGACAUAUCUUCCAUUAUUCAUCAUCAAACAUCACAAAACACAAAUAUUCAUCAAUGGCACAUUUCAAAAUCAUCAACAAUUCACAAAAUUAAUACAUGGGUUCUGAAGUAUUCAANNNNNNNNNNNNNNNNNNNNNNNNNNNNNNNNNNNNNNNNNNNNNNNNNNNNNNNNNNNNNNNNNNNNNNNNNNNNNNNNNNNNNNNNNNNNNNNNNNNNGUAAAAAUUAUCAAAAACCGAAACAAUUUCAUACCUUAAUCAAGCUAGCAAAGUGCCGAAACCCUAAAUGCCAUGGAUGUUCUCUUUCUUUGCAACAUUCGGCCAACAAAAGAGAUGAUAAUGGCUUGUUUAUGUUUUGUUUUAUUAUACUAUACAUUAUUUAUUAAUUUACUUAUUUAACCUUUAAUAAUUAAUAAACAAAACAUAUAUAAUAAGGUUAUAUUAGUCCUUUGCCACCCACUAACUUACAUAGUGGACUAUUUGCAUUAUAAAACCUCUAAGUUAUAAAGACAACAACAAUUAGGUGCUUUUUAAUUAACCCCUAAAUUUUCAUUUUACGCGAUUAAGCCCUUUUAUUAAAUCGGACACUUAAACGACGAAAUUAAAACACGAAAAUUUCACACAAUCACAUACACACAAAAUAAUAUUAAUAAUAUUUUUUUAAUUCAGAUUUGUGGUCCCGAAACCACUAUUCCGAUUAGGGUCAAAACCGGGUUGUUACAAUAUUAAUGUGGAAAUUUAAAUAUGUUUCUUUCAAAGAAAUUACUAAGAAGAGGAAAACUAAACAUUAUAUCAUCAAAAUUGCCACUACUUGUGCCCAUCAAUCCAUCUCAACUACCUAAGAAACUUGCUAAACAUUGUUUUCAUGGGGUAAAAAAGAUUUAGACGUCAUUUGCAUGCAGUGCCAAAUGGCUAAGACUAAGUCCAAUAAUAUCUCAUUCCAUAAUUUUCUAUUGAUUCCAUACACUUUAAGUUCAUUGAAAAGUCAUCAAAGUUAUGAGAUAAUUUAGUCUUGGAGCCAUCAAUCUAUCUCAAUCAGUUAAAAAAAAUCACCACAACUCCAUUUUUUUAUUAAUUGACUAAAAUAAAAUUAGUGGUACAACAUUAUUUUGAUGCAGUAGUGAUCGGGCUUAGUACAAAAUUAAAAAUAAUGUAUGGAAAGUACAAAUUUGUGUAUAAAUAAGUUGUAUGCAUGGAAACAAUCCUCCUUCACAGCCAGCAAACAUGAAAACCAUAUCUGAUGGACAUUGUACUGAUUGUGUAAAGAGACACAGCUGCUGCUGCUACUCCCAUCUUUUGCUGGCAUAUUGGGUUUUUAUUUUAUCAAACACAUGUUGGGUUUCUGUACAGCCUCGAACUUAUUUUGCACCAAUCUGUUUCGCAGAAAUUGUGUGGUCAUCAUAAAUUUCACUCCAUAUCCCCAUCAAUCCAUCUCAAGAGCAACCCAACUACGGUUGGUCAAAAUUAGAAGGGAAAUUACGAAGAUCAUGGGUGAAAUUCAUUCAUCUUAGAACUUGUUGGUGCAACAACAGAAUCAAGCAGACUCAGCAAGUAUCUUGUCGAGCAAGCCUCGAAACUUGCUGAGCAAACAAACAAUUUCGAGUUAAAGAAAGAAGAGAAUAAGCUGGGGAAAUUUGAGAGAAUAUUGAUGUACAAAACUGAUUUGAUUCAUACAAAAAAAACAAUGGCUUGAAGCCAGUACAUAACUCAAGCAUAAGGCUUGUCAAAAUCAACAAGUAAUUACCUACCUCCACUAAUUACAUAGAAACUUGAAAUCUUAGCUUGUAAACUUAUACAAAACUGUGUUUACAGCUCAUACAUAAGCUAAUUACAUCAAUCAGAAAGCUAACUUAGUUAGAAAUGAACUAACNNNNNNNNNNNNNNNNNNNNNNNNNNNNNNNNNNNNNNNNNNNNNNNNNNNNNNNNNNNNNNNNNNNNNNNNNNNNNNNNNNNNNNNNNNNNNNNNNNNNUCAUUGCAACAAUGCAAGAACCUUGAGAGCAAUCCUACAGCAUACAUUAUGUCUGGUCUAGUGGCAGUUAAGUAUAGCAAACAACCAACUAGACUCCUGUAGGUAGUUUCACAUACCUUCUCAAAGUCUCCUUGGCUCGAUAGUUUUUCUCCAACAGCAACAGGUGUUUUAGUUGGUUUGCUGUUUUGCAUGGAGAACUUGGUCAGAAUCUUUGUGGCAAAGCUCUUCUGACUUAAAAAUAUCCCAUUCUGUGCUUGAGUCACCUCCAUUCCAAGAAAAUAGGACAUCUCCCCAAGAUCAGACAUUUCAACACUCUUGCAUCUUGGUCUUGAAAUUAACCAGCACUGCUCGAUCUCCUCCUGUCACCAGCAGGUCAUCAACAUAUAGGGACACAAUGAGUUGUGUUUGUGUCCCUUGCUUCUUAACAUACAGUGUUGGCUCACUCUUGCUUCGAUUGAAUCCUAGAUCAGUCAAGUAUCCAUCGAUUCUGCUGUACCAGGCCCUUGGAGCCUGUUUUAAGCCAUAUAGGGCCUUCUUCAAUUUGUAGACCAUAUGCUCUCUCCCAGCUGUUUCAAACCCUUGUGGUUGUUCAACAUAGAUGUCUUCAUCUAAAAAACCAUUCAGAAAGGCUGAUUUCACAUCGAGUUGAUGAAUUUUCCAUUCGAGCUGGGCUGCUAAGGCAAUCAGCAGUCUGAUGGUGUCGAGCCUGGCCACUGGUGCAAAGGUCUCCAGGUAGUCCAAGCCAUACCUCUGACUGAACCCCUUGACAACCAACCUUGCUUUCAAUUUGUUCAAGGUUCCAUCAGCAUUCUGCUUGGCUUUGUACACCCAUUUCACCCCAAUCACCUUCCUUUUGACUGGCCUUUCAACCAAUUCCCAGGUCUGGUUCUUCUCAAUCAUGCUGAUCUCCUCAGCCAUUGCCUGCUUCCACUCUUGCUGAGCUUCAGCCUCUUCAAAGUUACUUGGUUCAGCUAUGGCUAUAUGAGCCCUUUGAUAAAUCUCAGUCAUUGAUCUUGUUCCUCUGACUGGUUCAUCAUCAAUGUCCAUUUCAGGAACACUUUGUUCUGGCUCAGCUUGUUUUGCUGUAAGUUCUUCAGAAACUUCCUCAGGUUCAUGCCUUUCCCAGUUCCAACAUGACCUUUCAUCAAAUACCACAUCCCUGCUUACUGACACUUUGUUUGUUGAAGGAUCCAAGAUCCUAUAGCCCUUCUUAACAGUGCUGUAGCCCACCAGAAGACCAGGUCGAGCCCUUUCAGACAAUUUGUCUCUUUUAACAGCAGGUACAUGUGUGUAACAUAUGCAUCCAAAGACCUUCAGAUGAGCCAGUGAUGGCUUGAAGCCAAACCAGGCCUCGAAUGGAGUCUUCUGAUCCAAAGCCUUGGUUGGAAGUCUAUUUUGAAUGUAUGUUGCAGUGUUAACUGCUUCUGCCCAUAGUGCUUUAGGCAGAUUCUUCUGAAUCAUUAAGCACCUGGCCAUAUCCAUUAAGCUCCUAUUCUUCCUUUCACUUACACCAUUCUGUUGAGGUGUAUAAGUGUUGGUAAGCUGGUGUUUGAUGCCUGCCUUAUCACAGAAGGCUUGGAACUGAGCUGAGGUGUACUCAGUCCCAUUAUCAGACCUUAUGGUCUUAAGCUUGCAGCCUGUUUCUGUCUCAGCAGCAGUUUUAAACUUCCAAAACACAGUGGCCACUUCUGAUUUCUGUUUUAAGAAGUAAAGCCAGCAAUAUCUAGAGAAAUCAUCAAUAAACAGUAUGAAAUACCUGUUUCCACUUAGUGACUCAGUCCUCAUAGGGCCACACACAUCAGUGUGCACCAGUUGGAGUUUUUCAGAGGCUCUCCAGGCUUGAUUCAUGGGAAAUGGCAAUCUGGCCUGUUUUCCUAGCUGACACACUUCACACACAUCAUCAUGGUCCACUGAGUUGAUGAAGUUUUCAGCCAGGUCUUCUCUGACCAUUCGGGCCAUCGAUCUGAAGUUGGCAUGUCCCAGCCUUUGAUGCCACAACUUAGAUUCAUCUGAUGUGGCUGUGUAGGCAAUGUCUGACUUCUUUGUCCAGUCAACCACAAGCUCUUAUCAGCCAUAGGGACUGCCAUCAGUUUGGAUCCACUUGGAUCAUUGAUUUGGCACUGCUUGUCCUUGAACACCACAGAGUAACCUUUCUCUAGCAAUUGAGCUAUGCUGAGUAGGUUUCUGUCAAUUUCAGGCACCAGGAGCACAUUUGAGAUCAUUUUGGCACCUGUGGGAGUGCAUAUCAGCACAUCACCUUUGCCUUCAGCUUGAAUAAAGUGCCCAUUACCAAUUUUGACUUUGGUUUUACAGUUUCUGUCUAAAAACUUGAAGAUUGCAGCAUCAGGUGUCAUGUGAUUGGUGCAUCCACUGUCUAGGAGCCAACCAGAUGAGAGCCUUUCCUGAGCAGCUGAGCAUGACACAGCAAAGACUUGCUCCUCUUGGUCACUGUCCUCCUUAGCUACUCGAGCCUCAGCUUUCAUCUGUUGAGACUGGUUCUGUCUUGAUUUGGUCUUGCUCUUGCAAACUCUCUCAACAUGACCCUUCUUCUUACAAUGCUGACACACAACAUCUGGAUUGAACCAGCAUUUUUCUUCUGGAUGACCAGCCCUUCUGCAGUGCUUGCAAGUUUGACCUUCUCUUCUCGCAGCAUCAUUCUUUGGCUUGUCUCUCCAGGCCUUCUUGCCUUUAUAGGCAGUAUUUGUCCUUGCCUGAAAGGCACCUUCUUGAUGCUCUUCCAGUCUACUUGCUCUCCUCUGCUCUUGAGCAUAUAGAGCAUUGAUCAACUCAGUCAGGGGAAUGGUGGACAGAUCCCUUGAGUCCUCGAGAGAUGAGAUUUUUGCCUCAUACCUCUCAGGCAGAGUUGCUAUUACUUUCUCCACUAUCCUAGCUUCAUUAAACUGCUCUCCAAGGAGCCUGAUGCUAUUAACCACAGCCAUAAUCCUGUCAGAAUAUUGCUUGACAGUUUCUUCUUCCUUCAUCUUUAAAUUCUCGAAAUCUCUCCUCAAAUUCAGUAACUGUUGCUGCCUUGUCCUCUCUGUCCCUUGAAACUCUUCUUGCAACUUAUCCCAGGCCUGUUUUGGUGAUUCACAGGCCAUAAUCCUUGUGAAAAUCACAUCUGACACUGAGUUCUGAAUGCAAGACAUGGCCUUGUGCCUCUUGGUCCUCUCAUCAGCAUGCUGCCUGAUCUGAGCCACUGUUGGAUUGCCUCUAAGUGGUUCUGGUUCAACAUCUGAGUUGACCACCUCCCACAGAUCAUANNNNNNNNNNNNNNNNNNNNNNNNNNNNNNNNNNNNNNNNNNNNNNNNNNNNNNNNNNNNNNNNNNNNNNNNNNNNNNNNNNNNNNNNNNNNNNNNNNNNNNNNNNNNNNNNNNNNNNNNNNNNNNNNNNNNNNNNNNNNNNNNNNNNNNNNNNNNNNNNNNNNNNNNNNNNNNNNNNNNNNNNNNNNNNNNNNNNNNNNNNNNNNNNNNNNNNNNNNNNNNNNNNNNNNNNNNNNNNNNNNNNNNNNNNNNNNNNNNNNNNNNNNNNNNNNNNNNNNNNNNNNNNNNNNNNNNNNNNNNNNNNNNNNNNNNNNNNNNNNNNNNNNNNNNNNNNNNNNNNNNNNNNNNNNNNNNNNNNNNNNNNNNNNNNNNNNNNNNNNNNNNNNNNNNNNNNNNNNNNNNNNNNNNNNNNNNNNNNNNNNNNNNNNNNNNNNNNNNNNNNNNNNNNNNNNNNNNNNNNNNNNNNNNNNNNNNNNNNNNNNNNNNNNNNNNNNNNNNNNNNNNNNNNNNNNNNNNNNNNNNNNNNNNNNNNNNNNNNNNNNNNNNNNNNNNNNNNNNNNNNNNNNNNNNNNNNNNNNNNNNNNNNNNNNNNNNNNNNNNNNNNNNNNNNNNNNNNNNNNNNNNNNNNNNNNNNNNNNNNNNNNNNNNNNNNNNNNNNNNNNNNNNNNNNNNNNNNNNNNNNNNNNNNNNNNNNNNNNNNNNNNNNNNNNNNNNNNNNNNNNNNNNNNNNNNNNNNNNNNNNNNNNNNNNNNNNNNNNNNNNNNNNNNNNNNNNNNNNNNNNNNNNNNNNNNNNNNNNNNNNNNNNNNNNNNNNNNNNNNNNNNNNNNNNNNNNNNNNNNNNNNNNNNNNNNNNNNNNNNNNNNNNNNNNNNNNNNNNNNNNNNNNNNNNNNNNNNNNNNNNNNNNNNNNNNNNNNNNNNNNNNNNNNNNNNNNNNNNNNNNNNNNNNNNNNNNNNNNNNNNNNNNNNNNNNNNNNNNNNNNNNNNNNNNNNNNNNNNNNNNNNNNNNNNNNNNNNNNNNNNNNNNNNNNNNNNNNNNNNNNNNNNNNNNNNNNNNNNNNNNNNNNNNNNNNNNNNNNNNNNNNNNNNNNNNNNNNNNNNNNNNNNNNNNNNNNNNNNNNNNNNNNNNNNNNNNNNNNNNNNNNNNNNNNNNNNNNNNNNNNNNNNNNNNNNNNNNNNNNNNNNNNNNNNNNNNNNNNNNNNNNNNNNNNNNNNNNNNNNNNNNNNNNNNNNNNNNNNNNNNNNNNNNNNNNNNNNNNNNNNNNNNNNNNNNNNNNNNNNNNNNNNNNNNNNNNNNNNNNNNNNNNNNNNNNNNNNNNNNNNNNNNNNNNNNNNNNNNNNNNNNNNNNNNNNNNNNNNNNNNNNNNNNNNNNNNNNNNNNNNNNNNNNNNNNNNNNNNNNNNNNNNNNNNNNNNNNNNNNNNNNNNNNNNNNNNNNNNNNNNNNNNNNNNNNNNNNNNNNNNNNNNNNNNNNNNNNNNNNNNNNNNNNNNNNNNNNNNNNNNNNNNNNNNNNNNNNNNNNNNNNNNNNNNNNNNNNNNNNNNNNNNNNNNNNNNNNNNNNNNNNNNNNNNNNNNNNNNNNNNNNNNNNNNNNNNNNNNNNNNNNNNNNNNNNNNNNNNNNNNNNNNNNNNNNNNNNNNNNNNNNNNNNNNNNNNNNNNNNNNNNNNNNNNNNNNNNNNNNNNNNNNNNNNNNNNNNNNNNNNNNNNNNNNNNNNNNNNNNNNNNNNNNNNNNNNNNNNNNNNNNNNNNNNNNNNNNNNNNNNNNNNNNNNNNNNNNNNNNNNNNNNNNNNNNNNNNNNNNNNNNNNNNNNNNNNNNNNNNNNNNNNNNNNNNNNNNNNNNNNNNNNNNNNNNNNNNNNNNNNNNNNNNNNNNNNNNNNNNNNNNNNNNNNNNNNNNNNNNNNNNNNNNNNNNNNNNNNNNNNNNNNNNNNNNNNNNNNNNNNNNNNNNNNNNNNNNNNNNNNNNNNNNNNNNNNNNNNNNNNNNNNNNNNNNNNNNNNNNNNNNNNNNNNNNNNNNNNNNNNNNNNNNNNNNNNNNNNNNNNNNNNNNNNNNNNNNNNNNNNNNNNNNNNNNNNNNNNNNNNNNNNNNNNNNNNNNNNNNNNNNNNNNNNNNNNNNNNNNNNNNNNNNNNNNNNNNNNNNNNNNNNNNNNNNNNNNNNNNNNNNNNNNNNNNNNNNNNNNNNNNNNNNNNNNNNNNNNNNNNNNNNNNNNNNNNNNNNNNNNNNNNNNNNNNNNNNNNNNNNNNNNNNNNNNNNNNNNNNNNNNNNNNNNNNNNNNNNNNNNNNNNNNNNNNNNNNNNNNNNNNNNNNNNNNNNNNNNNNNNNNNNNNNNNNNNNNNNNNNNNNNNNNNNNNNNNNNNNNNNNNNNNNNNNNNNNNNNNNNNNNNNNNNNNNNNNNNNNNNNNNNNNNNNNNNNNNNNNNNNNNNNNNNNNNNNNNNNNNNNNNNNNNNNNNNNNNNNNNNNNNNNNNNNNNNNNNNNNNNNNNNNNNNNNNNNNNNNNNNNNNNNNNNNNNNNNNNNNNNNNNNNNNNNNNNNNNNNNNNNNNNNNNNNNNNNNNNNNNNNNNNNNNNNNNNNNNNNNNNNNNNNNNNNNNNNNNNNNNNNNNNNNNNNNNNNNNNNNNNNNNNNNNNNNNNNNNNNNNNNNNNNNNNNNNNNNNNNNNNNNNNNNNNNNNNNNNNNNNNNNNNNNNNNNNNNNNNNNNNNNNNNNNNNNNNNNNNNNNNNNNNNNNNNNNNNNNNNNNNNNNNNNNNNNNNNNNNNNNNNNNNNNNNNNNNNNNNNNNNNNNNNNNNNNNNNNNNNNNNNNNNNNNNNNNNNNNNNNNNNNNNNNNNNNNNNNNNNNNNNNNNNNNNNNNNNNNNNNNNNNNNNNNNNNNNNNNNNNNNNNNNNNNNNNNNNNNNNNNNNNNNNNNNNNNNNNNNNNNNNNNNNNNNNNNNNNNNNNNNNNNNNNNNNNNNNNNNNNNNNNNNNNNNNNNNNNNNNNNNNNNNNNNNNNNNNNNNNNNNNNNNNNNNNNNNNNNNNNNNNNNNNNNNNNNNNNNNNNNNNNNNNNNNNNNNNNNNNNNNNNNNNNNNNNNNNNNNNNNNNNNNNNNNNNNNNNNNNNNNNNNNNNNNNNNNNNNNNNNNNNNNNNNNNNNNNNNNUGUGAUAGCCUUCUCCAUUGAAUACUUGAGGUGCAGCUGGUGAAAAGCUUGAUGAAGCCAUGGUUUUGUAUAACAGGUCCCUUAAGAAAUAAGCUCUAGAUACCAAUUGUUGGUGCAACAACAGAAUCAAGCAGACUCAGCAAGUAUCUUGUCGAGCAAGCCUCGAAACUUGCUGAGCAAACAAACAAUUUCGAGUUAAAGAAAGAAGAGAAUAAGCUGGGGAAAUUUGAGAGAAUAUUGAUGUACAAAACUGAUUUGAUUCAUACAAAAAAAACAAUGGCUUGAAGCCAGUACAUAACUCAAGCAUAAGGCUUGUCAAAAUCAACAAGUAAUUACCUACCUCCACUAAUUACAUAGAAACUUGAAAUCUUAGCUUGUAAACUUAUACAAAACUGUGUUUACAGCUCAUACAUAAGCUAAUUACAUCAAUCAGAAAGCUAACUUAGUUAGAAAUGAACUAACACUCAUUUCAUCAACUAAAUAUAACAAAAUGAACAAAAUGAGCUUGCAUCAGCAGCCCUUGCAUCUGUUCCAGCUUUGCUUGGUCUUCAUGGCCUGUAUGGAAUCGAGUGUUGGCUUCAUGCUGACCAACUUCAACAGAACUUAUACGUGUUGGUUGUUAAACCUCAACAAACCAGCAAAUACCAUAAUUUUUGUUCUUAUCGUCCAUUGCAGCACCUAUGGGUUUCUUCAUCUUUAAUUCUGGUAAAGAAGACGGGAUUUUUAUAGCUUCAAUUGUUUUAUCAAACCCAUAGUCCUCAUCUUUUACAAUCUUCUUCACCACUCUCCCUACUUCCUUCUUUGUUUCUUCCCUUGUUUUUACUGACUCCUUUUUCUCAGCCGUUGAAACAAAAUGGUAGUUUCUUUAGGAACAGAAAGGAACAAGAUUUUGAUACCCAAUGAAGAGAAACAAAGAUGAAAUCUUUCUAAGAACUAUGAAAAAGAAAAAGGUUGAAAAAGGAGUCUGAUCUAAUGCAUUUUCUUAUACUUUCUUUCUAGGAUUCUAACUAGGAAGAGAGAAGCAAAAUAAGUAAAUGAAAAAUGGGAGUGAAUUUCGUUAAAAAAUAGUAUUCGUAUAUAAAAUAGGGUAUUUUACUAAAAAAAAGUCCAUUUCUAACUAAAAUAAAUUAAUUAAAUGUAUAGAGUUUUCAAAAUUUCACCAUAAAUAUUUCUUCUCCUAAGCUGCAAAAUAUGUUCAGCUUUUAUUGCAUUACAUUUUAUAUAAUUUAAAAAAAUCUAAUUUAUUGUUUGCUUGAAAUCCAAAAAUAUUAAGAACUGGCCUGAAAAUUAGUAGAACAUAAUUGAGUAAUGACCGGACAAUAGGAGUCAUUUGCAAGUAUGCAUGGCAAGACUAAGUCAAAGACUCCAUUUGGUAAAAACCCAUGCGUACUAUCGUUUCUUUGUUAGUUCUACACUAAAAACAUAUAAUUCCUAAUUAGAAAAUAAAAUGAGCUUUGUCUCUAAAUGUGUUGUUAUACACUCAAUGUCGAGCUUUUCGGAGUUUUGGAGGGAUUUAAAUUUAUUUAGAUAUUAGGUUCUCAAUAGAUUAUGCUUAAAAUGAAUAAUAUAACUAUAAUCUAAUUUAUUCAAGAUGAUCAAUUGAGUUUCAUCAUUCAGUUAUGUUACGAACCAUUAAAGGAAUUAUUCAAUGUGUUUAGAUGAUUAGGGUGAUACAUGUACAUGUAUUCAAAUAGGUUAGCUGAGUAGUCGAUGGAUCGGAAACAAAGAUAUUUUCAAGGCGUCUAGGCAUGUAUAUAUGCAACCCUUGAAUAAAAUUUUUCAAAAAUUAAAUUAUUAUUGCUCUGAAAUGACUUGACCCGACUUAAUCUAAUUAUGAAUUUAUUUUUGUUCAUGUAAAAAUAAAAAAGAAAGAUAAUAAAUUUAAAUAAUUAAAGAUAAAAUAAAAAUUAAUUAUGUAAAUCACUAAUAAAUAGAAUUUAAUUUUGGACUUAAAAAACUAUAUGCUCAUUGCAUUUCAAUUGGUUGGACAAACUUUGAAAGUGUAAAGGAUUAAAAAGUAGGUAAUAUUAUAAGACAUUUUAACUUAUCUGUGACCAUCAUUUUCAAUCAACCCAAAGUAAAUUUCAGAAGAACCCCACACUGUUUAUCAUCAAAAUUUCCACCCAUAAGUCAUAAGUGGUGCCCAUCAAUCCAUCUCAUGCAGUAUUGAUCGGGCAAACAGACUUAACUAUUUUUUAAACUGUUAACAUUAGUAUUUUUAAAUUUCUUUUUCCAAAGGUGCCUACAGCCUACAUUGUUAAAUUUCUUUAACAAUAGUAAUUUACUCUACAGUAUGGACACAACUUUCAAAAUACCAACGCUAUGGAUUCCAAGGUGCCUACUGCCUACAUUGUUUUCUCCUCCACAUUUCUAUAUCAUUUCGUUGAUACUGCCUUUUUUUGCUCUUCUCACAUGCUUAAGAUAUACUGGGUUGGGGGUCUUCUAGUUGGGGUUUGAAAAUUACAUCUACCUAAUGCUUUGAUUCUAAGGGAAUGGCUGCUUUUCAUUACGUCUUCUCUGCUAUUCAUUCCUCUCUACGUGUCCAGUAGGAAGCAAAGUUGGACUAAUUCUAUAUCCAUCUUUUUUCUAACUUUUUUUAUUUCUUUAUACAAUACUUGACCUUCAAAUAUUUUACUCUACUUGUGACUUCCACUUUAUCCUUGUUAAUUUCCUACUUAUUUUCACAAUUUUUGCUUUUGAUUUUGAUUUUGAUUUUGCGGUUUUAAAUAAAAUAUAAGUGGUAAGAUAGGAGAAUCAUGAGGGCGAAGGUCAAGAUACGGUACAGACUGUAUAAGAAAAAUCUUAUGGUUUAAACAGAGAAAAACAAAGGACAAAGCAAGAAAGGAAUAAAUAGAAUGAAUUAAAAUAUUUGCUGGUACUCCAUUUUCUUUUUCGAGUUUAAAAUUAUGGUGUUGGAUAAUAUUUAAAUUAAUAUAUUUUGACUAUAAUUGGUAGCAGAUAUGAAAGAAAAAAUUAAGACUAGGGCUAAUAAAAUCUCAUAUUAUCAUUUUCCAAAAUUUAAAAAAAAUUAAAAAAUUGCAAGUUAAACUAAUUUAAGGAUUUAAUUAAAAUAUUUUAAAAAAUUUCUAUACUUUUUUCCUUAAUUUUGUAGUUUUCCAUGAGUACAAAUAAGAGUUUAUUCAUUUUGGAUCCAGGUCCCUAUUGGAAAAUUAAAAUACUCCACCACUAUUGGAACAUUAUUUAUUUAUUAGUCCAAAAUAUAUAUAAUUUCUAAUUAGAAAUUCUUGGAAAAUUAAAAUGCUCCACCACUAUUGGAAUAUUAUUCAUAUAGAAUAAAGAUGAAGAAAAAAAAGACCGAAACAUUGAAAUUAAUAUGACUAAUAAAACCAAUAAAAUCUCAUAAUCCCAAAUUAAAAUUAACAAAAUGACAAAAGAAAGAUGUAAAGCAAAUUAAGUGUGAAUGGGACAUAAGACUAGGAAUAAAUGAUUCAUGCUUUAUGACUAAGAGGUUUAAUAUAUAUAUAUAAAUCUAUUAUAUAAUAAGGGUAAAGUUGACCAUCAAAUCACUCAAAUUUGAUUUCAAUAACAAAAAAAUUUAUUCAAUUUUCGACUAAUCAUUCAAUUUUCAAAAAAUACCAAAUCAGUAUUUGUAACACCCCCUAACCCCAAACCGUCGCCGGAACAGGGUUACGAGGCAUUACCAGACAUAUCAAACAGUUUACGAAUAAUUCAUAAUAAAAUAACAAUUGUAAUAUAAUUGUAUAACUAAAUCCAUAUAAUAAACUUUUGAAGUUCAAAACAUGAAUGAAAAAGUGAAAUGAAACUCGUUCAAAUACUCCGAGGUUUUUUUUUUUUUAAAAUUUCGGCAGCAUUUCGGCUUAUUUUUGCAUAAUACCUCCUGCAAUUAAAACCAUAGUAUUUCCAAUCUCAACCAAUCCAACCAAUUCAUUUCACAUUCUCAAUUCCUAUUCUAAUUACCUUCUAAUCAACUUAAUCAACAUAACAUCAAUUUAAAUUUAACAAUGUAAUAAAUUAAAUAAAGAUCGAUAAACUUCUUUCAUUAUAAUUCAUAAACUUAUACUACUAACAUUUUUAAUCAUUCAUACUAAAACAUAAUAACCUUUAUACACAUCCUAUGUACAUGCCACAUUACUAAAGAAAAUAUACAUCACCAAAGUUUGCUAAAGUCGGGUCUGGCUUUGGAUGCUGGUUCAGUGCUUGACUUCUACAACCUGCGCACGGAAACAACCGUACGCUGAGUAUGCAUAUACUCAGUGGUAUCACUAUAAUCCAAUUUAUAAUUAAAUACAUUAAAUCACACACAUACUUUUUAUUACAAUUAUCACUACUAAUAAACAAUUCAAUCAUUUAAUAUUAUCAAUUAAUUAUAUAUAUUUAUAAACAUCAUUCUUAUUUCUUUAUUUCAAAUUUCACCUUUUACAUAUACCAUAUCAUUUAAGUAGUAAACUUAUUUCNNNNNNNNNNNNNNNNNNNNNNNNNNNNNNNNNNNNNNNNNNNNNNNNNNNNNNNNNNNNNNNNNNNNNNNNNNNNNNNNNNNNNNNNNNNNNNNNNNNNUUGACUCGGACUCGACGGAUACACGGAUUCCAACCAAACACACCAGUAUACAGUAAUCAAUAACAGUAACAGUAACAGUAUUCAACACACAAAGUGUUGAACCUGUAACAGUAACGGUAACAGUAUUCGACACACAAAGUGCCGAGUCAGUAACAGUAACAGUAUUCGACACACAAAGUGCCGAAUCAGUAACAGUAACAGUAGUCGGCACAUAAGUGCCUGAUCAGUAAGCCGGCAAAUACCCCGUACACUUCCAUAUCCUAUGGCAUGCCAACUAUAUCCGACUAGCCCGACUAGUUAAUAGGGUAUUUAAUUCACUUUUCAGUAUAAAUUUCCAUCUUAAUUCAGUAUCAAUUAUAAUUCCUUAAUUCAAUCGGUUUCACAGUAUUACAGUAAUUCUUUACUUCAGUAAUUUCACAAUUCAAUGCAUUAUACAUAACAAUAUUCAGUAUUUUCACAAUUCAUUCAGUAAUCAAAACAAUAUCCAGUAUCCCAUAAUUCGGUUCAGUAUCAGUUUCAAUUUCAUUACUACAUUAUAAAUUUAUUAUUUAUUACACACUUACCUUAAAAUACUUACCACACAUAAUUAGCAAAUUAAACACUUAAUAAUAAUAAAGUUUGAAUUAUAGUGAUACAAACUGUAAUUCUCGUGUCUAUUCCUCGUCUACUUUUUCCUUUCCUUUCCUCGUGGAUGCCUCGGGUGCAAUAUUAGCUACGAAAAAAAAUAAUAAUUUAUACUAUUAAUUACAGCACUAAUUAUAAUAAAUAAUUAAAUUUCUAUUCAAUUUCUUCCUUAUUCUCAAUUUAAUCCUAAUUAAAUUCACUUACUUUCCUAAUUCAAUUCACACUCUAUUUCUAUUCAAACUUCAUCCAAACUCAAAUUUAACUAUCAAAAUUUCAGCAUAUUUUCCAAAUUUCGAAUUUUCCUCAAUUUAGUCCCUAAAACAUAAAACUUAUAGUUUCUUUUACAAUUUAAUCCCUUUUUCAAUUCUAACUUAAAAUUCAUGCUAUUUAAUCCCUAAUUCAUCUCUUUUGUUCAACAUAAACUAUACUUGAAAACCUAUGAACUUACAAAACAUCAACUUAAUCCCAUCAAAACUUUGUUUUAAAGCUUUUAAAACAUUAGAAUUAAGAGAAAAGGGCUAAUUUGACUUACCAAAUUAAAUUUCAAGCUUCAAAAACCCUAUUUUCCCUAUUUUCUUCUUUUUCUUCUUUCUCCCCUGUUUCUCCCCUGUUUCGUCUCUUCUAUUCUGUUUCUUUCCUUUCUUUUGCUUUGUUUUUAUUUCAUUUUAUUUCAUUUACUUUAUAUUAUAUUAAUUAAUUAUAAAUAUUACAAAUGUAUGUAUUUUAUUAGUACACUUGCAUUAAAUCAUUACCAUACACUUGUUUCAAUCUAACUAGCUUAUCAAAUAAAAAUCUCAUAAUAUUAUUAUUUAAUUAACAAUUAUCUUUUACUAAAUUUUCAAGUAAAUAAAUAAAUAUAAUACACUUGUAUUUUAUUUUUACCACACACUUGACAAAAUCAUAAUUUAUUAUUACCCAAAAAUCUUAUACUAAUUAUUUAAUUACUAAAUAUCUUUUAAUUUAAUAAUAACUAAUAACUAAUAAUAAAUAAUAAAUAUCAUUAAUUAUAUAAUAAACAAAUAAAUUCUUAAAUUUUAUUCCUUUAUGCCGCCUCAAUCAUUUUAAAUGGCUUAAUUGCCAUUUUAGCCCUUUUUACUUUCUUUUAAUCUAUGAUUAGAUUUUCACUUCUAUUGUAAUUUAAUCCCUUUUGCUAAUUACUCUUAAUUGAGCCAAAUUCACCUAUCUAAAACCUAAUUAAACACACAACUAAUCUCGUAAGUAUUUCUAAUAAUUAUUUAUGACUCAGUUUACUAAGACGGAGGCCCGAUAAUACACACUUUUCUGGUGCCCACAGAUUUUGGGUCGUUACAGUAUUACUAAUUAUUUUUCGUUAUAGAUAUAACGAAAAUGUGACCUGUCAUUUAACCGGUCACGUUGGAAUCAUUAUUGUCAUUUAAUUGACCAUGUUGGAGGGUUUAUUGUCAUUUAAACAACCCCAAUUAAGAACCCUAGCUAGGAAGAAGAAGAAGAAGAAGAAGCCAAUUUCCUUGUAAGAGCCCAAUUUUCCUCGGGCCUAAUAAUAAAACAAUAGCAGAAAGAUAACAGUCCAUUUAUAUGGCUUGAGAGCCCAAAAAAUUAUUACAGGCCCAAAUACAAAGAGAGACCUAAUGGCCUAAAAUCCUAAUCUAUCAGCAGAAACCCUAGUUGCCCUAACCCCAAGUCGUGCCGCUCCCCGGCAUGUCAGCAGAAGCAAUGCCCAAAACCUUCCCCUUGCACCAAAACGACAGCAGCAACCUCAUUGACUUCCACCGCCUCUGCAAGAAACACAGAAAAGGAAAAGAAGCAGAAACAAGCAAUCGAAAAAAACAUAUAUUAUAAUAUUAUUUUAGUUAUAAAAACCGAUCUUUGUAACACGAAAAGGGGGACCGAAUACAUUGAAAUAAAAAAAUGAAAUCGAAAUACAAACAAAUAUAUUAGAAUAAUCGAAAUAAAAAUACCACAAAGUUCAAAAAGGUAACAUUUUAUUGUUUAUUAUUAUUUUAUUUUGAUUCUUCUCUUUUCGAAACAAAAAAAAGAGAGAGAAACUUUACUUGUUUUUCACUGUCAUCGGAGGUCCCCUCCGACUCGAGAAGACUCAGACCCCUUAGGGCCCAUGGAAGGCAUCGUAGGAGAGAGUAGAAAUCAAAAGGUUUCUCCCAUUUUUUAGGAUUUUGGCUAAGUUUUCAGCGAUUCUGACUCCAGAUUAUCAAUCUACGCUGAAAAGGAUUCAGGGGAAAUUUUGAUCUUCGGCCAUCGGAGGUGACAGUCUCCGUCACCUGUGACCGAUAGCCACAGCAAGGACUUAUUGGCCUCGUGGCCAGACUUGAACCCACUUCAGAAACCCUAAAACGACGUUGAUUUGACUAAUUUUCUUAUGGAUAUGUUUGACUAUUUUCAUGAACAUCGCAAACACAUUUAUUUAGUUUAUAUGAAUAAACGUGAACACAAAUAGACAAAAAAAAUAAACUGACGGAUCAAACUUGAUUCAUAAACAAAACCAAAGAUAUGAGAAAAAAUUCUAGUGGCAGACUCCCUGUUUAUAAAUCUCCUGAACCAAAUACAGUUGUUGAAUCUAGAUAGUUAGCCUACAGGUUUGGAAUUCGUAUUUGGAUUCUAAUCCUUAGCUUUCUUGCAUUUAGUUUCGUACAAGAAAGAUAAAAAAAAAUAGAAGAAGAAGAAGACGAAACAAAAGUAGAAUUAGGAGGGUUUUUAUUUUUUAAUUGGAGGUUUAUGGACAUUUUCUAUGUGAAAAGUUGCUAUAAAAUGUUUAAGAAAUAGUUUUUUUAGUUUCCUUCUGUUUUUUUAUUUGUUAUUUUUUUUUCAUAAUAUGUUUGAGUUUGAUAUUUAAUCAUUAGAAUUAAAAAUUCAAUUCUCUACUAAUAAAUCAAAUAAUUGUUUGUUUUUAGUGUUAUUUUUGAGCUUUUAUGAAUUUGUAUUUUACCUGUGUUUAUACUGGUGACAGGUCAAAAUUAUAGACUAUAUAAAAAACAUUAUGGUGUGAAAUUGUUUGAUUUAAAUUAAAAAAUUAAACAUGUUAAAUUAAAAUAUUAUUAAAAUAUAAUUAAUAUUUGAAAUCAUAAAUAUUUGAAAACUGUUUCAAAGCAAAAUAAUAAUAAAAAUUAUUAUAAUUUUUACAUAAUAUAAAUUUUAGUAAUUUUAUGAAUAUUUUGAUUUUAAAAUUUAUUUUAAUUAUUUUAUAAUUUUUGUUGAGAGAGAUUAAUUUGUUAAUUUUUAAAGUUGAUAGGAAUCAAAGGAGUAUAUCAAUCUGUUGUUUGAAUUAUUUGAGUUGUUUAAAUUAUAAAAUUUAACUCGAAUCUUGAAUUAUAUAUACUUUUAAUAAUAAUUAAAUAAUAAUAUAGAAAUGAAAAUAUUUCUUACGCUCUAAGAAAGUUUGAAAGCUGAAAUUUAAAGAUGUUUCUUUCAAAAGUGAAAAAUUAUAUAUAUUCUAUCAUCAAAAUUUCCACUCAUUGUGUCCAUCAAUCUAUAAGGUGACUUGACUUGUACACAUUGGUUGACCGUUGUUUUUGUGCAAUAAAAACUUGGACAUUUGUAUGCAAUGCCAAAGACUUAAGGCUUAAAAGGCUAUCAUUUUUUUUGGUCCUAAAUUAAAGAUUUUAAAAUUUUUAAAUUAAAAUGUUACACAUAAUUUGAGAACUUAAUUAAAACAUUGUAAAGUUUAGAGUUUAAUUUAAAAUUCGAUGUAUAAUUUUAAGAUGUAAGGUGAAUUAAUCAUUUGAUAAAUCAUUACAUAUUUACAAGUUGGAUACUCAUUAACAAAUUGAUUUUAUAUUAUAAGUUCAAUUUUAUAUUUUUGGUCUUUUAUAUUUUUGAUAAAGUGCUAUAAUUUAGUCUUUUUUAACGACUUUGAUUUAGACGAUUAUUUAUAUAGAGUAAGGAGUGGGCAAGAAAACUACAACCUUGGCAUUAAUAAGUUAAUGAGAUUGAUAAAAUAUUAAAAUCUCAUUUCUUCAAAAUUAAAAUUAACAAAAACGAAAGACGUAAAAGGCAAAUUAAGUGUGAAUUUAACAACUUAUUUCUAAUACUAGCAAUAAAUAAUUUAUGCUAACAGCUUUACAUAAUAAAUUAUUAUCCCUUGCUUUUGCAUGUUGGAAAAAUUUACCAAAAAGAAUUAACUAAAGUGGUGGAACAGUAUUUUGAUGGAGUCUUGAUUUGGCAAAAUGACUUAGAAAUUGCAUGGCAUGCAUUGCCAAUCACUCAUAAACAUUGUUCCAUGGAAACUACACACUUGUGUAUAAAUAAGUUGUAUGCCAAACACAAUCCUCAUUCACGCCCACCCAACAUGAACACCCUUCAUUCCCUUAUUUCUUCACUCUUUCUCUUCUCAUGCUUCCUUCCUCUUCUCUUGUCUUUUUCACCUCCUCAAACUCAUCUCCCAAUGCAAUGCCUUGAUGACCAGAGAGCUCCACUCCUGCAAUUGCAGCAUCAUCUUUACUAUGCCCCUAAUUUUACUUUCUCUUCCAAAUUUGACCUCUGGGAUGUCAACACUGAUUGUUGUUCUUGGGAAGGAGUCACUUGUGAUGCUUAUGGUCAUGUCGUUGGCAUUGAUCUUAGUUACAGAAACCUUUCAGGCAGCUUCCACUCCAUAUUCAAUCUCCAUCGUCUUCAACGCCUUAAUCUUGCUGGAAACAACUUUAAUACCACUCUGUUUUCCUAUGGGUUUCACAAACUCCAAAAUCUAACCCAUCUCAAUCUUUCAAGCUCAUGUUUCCAUGGCCAAAUUCCAGUGGAGACCUCAUUCUUAAAAAGGUUAGUCUCUCUUGAUCUAUCCAAUCAAGAUUCUUAUUAUUUUAGAUAUUACAAAGUUCUCUACCCUGGCUUCUACAACUAUUACGAACCUCAACAGCCUCUUAAAUUAGAGAAUCCAAACUUCAAGACAUUAAUCAAGAAUUUGAGGUUUCUCACAGAGCUUUAUUUGGAUAGUGUGGACAUUUCAACUCAAAGUGCUAAAUGGUGUGAAACCACAUCUCUUGUACUUUCCAACCUGCGUGUGUUGAGUCUGUCAAACUGUGGCUUGAAAGGUCCAUUAUGUUCUUCACUCUCAAGACUCUCUUUUCUUUCCAAACUUAUACUUGAUGGGAACCCAAUCUCUCAUUUACCUCCCAAUUUCUUGGAAAUUUCCUCUCGUUUGGUUUGUCUCAGUUUGAGCAACUGCAAUUUGAGUGGCCAUUUUCCAACUGAAAUUCUGUUAUUGCCAAAAAUUCAAAGCGUUGACAUUUCAGCUAAUGACCAACUUAUGGGUCAGUUGCCAGAAUUUCCAGCAAACAAUGCUUUACAGAGUUUGUCGCUUUUUUAUACAAAUUUCAGUGGAAAACUACCUCAAUCAAUUGGUAAUCUGAAGUUCUUGACAGAUUUAGAGCUGUUUGGUUGCAAUUUUUUUGGACCCAUUCCAUCGUCAAUUGCAAAUCUUAGUCACCUGGUGAACUUGGAUCUAAGUUCAAACAAGCUUUCUGGAUCAAUACAUUCUUCUUUAUUUACUCUUCCAUCGUUGAAGACCUUGGAUCUUGGAGAAAAUCAAUUGGUUGGGAAAAUUGAUGAGUUCCCCAAUGCAUCUUCUUCUUUGAUUGAAGUACUAUAUAUAGGCAAUAAUUAUUUAACAGGACCAAUCCCAAAGUCAAUCCUUCAACUUCCAAGGCUUGAAGUGCUUUAUAUCGGAGGCAAUAGCUUCAGUUCCAUGAAGCUUGACAUGUUUGUCCAACUCAACAACUUAAGGACUCUCUGGCUAAACAAUAUAAGCUUGUUAAUUGAAAGCGACAACAGAAGUCUUACUUUUCCCCAAUUAGAGAGGCUAAGCCUAAGGUCAUGCAACCUUACUGAAUUUCCAAAAUUCAUUAAAAGGCAAGACAAGUUGGUUCACUUAGAUCUUUCUAACAAUCAUAUCCAUGGCGUUGUGCCUAAUUGGUUGUGGAAGAGCAGUCUUUCAUCCUUAGACCUUUCUUUCAAUAUGAUUGAUUUUCCAAAACAACUUCCUUCAAGUGAUUCUGUUAAGUUUAGUUCCCAUGCAAAGGUGGCCAUGCACGACAUGCAAAGGUGGUCAUGCUCGAAGAAAUAGCAGCAAGCAGUGGUGCCAUUGUGUGCAGCAACUGAAGUUUGAAGCUGCCAAUCCACUUGCUGUUUUUAGUUCCAUUUUGAUUGUUUUGUAAUCUAGUUCAUGUUGAACUAAGUAGGUAAAUGUUUUUGAUAUUGAUUGACUGAAAAGUCAGCAAUGCAAGUUGUACAAGCUAAUCUUGUAAGUUUCAAUGCAAAUUAGUGGAGUUAGGUAGUUGAUUAGGUGAUUACUUGUUUGUUUUACUUGUUGACUAAAAUAUGUAAUGGCUUAAUGCCUUGGUGUGUGUUAAUGAAAAAUAUCAGCUCAUUUUUCAUUCAUUCUUCUUCUCUCUUUUCUGUUAUUCGCUUGCUAGUUUCAUUUUCUGUUUUUGCUUCUGAGUUUGUUUCUUCACCAAGGCUCGAGGCUUGCUAUUCAAGCAAGAUACAAAACAGCCUGUUAUUGUCUCUUUGUUCCAACAGAUUCAAACUUCUCUUUCCCAAUCUUGAGGCGAUUGCUUCUGGGAUCUUGUAACAUAAGUGCAUUUCCGGAGUUCUUAAAGAGUCAAGAAAAUUUAGAAGCAUUCGACGCAUCUUCUAACAAUUUGAGUGGCCCAAUUCCAAAUUGGUUAUGCAAUAUGAGUCAACUUCACACUUUCGAUGUAUCUUUUAACAAUUUGAGUGGUCCAAUUCCAAAUUGCUUGGGCAAUAUGAGUGCUCUGAGUUUGUUGGGUUUGCAAGGAAAUAACUUCAGUGGAAUGAUACCAAAAUUUUCAAAGGCAACCCAACUGCGAUUUCUGAAAGUUAGUGAGAAUAGAUUGGAAGGGGAAUUGCCCAGAUCAAUAGCUGAAUGCACUCAGCUUGAAGUUUUGGACGUGGGAAACAACAAGAUGAAUGAUACAUUCCCUUUUUGGUUAGAGAAAUUGCCUUACUUGAAGGUUCUAAUAUUGCGGGAAAACAGAUUUUAUGGUCAAAUUAAACAUUUCAAACAUAAAUCUGUUUUCCCAACUUUGGAUGUAUUGGACAUUGCUUCAAACCAGUUUUCUGGUGAACUAUCCAUUGAUUUCCUUCAACCAACUCGACUAAGUUUUGCUAAGAGAUAAAAUUUUUAAGUUUCAAAAUUAAUAGGGAUCAAAUGAGUAUGUAUACCAAUCUGUUGUAUAAAUUAUUCAAAUUAUUUGAGUUAUUCAAAUUUUAAAAUUUAACUCGAAACUUGACUUAUAAAUAUUUUUAUGUUUUAUAUUUAAUAAUAUAAAACAUAAAAAAUUAUUUAAAUUAAAAAAUAAUGUAAAAAUGAAAGUCUUUCUCCAAACUUCACCCAAAAACACUUUAAGAAAAUUUCCACUCCUUGUGUCCAUCAAUCCAUCUCAACCAGCUAACAAAUUUACUAAAAUUUUGUCUUUAUAAUGGUUGAACGUUAUUUUUGUGCAAUCAAAAUUUGGAGAUUUGCAUAUAAUGCCAAAGACUUAAAAUAUUUCAUACUAUCAUUUUUCCCGAUCCAAAGUGAAAGAUAUUAAAAAUUUCAAAUUAGAACGUUAUUUAUAAUUUGAGAACUUAAUUAGAGUAUUAUGAAAUCUAGAAACUUAAUUUAAAAUUCGAUGUAUAAUUUUGAGAUGUAAGGUGAAUUAAGCCUUUGAUAAAUCAUAAUAUAUUUAUAAGUUUGGUACUCAUUAACAAAUUGAUUUUAUAUUAUAAGUUUAUUUUUUUUUUUGGUGCUAUAACAAAAUUUCCUUAAAAGAUUACAUUCUUUUUAAAUGACUUAGAUAUAUAGACUAAGGAGUACUGGGCAAGAAAACUAAACCCUUAGCAUUAAUAAGAAAAAUGACAUCAAUAAAAUAUUAAAAUCUCAUUCUUCAAAAUUAAAAUGACAAAAAAGAAAGACGUAAGGCAAAUUAAGUGUGAAUUUAAAAACUUAUUUCUAAUACUAAUAAUAAAUCAUUUAUGCAUCAUCACUAACAGCUUUAAAUAAUAAAUUAUUACCCCUUGCUUUUGUAUGUUGGAAAAAAUUGACCAAAAAGACUUAGAAAUUGCUUUUAUAUGGGAACUACACAUUCGUGUAUAAAUAUGUUGUAUGCCAGACACAAUCCUCCUUCACAGUUCACACCCACCCAACAUGAACACUCUUCAUUCCCUUAUUUCUUCACUCUAUCUCUCCUCAUGCUUCCUUCCUCUUCUCUUGUCUUUUUCACCUCCUCAAACUCAUCUCCCAAUGCAAUGCCUUGAUGACCAGAGAUCUCCUCUGCUGCAAUUGCAGCAUCAUCUUUACUAUGCCCCUAAUUUUACUUUCUCUUCCAAUUUUGACCUCUGGGAUGUCAACACUCAUUGUUGUUCGUGGGAAGGAGUCACUUGUGAUGCUUAUGGUCAUGUCGUUGGCAUUGAUCUUAGUUACAAAAACCUUUCGGGCAGCUUUCACCCCAUAUUCAAUCUCCAUCGUCUUCAACGCCUUAAUCUUGCUGGAAACAACUUUAAUACCACUCUGUUUUCGUAUGGGUUUGAUAAACUCCAAAAUCUUACUCAUCUCAACCUUUCAAGCUCAUGUUUCCAUGGCCAAAUUCCACUGGAGAUCUCAUACUUAACGAGGUUAGUCUCUCUUGAUCUAUCUAAUCAAGAUUCUUGUUAUUUGCGAUACUACACCAUUCUUGACCCAUAUAGUGGCGUCUACUACUACUAUGAUCCAUUGCCUUACGAACUUCAACAGCCUCUUAAAUUAGAGAAUCCAAACUUCAAGACAUUAAUCAAGAAUUUGAGGUUUCUCACAGAGCUUUAUUUGGAUAGUGUGGACAUUUCAACUCAAAGUGCUAAAUGGUGUGAAACCACAUCUCUUGUACUUUCCAACCUGCGUGUGUUGAGUCUGUCAAACUGUGGUUUGAAAGGUCCGUUAUGUCCUUCACUCUCAAGACUCUCUUUUCUUUCCAAACUUAUCCUUGAUGGGAACCCAAUCUCUUAUUUACCUCCCAAUUUCUUGGAAAUUUCCUCUCGUUUGGUUUCUCUCAGUUUGAGUGGCUGCAAUUUGAAUGGGCAAUUUCCAACCGGAAUUCUCUUAUUGCCACAAAUUCAAAGCAUUCACAUUUCAUCUAAUGACCAACUUAAGGGUCAGUUGCCAGAAUUUCCAGCAAACAAUGCUUUACAGAGUUUGUUGCUUUCUUAUACAAAUUUCAGUGGAAAACUACCUCAAUCAAUUGGUAAUCUGAAGUUCUUGACAGAUUUAGAUCUUUAUUAUUGCAAUUUUUUUGGACCCAUUCCAUCGUCAAUUGCAAAUCUUAGUCACCUGGUGAACUUGGAUCUAAGUUCAAACAAGCUUUCUGGAUCAAUACAUUCUUCUUUAUUUACUCUUCCAUCGUUGAAGAUCUUGUAUCUUGGAGACAAUCAAUUGGUUGGGAAAAUUGAUGAGUUCCCCAAUGCAUCUUCUUCUUUGAUUCAAGCAUUAUAUGUAGGCAAUAAUUAUUUAACAGGACCAAUCCCGAAGUCAAUCCUUCAACUUCCAAGGCUUGAAGGGCUUUAUAUUGGAGAAAAUAGCUUCAGUUCCAUGAAGCUUGACAUGUUUGUCCAACUCAAGAACUUAAAGGGUCUCCACUUAUCCAACGUAAGCUUGUUAAGUGAAAGCGACAACAAAAGUCUUACUUUUCCCCAAUUAGAGAGCCUAAGCCUAAGGUCAUGCAACCUUACUGAAUUUCCAGAAUUCAUUAAAAGGCAAGACAAGUUGAAAUAUCUUGACCUUUCAAAUAAUAAAAUAAGUGGUGCAAUACCAAACUGGGUGUGGAAGAAAAGUUUGUGGUAUCUGUUUCUUGCUAAUAACCAUCUCUCAUCUUUGGACCAACUUUUACCCAAUCAGAGUUCACCUUCUUCACAAACCUCCUUGACUAGACCUAUUUGCAAUUUGAGUCAACUUAGAAAUUUCAAUGCAUCUCAUAACAAUUUGAGCGGCCCGAUUCCAAAUUGCUUAGGCAAAAUGAAUGAUCUCAAUUUGUUGGAUCUGCAAGGAAAUAGCUUCAGUGGAAUGUUACCAAAAUUUUCAAAAGCAACCCAAUUAUAUAUUCUCAAAGUUAGUGAGAAUAGAUUGGAAGGGAAGUUGCCUAGAUCAUUAGUGGAAUGCACUCUGCUUGAAGUUUUGGACGUGGGAAACAACAUGAUGAAUGAUACAUUCCCUUUUUGGUUGCAGAAAUUGCCUUACUUGAUGGUUCUAAUAUUGCGGGAAAACAGAUUUUAUGGUCAAAUUAAACAUUUCAAACAUAAAUUUGUUUUCCCAAAUUUGGAUGUGUUGGACAUUGCUUCAAACCAGUUUUCUGGUGAACUAUCCAUUAAUUUCCUUCAAACCACUCGACUAAGGUCACUCAAAAUAGGUGGGAAUAAAUUAGAAGGGAAGUUGUCGAGAUCAUUAGCCAAUUGUAAAGCACUUGAGGUUCUGGACCUUGGAAAUAAUAUGGUUCAUGAUACAUUCCCAUUUUGGUUAGAGAAACUGCCUUCUUUGAAGGUUCUCAUUUUGCGAGCAAACAGAUUCUACGGCACAAUUGCAGAAUUCAACACAGAACGUGGGUUUCCAAAGCUACGCAUAUUGGACAUUGGUUCCAACAAUUUUUCAGGCAACUUGUCCAUUGAAUUUUUGCUAAGCUUGAAGGCAAUGAUGCAGUUAAGAAAUGACGACAAAGCUAAGCUGGAUUACAUUGGAGAGGAUUAUUAUCAAGAUUCAGUAACAAUUUUCAACAAAGGGAUUGAAAUGUUCUACCAAAAAGUCUUGACAAUUCUUACUUGUCUCGACCUUUCCAACAAUAGUUUCCAUGGGAGAAUACCAGAAGAAAUACAAAUGCUGAGGUCACUCAAAGUGCUAAACUUGUCCUAUAAUAGCUUCUCCGGUGAAAUCCCGGUAGCACUUGGAAACCUAAAAGAUCUCGAGUCUUUGGAUCUCUCACAGAAUGAGCUGUCAGGGAAGAUUCCUCCACAACUUACAAGUUUAACUUUCUUAGCAGCAUUGAACUUGUCUUACAACCAACUUGAAGGGAGCAUACCACAAAGCAACCAAUUCAUUACAUUUUCAAAUGAUUCCUACCAUGGGAACCCAAAAUUGUGUGGGCUGCCACUGUCAAGGAAAUGCAAUGAAGUUGGUCUUCCAAUGCCACCACCUCCAAGGGGAGAUGAAGAAUCAUGGUUAUAUGCUAUGACUACUUGGAAAAUUGCGUUGAUGGGUUAUGCUAAUGGAUUGGUCGUUGGGCUAUGUAUCGGAUAUACAGGGCUGAAUGAGUUGGGAAACAAAUGGGUUGACAGGCUCAAAAAACACGGGGAAAGAAACAAAAGAAGAUCUAGGUGACUCCAUCAGGAUUCAUUUUUUUUCAAAAUCAGCGGUUAUGCAGUGCACCACCUUAUUUCUUUUUUAUCUGUGGACAAAGUUAAAUAUCAUAUGGUAUUUGUACUUGUAGCUUGUAACAUUGACAUUCGUUUUUCAGUCUCUUCUAAUUUAAUGUUACCAUUUCGCAAUGCAGAAGGUACUUAAAACAGACAGGCUCAAGCAAAAAUCUUUGAUGAAAAUGGUAAAAGUGCCUAACAAAUAUGAGCAUAUUUUUCCUUAAAAUUGUCUUUUUCUUGACAUUGGCUUUAUAUUUUAUCAAACACGUGUUGGGCUUUAGGUCUGGGUGUAAAGGGUGGACCUAUUGGUUCGGGUUUUAGUGCAGUCCGACACUUGUUUUCAUGCUAGUCAAUUUGUUCUUUCAAUGAUAAUUUUAUUUCUUUAAAAAAUACCAUUCAAUUAGACAUUGUAUGUAAUAAUAUGAUAAAAUAAAAAUUAAAACAUAAUUGAAAGAAAUAAGUCUUAGAAUCUGGUAUGCUUUCCAAUGUUAGCCAAUGGCCCAAAAUUUAUAAGUUGGAUCCUCAUUAAUAAACCAGGACUAAAAAAUACGCAUAGUUAAUUUAUUCUUUUGGGGUGCUAUACCAAAGUUUAAUUAAAAGAUGUUAAUGGUGCAUUUUUAUAUUUAAAAAUAAUAAAUUAUAUAGAAACAAUUAUGAUAUAAAAUGGAUCAUAAUUUGCGAUAGAUUAGUUCCAAACCCAAAUAUUGCUAUAAUUUUAUUCCUACUUCAUUAUUUGCUAAUUUGAGCAAUUUGGUCCUCAGGGACAACAGGCAUUCCUGAAGAAUUAGGAAGCUUGAAAUUAUUGAUUUUUCUAGAGUUGACUCAAUGGUUGUAUUCCAACUUCAUUUGCUAAUUUGAGUGUCCCAUACCUCAAGAAAUUGCUAACUUCGUGAAAAUACGGAUGCUGAAUCUACUUGGAAAUAGCUUCAGUGGAACCUUACCAAAAUUUUCAAGAGCAACCCAACUACGGUUGGUCAAAGUUAGAAGGGAAAUUACGAAGAUCAUGGGUGAAAUGCAUUCAUCUUAGAACUUAUACGUGUUGGUUCUUAAACCUCAACAAACCAGCAAAUACCAUAAUUUUUGUUCUUAUCGUCCAUUGCAGCACCUAAACAGCUUCAAUUGUUUUAUCAAACCCAUAGUCCUCAUCUUUUACAAUCUUCUUCACCACUCUCCCUAGUUCCUUCUUUAACUUUGUUUCUUCCCUUGUUUCUACUGACUCCUUUUUCUCAGCCGUUGAAACAAAAUGGUAGCUUCUUUAGGAACAGAAAGGAACAAGAUGUUGAUACCCAAUGAAGAGAAACAAAGAUGAAAUCUUUCUAAGAAGACUAUGAAAAAGAAAAAGGUUGAAAAAGGAGUCUGAUCUAAUGCAUUUUCUUAUACUUUCUUUCUAGGAUUCUAACUAGGAAGAGAGAAGCAAAAUAAGUAAAUGAAAAAUGGGAGUGAAUUUCGUUUUCUUAAAAAAUAGUAUUCGUAUAUAAAAUCGGGUAUUUUACUUAAAAAAAGCCCAUUUCAAACUAAAAUAAAUUAAUUAAAUGUAUAAAUUUUUAAAUUUUCACCAUAAAUAUUUCAUCUGUUAGGCGGCAAAAUAUGUGUAGCUUUUAUUGCAUUACAUUUUAUAUAAUUUUUUUUAAAAAAAAAGUCUAAUUUAUUGUUUGCUUGAAACCCAAAAAUAUUAAGAACCGGCUUAGAAAUUAGUAGAACAUAAUUAAAUAAUGACCGGACAAUAGGAGUCAUUUGCAAGUAUACAUGCCAAGACUAAGUCAAAAGCUCCAUUUGAUAAAAACCCAUAUGCAUACUAUAGUUUCUUUGUUAGUCCUACACUAAAAACAUAUAAUUUCCUAAUUAGAAAAUAAAUCUAUGAGUUUUGCCUCUAAAUACAUUAUGUUGUUAUACACUCAAUGUUGAGCUUUGCGGAGCUUUGGAGGGAUUUCAAAUUACUUAGAGAAUAGGUUUUCAAUGGAUUGUGCUUGAGGUGAAUAAUAUGACUACAAUCUAAUUGAUUCAAGAUGAUUAGCUGAGUUCCACAUUUAGCUGUGUUACGAAUUAUAAAGAACUUAUUCAACAUCUUUGGAUGAUUAGGGUGAUACAUGUAUUCAAAUAGGGUAAUUGAGUAGUCGAUGGACCAGAAGCAAUGAUAUUUUCAAGGCGUUAUAUGCAACCCUUAGAUAAAAUUCUUCAAAAAUUAUAUGAUUAUUGCUCUGGAAUAACCUAACCCGACUUAAUCCAAUUAUGAUUUUAUCUUUGUUCAUUAAAAAAAAAGAAAGAUAGUAAAUUUAAAUAAUUGAAGAGAAAAUAAAAAUUAAUUAUGUAAAUCACCGAUGAAAAGAAUCUAAUUUUGGACUUAAAAAACUAUAUGCUCGUUGCAUUUCAAUUGGUUGGGUAAACUUUGAAAGUGUAAAGGAUUGAAAAGUAGCUAAAUUAUAAGACAUUUCAAGUAAUCUGUGAUCAUCAUUUUCAAUCAACGUCCCAAAAUAUAAAUUUUGGAAUUUUUAUAAAUAUUUUAAAUUUUUGCUGAGAGUAAAUUUUCUAAGUUUCAAAAUUAAUAGGGAUCAAAUGAGUAUAUAUACCAAUCUGUUGUAUGAAUUAUUCAAAUUAUUCGAGUUAUUCAAAUUUUGAAAUUUAACUCGAAGCUUGACUUAUAAAUAUUUUUAUGUUUUAUAUUUAAUAAUAUAAAACAAAAAAAUAUUUCAAUUAAAUAAAAAAUAAAAAAUAAUGUAAAAAUGAAAGUCUUUCUCCAAACUUCACCCAAAAACACUUUAAGAAAAUUUCCACUCCUUGUGUCCAUCAAUCCAUCUCAACCAGCUAACAAAUUUACUAUAAUUUUGUCUUUAUAAUGUGACUUCACUUGUACACAAUGGUUGAACGUUGUUUUUGUGCAAUCAAAAUUUGGACAUUUGCAUGCAACGCCAAAGACUUAAGAUAUUUCAUACUAUCAUUUUUCCCGAUCCAAACUUAAAGAUAUUAAAAAUUUCAAAUUAGAACGUUAUUUAUAAUUUGAGCACUUAAUUAGAACAUUAUGAAAUCUAGAAACUUUAAAAAAAAAUUAUACUAUUUUUUUAUAUUUUUUAAUUUUUUUAUAAUUUAUUACUUUUUUAAUAAUUUUAAUUUUUAAAAAUAGAUUUUUUUUAUUUUUAAAAUUUUAAAAAAUAAUUAAAUGAUGAGGUGUCAUUCAUGUGAUAAUCCAUGUAUAUGCCACAUUAGCAAAGUUAAAAAAUAGUUAACAUUUCUAUCAAUUUUGGGGAAUUUGAUAAAAACACAAGUUAAAAAAUUAAAAAACAUGAAAAAAAUAAAUGAAUGACUAAAAUAAUUUUUUUUUGUAAAACUGGAGGCCAAAUAAGUCAUUAUGGCAAAAAAAUUAAAAAUUUAUUUUCUCCUCCAAAAGUAGAAUCUAAAUUUAAGCGGAUAUUAGAUAAUAAUAUUUACGGACUCGAACAUCGAAAAUGUAUGAAAUUUAUUGUUGUUCAAUGAAUUUAUUGUUUAAUAAUUACUUUUGUUUUGGCCAUUGGGAAAUUUUUCUAGCCCUUAUAAUAUAUAUCCAUAUUAUUGGAUGUGCUUCUUUUAUUCAAUUACAUUGCCUAAGGUUGCUUAUUGCGAUUAUGGUAACUUGAUGCAUCAUCCCCUGACUAAAUCUUCUCAUUUUCAGUGUUAGAAUCCUCCUCUUUAAAAUUUGGGUCUCAUGUUGCUUUUUGAGCAUUACUAUGCCAUUCUCCUCUUAAACACGUCGAAAAAUCCAGUAGGAGCUUCUACUUCCGAUUCUGGAGAAGUUGCCUCCCUUGAACUCAACAAAACCCUAUCAGCUUCCGGAGAUGCUACCUCAUCAAAAGCCUUCUCCUCUUGUCCUACUACAAAUUGGAUUGAGAACACUAAAGCCAAUGAGAACACAACCAAAAAAAAACCUUCGCCAUCUUUUUUAUUUUCUAAAAAGGUUAAGAAAUAAGUAAAGAUAUAUUUUUAUUGAUGCUUAAUGAUGAAAAUGAGAAGAAAUUUAAAGAGUUUAAAAUGAGAUAUUUUGGUCGAAUCUAUGGGUCGUUGACUAGUCCAGUGCCUAAUAGCCAUACACGACAAAAAUACAUAUAACUUCUCUCCCCAUUUUCAAUGGCCAUGUUUAUCACUAUUAUUGGUGGGUUCAAUUUACUUCACUUUGCUUGACUCGAAGACGUUGUGGGUGAUCGAUGAUGUGUUUUAAAAUCAUUCUGACCUGUUCUAUUUGCAUCACCUGUACCAAUCAAAAACACUCAUCCUUUUAUAGUUCAAUAUAUUUUCCAUGAAACAACUUCAAAAGUCAAGCAAAAUCUAAAUAGCUUUCUUCUUCUAUAUUGAAUACUGACUGUUAAGUUACCUUGGGUUUAAAGUAUGUUCUUCUACUUGUCUAUGGUUAUCGAUCAUAGUACCGGUUGUCAAAUCGUCGCUUGGAGCUUGCUACCUAGGCUUUUCAAAAGAAAAAAAUUUAACAGCCAAAUGACCAGGCCGUUCUUGACAUUUUUGAGGCCUUAGGCGACACAAUAAAUUGGGGCCCCAAAUUAUAAGAUGUAAUACAAUAUAACAAAAAAAUUGGGGCCUUUUUUUCUGCAUGCAAUAAAUCAGAAGAUUUAAAAGGUUGAAGAUUUUUAUUUUAGACCCUUCCAGCUCUGGGUGUCUGCAGUCGAAACUACCCCCAGGGUCCGGCCUACAAGUGACAUAAAUAAAAAUCUUCUGAAUAGUUCAGUAAUCAUUUUUAAAGUCAAGUAAAUAAUUAACCGUAAUUCUUCAGAAAAAUAUUUGAACAUAAAAUUUAUGAAUUUUUCUAUAAUACAUUAUUACAUUUUUUUCACAUUUUCAAUAGUUAUAUAUACAAUGAUAAAAUGAUAAUCUAAUCUCAUGGAGUGGGGCAAGGUAAGAAAUUACCAUAAUUGCUCCAUACUUGCUAUUUAAAAAAAAAAUCCACCUCGCCCUCCUCUACAUCCACUUUUGAAAAGAAAUCCUCUUUAUCUGGAGUGGAUCGAUUCGAAAUCCAUAGAGUGAUUCGGGUCUUACCAUCCCUAGUUACACAUCUAUACUAUUAUUUUAUUCUCAUUGGAGCCAAUCUCAUUGCCCAACCAAAUGGACCCGAAAGUUUUAAAUGAUAACAACAACAAUGGUAUAGAUAAAUGGAUUUAUACAUGAAUGCGGCUUCUUUUUUUUAAGAAAACUGAAAGUGACAAUAUAAGUACUAUAUUCCUAUCUAACAUAACUCAUCUUGUCAAUUGAGUUUUAGUUCGAUUAGUAUCAUUGCUAAUUGCAGCAAUCAAGAAAAUGUUGGUUUAAGGAUAACUAAGUGCAUUUUUAAUCUAAUUUAAGAGUUAAGGGUGAAUUAUGAGUAGAAGUAAUGAUAAGUGAUAAAAUAACAUAUUUUAAUCCGGUUUUUAAUGCGUUUUUGGAUGAUUAUUUAUGCAAAUUGGUAAAUUUUAUGCUCUUGAUCCUUUAAAUCCAUGUUUUUAUAUUUAGGAGAGCAUUUGGGAGUAAAAGGAGCGAAAAAUAAGUAAAAAUCAGACAAAUAGAGCAUAUUUCAGGAGCCACAUAGGUUGGACACAUGACCGUGUGAGCCACACAGGCUGGCACACAGCCAUGUGCCAGACCGUGUCGAUUAUGCGAUUUGUAUCCCAAACACGUGGAAAAAAUGCAAUUUUUAGGCUUUUGUGGCAUUCUAAAGUCUAUAAAUACCAAAUAGAAUAUGAAAAGUGGGGGAGAUCAGAGAGUAUUGAAGGAAAUAACUCGAAGAAGACCAUUGAAGCCAACUUUGAAGCAGAUUUCCAUCAAAAUUGAAGAUCUCCUUUUAAUUUGUUUGAAGCUUUUAUGAGUUUCUUUAUCUAAUCUUAUAGUUAUACCUAAUCUUAUAGUUAUACUGACUUUGAGAUGUUUUUAUUUACAAUUAUGAACUAAUCCUUUAGAUACUUAGUGGAGAUAAACCCUAUGAUGAAUUCUAUUAUUUAAUUUCUGUUUUACGCAAUAAAUACUUGAAUCUUGUUCUCAAUUUUGUGUGAUUAAUUCUUAAUUUGAUACUUCUAGAUUAUUAAUCCAUGUUUGAUAUGCUUAAAUUUGAGGAGGAAAAGUCUCUGUUUAAUAGUAGAUCUAGCAUAAUUGAGUGGAGUUGCAUGCAAUCCUAGAAAUAAAAUGACAUAAAUCUAUUAGAUUAGAGUCAAAUCUAAUAAGGGAAUCUAUAGGUCGAGUUAAUGCGACAAUAUGAGUUUUAAUUAGAAAGAAAUUUCAAUUAAUUAAUCUAGAGUUAGUUGAUCUUACUCUCAAAAAAGAUAUUAGUAUAAUUUAGGGGAUUCAAUAUGAUAGAUAAAGUCUAGGUGGAUUAUUUCCUAGGUAUCAUUUAGCUUCUUGGUUAUUAUUCAAUUAUUUUCUUGAUUUAUUCUCUGUUGAGUUCUUUAGCUAAUUAAUUUAGUAGAUUUUAGCUUAAACCAAUCACUACAAUUAGUUGAUUAAAUAAUAAGAAAAUGGUAAUUACUAGUACUUUUAGUCCUCAUGAAUACAAUAUAUUUACUCACCAUAACUAUACUAUUUAUCAAUAGGUGCACUUGCGUUUAUCGUAUUUUUAGUUAGUUUCGUGACUAUCAAGUUUUUGGCUCUGUUACUAUGAGGAAAACUUUAUUUCUAUCAAUUUAAUUAUUUUUAUUUUUAUAUUUUUGUUUUAAUUUAAUUUUUACAUUUUAAUUUUUCUUUUGUUGUUUCUAGCAGGUUUUUUUGGUCUAUGACUAGAGGAAAGCCGUCGUGACCAUUGCUUUUUGAUACUGAGUUUGAAAGUACUGCUCGUAGAAAUCGUAAAGAGAUUAGAGAAAUAAGACAAAAUCAACAGAAUAUAGUAUACUUAUUUUAAGCACGUGCCCUAUACAAAAUUUUGAAUAUUGAUUAAUGUUAAUUAAUGUUUUAAAACAUUUUCCUCCAAACGUUUAAAUACUAAAUAUUUCAUAUAUCUCAAGAGUGAUAGUUAUAGUUGUGCUAUUAGUACGAUGAUACUUGUUCUUAGAGAAUAUAUAAAACAACUUAGAAAUCUAAUUUAAAAAUAGAUAUUUGAGUGUGUGACAAAUUCAUAACUCAUAUUCUGAAAAAAAAAAAAAAAAACAAUACCAUCAUACUGGUAUUAAAAUUGUUUUUAUUGUUUUCGAUUCAAACUCAAAACUACAACAAUAAUUGUAAGCUUCAAAACAUUUUAUUAAAUCCUCAAAGCUUUUAGUAUACAUCGAAUAAGUAUUCUGAUAGCCUAGCUAUUAACUUGGGUUUAAAUGUUAGCUCAAAUUUCAUGUGAAUUAUAUCUAAAAUAUGUGGAUUGAUUUGAAUAUAUAUGUAUACUUAUUGCAUGGAUAGUUAGAACCGAUAAGUAACCAAAAAAAAAGUUUAAUCAUGCUUUUAAUCUUUAUAUUCUUUGGAAAUUUGAAAUUUAGUCCCUUUGCUUUUAAUUAUAGGAGUUUAGUCCUUCUACUUGUCUAAUUUAAAAAAUAAAGUCCAAUUGAUAAUAUUAUUAGCAGACUUCUGUUCAAUUUGAAUAUCUAGCAUUCCAAUAAUCAAAUGCUCUGAUUUAAAAACUAAAGUCCAAUCAAUAAUACAUAUUAAUAUUUAGUGGAUGCAAAUUAAUAACACUUUAAAUUGGUCUUUAAAUUUUAAAUCAAAUAAGGGACUAAAUUCUUAAAAUUAAAAGUAGAGAGACUAAACUUCAAAAAAGUGCAAAAAGUACAAUGAUUGAGGGCGUAAUUGGACCCAAAAAAUAGUAUUUCUAAAGUUUUAUUCAGACUAUUUUUUGUGACACGUGGGAUCUAAAUUGUUCAUACGGUAAGUAAUAGCGUGUUUAUAUUGAUCAUUGCAUUUAAUAUAUGUUGGACCUCACAUUCAAGCUAGCACUUAUCCCCUAAAUUUGAUUAAUAUAAUAUUGAUAUUUAGAGACUUAAUUAAAUUAUUUUAAAAUUGAGGGAUCAACUAAAAAUUUAAGUGAUAAUUUAAAAAUAUUUGAUGAAAUUAAAUCAAUAAAAAAAGUAAAAAAAAAAAAGAACAACAAAGUAGCAUGUGAUUUGUUUAAAAAAACAACAACAAAGAAGCAUGUGAUAAAAAUAUUUAAUUUCAUAUUGUCGUGUAAGAAACAUGGGUCUAGCCUUAUAAUUCUAUAUGCAAAUAUAUAAAUAUAAAAAAAAUUUAAAAAAGUUUACUAUCAAUACAUCUCACAAAAAUAUAUAUAAUUUUUAUUUUAUUUUAAAAAUUAUAAGUUAAUUAGAAUAAAAAUAAAUGAUAAAUUUACCCAAAGUCAUUAAACUAUUAAUAAAUUUACGUUUUAGUCACUUAACUUCAAAAAGUUAUAAAUGAUCACUUUUUAUACGAUCUGUACUAAUAAAAAACUUUAUUUCCUUUUUCUUCUAUAGUUUAGUUUUUUCUAUGAAACUUCUUCAAUUUCAGAUACUAAUUGUUAAAUUAACUUGGAUCCAAUGUAUGUUUUUUUAUUUGUCGAUGGGUAUCGAUCACAAUACUAAUAAUUAAAUUGUCACUUGGAACUCGUUAAUUAGAUUUUAUAAAAAAAAAGUUUAACAAUCUAGUGAUCAUUUUGUAACUUUUUUAAAAUUAAAUGACCAAAUCAUUACCAUAACUAAAGUUUAUAGUUAGGUUAAUGGCAAAUAAAUAUUAUAUGGAAAAAAAUUAAAAGGGAAACGCGGUUACCCAUCAAAAAAAGAAAGUGUUGAUUUCAUUACAUGGUAUGAGCUAAUCAACAGCUGUAUAUUUUGGUGGUAUUCCCAUUUAAUUUUAAUUUUUUUUAACUAAAGAGGUUUAAAAUAGAAAAAAAUAAUUUUUUUGAGAUUUAUUUAUUCUAAAAUAAUAUUUAUAAAAUUUUAAAAUAUUAUUACCAAAUAAAUAAUAUUCACCCAAUUAAAAAUCUGAAAUCACGGCAUAAUAAUGGGAGAGUCUUAACUAAUUAAUUUUGGUCAAGUCGUAAAUUCCCUUUAUAUAAAAAAUUAAAAAUACAGCUAAGAUAUUUUCUUUAAAUGGAAAAUUAUUUCAUAAAUAUUAAUAUAAUUUUUUAUUAUUCCGAUCAAAAAUUGAUUGAUAUAACGAUUAAAACAAAGGGAUUGAAUCGAUUCUUUAACGAAAUAUUCAAAAUUGAUAAAAAAUAAAAAAUCGAGACAAAAAAUUUAUUUUAAUAUAUAUUUGUAAAAACGUAUAUAUAAUAUUAAAGAAAAAAAGGGGGAAUUCAUGAAUGUAAUAAUUUCGGGUCAUAAAAUUCAUUUAAUUAUAUAUAUAUUUUUCUCUUUCCCUCCCAACUACUAUUAUUAUUAUUGCACUUUUUCUUCACUUCGAUCUUUGUACCUUCCAAUGGGAAACAUCGACCACCGUCACUUCCUUUACCCUUUCCUCCUCCUUUCCGCCGUCCUCUGCGCCGCAGACGAUGGUGCCGUCAUUGUAAAGCUAGCUUCAUCCCUUAGUCCACUUCCGAGAGGCUGGUCUUCCACCUCUUCAGACAACUACUGCAACUGGUCAGGCAUCAAGUGCGCAUCCAACCGCGUUACUUCCAUCAACUUAGCUUCCAAAUCCUUGUCCGGUUCACUCCCUGCCGACAUCUCCACCUUGUCGGAACUCCGUACCGUAUCGCUUCAACACAAUUCCUUAUCUGGGUCCAUCCCAUCUUUCGCCAACCUUUCCAACUUACAAAGCAUUUACCUCGACGGUAACUCGUUCACCUCGGUCACACCCAACGCGUUCUUCGGGUUAACCAGUCUUCAAACACUGAGUUUAAGCGAAAACACGAAGCUGAGUCCAUGGACAUUCCCAGAUUUAUCCCAAUCAACGAGUCUCGUCGAAGUUCAACUCGACAACACCAACUUAUACGGCACUUUACCCGAUGUGUUCCAAUCUUUGAACAGUUUACAAAGCAUAAGGCUGUCUUACAACAACUUGAACGGCACAUUGCCGGCUUCUCUCGCCGGUUCAAUGAUUCAAAAUCUUUGGAUCAACAAUCAGAAUGUUGGGUUCACAGGUACUUUAGAUGUUUUAUCUAACAUGACAGAUUUGCUUCAAGUUUGGGUUCAUAAAAACAUGUUCACUGGUCAGAUCCCAGAUUUGUCUAAAUCUAUGGGUAUCUUUGAUAUUCAGCUUAGAGAAAACUUAUUGACCGGCCCAGUUCCGGGAUCUUUAACUAAUCUCCCUAGUUUGAAGAACAUUUCAUUGUCUAAUAACAAAUUACAGGGUCCAUUUCCGAAAUUUCCCAACACAGUUGAAAACAUUGCUGUUAAUGGUACUAAUAAUUUCUGUAAUAGUAAUGGUGAUCCUUGUGAUCCUCAAGUUACUACAUUGCUUGAGAUUGCUGGUGGUUUUGGGUACCCUGUUUUUCUCUCUGACGAUUGGCCUGGAAAUGAUGCUUGUCAAUGGGUUUUUGUUCGUUGUGAUUCACAAGGCAAUGUGAUUACUGUGAAUCUCGCAAAGAAAAACUUGGUCGGAACGAUUUCGCCGGCAAUUGCGAACCUCACGAAGUUGAAGAACUUGAAUCUGAAUGAUAAUAACUUAACAGGUUCAAUCCCUGAUGGUUUGAUUAAGUUGAGUAGUUUGCAGCUUAUCGAUGUGUCUAACAACAAUCUCACCGGUGACAUUCCAAAAUUUUCGGCUUCGGUUAAGUUUGCUUAUUCAGGGAAUAUUUUACUAGGAAAAUCUAGUGGUUCUGGUGGUGGAGGAACUUCAGGUUCCGGAGGAUCUAGUGGAGGUUCGAGUGGUAGCUCGAAAAGCGGUAGCAAUGGUAAGAAUUCUGUAGCUUUGAUUGUCGGUAUCGUCAUUGGUGUAGUGGUUUUCGUUGCUGUUGUAUGUUUUGUUUCGUAUAAGUACGUGAUGAACAAGAAAUAUGGGAAAUUUGGUGUGAUGGAUGGUAAUGCUAGUGAUGCUGAGAAGGGAGUAGUUAAGAACAGGGAGAUGAAUGGUUAUGGAGGAUUGCCUAGUGAAAUGCAGAGUCAAAGUAGCGGUGAUCAUAGCGAUUGCUAUUUCUUUGAGGAUGGAAAUGUGGCGAUCUCGAUACAUGUCCUACGAGAGGUGACUGAUAAUUUCAGCGAGGCUAAUAUUUUAGGAAGAGGGGGUUUUGGGAUCGUGUAUAAAGGUGAAUUACAGGAUGGCACGCAGAUUGCUGUCAAGAGGAUGGAGUGUGCAGCUAAAGGUACUAAAGGUUUGAACGAGUUUCAAGCUGAAAUUGCGGUACUUACGAAGGUUAGGCACAGGCAUUUGGUUGCACUUUUGGGUUACUGCAUCAAUGGCAAUGAGAGGCUCUUGGUUUACGAGUAUAUGCCUCAAGGUACUCUUGGUCAACAUCUCUUCGAAUGGCGAGAAAAUGGGUAUGCUCCACUUACUUGGAAGCAACGAGUCACCAUUGCACUGGAUGUCGCGAGGGGGGUCGAGUAUUUGCACUCUUUGGCACAACAAAGUUUCAUUCACCGGGAUUUGAAGCCUAACAAUAUACUACUCACCGAUGACAUGAGGGCAAAGGUUGCGGAUUUUGGCCUUGUUAAGAAUGCACCUGAGGGAAAGUACUCUCUGGAGACAAGACUGGCUGGAACAUUUGGAUAUCUUGCUCCUGAAUAUGCUGGUAAGUCAAUCCUCAUCUGGUAGCUCGAACCUUUCAAAGUAAUUUAGGUGCAUCUUUAAUUUUUCAAUGUGUUGGUGUUUGAAUUCCCGAGUACUAAAAGAUAUUAGCUGUUAAUGUGGUGGAGUUUCUUUACUCGAACCCAAACAACAAUGCGAUAACAUUUGAAGUUUUUUCAGGUUCGAAGUAGAUCAUAAUGUUCUACAUCCUGUUAUAGUUUGAUAAAUUUUGCUAACUUGAACAGCUAGAAAUAAGUUUAUGUUUAGUACCUUGUAUGUCGAUCUUACAGGGAAGAUACAGGCUAUGUUAUCUUGGCUUUUUAUUUUUUCGUGAGGUACCCAUGUUUGAUGCAUAUCUGGACAUUAGAAUGGGAGUACGAGCUCCCAAAGAUCCUCCAAAUACAUAGAGAAAUUUAGAAUCCGAUACUUAUAUCUGAGUUUGAAUAACAUAGAAUAUGGAUUAUAUACUUAUUUUCUUUUAAUCUUGACAGCAACUGGACGGGUGACAACGAAGGUGGACGUGUAUGCAUUUGGUGUGGUCUUGAUGGAGAUAAUAACCGGCAGACAAGCUUUAGACGUAACCUUACCCGAUGAGAAAUCGCAUUUGGUCACAUGGUUCCGCAGGGUUCUAGUCAACAAAGACAACAUUCCCAAAGUGGUUGACGAAACAAUCAACUGUGACAACGAGGAGACAAUGGCAAUGAUCUUCAAGGUAGCCGAGUUAGCCGGUCACUGCACCGCUCGCGAACCGUAUCAAAGACCCGACAUGGGGCAUGCCGUCAACGUGCUUGGCCCUCUCGUAGAGCAAUGGAAACCUACAACCCAAGAGGAUGAUGGAAACACCGGUAUUGAGCUUAACAUGAGCCUCCCUCAGUUCCUACAAAAAUGGCAAGCUGAUGAAGGUACUUCAACGAUGUACGGUGAUUUCUCGUACUCCGAGACCCAAACAAGCAUCCCCGCAAAGCCCUCAGGAUUUUCAGCUACAUUCAGCUCUUCCGAUGGCCGGUGACGGAAAAUGAUAGCUAAAUAGUGUUUUGGUAAUAUAAUGUUUAUCUUUGUUGUUGUUUCUUCAAAAGCUAGCCGAUUGCUUUGUUUUGUUUGGUGAAUUUAUUUAUAUAUUAUUUCCAUGGAAAAAAGACAGGAUUUUUGGAGGGAGAGAGAAAUUGUAUAAUAUAUUCAUAUUCUUUUUUAACUUUUUUCAAUGUAAUGAUAAUUAUUAUUUAAAAAGGUUAAUGCUCUUUUUUUUUUAAAUAUUAAAAUUAUAAUUUUUAUAUUAGAGUUUAAAUUUUUAAUAAAUAUUAAUUUGUUUAUUCAAAUAUAUAAUUAUAUUGAAUCUAAACUAGUUUACUUGAUAAAUGCAUUUUAUUUUCACAAUUUAUAUAGCAUAAUAUUAAAAAAAUUAUGCAAUAAUUUACAAUUGUUUUGUCGAUGCAAUUAAAUAAUAAUUCAAAUUAAAACCGAACAAACUACAAAAAAAUUCAACAUCAAAUCCGACUCAAUUUUUACCAUUUCAAGCAUCUAUUGGUAAACUCAAAGACAAUGUCAAAAGAAAAACAUAUAUUCAACCAAAGGAGACAAGAACACACCCCACCUUGUCCUAACUUCAUAAUCUUUACCUUUUGAUAUACAAAAUCUAUAAACCAACAUUACAUUAAUCAUUAACAUAUAAUCUUUUGUUUCAUGUCCUUUUUCUUGAUUGUAAUAAAUUAAAGAACUAAUCUUAUCUACUUUCCACUUAAUUUACUCAAUUUCUCCUCUUUAUAAAGCAACCACUUUAGAGCCAAAUCCAUCACAUUACAACACGCAGAAACUUGUAAGAAUCAACAAUGGCGACGGCUCUUCUUACAACAAUCCUCUUGUCUUCUUUCCUUGUUGUUUCAUGUAAGUCUUUCAAUGUCCAAAAAUGGUGAAAUUUUGUUCUGUUUUUUAAUUAAAGAUUAACCCUUUUUUUUGUGUGUGUGUGUGUGUUCGGUUUUUAACAGCGGCUGAAAUCUCGAGCAAGAUUGGUAUAAACUAUGGUCGAAUAGGAAACAAUUUGCCAUCACCAUAUCAAACCAUUGAGACCGUGAAAUCGAUGAAUGCCGGGCGUAUUAAGCUCUAUGAUUCCGACCCUGAAAUAUUGAAACUUUUAUCAGGGACCAACAUUCAUGUAUCUGUUAUGGUACAAAACAAUGACAUAAUCCGUAUCGCUUCGAGCCAAGCUGUUGCCGAACAAUGGGUACAAGACAAUGUCUUGGCUUAUUACCCCGACACGAUGAUUCGGUUCGUGUUAGUUGGUAACGAAGUCCUUAGCCACCAAGAUCGAAGAAUUUGGCUUAGUCUUGUCUCUGCCAUGCGUAGGAUCAAGAACUCGUUGAACACGCACGAUAUCAAGAACAUUAAGGUCGGUACGCCAUUGGCUAUGGACGUAAUGCAAUCAACUUUUCCACCGUCGAGCAGUAGGUUUCGGCCCGAUAUUACUGAUACGGUCAUGGCACCGUUGUUAAGAUUCUUGAAUGGAACCAAAUCGUUCUUUUUCAUUGAUGUUUAUCCUUAUUUAGCAUGGUCAGCUAAUCCGAAAAACAUCAGUUUAGAUUUUGCUCUCUUUAGAAGCAGGGUGAGCCAAACUGACCAUGGAAGUCACUUGGUUUACACCAAUCUAUUAGACCAAAUGCUCGAUUCGGUCAUUUUUGCAAUGAGAAAACUCGGAUACCCCGAUAUCCGACUUGCUAUAGCCGAAACCGGGUGGCCAACCACAGGUGAUAUCGAUCAAAUAGGUGCUAAUAUCAACAAUGCAGCCACUUAUAACCGAAAACUAGUCCAAAAAAUGACUGCUAAACCACCAUUAGGGACACCAGCUAGACCUGGUUCAGUCAUACCAACAUUUAUUUUCUCCUUAUAUGAUGAAAACCAAAAGACAGGUCCAACAACCGAAAGACAUUGGGGCUUGUUACGUUCCAACGGAACAUCGAUUUAUGAAAUCGAUCUCACCGGUAAACGACCUCUCUCGAGUUACAAACCAUUACCCGCAGCUAGAAACAACGUACCAUAUAAAGGUAAGAUAUGGUGCGAAGUGGCACCGGGGGCUGACGCGAUGAACUUAUCGUUGGCAUUGUCGUAUGCCUGUGGCCAAGGUAACCAAACUUGUGCUGCAUUGAACCCUGGUAAACAAUGUUAUGAACCAGUAUCGGUUUUUUGGCAUGCAAGUUAUGCAUUUAGUUCGUAUUGGGCUCGGUUUCGAAAACAAGGUGCAACUUGUAACUUCAAUGGCUUAGCUCGACAGACCAGAGCUAACCCAAGUAAGUUUUUUUGUUUGGUCUGAUCAUUACAAGCUUGAAAUUUUGUCUUGAAAAUCUUUAAUUUGGUUCCUUUUUCAGGUCGUGGACACUGCAGUUUCCCAAGUGUGACACUCUGAAGAUGAUUUUAUUUUCAAGUUCAAGCUUAAGGUUCCUUCUAUCAAGGACUUGCAGACACAGUGGUGUCAAUUAAUAUAUAUAUAUAUAUACAUACAUAUAUAUAGUAUGAACUUACUUUAUCUUAUGUUUGUUGUAAGGGAGUAACAGUGUUUUAUGACAUAAUUACAAGAAAAUAAUUGUCUUUGUUUUGCCAUCAAAUUUAAAGAAGUGAAAAUUUCUCAUUUUCAAGUUCUUCUUUGUUUUUCCCUGCAAAUCAAUCCACAUGGAACAUUGUGAUGUAUCAAUUGUUACUUGCCACCAUUAACAUGUAUGAUUAAAAAAUUUUAUGAUAAAAUAGCCUUAAUUGAAUACUAAAUAUAUAGGAGGUACUAAAAUUGAUAUUACUCCACUUAAUCCAGGGAUCUAGACCCAUUCUACCCUUGUAGCUGCCCUUGUAGCUAGAGCUUGAUUGUUGAAGUAUGCGAGAAAUUUUAGGCUCAAUUCAAUUUAAUGUUUUUGAAAAAAAAUUAGUGGUCGAAUUAAUUAAUUAUCAAUUUUUGAUCUCACUAAUCGAUUUAGUUUUAAUUAAAUAACUUAUUAAAAAUUUAUAAAAUUAAAAGAAAAUUAUGACCAAAUGUAGCCCUAAAUUAUACUUGGAUUUAUUUCUUACACUUAAAUGCCCAAAAAAGAACCGCUUCUUUGAACCGGGUGGGUUUGGCUUCAAGUCAUCAACAAAGGCUAAUGUAUGCCAAUUCUUCACUAUCUUCACCAACUCCAAAACUGUGCCAAGCACCGUUCUAUCGUCUCCACCAAACAACUCCAUGCCCAUUUCAUCAAACUUGGCGUAACCCAGUUUCUCGCUUUAAGCAAUACUCUUUUAAAUGUCUAUGGCAAAUGCAGCCUCCUUCAAGAUGCUCUCCAACUGUUCGACGAAAUGCCACAAAGAGACCAUGUUUCAUGGGCUACCUUUCUUACUACUCAAAACCAAGCCAACUUACCCGACAAGACCUUAUCUAUGUUCCCUGCCAUGUUUUCACUUGACAGGUUGCUGCCUGAUGAUUUUGUUUUCGCUAGCCUUGUCAAGGCUUGUGGUAGCUUGGGUGCUAUUAAACAAGGUAAGCAAGUUCAUGGCAACUUUUUAGUAUCACCCUAUUUUGAUGAUGAUGUUGUUAAGUCAUCUUUGGUUGAUAUGUAUGCAAAAUGUGGAUUACCUGAUGAUAGUCGUUUAGUUUUCGAUUCUAUUAAGUUGAAAAAUAUGGCUUCUUGGACUGCUAUCAUAUAUGGCUAUGCUAGAAAAGGAAGAAAAGAAGAGGCUUUGGAGUUGUUUUUAAGGGUUCCCCUGAAAAAUUUGUUUGCUUGGACUGCUUUGAUAUCUGGGUUAAUACAGAGUGGAAAUGGGGUUGAUGCAUUUGGCUUGUUUGUUAAGAUGAGAAGGCAAGGGAUUAGUAUAAUUGACCCUCUUGUGCUUUCAAGCAUUGUUGGUGCCUCUGCUAAUUUAGCGAUGUUGGAACUAGGAAAGCAGGUCCAUGGACUCGUUAUACAGCUUGGAUACGAAUCUUGCGUGUUUAUAAGCAAUGCUCUUGUGGAUAUGUAUGCAAAAUGUAGUGAUAUGUCGGCAGCAAGGGAUGUUUUUAGUAGGAUGUCACAAAGAGAUGUUGUUUCCUGGACGUCAAUUAUAGUUGGGGCUGCUCAGCAUGGACAGGCCGAGGAAGCGUUGUCCUUGUAUGAUAAUAUGAUUUUGAAUGAAGUCAAGCCGAACGAAGUGACCUUUGUUGGAUUGAUUUAUGCUUGUAGUCAUGUUGGUUUAGUGAAUAGAGGCCGUGAACUUUUUAAGUCUAUGGUUGAGGAUUACGGCAUUCAUCCUUCCUUGCAGCAUUACACAUGUUUGCUGGAUCUUCUUGGUCGAUCUGGACACCUCGAGGAGGCUGAAAGUGUUAUAAACUUGAUGCCAUUUAAGCCUGAUGAACCUACAUGGGCAGCAUUGUUAAGUGCAUGUAAGCAAUAUAGAAAUGCCAAAAUGGCCAUUAAGUUUGCUGACCAUCUAUUUAGCUUGAAACCUGAAGAACCUUCAACAUAUAUUCUAUUAUCUAAUACAUAUGCUAGUUCCGGUUUGUGGGAACAUGCUUCGAAAGCAAGGCACUUGCUGGAGUCUCUGGAAGUUAGAAAAGAACCCGGUUAUAGCUACAUCUAUUUUGGCAAAGAAAGCCAAAUGUUUUACGCCGGGGAAACUUCUCAUCCAAUGAAGGAUAAGAUUUUCGGUUUGUUGAACGAGUUGGAUGUAGAGAUGAGAAGGAGAGGUUAUGUUCCAGAUACCAGCUAUAUUUUGCAUAACACGGAUCACCAAGAGAAGGAGAGGCAACUGUUUUGGCAUAGUGAGAGAUUAGCCGUUGCUUACGGGCUUCUUAAAUCCGUUCCGGGAACCGUCAUACGGAUAGUGAAGAAUCUCCGUGUGUGUGGAGAUUGUCAUACUGUCUUAAAACUCAUUAGUGACAUAGUGCAAAGAGAAAUCGUCGUCCGAGACGCCAAACGAUAUCACCAUUUUAAGGGUGGGAAAUGUUCGUGCAAUGACUUUUGGUGACUCUGUUUUCAAUUCCAUUGUUUCAUCUUUAUAUCUCUGCCACUUUUGGAAGUUUCUCUAUGUUAAGUAUAUGAUCUUUUGGGUUACAUCUUUACAUCAGUCAAAAAAAUUUUUAUUCAACUCGGACUUAGCUAGUUAUCAUUUUGAUCACUUAACUAAAAAAGUUAUAAUUUAGUCAUUAAAUUUCAAAAUUGUUUUAUUAUCAGUUGAACAUUAAUUGACACUUUUUUAAUUUGUAUAAUAAUAAUUUUAGUCCUCAACUUUUAUAUUUUCUAUCAACAUGACCUUGAUUCUAUAUAAAAAAAUAUAAAAUCAUUUUUAAAAGAUAGAAAAUUCUAUAUAAUAAUUCUAAAAAAUAAAACCUGAAAAAUGUCAUUAUUUUAAAACUAAUAUGUAUUGGGAAAUAAAGAAAAUCACCGUUCAAUAGAAUUUAAUAACAAAUUAAAAUCAUAAUAAAAAAAAAGUUAGAUCAUUGCAUGUUUUUUUAGUAUUUCUCAAAACCAAAUUAAUAAUAUAUUUUAACUCAAGUUCCGUGCCUCUGAAAAACAUCCAAAAUCGAACUAGAUUCUGCAAACAUAGGAAAAUGAACUACGUAAAGAAACCUUAAUGUUAUUUCUGUUUUGUUUGCUUAGUUACUCAAAAUAUCGAGUCGUGAUGACCACUUCAGUCUAUAUACAGAUACAUGUUAAAAAGGUCAAGUAUUAAAUAAUAUAUUAAACUUAAAAUAAUAAUAAAAUUUUGGAAGAUAAAAAUAGGUUUAUAUAAUUAGAUAAGUUAAAAAAAAAAAAAAAAAAAGCCAGGGGGACCAGGGCCUUUUCCUUUGUCCCAUUUAUAGUUUAUUUCCACCGCCUCCCACUAUUUCUAAAAGGUUAAAAUUGGUCAACUUUUAGAAUAUUUUUAUUUUGGUCAUUUAAAAAUAAAACCUUUAUAAUUUCACCACUUAAUUUUUAUGGUGUUUUUAUUUUAGUCAUCCAUCAUUAAAUUUCUAAUGACAGUUGACUUGUACAUGCCAUAUCAUGUUCACACUUUCAUUUUGAUCACCCAAAAAAUAUCUUUUUUUUUCUGUAAUAUUGAUCGGAGUAAAAAAAUUAGUGAUUAAAGUGAAAAAGCGGUAAAAACUAAAAUAAUGCUUUAAAAAUUGACAAAUUGUACUUGUUUCCCCAUUGCCGAAAAUUGUUACUUUUUUUCAAUAUUGAAAUUUUAAAAUUCAAAAUAUCAAAAUCAAUUAAAUAAGUUAUUGAAACUUUUUUUCUCUCUUGAUAAUAUUAACCGAUUUGUUACUAUAAUAUUAGUGCCUUUUAAAACUUAAAAUUUUAUUUUAUAUUUCCAAAUUAAAAUUAACUCAAAUAAAGCAUCUUUAAUAAUUGUGCAUGAAACCCAAAGUUCUUUCGAUUAUAUAAUCUUGAGUAUUUCAUACUAAGCUAAAAGUAAAGAAAAAUCCUUACAAUUAAUUUUAUCUUCCAUGCCAAACAAAACUUAGAACUUUUUUUAUCACUUCUUUACCCAAACAAAGAACAAGCAAUUAAUUUAAUUAAUUGGAAUAAUUUUUCUUUACUUUUUAGCUUAGUAUGAAAGAUUCGAUAUUAUAUAAUAAAAACUUAAAUUUCGUAGAAAAUUAUUAAAUAUGAGUUAUUGAGUUAAUUUCAUUAAAAAUAAUAUGAAAACAUAAAAUAAAAAUUUAAAUUUAGAAGAUGAUUAAUUUAAUUAAUUUGAAUAUUACAGUAACAAAUCGGUUAACAUUAUCAAAAAAUAAUAUUUUUAAUAAUUUAUUUAUUUGAUUUUUAUAUUUUGAAAUUUAAAUUUUCAAUAUUGAAAAAAAAAAGAAAUUUAGAAUUUUCGGGAAUGUGAUAAACAAGUACAAUUUAAUAAUUUUUUAAUGAAUUAUUUUAGUUUCUACGACUUUUUCACUUUAAUCCUUUUUUUUUACCCCAAUCAAUACUUUAAAAAAUAUAUAUUUUUGGGUGACUAAAAUGAAAGUAUAAACAUUAUGUGGCAUGUACAGUUAAUCGCAUUAGGGAUUUAACAGUUGGGUGACUAAAAUAAAAUUGCCCUAAAAUUUGAGUAACGAAAUUGGAAGGAUUUCAUUUUGGGUGUCCAAAUAAAACCACCCUAAAAGUUGAGUGACCAACUAGGUAGUUUACCUUGUUAAAAUAAGUCUAUAGUUCCUGUACUUUUCAAAAAUUAAGAACUUAGUCCCUAUAAGCUUAUAUUUCUAAUAAUAUAGUCUCUUUAUUUUUCAGAUUUUAAAAUUCAAAUAUAACUGUUAUAGCAACAAAUUUAGUCAAAAUGUAGUAUUAUAUUAUACUUUUGACUUUUAAAAUCAAUUAAAAUAGCUCAGAAACAUGAGGAAGACAAUAGAGGUGAUCGGGUGAAUAUUUUUUUUCUCAAUUUUAGUUCAUACGAUGAUACGAUUGUCAUGCCUUCAUACGAUUAAAAUUGAAAAAAAAAAUCAAAUUCCAAAAUUAAUGUGCAUAAAGAAAAAGUUCAAGGACUAAGUUGAUAAAAGAUUUCAAAUUUAAAGACUAAAUGUUAUUUUAUUUAAAAAAAAAGUAACCCAAGGUGGUUGUAAUAUCAAAAUCGAAAUAAUUGAAAUAUACAUUUACCAAUUUCAACGCAUUUGAGAAAAAAAGAAGAAGAAAGAAAAGAUAUUUGAACUCACGGUUAAUAUAAUGUCUAAAACUAUCUAUAGUUUUUUCCUAAUUCUUAAAUAAAAAAAUAAUGGGUUUUAGCGCCAUUGAACUCACGUCCUCCUACAUUAACAAUAAUACUAAUAUCAAUUGAGUUAAGACUUAAUUGACAAGAUAUUAUAUAUAUAUAUAUAUAUAUAAUAUAUAUAUUUAAUGGGUCCAAAUAUACAAAUCAAUUCAUAAAAUCAAUAAUUGAAUCACGUUUUUUAUUCACAAAUUACUUUGCACAUUUUAUUCAUAAAAUCAAUUGAGUUAAUCUUCAAUCACUUUUUUUCUACUUUACAUAUUUAAUUCUUGGUUAAAGCCAACUUCUAGGAAGUAAAGUUCAAUUUUAACUUCUCCACUUCAAAAAAAUCAAAUUACAUAAAUUAAAAUAUUGUAAUUUGAUUGACUUUAUUCAUGAAUUAGACCGCGUUGGAUCAAAUUGAGUGAAUUUUUUUUUGAGUUAAUCAAGUUUAUGAUUUCUAUUUUACUAUCUUAAUUCAAUUUUAAAAAAAUUUUAAUCAAAUCGAGUGAAAAUUUGAGUCAAGUCUAAUAAAUUGAAAUUGUUCGAGUUGAAUUAAAAAACUAAACAUGUUAAAUUAAAAUCUUGUUGCAAUAUAAUUAAUUUCACGUUAGAGCAUGUAAAUUUGAAAACUUUUUCAAAGAAAAAAAAAGAUACUUCAGUAUGAUAAGUUGAAUCAUUAAUUAACUUAUUUUAGGUUCCAAAACUAUUAUUUUAAAAAAAAUUUAAACAUUUAAUUUUCUUUAGAAUUUUUUAAAAACUUUCAUAGUUUUUUUUUUAAAUAUAAAUGAAUUUUUAUAAUUAUUUUUUAUUUUUUAUUUUUGAAAAUUAUUUUGUAAUUUUCGCUGAGAGAGAUCAAUUUGCUCAUUUUCAAAAUUGAUAGAGACUAAAAGGGUAUUUACACCAAUGUAUUAUUUGGAUUGUAAAAUUCAACUUGACUCGAACCCAAAACUAGAAUAACUCAACCAACUCAAUUCGAUUAACUUGAAAUUCGAAUCUUUUUCUGAAUCGAAUUGAGUUUUGCUCCUCUAAUUUUAUUAUUAAAAAAUUAUUAUAUUGAUAUUAAUAAAGUAUUAGAAAAUAUAUACUUAUAUUAAUAUUUAUUUUAUAAUUUAAAAAUAUUUUUAUUUAAGAUUAAUUAAAUAUAUAUUUACAUAUCAAAUGAAUUAGAAUAAGCUAAAAAAAUGGUCGUGAGAAUUUUUAAAAUGAAAACUGUGAAAAUCAAAAUAACUUUAGCUAUUAAAUCAAAAUAAAUAAAUUAGAAUAGUGAAUUUAUUGAUCAUUAAGAAAUUAAAAAUUGAAUAAGAAUUUAUUUUAUAAUAUAUCAAUGUUUAUUGUUUAUAAAAAUUCUUUAAUAAUAGGAAAUUUUUAUUUGUACUAUAUUUUAAUAGUUAAAAUAAUUAUAUAUUUUAAUAGCAUUCAUUAAUUAUUAUUUUAAAUAAUGAUUACAUGAACUAAAAUUAUAUUGUAUAUUAAAGUUAUAAUUUGAAUUUUUUAAAUAUUAUUAAAAAAUUAUUGAUUUAUAAAAUAUCAAUAUUUUAAUAUGAUAUUUGAAUUUUUUAUUAUAUUUAAAUUUUUAAAUAAGUUAAUUAUUUUUUAAUUUUUAACCAUUUGAAUAACGAAUUAAAAUUUUAAUUAUAAUAAUUAAAAAUAUAUUAUAUAAAAACUAAUUAAAAAUUAAAUGUAUAAAAUCACAUUAUAACCAUUAAAAGAUAGUUAUAAAUUAAAAGCAAAAGAUAUAAACAUUUUUAAAAAAAAAAUUAAAAUAAAUAAUUUCUAAUUUGUGACCCAAAAAAGUUAGGUACCCAGGCAUUCAUAUGCCCCCACAGCUACACAAAGAGCCUAUAAAUACAAAGGAAUUUCCCAUGCUUUUCACUACCAAAUUACUCAUACAAACCCAUUUUCUAAAGAUAAAGUUUUUUUCUCCUUUUGGUACUUUGUGAGUGGAGAGAGAGAGAAUUUGCCAUGGGUGAAGAAGUAGGGUGUUGCAAGAGAACAGGACCAGGGUAUGGAACUCCAUUGGAAGCCAUGUCUGGUCCUAAAGAAGCUCUUAUGUAUGUUACUUGUGUUUAUAAUGGUAAUACUACUUUUCUUUCAUUUUCUUUGAAACCAAACAUGUUUUAAGUAAUUACUUAUGUUCAUCUAUGUAGGUUUCUUUUUUCUUUCUCUUUUUUUUUUUUUUUUAGUAAUGGAUUUGUAUGCAUCUAUAUAGGAACUGGAAGAGAGAAGCCAGAUUUCUUGGCAACAAUAGAUGUAGAUCCCAACUCACCAACUUACUCUAAAGUUAUACACAGGCUAUCUUUGCCAUAUAUAGGUGAUGAACUACAUCAUACAGGGUGGAAUGCUUGUAGUUCUUGUCAUGGUGAUCCAUCAUCUGAUCGACGGUUUCUAAUCCUGCCUUCGUUGCUGUAAGAAACUGUAACAUGUCUAAUUUUUUAGGGUAGAGUAAACUAUAGUUUUCAAUUAACUUGGUUCAGAGGAGCUGGUUUUGAUGGUUAAGACAGUUUUGUAACCGAUUAAAACAGGUUAUAUCGGUGGAUUAGAAAUAUUAGAUUAUGGUUGACUAAUUACGUGAAAAAAAUGGUGAAAUUUAUAAAGUUUUGUGUUGAAAUCUUAUUUCAUAUAUAUAUGUAAAAGAUAUAAACGAAAAACCCUCAAACUUGAGUGAGUGUUAAAUUUGAAUAAUAUAGCACAACUCGAUUGAAUUUUAAUUCGAUUGGUAUGGAUAUUAUUAUCAAUAUAGGAAGACAUGAGUUUGAAUGUGUUAAAGGGUAACCUUAUCUUAAAAAGAGAAUAUAUGUAUAGCAGAAGUAUAUUAUGAGUAUUUUGCUUGUUUCAGCUCUGGUCGUAUCUAUGUGAUCGACACACAAAAGAACCCCAAGGCUCCCUCGUUGCACAAAGUGGUGGAACCUGAGCACAUCAUUGAGAAAACCGGCUUGGCAUAUCCCCAUACAUCUCACUGCCUUGCCAACGGCGACAUAAUCAUUUCAUUUCUCGGCGACAAAGAUGGAAACGCCCAAGGCAACGGAUUCCUUCUCCUCGAUUCCCAGUUCAACAUCAAAGGGAGGUAAAUGCAAAAACAAAAACAAAAACAACAAUUUAGACCAUGAAAACAAUUGUCAUUAAGCUUAAGCUGUUUCACUUCUUGUUGUUGGUUUUUUUAAGGUGGGAAAAACCAGGGCGUAAAGCUGAGUUUAGCUACGAUUUUUGGUACCAACCUCGACAUAAAACGAUGAUCUGCUCAUCGUUUGGUGCUCCUUUGGCAUUCACCCAAGGUUUUAACCUUAAACAUGUCGAAGACGGUUUCUAUGGAAGACAACUGUUUGUGUAUGAUUGGCCUGAUGGUCGGCUCAAACAGACAUUGGAUCUCGGUGACAAUGGUCUUAUCUCCGGAGAGGUAACUUUAAGGGUUAAUUAAACCAAAUCUUUAUUAACUACUAUACUAAUCACCUUAUUUUAUCGGUCUAAUUAAUACUCACUUUGAAAUAUAUUUAAAAUAUGUAUCAUAUUAUAAAUUUAUAUAUACUUAUAGCCAAUAUUACCAAAACCAUACUUGUGGCCAGCAUCUACUUUCUUAGCCAAUAUUUACUUCAUAUUUUGUGUAUGCAAAAUGCAAUAAAUCCUGCUUUCUUAGACUUGGAAUUCGCUAUAUGCAUGUAUAUACACUGAUGUGUUUUCUUUGCAGAUAAGAUUCUUGCAUGAUCCAACCAAAGACACAGGGUACGUCGAGUGUGUCCUAUCAAGCAACGUAGUACGGUUUUUCAAGACCCAAGAUGGAUCAUCAUGGAGUCACGAGGUGGCUAUCUCAGUGAAACCAUUGAAGGUACAAAACUGGAUUCUCCCCGAAAUGCCCGGACUCAUAAUCGGCCUUUUAAUCUCUCUCGACGACCGGUUCCUAUAUUUCGUCAACUGGUUCCACGGCGAUGUCCGACAAUACAACGUUGAAGACCCCAAAAACCCAAUCUUGGUCGGCCAAGUAUACGUCGGAGGAUUGCUUCAAAAGGGCAGCCCCAUAACAGCAGUCACAGAAGAUGGAAAAACAUGGCAAGCCGAUGUUCCUAAAAUCCAGGUCUUGUUCUUUCAACAUUGAUAUAAUAACAAAAUUGUCGGAUUAGGCCUAUCAAUGGCGAUAUUGAUGCUGAACAUUGUUUUUGUUUGUUUUUGUAGGGACAUUGUCUCAGAGGGGGACCUCAUAUGACACAGUUAAGCUUAGAUGGGAAGCGGCUGUAUGUGACGAACUCGUUGUUUAGCACAUGGGAUCGACAGUUUUACCCUGAUGUUAUAGAGAAAGGUUCACAUAUGAUACAGAUUGAUGUGGACAUUGAGAAUGGUGGUCUGAAAAUAAACCCAGAUUUUUUUGUUGAUUUUGGAGCUGAACCUGAUGGUCCUUGUUUGGCUCAUGAGAUGAGAUACCCAGGUGGUGAUUGUACCUCAGAUAUUUGGAUUUAAAUCAUAUGAAGAAAAAAACAGUUUCAGUUAUGAAGACAAAACAAUCAAUGUAAUCUUGUUGACUGUUGUGAAUUAAAAGAACACGUGUUCUUGGAGGAGAUAAUGUAAUAAUAUCAUCACAUCCACAUGUACCUUGGACUCUCAAUGUUCUAAAACUUGGCCGUUGUUGCUCAUUGUUGAUAUGAUUUGGACUUUGGAGUAUCCUAAGAGAGGUCCAAAAGGUGUCAACUAAAUAAAGCAAAAAAGUACAAUGGGUAACAAACUUAAACCCAGCUCACAAGGUGUCCUAAGCCCAUAGGAACACCGACUAGCAAGGGUUUGGAGUCAUCCCCAACAACCGUUGGAUCACUGUGAAAACAAAAGAGAUGAAUAAAUAUCGAGACAAACAAUCAUUCCUGCCUUCAUCCACCAAACCUUUAAAUCUCUCAUCGCAUUCCAUUGGUGACUCAAAGAGUAGUGAAGGAACUUAAAGAAACAACUUGUUCGGGGUUCGUUCGGGAUUCCAAUAGGACUUGGAAAAAGCAUUACCCCUUCCGGGAAAGGCAAGCCAACUCCAACUUCAUUAAGCCAUCAAUAAGCAUGGUCACAUCUGACAUACAUCUUAUUCAUGGUUAGUUGUUUUAGUAAUAUUAUUUUUAGAGUUGGAACUUAAGUUAUCUCUUUUGAAGUAUAAUGUGUUUUAACAAAACAUUUUAUAUUUAUUAAUUAAUUAAUAAUUAUAUCUUUUAACGAGUAAUGUGAUAAAAUUCGUUAAUAAUGUAUAAAUCUAUAUAUAAAAAGUUGAUUGAGUCUUAGAUCAGUUGAUAUUGAUAUUAUUGUCAAUAUAAAAAGACAUAGGUUUGAAUGUGUAUAAAAACAAUCUAUGUCGAAGACAAUGGUAGGAAUUUUAUAUUAGAGUAGGAUAAUAUUAUAAAAUUUUGAAACCUAAAGCUAAGAUUUCUAGGUUAAGAAGCUUAAAUUGUUAAUUUUUGUAAAGGACCAAAAAAUAAUUUUUUUUUUUUAGAAUUAGAACUAAAUUAACAAAUUUUGAAGGCUAAAUUUAUUGAAUUUUUUAGCAUUCAAACUAAAAUGUCAAAUUUUGUGAACAUUGAGGGCUAAAUUUUUGUUGAAUAUUUUCUAUUUAGGACCAAAUUAAUAUAAUGUUUAAACAUUAGAGGGCUAAAUUUAUUAUUAGACCAAUAAAAAAAAAGGCUCAAAUCAACUUUAAAUUAACAAUUCAACAAACAAAAUAGAAUAAAGACAAUAGUUUAAGGAUCAUUUGAUUGUUUAACCUUAAUAAAAUCCAUAUUCAAUUAUUUUUUGAAAGAUAUAUUACCUUUAAAAAAAUACAUAUUUAUUUAUUAUUUAUAAACAUUAUACAUAAAUAAAUUUAAUAUAUAUUCAUAAAAAUAUUUACAAAUAUGUUGGUUUAAUGUUUACGAAGAAUUUCAUUUAACUUAAACAAAUAUAUAUAAUUUGAAAUAAAUAAAUAGAAACAUAAUUUUGAAACAUUUAACAUACAUGAACCGACCACAGCUAUUUUUUUAACAGUAAUAUUAUUAUAGGUUAUUAUCAUAUUUAAUUUUUUUGAUAUAAUAUCUAAAAUUAUUCAUAGCAUCUUCCUAACAUUUAAAUAAGAGGAUAAUGCGCUGCAGCGCACUCGAACUCAUGUUCUUCUACACUAACAAUAAUACCGAUAUUAAUCAAACUAAUACUUAAUCGACCGAACACCAAUAAUAUUAAAAAUAAAGGAAUAAAUAUAAACAAAAAUUCAUUUGUUGAAGAUGGGUUGCUCUGGAGGGUUACAAACACCAAUUUCAACGCAUUUGAGAAAAAAAGAAGAAAUAAAAGAUAUUUAAACCCACGGUUAAUAUAAUGUUUAAAACUAUCUAUAGUUUAUUCCUAAUUUUUAAAUAAAAGAAUAAUGGGGUUUAGCGCCCUUGAACUCACGUCCUCCUAUAUUAACAAUAAUACCAAUAUCAAUUGAGUUAAGACUUAAUUGACAAAAUACUUUAUAUAUAUAUAUAUAGUGGGUCCAAAUAUACAAAACAAUUCAUAAAAUCAAUAAUUGAAGAAUUGGACUCACACAUUUGAUCAUCCUCCGUCAAUGUAAACAUCAAUUCCAAAUCUAAAUUCUUGGUUAAAGUCUACUUCUAAUAAGUAAAGAUCAAUUUUAAUUUAACUUCUCCACUUCAAAAAAAUCAAAUUAGAUAAACUAAAAUAUUGUAAUUUGAUUGAAUUAGAACGCGUUGGAUUAAAUUGAGUGAAAUUUUUUUGAGUUAAUCAAGUUUAUGAGUUCUAUUUUAUCAUCUUAAUUUAAUUUAAAAAAAUUUCAAAUCAAGUCGAGUGAAAAUUUGAGUCAAGUCGAAUAGAGCGAAAUUGUUCGAGUUGAAUUAAAAAAUUAAACAUUUUAAUUAAAAUCUUGUUACAGUAUAAUUGAUUCCAUGUUAGACAUGUAAAUUUGAAAACUUUUUCAAAGCAAAAAAAAAAAAAAAAAUACUUCAGAAUAAUAAAGUUGAAUAAUUCAUUAACUUAUUUUAGGUUCCAAAAUUAUUAUUUUAGAAAAUUUUUAAAAUUUUAAUUUUCUUUAAAUUUUUUUUAAAACUUCCAUAAUUUUUUAAAAAAUAUAAAUGAAUUUUUAUAAAUAUUUUUAAUUUUAAAAUUAUUUUUAUUUUUGAAAACUACUAUGAAUUAUUUUGUAAUUUUUGUUGAGAGAGACCAAUCUAUUAUUUGGAUUGUAAAAUUCAACUUGACUCGAACUCAAAACUCGAAUUACUCAACCAACUCAAUCCGAUUAACUUGAAAUUCAAAUUUUUUUCCGAAUCGAAUUGAGUUUUGCUCCUCUAGUUUUAUUAUUAAAAAAAUUCUUAUAUUGAUAUUAAUAAAGUAUUAGAAAAUAUAUACUUAUAUUAAUAUUUAUUUUAUAAUUUAAAAAUAUUUUUAUUUAAGAUUAAUUAAAUAUAUAUUUACAUAUCAAAUGAAUUAGAAUAAGCUAAAAAAAUGGUGGGAAUUUUUAAAACGAAAACUAUGAAAACCAAAAUAAUUUUAGCUAUUAAAUCAAAAUAAAUAAAUUAGAAUAGUGAAUUUAUUGAUUAUUAAGAAAUUAAAAAUAGAAUAAGAAUUUAUUUUAUAAUCAAUGUUUAUUGUUUAUAAAAAUUCUUUAAUAAUAGGAAAUUUUUAUUUGUACUAUAUUUUAAUAGUUAAAAUAAUUAUAUAUUUUAAUAGCAUUCAUUAAUUAUUAUUUUAAAUAAUGAUUACAUGAACUAAAAUUAUAUUGUAUAUUAAAUUAUGAUUUGAAUUUUUUUAAAUAUUAUUAAAAAAUUAUUGAUUUAUAAAAUAUCAAUAUUUUAAUAUGAUAUUUGAAUUUUUAUUAUAUUUAAAUUUUUAAAUAAGUUAAUUAUUUUUUAUUACUUUUUAACCAUUUGAAGAACGAAUUAAAAUUUUAAUUAUAAUAAUUAAAAAUAUAUUAUAUAAAAAUAAUUUAAAAUUAAAUGUAUAAAAUCACAUUAUAACCAGUAAAAAAUAGUUAUAAAUUAAAAGCAAAAGAUAUAAACAUUUUUUAAAAAAUUAAAAUAAAUAGUUUCUAAUUUGUGACCCAAAAAAGUUAGGCACCCAGGCAUUUAUCUGCCCCCACAGCUACACAAAGAGCCUAUAAAUACAAAGGAUUUUCCCAUGCUUAUCACUACCAAAUUACUCAUACAAACCCUUUUUCUAAAGUAAAGUUUUUUUUUCCCCCCUUUUGGUAGUUUAUGAGUAUAGAGAGAGAGAGAGAGAGAGAAUUUGCCAUGGGUGAAGAAGUAGGGUGUUGCAAGAGAACAGGAACAGGAUAUGGAGCUCCAUUGGAAGCCAUGUCUGGUCCUAAAGAAGCUCUUAUCUAUGUUCCUUGUGUUUAUAAUGGUAAUACUACUUUUCUUUCAUUUUCUUUGAAACCACACAUGUUUUAAUUAAUUACUUAUGUUCAUCUAUGUGGGUUUUUUUUUUCGUUCUCUUCUUUUUUUUUUCUUUUUUUUUAUAUAUAUAAUGGAUUUGUAUGCAUCUAUAUAGGAACUGGAAGAGAGAAGCCAGAUUUCUUGGCAACAGUUGAUGUAGAUCCCAACUCACCAACUUACUCUAAAGUUAUACACAGGCUAUCUUUGCCAUAUAUAGGUGAUGAACUACAUCAUACGGGGUGGAAUGCUUGUAGUUCUUGUCAUGGUGAUCCAUCAUCUGAUCGACGGUUUUUGAUCCUGCCUUCUUUGCUGUAAGAAACUGUAACAUGUCUAAUUUUUUAGGGUAGAGUAAACUAUAUAGUUUUCAACUAACUUGGUUCAGUGGAGUUGGUUUUGAUGGUUAAGACAGUUUUGUAACCCAUUAAAACAGGUUAUAUCGGUGGACUAGAAAUAUUAGAUUGUGGUUGACUUAUUACGUGAAAAUAGAUGGUGAAAUUUAUAAAGUUUUGUCUUGAAAUCUUAUUUCAUAUAUAUAUUUAUGUAAAAGAUAUAAACGAAAAACACUCAUAGUACACUUUACCUUAUAAAACAAUAUCCACUUAUAAUCUAUUAAACCUAUUUAUGGGUCGAACAAAAAGGUUUAGCUAAAAAUAUUAGGUUCGAAAAAUAUUUAUGUUAUACAAACUUGAGUACGUGAGUGUUAAAGUUGAAUAAUAUAGCACAACUCGAUUGAGUUCUAAUUCGAUUGAUAUAGAUACUAUUGUCAAUAUAAAAAGACGUGAGUUCGAAUGUGUUGAAAUACAGUAUCUUUCUAUUUAUGAGUUAGGAAACCGUAACGAGUAACCUUAUCUUAAAAAAGAGAAUAUAAGUAUAGAAGUAUAUUAUGAGUAUUUUGCUUGUUUCAGCUCUGGUCGUAUCUAUGUGAUCGACACACAAAAGAACCCCAAGGCUCCCUCGUUGCACAAAGUGGUGGAACCUGAGCACAUCAUUGAGAAAACCGGCUUGGCAUAUCCCCAUACAUCUCACUGCCUUGCCAACGGCGACAUAAUCAUUUCAUUUCUCGGCGACAAAGAUGGAAACGCCCAAGGCAACGGAUUCCUUCUCCUCGAUUCCCAGUUCAACAUCAAAGGGAGGUAAAUGCAAAAACAAAAACAACAAUUUAGACCAUGAAAACAAUUGUCAUUAAGCUUAAGCUGUUUCACUUCUUGUUGUUGGUUUUUUUAAGGUGGGAAAAACCAGGGCGUAAAGCUGAGUUUAGCUACGAUUUUUGGUACCAACCUCGACAUAAAACGAUGAUCUGCUCAUCGUUUGGUGCUCCUUUGGCAUUCACCCAAGGUUUUAACCUUAAACAUGUCGAAGACGGUUUCUAUGGAAGACAACUGUUUGUGUAUGAUUGGCCUGAUGGCCGGCUCAAACAGACAUUGGAUCUCGGUGACAAUGGUCUUAUCUCCGGAGAGGUAACUUUAAGGGUUAAUUAAACCAAAUCUUUAUUAACUGACUAUACUAAUCACCUUAUUUUAUCGGUCUAAAUACUCACUUUGAAAUAUAUUUAAAAUAUGUAUCAUAUUAUAAAUUUGUAUAUACUUAUGGCCAAUAUUACCAAAACCAUACUUGUGGCCAGCAUCUACUUUCUUAUCCAAUAUUUACUUCAUAUUUUGUGUAUGCAAAAUGCAAUAAAUCCUGCUUUCUUAGACUUGGGAUUCGCUAUAUGCAUGUAAAUACACUGAUAUGUUUUCUUUGCAGAUAAGAUUCUUGCAUGAUCCAACCAAAGACACAGGGUACGUCGAGUGUGUCCUAUCAAGCAACGUAGUACGGUUUUUCAAGACCCAGGAUGGAUCAUCAUGGAGUCACGAGGUGGCUAUCUCAGUGAAACCAUUGAAGGUACAAAACUGGAUUCUCCCCGAAAUGCCCGGACUCAUAGUCGGCCUUUUAAUCUCUCUCGACGACCGGUUCCUAUAUUUCGUCAACUGGUUCCACGGCGAUGUCCGACAAUACAACAUUGAAGACCCCAAAAACCCAAUCUUGGUCGGCCAAGUAUACGUCGGAGGAUUGCUUCAAAAGGGCAGCCCCAUAACAGCAGUCACAGAAGAUGGUAAAACAUGGCAACCCGAUGUUCCUAAAAUCCAGGUCUUGUUCUUUCAACAUUGAUAUAAUGACAAAAUUGUCGGAUUAUGCCUAGCAAUGGCGAUAUUGAUGAUGAACAUUGUUUGUGUUUGUUUUUGUAGGGACAUUGUCUCAGAGGGGGACCUUGUAUGACACAGUUAAGCUUAGAUGGGAAACGGCUGUAUGUGACGAACUCGUUGUUUAGCACAUGGGAUCGACAGUUUUACCCUGAUGUUAUAGAGAAAGGUUCACAUAUGAUACAGAUUGAUGUGGACAUUGAGAAUGGUGGUCUGAAAAUAAACCCAGAUUUUUUUGUUGAUUUUGGAGCUGAACCUGAUGGUCCUUGUUUGGCUCAUGAGAUGAGAUACCCAGGCGGUGAUUGUACUUCAGAUAUUUGGAUUUAAAUCAUAUGAAGAAAAAAAACAGUUUCAGUUAUGAAGACAAAACAAUCAAUGUAAUCUUGUUGACUGUUGUGAAUAAAAAUAACACGUGUUCUUGGAAGAGAUAAUGUAAUAACAUCAUCACAUGUAUCUUGGACUCUCAAUGUUCUAAAACUUGGCUGUUGUUGCUCAUUGUUGAUAUGAUUUGGAGUAUCCUAGGAGAGGUCCAAAAGGAAGUACAAUGGGUAACAAACUUAAACCCAGGCCACAAGGUGUCCUAAGCCCAUAGGAACACCAACUAGCAAGGGUUUGGAGUCAUCCCCAACUACCGUUGGAUCACUGUGAAAACAAAAGAGAUGAAUAAAUAUCGAGACAAACCAUCAUUCCUGCCUUCAUCCACCAAACCUUUAAAUCUCUCAUCGCAUUCCUCUGAUGACUCAGAGAGUAGUGAAGGAACUUAAAGAAACAGCUUGUUCCGGGUUCGUUCAGGAUUCCGAAAUGACUUAGAAAAAGCAUCACCCCUUCUGGGAGAGGCAAGCCAGCUCCAACUUCAGUAAGCCAUCAAUAAGCAUGGUCACAUCUGACAUGCAUCUUAUUCAUGGCUAGUUCUUUUAGAAAUAUUAUUUUUAGAGUUUGAAUUCAAGUUAUCUCUUUUGAAAUAUAAUGUGUUUUAACAAAACAUUUUACAUUUAUUAAUUAAUUAAUAAUGAUAUCUUUUAACGAGUAAUGUGAUAAAAUUCAUUAAUAAUGUGUAAAUAUAUAUAUAAAAAGCUGAUCGAGUCUUAGAUCAGUUGAUAUCGAUAUUAUUAUCAGUAUAAAAAGAUAUAGGUUUGAAUGCGUUAAAGCACAUUUAUCCUAUAGGAAUCCCACCGAAUUAAAUCUAUAGCUCGGGCUGUUUUAACAAUUUGGCUCAGUAAGCUUUUGUUGGAUUAAAAGUUAGAACUUGGGAUUACCCAUACUGAAAUUUUUUUAUUUAAUGAGUUUUAAAUUUUGUUUUUAAUAAGAGAAAAAUAUAUUACAUAAUUUAGAUUCGAAUUUUAAGUUUAAUGUAAAUUAAAUCCUUAAAUUUAACAAUAAUUUUUUAAUUAAAUGAUAAUAGCAAUUUAAUAUAUAUUUGUUAAUUAGUAGUUGAGUCUGUAAUACCCCCUACCCGUAUUCGUCGCCGAAAUAGAGUAUGAGGCAUUACCAGAUUUUACCGAAUUUUUUUUUUCAAGAUAGAUUUAUCAUAUUCAUAAGAUAAUUUCAUCACAUACCAAAACCAAAAUUUGUUAGCCAUACCAAUGGCUAACCAUACAUUCAUUUCACAUUAGCAUCUAAUUUACUAGCUUAUACAUGCCAUUGAUUUCCAAAAUAAAGUUCCUUUAUGUACCGAGAUCUCGAGAUUGAUAGUGUGAUGUGUCUCCGACCAAAUCCGACUUCCGAGCUCUUAACUCUACAAACAGGGGAAAAAAAACAGGGUAAGCACUUUGUGCUUAGUAAGUUCAUGCAACAGGAAUUAUACUUACCAUACUUAUACAUCCAUCAUUUAAUAACACAAGCACACAUCCAAUUCACAUAAACAUAUACCUAUCACAUACAAACUCAACCUCAUACAAAUUCAUUACAAAGAUAAAUGAUUGAUGAGCUCAUCAAUUCCAUGAUUUCCAUUUCCUUGUUAUUUUUCCAUAUUUAUCCCGUUGAACUACUUGGAAUUUCGAUGGAUAUUCAGGGUACACCUAAGUGUACAAAUCGGGGUCCGUCAAUUCAUAUUCAUGUGCGCACAUUUCCAUUUCAGAGAGCACACUCCCGCGAACCUCAUCCUUACAGCGGGAUUACCAAUCCAGGCUAAAUCCCCUGUAAUAUAAACUCAUAGAGUAUUGUCGGGAUUACCAGUCCAGGCUAAAUCCCCUGCAACGACAAUUACUCUAAUGAGCUUGGAUCUGAAUUACCAGUCCAGGCUAAAUUCAGACCCUAAUUCGGAUUACCCGUCCGGGCUAAAUCCAUUUUCCACAUAUUCUUCGGGAGGGCUAUAUCAGGAUAGGAUCACCCGUCCGGGCUAGAUCCUUUUUACCGUCAAUUCCUUUUCAGAGAUCCAUCGAACUUUCCUUUCAUUCAACCGGGAUUUAUUUCCUCUUUUCAUCAAGUAUAUCAAUACUUCAUCAAUUAUCAUACAAUAAACAUCCAACUCAUAUUCACAUCAAUAACAAACAUUUCAAGCAUUUAUGAAUAUAAUUCAAGUUACACGAACUUACCUCGAUACUUGUUCGUAACCAAAAAUCUACUAAUCCCAAAAUUUUUCUUUCCCUCGAUCUUGCUUCGUAUUUGAAUUUUCCGGAUCUAAAUAAAUAAAUUUAAUCAUUAAUCUAAUACAUUUCAUGUUCAUAUGUAACUUUCUCUACAAUUCCAUUAUUAUUUAUAGUGCAUUCAAAGCUGCCUCACUGAGUCACAGUCACUAAAUUAUUUAUAUCUUGAGCUACAGAACUCUAAAUUAAGAUCCGNNNNNNNNNNNNNNNNNNNNNNNNNNNNNNNNNNNNNNNNNNNNNNNNNNNNNNNNNNNNNNNNNNNNNNNNNNNNNNNNNNNNNNNNNNNNNNNNNNNNAUUCUUUAAAGUUUCCCCUGUUUCACUGUAUGACAGUUCUGACCCCUCUUCACUAAAAAUUAAUAUCUCACUGUACAGAAUUAGGAUGAUGCUUCCCUUUAUUUCUUCAGAAAAUAGACUCAUUAAUGAUUCUAAGCAUAUAAAUUAUAACUCAUAAUCAUUUUUGUACAAUUUUUAAUGAUUUUCCAAAUUCAGAACAGGGGAACCCGAAUUCAUUCUGACCUUGUCUCACAAAAUCUAUUAUAUCUCAUGAUUUACAAUUCCAUUGCUUACACCUUUUCUUUUAUAAGAAACUAGACUCAAUAAGAUUUAAUUUCAUAUUUUAUUCAUCCUCUAAUUCGAUCUCUACAAUUUUUGGUGAUUUUUCAAAGUCAGAGUACUGCUGCUGUCCAAAACUGUUUUAGUGCAUGGUGUUAAUUACCAUUUUUCCCUUAAACUUUCAACAAUGAUAAUUUCGUCCCUGCUCAAUUAACCUCUCAAUUGAGCUGAUUUUUCUCAAUAAACACUUUAUUAUAUCACUUUAAACUACCUUAUAACCUUUGAAAAUCAGAAUUUCAGCACUAAACUUUAAUUCCAGACGUUUUCACAAUUAGGUCCUACAAAUCAAUUUCUAUUGGAAUUACCUAAUAAAAUCAUCUCAUAAACAAAUUAAAGCAUCAAUUUCAUCCUAUUUCCUCAUAAAAUUCCAGCACAUAUUCAUAUCAACUUUCAAUAUCAUUCACAAAAUCAAAAACUAAUGAAUUUAGUAAUAGGACCUAGUUGUAAAAGUCUUAGAAACACAAAAAUUACAAGAAAAAGGCAAGAAUUAACUCACUUGGUGCAAAAAUUAUGAAAAAGCCAGCUUGAAGAAACCCUUAGGACGUUUUUGGCUGAUGGGAAUGCAGAAAAAUAAAGAGGAAUCUAGAUAAUUCCACUUUAGUCCUAACUUUUAAAGCAAAUUUUGUAAUAUUCCAAUUUUACCCUUAUUUCUUCAAUUCUCCUGAUUUUUCUCAGCGUAUGCCGCCCAAAAUAUCUCCUUUUGGGGUUAUUUUCAAUAUAUGUCCCUGCUCAUUUCACAAUUAAGCUAUUUAAUCCCUCUAGUAACUUUUACACCUUUUUCAAUUUAGUCCUUUUUACUUAAUUGACUACCCAAACAUUAAAAUUUUCUAACGAAAUUUUAAUACCAUAUUACUAACACUUCAUAAAUAUUUAUAAAAAUAUUUUUGACUCGGUUUUACGAGAUCGAAGUCUCGAUAUCUCAUUUUUACCUAAUUUCUUCAAUAAUUUCUUUUUCUAACUAACUGCUUAAUCAGUAAAAUUUUUCUAUCGAUAUUUUCAUACGAUUUUUCCUAUCAUAUCAAUAUUCAUGCAAAAAUAUUAAAAUAAAUUUCUCUUUAAAUCGGAUUUGUGGUUACGAAACCACUAUUCCGAUAAUUUUGAAUUUGGGCCAUUACAGAGUCCUUCGGUUUAUUGACUAAAGGCGGUUACUCUAUAUGUCGCAUGUUCCGAUAAAUUAUAAAACUGAUCAUUAAAUUAUUGUCUUCAGUUUAUUUUUUAUCAUUGAACUAUUAUUUUUUAUUUAAUCACUAAACUUUUCGAAAUCAAAUAUUUUAAUUUGAAGUUGAUUUGAGCAUUUUUUUUAUUAGUCUAAUAAUAAAUUUAACUCUCCAAUAUUUACACAUUUUUAUCCUAAAUAUAAAACAUUUAACAAAUUUAGCCCUCAAUAUUUAUAAAAUUUAUCAUUUUAGUUUGAAUUCUAAAAAAUUCACAUGGCUUUACCUAUAACUAAGCAAUCCAUUUCCUGUAAUAUUAUCUUCUGUUUUGAAGUUGGAGAUGACAACUUGAGCUCACUUCUAUUUUAGGUAGUGUUGAAUUCCGUUAUUUGGUGAUGUUUUUUUUCCUUAUUAUAAGCUAGUUGGUUAGUUGUUGUAGACUUUGUCGAAGAUUUGCAAUCAACUUUCUUUCAUCAAUUGUAACGUUUUAAAUAUCAUUACUAUGUGGUGUUCUUUUCAUUCCUUUUUUUUCUCUAUUCCAUGUGUUGGGUUGGUAAACAAGGUGUAUAAAAACAAUCUAUGUCGAAAUUUUCUAGGUUAGGAAGCUUAAAUUAUUAAUUUUUGUAAAGGACCAAAAAUUAAUUUAUUACUUUUUUUUAGAAUUAGAACUAAAUUGAAAAAAUUUUUAAGGCUAAAUUUAUUGAAUUUUUUAGCAUUCAAACUAAAAUGACAAAUUUUGUAAACAUUGAGGGCUAAAUUUGUUAUUUUAUAUUUAGGAUCAAAUUGAUAUAAUGUUUAAACAUUGGAGGGCUAAAUUUGUUAUUAGACCAAUAAAAAAUGUCAAAUCAACUUUAAAUGACUAAAACAUUUGAUUAAAUCAGAAAAAUUAACAAUUCAACUAACAAAAUAGAAUAAAGACAAUAGUUUAAGGAUCAUUUUAUUGUUUAACCUUAAUAAAAUCCAUAUUCAAUUAUUUUUUGAAAGGUAUAUUACCUUUAAAAAAAUACAUAUUUAUUUAUUAUUUAUGAACAUUAUACAUAAAUAAAUUUAAUAUAUAUUCAUAAAAAUAUUUACAAAUACGUUGGUUUAAUGUUUACGAAGAAUUUCAUUUAACUUAAAAAUAUAUAUAUAAUUUGAAAUAAAUAAAUAGAAACAUAAUUUUGAAACAUUUAACAUACAUGAACAGACCACCGUUAUUUUUUGAACAGUGAUAUUAUUAUAGGUUAUUAUCAUAUAAUACUUAAAACUACUUAUAGUCUCUUCCUAACAUUUAAAUAAGAGGAUAUUGCGCUUUAGCGCACUUGAACUUACGUUCUUCCACACUGACAGUAAUAUCGAUAUUAAUCAAACUAAUACUUUUAUAACAUUAAAAAUAAAAAAUUAAAUAUUUGUUGAAGAUGGGUUGCUUUGGAGGGUUACAAAUACCGACAUGGAUAAUGAAAAUCGAGGAGAGAUCUGGAAACAUCGUGCACCUAAAAAGAUUGGAUGAAGACACAAAAGGCCCAUUGCUCUCACUAACAGCUCACUACACCAUACACGUCAACCUCAUCUAAAUAUUAAAUUUCAUAUAAAUUAAAAAAAUAAAUAUUUUUAUUUUCAUUAAUUUAGUUCUUCUAACUUUUAAAUUUCAAAAUUCACGUCUAAUUAUUGACAUUGUUAAUUUUUAAAAAUUUAAAUUAAUUACAAUGGGUUUUUUUAAAUUACAUGAGCACCAACUGAACAUCAAUAAAUUUAAUCAGACUUAUUUUUACUAUUAUUUAUUAUUAAAAAAUCUUAUAAUUUUUACUAUUAUUUAUUAUUUUAGAUAAUGAAUAUUAAUAAAACUUAUUUUAUUUAAUCAGACUAUGGGUUGAUUUAUUAAUAGUUUUAUUAAGUUUUAUUAAUAUUUAUUAUUAAAAAUCUUAUAAUUUUUACUAUUAUUUAUUAUUUUAGAUAAUGAAUAUUAAUAAAACUUAUUUUAUUUCAAAUUAUAUCAUUAUAAUUAUUAUUUUAGAUAAUAAAAAUUACUAAAAUGUGUUGGCAUUGAUUUAUUGGUACAAACAUUCUUCAUACAUCCAUGGCUACUGUCGUGCAGUAAAAGACGAGGGGAGACAGAAGAACAGAGAAAGAAGAACAUACUUACCCAGUGGACAAAGUGCUCUUCAAAUAAAUAAUAAGAUAAUAAUAAAAAAGUAAAAAUUAUUUAUUAUUUAAUCAGGGUAGCUCUAAAUAUUAUAUAAAAAAAGUAGAUAAUUGUAAUCAGACUUAUUUUUACUAUUAUUUAUUAUUUUAAAUAAUGAAUAUUAAUAAAACUUAUCAAUAGAAAUUCAAUAACAACAUUUUUGUUAGAAAAAAAAUUAUUAAAAUCUUUUAAAUAGUGAUUUUAACAAUUAAUCAGGAGUAAAACUCUUAAAUAAUAAUCUAUUAUUAAACAAUAAAUGCAAAAUUAGGAUUUACUAAGUAAAUUUCAUAUCAAUAUAUCAUUAUAAUUAUUAUUUCAACUUUUUAUUUUAAUUAAUUUUGUGAAAAUAAAGCUAAUUUUAUAACUGUAUAAUAUCCAAAUAAUAAAAAAAUAAGAGUGACAUAAUAACGAGAUGACAAUAAAAUAAAAAAAUAAAAAAUAAAAAUAAAACAACAAUUUUUUUAUAAAUUUGGUCCAUAAGUCUAGUCCUACCAUGACAGAUAAAUUUUUUUAAUAAUUUAUUUAUAUAAAUUAAAAUUUAAAAAAUUAAAAUUUUAUAUUAAUAUUAUUUUUCAAUAAAACAAUCAAUAAAGUAAAGGACUCUACACUAAUUGCACUUACUAAUAUAAAGUCCUAAAGUCGAUCUUAUCCUUGUCAUCAGCUCUCAGCUUAAUCCAACACCGCCACGUGGACAAGUCUGGGUCAGAGUUGACGUGUGACGCAAAACGGUGAAUGUGAUCGAAAGGUCCCUCUAUUAUAGGGACCUGAUCAAAUUAGUCUCUGGUGGAUCAAUUUAAUCUGUGUACUAACCAAAUUGGAAUAUAUUUAACAUUUAUUUUUUAACGUAGUUAAUAAUAAAGGAUAUAAUUUGAACAUAUUAAUUUUUUUAAUAGCAUAAGGAUUAAAUUGAUCCAUUUAAUAAUAAAGGGACUAAUUUGAUCUAACUCAUAUAAUGCAAGGAUAUCUCGGGUACUUUAAAGGACCAAAAACACAACUGCAAAUCUCAUCUCAGUACAACACGCGUCAAUCUGAACACAGUCCGAUGUGAUAACUCCCGAAUCUCAAAGCCCUUGGGACCACAUGGAGAUCAAAAGAGGAAACACAAUAUUGGUCGUAAGUUUAGUUAGGGAAAAUUAUAUAGAGGGUCCCUGUAGAUAUUCUUUCACAAGCUUAAAGUUUGUCUGAUAAACUAAAAUUUUAAGUAUGGAAAAAUUUAAUGGUAAAUAUAAUUAAGCUAUUUGAUAAAAAUAAAUAUUAAUUUUUAAAAGAUUAUUUAUUUUUAAUUUUAAUCUUAUUAAUAUAAUAAUUAUAUUAGCGAUAAUUUGAACAUUUCAUUUAAAAAAAAGAAAAUAUUAAAUAGUAGCUAUCAGUAGUAUAUAUAAAAGAAAAACAACGAAAUUUUUGUAGGAAGAAAGAAGAGGAAAAAAAGAAAGAGAGAAAUUGCGAUGGGUGAAGAAACUGAGUGUUGCAGAACAACAGGACCAGGAUAUGAAACUCCACUGAAAGCCAUGUCUGGUCCUAAAGAAGCUCUUCUUUAUGUUACUUGUGUUUAUACUGGUAAUGAUUUUCUCUCUUCUUCUUCUUCUUCUUCUUCUUUUUGUUUUGGUUUUUGGCGUGAUGUCUGCAACCUUUUUUUUUUUCUGGGAAUUAAUUUCAUUUGAUCCAUUUAUUCCUUGAAUUAUAAGUUGUUAUGUGUUCAUGUUUAUUUUCAUAAAAUUUUAGAGAAAAUUCAGUGGGUGUUUUCUUUUUUAUUUUCUAAAAAAAAAGAAAAAAAACAUAUAUUUAGCUUUUUUUUAAAAUAUUAUAAAUAAUCUAUCUCACUGUAGAUUUUACUCCAAAAGUGAAACAUUAACUUUUAGAUCUACUUCUUAAUUAUCAUAUAAAAUAAUAUAUAUAGAUAUAUUUAAAUGGAUUUGCAUGAUGUAUGCAGGAACAGGAAGAGAGAAGCCUGAUUUCUUGGCAACGGUUGAUGUAGAUCCGAACUCACCAACUUAUUCUAAAGUCAUCCACAGGCUAUCUAUGCCGUAUGUAGGUGAUGAACUACAUCACUCUGGGUGGAAUGCUUGCAGCUCUUGCCAUGGUGAUCCGUCGGCCGAUCGACGUUUUCUGAUCCUUCCUUCAUUGGUGUAAGUGGCUAUAUGCCUGAAAUUUUGUUUAUGGAGAGUGAGAUAAUAUUAUAAAAUUUGAAGGGGCAUAAGUUAAAAAUUUUGUAUUAAAAAAGUUUUAAUUAAAUUAUUAAUUUUUCAAAAUGGUUAUAAAAAGGAUUAAAUUGAAUCUUUUAAUUUUAGGAAGGGACCAUAAAAUAAUUUUCCUAUUGAGCCAGGGGUCCUUGCCUUCCCCCUUUGGCUAACCCUGCUUACGAGGAAAAUGAGGUUUUCAUGUAAUGUAGAACAAUGUGGCAAACCAUGUAAUAGUACAGAAAUGUUUAAUACCAAUGUUCUAUUCGGUUCAGAUCGGGUCGUGUCUAUGUGAUUGACACACAAAAGAAUCCCAAGGCUCCGUCGUUGCAUAAAGUGGUGCAGCCGGAGGAUAUCGUUAAGAACACCGGUCUAGCGUAUCCGCACACGUCUCACUGCCUUGCUUCCGGAGAUAUAAUGAUUUCGUGUCUCGGAGAUAAAGAUGGGAAUGCCAAAGGGAACGGAUUUCUUCUCCUUGAUUCCGAAUUCAACGUUAAAGGGAGGUAAAGCCGAUAAACCGAAUGAACAAUUAGAAGGUAAAAUGAUUGGUGACUUGUUGUUACUCAUUGUUUCUUUAGGUGGGAGAAACCGGGGCAUAGUCCUAUGUUCGGCUACGAUUUUUGGUACCAACCUCGACAUAAAACAAUGAUCAGCUCAUCAUGGGGUGCUCCUGUUGCCUUCACCAAAGGUUUCGAUCUUCAGCAUGUCACGGAUGGUCUGUAUGGGAGACAUCUGUAUGUGUAUAGUUGGCCUGACGGUGAACUUAAACAAACAUUGGAUCUCGGUGACACCGGUCUCAUACCCUUAGAGGUGAUUGAUUACAUGUUACUACUUCGUUUUUUGCUCGGUUUUGCUCGAAGGCGAUACUUAGUUUUGUUUCAUUUUCAUUGCAGACAAGAUUCCUGCAUGAUCCAUCUAAAGAUACAGGGUACGUUGGGUGCGCCUUAACAAGUAACAUGGUUCGGUUUUUCAAAACCAAAGACGGAUCAUGGAGUCAUGAGGUGGGAUCAUAUAAUCUUGCAUUACCAAUGCUCAUAAAUUUGGACAAGCCUUAUUAUGUACAUUUUAACUUCUGCAGGUGGCAAUCUCAGUGAAACCAUUGAAGGUGCAAAACUGGAUUCUUCCCGAAAUGCCCGGACUUAUAACUGACUUCCUAAUCUCUCUCGAUGAUCGUUUUCUGUAUUUCGCCAACUGGCUGCACGGAGAUGUCCGACAAUACAACAUUGAGGACCCCAAAAACCCGGUCUUGGUCGGCCAAGUAUGGGUUGGAGGAUUGAUCCAAAAGGGAAGCCCUGUAGUGGCUAUGACAGAAGAUGGUAAAACAUGGCAAUCCGAUGUUCCGGAAAUCCAGGUUUGUUCUAACAUUCAUAUCAACUUGUUCAGAUUAAUCAUAUCAAUGGCGAUCGAUGAACAUUGUUACAUCCUUUUACAGGGACAUCGCCUAAGAGGAGGACCGCAGAUGAUCCAAUUGAGCCUAGACGGUAAACGAUUAUAUGUGACGAACUCUCUAUUCAGCUCAUGGGAUCGACAAUUCUAUCCAGAACUCGUGGAGAAAGGUUCCCACAUGUUGCAGAUCGAUGUCAACACCGAGGAAGGCGGUCUUAAAACAAACCCAAACUUCUUUGUCGAUUUUGGAGCCGAACCUGAUGGACCUUCCCUGGCUCAUGAGAUGAGAUAUCCAGGUGGUGACUGCACUUCAGAUAUAUGGACUUAAACAUCUCAAAAACCAGUUUCAGCCAUGAAGAAAAUCAUCCUUUUAAUUUUGUAGGACUAAAAUAAAAAUCAGUGCAAUCUGUAUGUGAGUCAAUUUGAUAGAUAAUGUAAUGUUAAGGGGUUAAUUUAGCAAUAUAUCUUAAAUUUAAUCGACUUCCUGUUAAACGCCUUUUAACAUUGGACUUAAUUUAAAUUAACUGGCAGCUUAUCCAACAUUGACACGCGUUCCAACGAUGAUCCCACUAUACAUUCGGAUAAGAUACCAUUGGACAAACACAAAUGUCUCCAGUUCUCAAAACUGUAAGACGCGUGGCAAUCUAUCCACCGUCAGUUGAGAUUAAUGCUGACAUGGUAAGGAAAAUCGAUAAUCUCAAACACCGCGCCCAUAGAAAAAAUUGAUAGUUAUUUAUUUUUGAUAAUUCCCAUGUGACAUUUUCAUUCGAAGGGCAACAUUUUCUCCUCACAAUGGUGGACAUUUAUGUAAAAUAAAAAUAAAGAUUUGAAUCCCAAAGAUUCGGUUUGAUUUGUCGAUUAAGUUUUAUGAUGAUUGGUACGGGUAUUAUUAUCAAUGUAAGAGGAUAUGUGUUCGAGUGCGUUGAAAAAUAUUAUCCUCCUAUUUAUAGAUCAGAGAGGAACUAUAAGCAAUUCUAGAUAUUAUGUUAAAAAGAGUUGAUAUAAUUAAAACCUAAUAUUAUUAAAAAAAAUAACUUUAUGAAAGUUAUGAUAUUUUCAAAAUUUAAUACGACAGACAUAUUAUCAUAUCUGUAAUGUUAUAUCAAUUUAUUAUUUUCACCUUACUAAAAACUCAAUUAAUAGAUUAACAACGGUGAUUUUCGUCAAGAACAAAAUUCAAAUUUUGAGAAGUCUAGGAACUUAGAAUGAUCCUUUUGGAGAAUAUAGACUAAAUAUAUAAUUAUAUGUAUAAUACAAAACUAAUAAUUGAAUUUAACUAAACAUAUUUAAGCGUUAUUGUUUGAGUCAGGAUUAAAAUUGACCGAUUCAAAAAAUAUAAAGACUGAAAUUAAUUAAAUUGUGGGGACUAAAUCUAUAAUUUUCAUAAAUUACAGAAUUUAACCUAUCGAACCUAAUCCCAAGAUUCUGCCGUAUAGACCCAAUAGCCUAUAAAUUACAGAGGAUUUUCCCAAUGUUUUUCACUAACUAUUAGAAAAAAAAAUUAAUAUUUUUGUAAGAGAAAAAAAAAAGAGAGAAAAUGGGGGAAAAAAUGGGGUGCUGUAAGAGAACUGGACCUGGAUAUGCAACUCCAUUGGAAGCCAUGUCUGGUCCUAAAGAAACCAUUAUUUAUGUUAAUUGUAUUUAUAAUGGUACUUUUUUCCUUUUUUUUCUUUAAUGAUUUUCUGAUCUUUAAAAAUGAGUUUUUUCAAUGGAUUUGUAUAAAUAUAAUUGCAUGAUGUAUGCAGGAACGGGAAGAAAGAAGCCUGAUUUCCUAGCAACAGUUGAUGUAGAUCCAAACUCGCCAACUUAUUCUAAAGUCAUCCACAGGCUAUCUAUGCCAUAUAUAGGUGAUGAACUACAUCACUCGGGAUGGAAUGCAUGCAGCUCUUGCCAUGGUGAUCCAUCAACCACUCGACGUUUUCUAAUCUUGCCUUCCGUCGUGUAAGCAAUUAUCCCGGAUUUUCAUAUUAUAUCGAUGGAUAGGGACAUAUCUAUGUCGUUAAGGUACCAAGGUGCUGCUUGUUCUUAGGUCUGGCCGUGUGUAUGUGAUUGACACACAAAAGAAUCCCAAGGCUCCCUCUUUGCAUAAAGUGGUAGAAUCCGAGGAUAUCGUCGAGAAGACCGGCUUAGCGUAUCCGCACUCGUCGCAUUGCCUUGCUUCCGGGGAUAUAAUGAUAUCGUGUCUCGGUGACAAAGAUGGAAAUGCUAAAGGGAAUGGAUUUCUCCUCCUUGAUUCCGAAUUCAACGUCAAAGGGAGGUAAAUACGAUAAACUGAAACAAUGUAUAAACGAAUUGUGAAUAACCGUCACUUGUAAAAAAUCAUCAGGUGGGAGAAACCAGGGCAUAGUCCUCUGUUUAGCUACGAUUUUUGGUACCAACCUCGACAUAAAACCAUGAUCAGCUCGUCGUUGGGCGCUCCGGCUACCUUCACCCGAGGUUUCAAUAUCCAGCAUGUCAAAGAUGGUUUGUAUGCUAGACAUUUGCAUGUGUAUAGCUGGCCUGAUGGUGAACUUAAACAAACGUUGGAUCUCGGUGAAACUGGUCUCACACCCUUAGAGGUGAUUAAUUACUUGUUUCGACUUUGUUUUUAACUCGGUUUUGCUCGAAGACGAUACAUAGUUCUGUUUCAUUUCAUUGCAGAUGAGAUUCUUGCAUGAUCCAUGUAAAGAUACAGGGUACGUUGGGUGUGCCUACACGAGUAACAUCGUUCGGUUUUUCAAAACCGAAGACGGAUCAUGGAGCCAUGAGGUCGGAACUUGGAACAUAUAAUCUUGCGUUGUCAAUGCUCAUAAACUUGGACAAGCCUUAUUCAUUAACUUCUGCAGGUGGCAAUCUCAGUGAAACCAUUGAAGGUACAAAAUUGGAUACUUCCCGAAUUGCCUGGAUUUAUAACCGACAUCUUAAUCUCAAUCGACGAUCGGUUUCUGUAUUUUAUCAACUGGUUGCAAGGAGAUAUCCGACAAUAUAACAUUGAGGACCCCAAAAAUCCGGUCUUGGUCGGCCAAGUAUACGUUGGAGGAUUGGUUCAAAAAGGAAGCCCUGUAGUAGCUGUGACAGAAGACGGCAAAACAUGGCAAUCCGAUGUUCCGGAAAUCCAGGUUUGUUCUAACACUCAUAUCAACUUGUCGGAUUAAUCAUAUCAAUGACAAUCUAUGAACGUUGGUUACAGGGACAUCGAUUAAGAGGGGGACCGAAUAUGAUCCAGUUGAGCCUAGACGGUAAGCGACUAUAUGCGACGAACUCGUUAUUCAGCACAUGGGAUCGACAAAUCUAUCCGGAACUUGCGGAGAAAGGUUCCCACAUGUUGCAGAUCGAUGUCGACACCAUGAAAGGCGGUCUUAAAAUAAACCCGAACUUUUUCAUCGAUUUUGGAGCUGAACCUGAUGGUCCUUGUAUGGCUCAUGAGAUGAGAUAUCCAGGUGGUGAUUGCACUUCAGAUAUUUGGAUUUAAAUCAGAUGAAAAAAACCGCUAUGAAGAACAAUCAAUGCAAUAUGCAGAUUCUUCUGCACAUGUUAUGUAAUAUCAUCAUGUCAAUGUGAAAUCAUAAACAGCUCAAAGUAAUACAUACAUACAUACAUACAUACAUACAUUUUGAAUGUUACAUUGUGAACAUGUUAUGUAAUAUCAUCAUGUUAUGUAAUUUCCUUAUGCUAAAAUUUGUGUUGAGUUUGAUGUUAAUCUUGAUAUGCCUAAUUCAAUCAUAAAUCCCUAUCCUAAAAUGUGUGCUCAUCAAUGAUCAAUGACACAUUUCAUCUUGGGCAUGGCUAAUUUUAGGUAACCUCAUGACAGCUUUAAACGUGAAGACUAUCAUCAGAUCACUUCAUCACAUCUUAAUAAACGAGUCAUGUCUCUAUAAACAUCUCAUGUAAAAUAACGCAUCAUUCCAUUAAGACUCACAUUAGAACUUCUCCAUCAUAAGAAGAUAAGAAGCUCUCGAAGUACUAUCAAAACUCUUACCAAAUCUCUCCCAAAAAAUUCUCUAAUCUCACAAGCUUCCCGAAAUCAAAAUUCUCAAUGGCUCUUCACAUCUUCUACUAUGUAACCACACUCAAUUUUUGUGCACUACUAUCCAAUACCAUCAAGGAUUAUAGAAUUGCACUACUAACAGAGACAAAUUUUGAAUGAACCAAGCUUGCAUGUUGAAGAAUUUAUUCACCAAUACAUCAUGAUAUAUUGAGAUAUACAAGAAGGAAUUAAGAAAUAGGUUGAUUUUGAGUCUUAAUUAACUUCAAAAUAACUUUAUAAGCUUCCCCUUUUUUCCUACGAACAUCCAACAAUUGCCUCUUCAAAGAAGCUAUACUCUUCUUUACACCAUUUAUUUCACUCUUCACCACUUCUAUUUCACCUCUAAUCUGCAUAUGCUGCUUCCUAUCUUCUUCAUUUAAAGCCUCUUCCAUUGCCUGUAUUUUACCAUAAUCAAACCAAUGCUUUCAUAUUUUACAAAAUAGGUAACUAGAUCAACUUUUGAUAUUUGAACUUGACAACUAUCUUUAUCUUGGUACUUGAAUUUGAAAGAAUAUAAAAAUUUGAUAACGUGACAUUUUGAGAUUGUAUCACAUCAUCACUUGAAAAUUUUAAAAAUUAUAUAAAAUUUUAGGUGAUAAUGUGAUACAAUCUUGGAAUGUUAUACAGUAUUCUAAUAACCAGUUCAACUGUUAGACCAACAAUAAUUAAAAAUUCAUAAAAAUUUUAAAAAUAAAAAAAAUAUUUAACUGUUUCACCAUGUUCAACUAUCUGUUAUUGUCCAAGUUUUCGAUUUUUAUCGUUUUCAAGCAAUUUUAAAUUUAAUCGGUUCAACCCCUUUGUUCGAGCCAAUAUACCGAUCGGUUCUCGGUCCCAUCGAUCCGACUGACCAAUCUAGUCUUAUUCUAAAAAUAUUAGUCACAUCAUUAAAUCUUGACGAAAUACAAGUUUAAAGACCAAAAUAGAUUUAUUUGCCAAAUUCGAGUAACAAACUGGACCGAAUUGUCAAGUUUUCCUUUACAAAGAAACAAUAUGAGGUUUACGAGCUUAGUUCGUAGCUUAACUCGACUCUGACUCAGGAACAUUAGUUAAAUUUGUUACCUUAAUUUGUUGUUUGAUGACAUUUUUUGAAGGCAACGAAUUCCAAAUCUUCCCCUUUACAGGAGCAUUAGCAAAGGCUUUAUCUCUAGCCCAUUUGAGCUCAUUAAUCUCUUUAAGAACUUGUUGUUCAUCAACCCUUAUUGCAGGUCUUGGGAUGAAAUAGUUCCUUCUAAUGUCCCACCUCAAUCUCCAUAUCUGUUUUCACAACAAAAAUGAAUUAAAUAUGUUUGGUGUUAAUCAUUACCGACCCGCUACCCGCUUAGUCAACUGGGACCAGCCCGAUUCUCUUUACUUCAGUAGUAAUCGCCACACAGUUCACAUCAUAUGAGUUCGCACGUGAUGGGUUCGCAUCAUCAUGCAAGCAAACUCACACUUAGAAAACACGUGUUAAUUUUAGAAUAGAGUACGUGUUGGCAUGUAUGGAGACCUACCUAAGCCGUCACAUCCAUGAACCAUAUCAUAUAAAUAUUCAAACAUACUUACCCGAUCGGAUAUCUCUUCGACCACUGACGGACCCGAAUCGUUUAAUCCCUUCUGACCAGCAUUCACCUCUUUCAAGAGCUUCUUUUCUUUCACCAUAUUGCCAGUUUCAUGAUGCAUUCGGAAACACAAAUUCUAGAAUCGAAACUUUAUAUCAAUCAAUCAAAUUACUUUUCACGAAAACCAACAUCGAAAAAUACAAAAAAACAUGCUUACAUGGCUAUUAAUCUUGCCUUGUGUGUUGAUAGAUCUCUCCUUAUAAGCACCAUUAGCAAAAGUAAGCUUAUCGAGAUCUCGUUUCAAAGCAGCCAUUUGCUUCCCUUUAUUUGUCCACAUACUUCUGAAUCCCUUCUCUUUAUAGUUCAAAUCAUAUAACCUAUUAUAAGCUUGGCGUUCUUCGAACUGUUCAUCAUAAUACGAUUUUCUGAUUCUCUUUAUCGUUGAUAUUCAUCGUAAUUGAUAAAAAUUUAAAAAGGUAAAUGUAGCUAGGUACCUGUUUUUCGUGUAUCGCCUUUGUGAUUCGAAAUAAUUGUUCAUUCAAGCAUGUAAGUGACUUCGUAGCUUGUUGAAUCCCAGAUUCUGGAUUUGUGUUUUGCUGAAGCAUUGUAAAAAUCAAGUCAUUGAUUGGAUCCUUCUUGGCUUUGCUCUUAACAGCCUGUAACUCUUCAUUUUCUGGUUUUGCAGUAGCCAUGUGAUAGUGUGCCUAUAUCAAGUUGAUACAAUAUAUAUAUGUGUAUGUAUAUGAUUAUAAAGGGUAAUUAAAAUCAAAUUCUGGCAUAGAAAUGAAAAUUUUGAAUGCAUAAAUAAAAGAGAAAAUGCAAGGUGACGUGAUCCACAAGUCAAAUGGACAUUCAUGCUACUUAUUGUGAGGCCUUGCACCCCACGGCAGUCUUUAAGUCAACCCAAUCCUUGAUAAUAUAUAAGUAUAUAGAAUGGAUAAAUAUUUAAUGUAUUGAUACUGUUGCUUGCCAACUAUGCCUUCAGGGGUAAAGUCAAACAUUUUAGGGUUGAAAUUUAAUUAUAAAAUUUUGGGGGUCAAAACAGAUAUUUUACUAUUUUAAUAACUAUAGUAUUAUAAAUUUUAAGGACUUAAAAGAUAAUUUCCCCUAAAUCAAGGGGAGUCAGGGCCCUUGCCUUUGGAUCAUAGUUGUUAGGUCCAAUGGUUCCAUAAAAUCAUAAAAUCAGAGGAGUGAAUUAUUGUAAAAUGGAUUGAAUCGGGUAAAAAGUCAUUUGAACUAAAUCUAAGUUGAUCUAAAUUUUAAUUUUUUUUAUAAUUUAUAAAAUGAAUGUUUAGAUUUUAAUAAUUUUUAUUUAUGUUUAUUAUUUUUUUAAUUUUUAUGAAUGUUUAAAAUUUUUAAUGAGUUCUCAUUAAAAUAUACCUCAUUUAUGAGUAAAAAUAUUAUGGCUGAUGGCAUACACAUGGAUUGCUAUGUGGAUGAUAUGUCAACAUUUAAAUAUUUUUUAAAUACUAAAAAUUACUUUUCAUAUUUUAAAUAAUUUUAAUGAUUUUAAAUUUUAAAAUAAUUUUUAAAAAUAAUUUUUAAAAAAUAAUUAAAUACUAACGCGUCAUCCAUUUAGCAAUCCACAUGUAUGUCACAUCAACAAAGUUAAAGAAUAUUAAUUUUUCUAUCUAUUUUGAGAUAAUUUGACAAUAAACGCAAAUUUAAGUACUAAAAAAGACGAAAAAUUAAAUAGAGGUUUAAAAUAACUAUUUUUUAUAAAGUUAAAGAGUCAAAUAAAUCAUUAUGUGAAUAUAUUACGUGGAUUCAACAUGGAACAAGCAACAAAUAAAAUAGUUUUUCUUGAGCCACUCGGUUUUCUUCUCUUUUAAAAGAUUUCCAUUUUCACAAGGAAAAAAUUAUAAUUUUUUUAAUUUAGGGUAUCCACCACCGAUAAUAGUAACUAAUUUAAAAGAUAUUUUUUUGUUAUUAAUCCUUAUAUUUUGCACUGUUUAUGGAACAAUACUUUCUUGCAUAUAAAAAUACAUUGAAAGGUUAAGUUUUGUUAUUAGCCCUUAUACUAUCCACAAUUUGUGGAUUUAGCCCCUAUAUUCUAAUUUGGUUAAUUUUAAUCAAUGUAUUUUUCGAAUUUUGACUUAAAUAGUAGCAAUUAAAUCUGCUAAAUCAAAUUGUGCUAUUAGUCUCGUACUAGGCCUAAGUUAUAGAUUUAAUCAAUAUUUUCCAGUCUAAUUAUUUGUAGCCUCUAUACUUUUUGAGUUUUGGAAUUUCCAUUAAAUCCAUUAAUUAAAACGAUAUGGUUUUUUUUAUUAGUAUUAUAUGCAAAUAGCAAGCUAAUAGUUGUUAAAUUUGUUAGAUCAAAUUCUACUAUUAGUCUCGUACUAUGUAUAAAUUAUGGAUUUAAUUUUUGUUCUCUAAUUUGAUAAUUUUUAGUUCCCUAUACCUUUCAAUUUUUAAAAUUUUAGUCCUGAUUCAAACGAUGUAUUAACUAAAAUGAUGCGACUUUUUUCAAUUUAAAUAAUAAUAUAUAUUGGGUGGAUUAUUAUUAUUAUUAUUAUUAUUAUUAUUAUUAUUAUUAUUAUUAUUAUUAGAUACUACAAAUAUUUAUUUAAGAUUUAAACUUUUUUUAAUAAAGUACCGUUACAAUUCAUCCAAAUGAUUAAAUAUAUAAUAAAACAUUAAGUUUGAAUUUGACUUCUUCAACAUUGGGUCGAAUUUCUAAAAUAAUUGAAUUAAGGGUAAACUACACCCAUGGUCACUUUUGUUUACCUUAGGUUAUAUUUUAGUCACUUGUGUUUGAAAUGUUACGUUUUAGCCACUUACGUUAUCUUGUUGUAACAUUUUAGCCAUUAAGCCGUUAAUUGCCGUUAACGGUGUAACGGUAAGCUGACGUGGCACGUUAAAUCAUCAUUUCAAACAAAAUUUUAGGUUAAAUUAUAUAAUCGAUUCCCAUUUUUUUCAAAUUGACAGUGAAGAAAGAAGUAAGAAGUUGAAAGUCAUAAUUGCCUAUAACCAAAACCCAUAAACCCAUACCAUGCUUCUUAUUUCAUUGCCAAUUUGACUUCUUGAUAUGUUAAAAGAAAUGGAGAAGGUAGGAAAAUAAAUGGAGAAGGUAGGAAAAUAAAAGGAGAAGUAGAAAAUAAUGGAAAAUAAAAAAAAAGUUAAAAGAACAUAAAAGAAAAAAAUUAAAUUGUUCAAGACGAAAAAAUAUAGGGACCAAAUGUAUAAUUUAACCUAAAUUUUUUGUUUAAAAGGAUUAUUUAACAUGCCACGUCAGCUUACCAUUACAUUGUUAACAGCAAUUAAUGGCUUAGUGACAAAAAUGCUACAACACGAUAACGUAAGUGACUAAAACAUAACAUUUCAAACAUAAGUGACUAAAACGUAACCUGAAGUAAACAAAAAUGAUCAUGGAUGCAAUUUACCCUUGAAUUAAAAUAUAGUUUAACUUUUUGGACAUUCGACCAAAAUUGCGGGUGGUAGGCACACUUAGAUUUUAUAAUGGUCUAAUUAGGGUUUUAUAUCCCUCUACUUUAAGAAAAUUAAAAAGCUAACUCCUCUACUUUAAUUUAUUAGAAUAUAGUCCUCACGCUUUAUAAAAAAUUGAAGAGUUAAUCUUGCAGUACUACCAAACUUUGUCGUUAAAUUGUUAACAUGGAAAUAAACAGUUCAACAAAAUUAUAUGAAUUAAACUAGGGGUGAGCAAAAUUCAGUUUGACUCGAAAAAAUUAAAUUUUUUUUAAUUUCAAGUUAAACAAAUCAAGUUAUUCAAAUUAAUCAAAUUAUUUGAGUCAACUCAAAUUUUUUUUUCAAAUUUUGAGUUCGAAUCGAGUUUGAUUUUCAAAUUUGAAUAAUUCGAAUAAAUCGAAUAUCAAACUAUAAUAAUUUACAUUAUUACCCCAAACACCUAAACCUCUUCACUUUCCUCCCAAAACUUUUACUCCCUCCCACUUUCCCCCAUAACUUUUACUCUCCUCCCAUCUUACCCCCUUCUACCCCAAACCCAUCCCCCCCAAAUUUUACUCCUCCCAUUUAUUCCCCCCCCCCCAAUUUUACUCCCUCAACAUCUAAAACGUUUUAUUUUCCCCCUAAAUGUUUACUUCUCAUCCUUUACCCCUAAAUAAAAAAUUAAAAUCAUCCAAAAAAAUUUUGUAAACCUAAAUAAUAAUUUUAUUUAUAUAUACUAUUUAUAUUAUUAAAUUAAAUUCCAUAUUUUAUACUAUUUAUAUUAUUGAAUUGUUUUAUCAUAUUGAAUCUUUACAAAUUUUUACAAAAAUUGAAUUAUUGAUGAUGUCAUAAAAUAUUCGUGUUAAAAUUUGAUGUUGGUAUGAAUUUCACAUUUUAUCAUAACUUUUAUUAAAAAAUCACAUUUUUUACAUUUAAUAUUUUUUUUAAAUUUCAAAAUACAUAGUGACAAGAAUCAGAAAAUAAUUGAAGCAACUAAGCAAGCAAAGAAGUUAACCCGUAUAUAAAAGAUUAAUAAAUAAAUUAUAAGGAGAUUAAAGUUAAUAACAAAUUUGAUUACGGUGGAUGACAGUGAUUACAAGGGCCUAAAAUACUUUUUUUUUAAUUUAACUCGAACAAAUAUAUUCGAUUCGAUUCGAAUUCUAUCUCACUCGACUCGAUUCGAGAAACAUUCAAAUCGAAUUAAGAUGAUAAAAUAUGAUUCGUCAAAUCAAUUAACUCAAAAUUUUUUCAUUCAAUUCAAUUCAAUCUGAUCGAACACUCACCCCUAAAUUAAAAUACUAAAAGUUAGCUAUUUAUAUAAUAUUCAAAUUAUAUUUUUCUUUUUUUUUACAUUAUAUAAUAUAUUUUAUCGAUUUAAUCCCCAUAUUUAAAAUUUUAAAAUUUAAAUCUUUUAUUUUUUCGAUUUAAAAAUUCUAAUUCAACCAAUAACACUACUAGUAUUUUUCGUCAAAAUUUAUUAACUUAACAUUUUUUUUGUCAAUCAUAUGACAUCUCAUGUGAAUGCAAUCUAAUCAACACGUCAAGUUGAUAAUAUUUUAAUAAAAAAAUAAUGAUUGGACUAAUAUUUUAAAAUCAAAAAAAUAAAAACUUAAUUUCUAACGUUUUAAGCACUAAAAUUAAUUUUCAAAUUUUAUUAAAACAUAAAAAUUAAUGACAUAUUUAACUAAUAUAAUGAUAUUAUGUUUACCUCUAACAUAAACCAUAAAAAAUAACAUGCAGGGUUGAACCACAGUGAAGUGACAUACAAUUUGUGUGUAAAUAUUCGAUUCAUAUCCGUUUCGAAUUUGAUGCUUGAACAACCCUUACCCUAUGUCCCUUAAAUAAUAAUGUUUUUUAUGUGUGUUUUAUAUUUAUUUUAUGAUUCAUAUUCCGAGUUCAUACAUCUCUCAAUAUGUGGUCCCCAAGGUCUUAUCCCUCAAAUCAUAAUAAAAGAAAAUUACACUAGUAGUCACUAACUAUUAGUAAAAGUCUUUUUUUUUUUUGGUCACCCAAACCUCUAACACUAAAUGCAAAAUCAAAAUGAACUUAAAUGAUUCAAUUAAUGUUGAUGUGUCUUUAACACAAGUAAGGUCAAAGAAACGCUCCCUAAUAAAGUCAUCUCUAUCAACAAAUCUCAAAACAAGAGUCAUUUGUUCUUCUUUAAAUUCAUCACGAUAUUCAUCAACAAUGAUGCAAAAUUCUGAGUCUCCAGUAUCUUCACGAAUCUUCUUUUGCACUUUAUUAGCAACAACGUGCAAAAAUUCCUUUUGAAUUGAAGGCUGGAUUUAGGAGCAUUUUCCAACACAAUAUUCUUAACAUCAUUGUUAUAAGAAGCUAAAGGUUGAACCAACUCGAUAAAUUUACCACAAUUUUUUGUAUCAAGUGUUUCAUCUUGACCUCUCGAAACAUAAGCUUGAAAUGCAAGCCAUCGAACAACAUCAAUAGAAGUCUUAAUUCGUAACUUAUUAUUCAAAACUUGUUCCGAACUUUGUUGAUGCAUUACUUUAUUAUGCCCAGUUUGCUUCAUCAAAUUUGCAUAAGACUUGAUGACAUUAUUAUAUGGUCUACAAUAUGACUAAGGGUGAGUUUGGAUGGGCGAUGUGUUUACCUGCGGUUAGUGUAAAAACAGCGGUGGCGGUGGGAUUAGAUACUGUAGCGAUAUGCACGCACCCAAUCGCCCAUCCGAACCCACCCUAAAAAAUACAUAAUUCUUUCGAGAAAUAUUUUUUUCCCAACUUAGUUGGAGAAUGCUCAAGUCAAGAAGAGAAUUGAGUAAACCAAUAUUAUUGAAGACGCUUAGGAUGCUUUUCUAGUGAAUAUGGAUAAAAUGGAUGUGGAUCUACUCUCAAGUAAGCUUCUUGAAUUUCAUUUCAUUGAUUAAUAAUUAAUAAAAAAUUUGAAUAGUUUAGUAAUUAAAUUAAAAUUUUAUUAUUAUUUAAUGAUCAAAACAAAAACACGUGAAAAAUUUAAUGAUCAUUUAAAUGAUGUAUUCUUUAAAAAUUGUACGGACAAAAUUCAUUGAUUUGACAUAUAUAAAUAUACAUAUUAAUUAAAUAACUUUACCCUACAUAAUCAUCUACCUCCGAUGAAGCGACAAAUAACUCGUGCCUAAAUAUUUGAUAUCUUUCAUAUUCAUUUUACGAUACGAUGACAUUGGCUGCCCCUCACCAAUGUCUAUUAUCCCUCAAAAAAAAUAAUAUUUUGACCAAAAACAAGGUCAAAACUGUAAAUUUUCUCCAUUGGCAACUCGAGGCUUCAACAUAUGACACUUUUGGCUUUUCCAUAAACUCCCUUUCUUCACCAAAACCCAAAAGGAAGCAACUCGGAAAAUGGACCCAACUGCACCCUCCGCGUCGGUCGUCGGCGGCGGUGGCGGCGGCGGAGGAGGGCCGGCACCUUUCCUUAUGAAAACAUUCGACAUGGUGGACGACUCAUCGACCGACGACAUCGUUUCAUGGAGCUCUAACAAAAAGAGCUUUGUGGUUUGGAACCCUCCUGAUUUUGCUCGCCUUUUGCUUCCCACUUAUUUCAAGCACAAUAAUUUCUCCAGCUUCAUCAGGCAGCUUAAUACCUAUGUGGGUUUCUUUUCCUUUCUGGGUUUUUUGUUUAAUUAAUGUAUCUUUGAUAAUUAGGGGAAAUCAUGUUUCUUUUUUAGCUUUUAACUUCAAUUUUUGAUGACAGAUUUAUGGAGUGAUUUUGGUUUUAUGUUUUUGUUCCUUGAGAAUGGACAAUUUCUCCUUUUUUGUGUGUGUGUCCUUUUCUACUGAAUUAUGGGUAUGAAUCUUUGCUAAAGCCAGCACAUAAAUUUAAGGUCAAUCAAUGUCUUCUGCUGUGAUUCAUAAGGUAAAAUUCUAUGAGAAUUGGGGUGUUUUUUAAGUCAAUGAUUUUGACUUUGAAAUUUAUAAAUUUUCUUCGUAAUUGUUUCACAUUUUCAUGAUUUUUCUUUUGCAUUCCUCAACUAAAAUGGUCCUUAAUGAAGAGUAUCUAUUCUUCUUUAUCUUUGAUGCAGGGGCUGUUGAAAGAAGAAUUAAGAGUAUCUAUUCUUCUUUAUCUUUGAUGCAGGGGCUGUUGAAAGAAGAAUUAUACUUGUUUAUGGUUUGCUUAGGUUUAGAUGUAUGAAGAUGGAGUGUCUAAGCAUGAUCUGAUUGCAUAUGAAUUUAAUUUGUUGACAGGGGUUCCGGAAGAUUGAUCCCGAACGAUGGGAAUUUGCCAAUGAAGAUUUCGUGAAAGAUCAAAGGCAUCUUCUUAAGAAUAUUCAUCGAAGAAAACCUAUUCACAGCCAUAGUAAUCCACAGGGUUCUUUGAUAGAUCAUGAAAGAGCUGGAUACGAAGAAGAAAUCGAAAAGCUUUCACGUGAGAAAGCUGCACUUGAGGCUGAUGUUUUGAGGUCUGAACAAGAGCGGUCAGCUUUGAAGCAUCAGGUGGAAGAGCUGACACAACAAGCUGAUCAAAUGGAGCGUAGGCAAGACACUUUGUUUAACUUCUUAGAAAAGGCUUUACAAGACCCUGCUUUCGCCGAACAUCUUUUUCGUAGAAUUGAAUCUAUGGAUGAUGUUGUGGCAUAUAAUAAGAAAAGGAGACUGCCUCAAAUUGAUCAAACCAAGCCAGUUGGUGACCAUAGUCUUUUGGACAACAAAAGUAGUUCUACACCCGAGUUUGGAAAUGUUGUCCACCUCGAUUUCUCGAACAAGCUUAGACUAGAAUUGUCAUCAGCUGUUUCGGAGAUUAACUUGGUUUCUCAAAGCACGCAAAGUUCUAAUGAAGAUGGAGAAAGUCCACAGAGAAGGGUUUCUCAAGGAGAACCAAAAGAUGAUAAUAUCAGACCUCAGGGGCUUUUAUUCACACCCGAAACAUUAGACAUUUCAGAUACAGGCACAUCUUUUACAUUCAACAUGGAUUCAUCUUUCUCUCAAAGAGUAUCAAUGAAUGAAAGCCCGGCAGUGCAUUCACUGCAACAGAGAUUAAGUUCCAAUGAAGAACCUGAUAGUCAUAUUUCCUGUCAGUUAAAUCUAACUCUGGCAUCUUCUUCAUUGCAAGUCAAUAAAAGUCCCAGCUUAACUAGGAUGUCCCAACCAAGUUGGGAAAUCGGAAAAGUCUCCGAGUCAAGGUCUAAUGCCAACAGUAAAGACUCUGAUUCUGGACCUUUCCAUAAUAGCAGAAACAUGAUUGAUGGGGAAACAACAUUAUCGUCAUCGAAAGAAGGCCCUAACACAAAUCAAGAGCCUGCCGCUGCUCCGGUUAGAGUAAAUGAUGUAUUCUGGGAACAGUUCCUCACCGAGAGACCAGGUUCCUCUGACAAUGAAGAGGCCAGUUCCAAUUAUCGAGCAAAUCCAUACGAAGAGCAAGACGACAAAAGGUCAGGCCAUGGACUAGCAAGGAAUACCAAGAACAUCGAGCAGCUUAGUCUUUAGCAGCAAAGUUGCCUUGCCGCAAAUCCAUUGAUAAGUCUACAAAGGUCUCUCUUGUUCCUUCUGUUUCUUCGUGUUAUUUAUAGUUACUUCGUUUAUAGGAUACGAUUUUAUACAUAACUGCCCAAAAUUAGUUUGAAUAAAAUCAUGUUGAAAUUUGAAUUCCACUUGGUAGGUUCUUGCAUUGGGGAUAUAGCAUCCUUUUUUCACUGAUAAAAUAGAAAGUUAUGUAGCUUUACCGUCUAGGUUUCGAACUGUCAGUAACCAAGCAAUGAUGUUCAUCUUGCAAAAAUGACGUAAUCUGUGUAUUCUUUUUCCCGUAUCGAAACUGAAGUCUCCUCUUAGUGUUUUCAGUGCCCAUCUAACAAUUCAUCUCAUAAUAAUACAUUGUGGUAUUGUUGUUUUUUCUUACAUCAAUCCCGAGUUAUCACAUUUAACUUCGUGCGUUUCAACUGAUUGAUGGGUAGAUUAUUCAUUAGUUUGUGCAGUGAAUGUUAUGCAUGAUAUAAGACGUUCAUGUUUCUUAAGAAAGUAGGGUUCAUCUGAAAAAUCACUAUAAUAUUAAGACAGUGAUAAUGUGAUUAGUAAAAUAGAAAAUGGAGUACUACCUUUGCUUCCGUUUGUGUUGGAGUUUUGAGUGAAAGGGUGAUUCAUCAAUGGAGCUCAGUAGUGAGUUGAGUCGUAAGGAGCUUAGUGGCCCUUAAGUAUGGUCAUAGUUUUAAAGUCAUGUGAACGGGGAACAGACGUUGAGAGAGCUUUUCUCCCAUUUGAGGUCUGGCCCGGUUUAACUCUAGAUAAUUGAAGCCUAAUGUGCCUACUAGAUACCGAAAAAUCAUAGAGGAAAUAAAAUACCUAGAGUAAGAUAUUGUGAAAAAGUAUGCACUCGACAAGCGAAAUGAUCGCCAUGCUAAGCAUUUCACAAAGUAGGUAGAGUGCUUCAAUCUCGGGAAGAUUUUCGGGCAUAUAAGCUCGAGUGCUAUGCUUCCUGAUAAGCUGGUUUUGGAGGAAGGCGGUGAUGGUUGCAUGACACAGUGGUAUUAGAGCCAACUUUUAUGAAUAUAAAGUAACAAUUUCAUUAGCCAUUGGGUUAGUUACUCGGAGUGAUUGAGAGUUCAAUCCUUACAUUGGAUAUCGAAUAGUUUUAAAAUUUAUGGUCAACAUCUACUCUUUAAUGGUCCUAUAGAAUACGAAAGAUUUAUUACAGGACUCGUUUCGGUGGAUAUCUUGAGAACCAAAAAGAAAUUCAUUAAUCAUAGGGUGCAUUAAUUAAUUAAUUUUGAAAGGUUCAUUUGGUUUUAUUUAUUUAAUAUUGAGCCUUAUUUAAUAUCCCACAUUUGCUUUUUUUCUUUUUCAUCCAAAAACAGAGGGAAAAUGACAAAUCAAACCAAUUUACAUCAAUUAUUAUUUUUCUUCACGAGAUUAAUGAAGCCAAAGUUUUAUUCACGAGCAUAAAGACCAAAAAUGAAAAAAAAAAUCGUUAAUAUUAUGAGAAAAGGUCCUUGUCUUAUAGUAGAAAUAUUUAAGGUAAAUUAUAUCUAAAGUGAUUAAAUUAUUAGUAAGUUUACGUUUUGAUCAUGUAACUUUAAAAAAUUAUAAAAUAGUCACUGAACUAUUCGAAAGUUUUUAUUUAAGUCGUUGAACUAUUCAAAAAAUUAAUACAAGUCAAUGAGUUAAGUUUUUUUUUUUAAUCUAAAUAGUGAGCUCUAAGUGAUGAUUCAACAAUCAAUAUGGUGGAUCAAUAUCCAUCACUGAGCAGGAACAUACUUUAAAUCUAAGUCGAUACGAUGAUCAAUGUGGAGAUUGAAGAAAAAAACCUAUUUAGAUUUUGGUUCGCAAAUUCAUGAUAUUCAAAACUAUUUCAUGAAAAAAAAUCGAAUUGUAGAAGUGAGGGGGAAGGAGAGCUUCCGAUUGAUAUACGCAGUGCAAACAGAGAAGGCCAUACAAUAACGAUUUUAAUAGCUCAAUGAUAUAAAUAAUUUUUUUUACCAUUUUAUAACUUUUCAAAAUUAAUUGACAAAAACAAAAACUCACUAAUAAUUUAAUGACAUUGAGUGUAAUUUACCCAAAUAUCUAUAAGUUGGACUGAUCCAUUUUCUUUUACAAGCUAUGAGCUAUCCGACCAUGAACAAAUCUAUUUAACAACUCCACUAUUCUCAAAUAAGUCAUCGAAAUUUCACAAAUUGAUAAUGAAGUUUAGUAUUAAUAUUUGGAAUAUUAGUAUUAACAACGUGGUUCAAUCCCUGCCCAUGAGAAUGGACCAUAUUUCAUGGGCAGUCGUUUUUCUUUUCAAAAAACACCCACGAUAAAAAGAAUAAUCAUUACUACGAACAAUGGAUACCCUAAUUUUUAAAAAAAAAAUCAUUUUAGAACUAAUUAGUUAUUAAAUUGUUAUAUUAGAUAUAUUAGAUAUAUAUUUUUUCUUACAUUAAAUGCAUUACAUUUAUUAUACAUAUACUUUUGGCAUUGGAUUUUUAAUAAGCAUUAAAUUAUACCAACACCACUUCAAUAAUUUUCUUUGGAAAUCUAUGGAUUAUUUUUAGAUAAUUCUUUGAAAAUUGCAAAAUAGGUGUGACAUGUUCUACCCCAUAAUAAUAUAUAUAAUUAAAAUCAUAUUUAAAUGACAAUACAAUAAAAUAAAUCAUUAUUUCUUAAAUUUAAUAUAUUAAAUUAAUCAAAAAAUUUAAGUUAUAAAUAAAAAUAUUAUAUUUAUAGUUUUCUUAUUUCCUUUUUUUUUAAGUGAAAAAUAAUACUAUAAAUUCUUUUUACUGAAAAAAGCAAUUAAAUGCUACUUAUAAGCCAACUGCCUACUACUCCCACAAUUUAUAGUGUUGGCCUAAUUCGAUAGCGAAAUCAAUAAAAAGAUAUAAUGAUAAAUUUAGUAUCUAAUAUUUAUAUAUUUUAUUAUUUUAGUCCUAAUUUUAUUUUUUUAAACAUUUUCUUUAAUUUUUAAAAUUAAAUUAAAUUGACAUUUUUUUAAAUAAAAAUGACUCAACUAUUAAAUUUUAUUUUAUAAAAAAUUCAAAAUAAUGAAAGUUAUUAAGAAUUCAACAAAUUUAAAAAAUUAUAAAAAUAAACAAAAAAUGGACGUAACAUAUAGACUAUCACAUGGGUUGGUAUAUCAAUGACAUCAAAAUUUUAACAUUUUAGUAAGUUUUUAAAAAAAGUAAUUUAAUUAAUUUUUAAAAAUUAAGAGCUAAAAUGAUAAAAAAAUAAAAUAAAAUUAGGAUCGAAAUAACAAAAUGAGUAAAUAUUAAAUGCUAAAUUGACUAUUAUGCUCAAAUAAAAAAUUAAUAGAGGGUCAAAUAUAUUUUCUCAAAAGAAAUAAUAUAAUUUUUGGCUUCUGAAUUUGACAAUUAAGUUUCUUUUAGUAUCUAUAUUUUUUUGUUCAUUUUGGAUCUUGAACUUUAUAAGUAGGUCCAUUUUGAUCUCCGAACUUGAAAACAUAAGAGUUUAAUGAUCAUUACUUGAAAAUUAAAAAAAAUUAAUAAUUUUUCGAGUGAUGAUGUGGUACAAUCUCAUAGUGUUACAUUUUAUGUUUUAAUAACAAGAUGGGUGGUUGAAUAGGUUAGACCAUUAUUUUUAUUUCAACCAUCCAAAAGCUUUUAAAAAUAGAAAAUUAUUAAACAUGUUCAAUAGUCGAUUUUUGUUUCGGUUUUCAAUUUUUAUUAAUUUUAAAUAGUUUUCAAGUCAUUCAAUGCAACAUUUUUAUUCGGAUCGUUAUAUUAAUCCGUUUUCAAUUAUCGCUCUUGUUCUUUUGUUUUUUGGACCAAAAAAUUAUUUUAUUUUUUAAAUUAUUAAUUUAAUAAUAUUUUUUCACUAUUUUAUGAACAAUGGAUAUAAUGUAAUUUGUGAGACAAAUGUAUACCCUACUUUACUGUAUUUCCAAGCAAAGUGGGAUAAUUUGGGUGUGAACAUAAAUACAUGGGAACCUUGUUCUGUUUCAAUGUCUUGUCUUCAUCCAUCACUUCUCCAACUACCCUAUUAUUUCUUAUUUUCACUCCCCUCCAUGAAAGCCAUAGCUCCAAAAUAGCUUCAAUCCCUCCCCCCCAAAAAUGGCUAUUCUCAAACUGAUCUUCAUCACCCUCACUCUACCCCUUCUUUUCCUUCAUUCUUAUGUUGCUGUCUCAAUUUUAGAGCUCCAAAAUGCACUGAAAACCAGUGAAAUUGAUGCCACGGUGAGAAGGGCUUGUUCCAAAAAGCUUGAAGAUUGUUUGGAAAGUGAAGAUAUGGAAUCAGAGACCCAAAGGAGGUUGCUUUUGAUGCAAAGAAGGUACAUUAGUUAUGAAACAUUGAGGAGGGACAUGGUUCCUUGUCAAAAACCAGGUUCUUCUUAUUAUGAUUGUGGUGCUGCUCAAGCUAAUCCUUAUAGUAGAGGUUGUGAGAUUAUUACAAGAUGUGCUAGAGGUAUCAAAGGUACUAAAACCUGAAGAAGAAGAAGAAAAAAGAAGACCUAAAUUUGAUGUCUUUUUUUUAACUGUUAACAGCUUGUUUCUGCAAAUGCUAAUGUGUUUGAGCUGUUUUGUAUUGUAUAUUAGAGAACCUUUACCUUAAAUUUCCUAUAUAUAAAUCCAUGUUUAAUCUUUAGGAGCUCUGGGGCUUGCUUGUUAAAAUCUGGGUUUUUGAAGAUGCUCUAUGUUUGAAUCAGCUAGUUUAAUCUAAAGUGGAGAACAGUAGGAAAAGGUUAACUCACAAUUAAGACUGAACUGUCAUUUUCUAAUGUUCAAUCUAUCCAUGGCAUCAUCUUUUAGCUCUAUACCCUUUUCUGUAGAUGUUUCCAAAAGUAUCACAUGGCUUAGCCUACCAUUAUUUAUUUCUUGUCUUCAUACGUGUUAUGUUGGGCUUUUGAGAUUAGGUAUGGGUUUUUAACAGUAAAAAAUGGAUAGAAUAGUUUGUUCAAAUAAAGAUUAACUUGAAAAACCGAAAAACCAAAGUUCAAACACUGUUGUAGCCAUCCCUUUCCCCCAUUUGUAAUGUGUAUCAGUAUAUAUAUAUAUAUAUAUAUAUAUAUAUAUAUAUAUAAGCAAUGUGCAUGUAUAUACACAUUACAGAUUUCCACUACAAUGGUUGAAUGUGCAACGUGCCAACUUGUCUUAUUCUUUAUCCAACUUGUCCUCACCUUUCCCAUUGACUGAAAAUAUAAACUUAAAGUCAACCAAUCUAAAACUCUCAAAAUCCCCAUUUUUUUCUCUCAGUUUCUUUUCCAUCAGAUUAAGCUCUUUUCAUUUUCCAUACCUGAAGAUGGCAAACCCACGGCAAACCAUGGAUUCAUCGAAGCUUUCAUUGCUUUUAUCCAUGGUUUUUUAUGUUCACUCAGUGAUUCUCAUCUCUCAACAUUUCAGUCUCUCAUACUUUUCCACAUUGUCAGCAUCUUUCGCAUCAGUCCCUUGUUGUUUCUUCAUCAUCUGUAAUUGCCUACAAAUGGAGAAGUCAUUUAGCAAUCUAAUUUGGGACCAUUUCCUGUUCAUCUGUGCUCAUCUUUCAAGUAUUUGUGAGCUUAGCAACAACGACUUAACAAGAGGGUACUUGUUCUUCUUCAUGGGGGUCUUGCUUUUAUCUCUUUACACCAGUUACAUUUGGUAUCAACAUCAGUCUUCAAAUGGUGUUCAUCUUGUGAAUGUGAUGAUAGAGAUCUCAUUUUCGUUUAUCGGCAAUGGGAUCGCCUUGAUCGGAAGAUGGUUCGUUCCAUUAGACAACCUUUUAUGGUUGGUGAUUGGAACAUGUACAAUGUUUUCAAUUUGUGUUGUUUUGUUUUGUUAUUACCUGUUUUCUUCAGGCAAAUUCAAGAAGCCAUAGCCAUGUUUUUAUUGACUACUUUGAGUUGUUUAUAAUAAGAUAACAUGUUCUUUAAGAAUUUGCAUAUUGCAUUCAUUGUUCUUUAUAGCUGAAACUGGUUUCUUCAUAUGUUUUGAAUCCAAAUAUCUGAACUACAAUCACCACCUGGAUAUCUCAUCUCAUGAGCCAGGCAAGGUCCAUCAGGUUCUGCUCCAAAAUCGACAAAAAAAGUUCAGGUUUAUUUUAAGACUGCCUUUCUCAGUGUCGAUGUCAAUCUGCAACAUGUGGGAACCUUUCUCCACAAGUUCUGGAUAGAACUGUCGGUCCAUUGUGCUGAAUACCGAGUUCGUCACGUAUAGCCGCUUACCGUCUAAGCUUAAUUGGAUCAUCUGCGGUCCCCCUCUUAAUCGAUGUCCCUGUAAACAACAUAAUGAUGAUCAUAGCUUGCCAUCAAUAUGAUUAAUCCGACAAGUUAAUAUGAAUGUUAGUAUUUAGAAAAGACCUGGAUUUCCAGAACAUCGGAUUGCCAUGUUUUACCAUCUUCUGUCAUGGCCGCUAUAGGGCUUCCCUUAUGAAUCAAUCCUCCAACCCAUACUUGGCCAACCAAGACCGGAUUUCUGGGGUCCUCGAUGUUAUAUUGUCGGAUAUCUCCAUGCAGCCAGUUGGCAAAAUACAGAAACCGAUCAUGAGAGAGAUUAAGAUGUCAGUUAUAAAUCCAGGCAAUUCGGUAAGUAUCCAAUUUUGUACCUUCAAUGGUUUCACUGAGAUUGCCACCUGCAGAAGUUAAUCAAGUACAUAAUAAGGCUUGUCCAAAUUUAUGAGCAUUGGUAAUGAAAGAUUAUAAGAUCCUACCUGAUGGCUCCAUGAUCCGUCUUCAGUUUUGAAAAACCGAACAAUGUUACUCGUCAAGGCUCACCCGACGUACCCUGUACCUUUAGAUGGAUUAUGCAGGAAUCUUAUCUGCAAUGAAAAUGAAACAGAACUACGUAUUGCCUUCGACCAAAACCGAAUCUUAAAAAUGAAGUUGUAACAUGCAAUCUAUCACCUCUAAAGGCAUGAGACCGGUACCACCGAGAUCCAACGUUUGUUUAAGUUCACCAUCAGGCCAGCUAUACACAUGCAGAUAUCUCCCAUACAGACCCUCUGCAACAUGCUGAAGAUGGAAACCUUGGGUGAAGGCAGUCGGAGCACCAAAUGAUGAGCUGAUCAUUGUUUUAUGUCGAGGUUGGUACCAAAAAUCGUAGCCGAACAUAGGACUAUGCCCCGGUUUCUCCCACCUAAAGAACAAGAAGUGACGGUUAUUCCCCAUCAUUUUACCCUCUAAACAUUCAUUCGGUUUUCGGCUUUACCUCCCUUUGAUGUUGAAUUCGGAAUCAAGGAGAAGAAAUCUGCUUCCUUCGGCAUUUCCAUCUUUAUCUCCGAGACACGAAAUCAUUAUAUCCCCGGAGGCAAGACAGUGAGACGUGUGCAGAUAUGCUAGGCCGAUUUUCUUAAUGAUAUCCACCGGCUGCAACACUCUAUACAAAGAGGGAGCCUUGGGAUUCUUUUGUGUGUCAAUCACAUAGACACGACUAGACCUAAAUCAUGCAGAACAUUAACUGUAUAAUGCAACUUUGGUACCUUAACAUAUUGUAUAUGUAGAACAGUUAAAAUAUGUUUAUAUUGUAAAAUAUCGUCUCUAUCAUUAUACUAUGAUCUUCCAAAUAUAUAAAAAAUACAAUUUUGGCAUGUAUGUAUGUAUAGUCCCUUACAGAAACGAAGGCAGGAUCAGAUAUUUCAGUAAUUUAACGAUAUUUAAGUAAUUUUAUUUUAUGUAAUUCAUACAUAAUUUUGGUAAUUUUUUAAUCUAAACUUGGACCUUUGAUUCAGGGUUCGAAUUUUGGAUUCCGAGUAAAAAAAUUACCAAAAUUAUGUAUCAAUGCAUCAAAAAAAUUACUGAAAUAUCACUAAAUGAUUAGGAAGGAAUUUAGGAUGACGUAGCCACUCUGUUUCUUGCAAUCCUUUCUGUUAGGGAAUAUCUCAUCUUUAUACUUUAAAUUUUUUUUUUUAAAUUUGUCUAUAAAUAAAUAAAAUGAUUAUUUUUGUAAUAAUUAAAAAUCUAUUAAUUUUAAGAGGUAGGCUUAACUAAAGUAUAUAAUAUUAAUUUAAAAUAUGAUGUAUUUUUUGUAAUGUGCAUGACAUGUUUAUCUUAUACAUUAUAAUAUGAUUUACACCAUUAUAUUUAGUUGGUGAUCAUACAUAAUAAAAUGUGUAUAAAAUAUAUAUAAUCCUCCAAAAACCAAUUAAAAUACAUAAAAAUCUUAAUAAAAAUUCAACCAAAUCCACCAAACAUAAUUAAAUAUUAUUAAUAAAUAUUUAAUAAACAAGUGAAAUCAAAUUACUUCUAUCAGAUGCAAUAAAACUGCAUCAAUGGCAACUAUUAUGAUUUUAUCCCAAUACCUUAUUCAAAACUUUCCCAAUGAAAGACAAUUACCCCCAAAACUUUCCCAUCACCCAAACAAAAACUCCUACAUUAAUCAAAAACCUAACAAUCUAACAAUAAUUCAUAUGAUAAAAUGCAAUAAUAAUAAAAACGAUGGAACCGUCGGAAUGUGCCGUUUUCGUUAUUGAAUUCUGCCUCAAAUUCUCUCCUCAGUACCUGUAAUGAGGAGGCUUAUAAGGACCCUCAAUUGGGACACUAAUGUAGUCAGCUUGGUCCUUGGUAAGCUUAGUGAGCUUAGCCCCAAGUUUCACAAGGUGAAGAGCAGCGACUUUCUCAUCGAGAUGCUUCGGCAAAACGUAAACCUUCUUCUCGUAUUUUCCGGUUGAUUUCUCCGUCCAUAGCUCGAGCUGUGCAAUCACUUGGUUCGUGAACGAACAAGACAUCACGAAGCUAGGAUGACCGGUAGCACAUCCUAAGUUCAUGAGACGUCCUUCGGCUAACACGAUGAUACCUGUCUUGGUAUCGGGGAAUACCCACCUAUCGGUUUGAGGCUUGAUGGUGAUUCGUUUGACACCUGGAUAAUUCUCGAGGCCUAACAUGUCGAUCUCGUUAUCGAAAUGACCGAUGUUGCAAACGAUGGCGUUGUUUUUCAUCUUCUUCAUGUGAUCAACCAUGAUGAUGUCCUUGUUACCUGUUGUGGUGACAAAGAUAUCAGCUGUUGAAAGAACAUCUUCAAGAGUUAGGACUUGGAGUCCUUCCAUAAGAGCUUGAAGGGCACAGAUUGGAUCAAUCUCGGUCACGAUGACACGAGCUCCGGCUUGUUUCAAGGCUGAGGCACAACCCUUGCCGACAUCACCGUAACCACAGACAACGGCGACUUUGCCGGCAAUCAUAACAUCGGUGGCUCUCAUUAAACCAUCAGGAAGAGAGUGGCGGCAACCAUACAAGUUAUCAAACUGUUCCAUAUAAUCAAAUCAUAACUAUACAAUUGGAUCAUUAUACAUAAAUGACAAUUAAAAUCAUAAUUCCAUUAAUUAACCAAGAGUGAGUGAGCAUAUAGGAGCCGAAGUAUCUUAGAAACUUAGGGUCCAAUUCAAAAUCCGGUUGAUAGUUUAGGGGGCUUAGCUGGAAUUAACCCAAAACAAAAAUACUUCUAACGGUGAAGAAAACAUCAAGCAAAUAGCAGACUCGAUCACUCAAAGCAAUUUGAAAUGGUUUUCAAUAUAUCUGUGCAUCAUAAAAUAAAACCAGAUCCACUAUGAAGAAAAUAAAUUGGGAAAUUAAAUCAGAAAUAAAAGAAAUAUAUACCUUGCUCUUGGUGACAGAGUCAUUGACAUUAAUAGCAGGGAACAACAAGGUUCCAUUAGCCUGCAUUUGAUAAAGCCUUUUAACCCCAGUCGUGGUUUCUUCAGAAACACCAACCAAUCUCUCCUUCAUCUUCGUAUAUUUCUUCGGAUUUGCUGUCAACCCAUCUUUAAUUAUCGUCAAUACGAUCUGAAACUCAGCGUUAUCGCUCGACGUCGGGUCCGGUACCUUCCCGGUUUUCUCAUAAGCUUCCUCAGCUUUAACCCCUUCAUGGAUCAACAUCGUAACAUCCCCACCAUCAUCAACAAUCAAAUCAGGUCCACCACCGGCACCCCAAUCGAGGGAUUUCUCGGUACACCACCAGUAUUCUUGGAGUGUUUCGCCUUUCCAAGCGAAUACAGAAGCGGAGUCACGAGCGAUGACGGCGGCGGCGUGGUCUUGGGUUGAGAAAAUGUUGCAAGAACACCAACGGACUUCGGCUCCUAAUGCGGUUAAGGUUUCGAUGAGGACGGCGGUUUGGAUUGUCAUGUGAAGUGAACCGGUGAUUCUGGCUCCUUUGAAAGGUUGAGAAGGGCCGAAUUCAGUUCUACAUGCCAUUAGACCAGGCAUUUCGACCUCGGCUAAAUCGAUCUCGAGACGGCCAAAAUCGGCUUGAGACAUGUCUUUCACCUUGUAUUCACGGCCGCCGGAGGUUUUAUCCACUGAAAGAGCCAUUGGUGGAAGUAAAAAGUGAGAACAAAGCACACAAAAUCACCCCUGGUAAAGAAACGAUCAACGUAGCAAUGAUAGAAAAAGAAAGGCAGAGUGGUAAAUGGCAAUGGGAUGUGCUUAUAACCAAUGCAUGCAAAUAAAUAGGUUGAAGAAGAUAUAUUAUAGGGUUAAUUUCAUAAAUGUCCCUAAACUAUUUCUCAAAUUUUAAAUUGAUCCUCAAACUUCAAAACAUUUUAAUUGAAUCCUCAAAGUAUUUGUAUUGUAUCGAUUAGACCUAUAUCUUUUUUUUAACACCUCAGUCUUAAGUUAUUCAUAACAUAAAAUACGUACAUGUGUCUUAAGCUAAUGGUAAGAGAAAAACCCAAUUAAUACGAUAUUAAUACUUUGAAGAUUGAGAUCAUUUUAAAAUUUGAAUCAUUAUUUAGGGACAUACGGUGAAAUUAACCCUAUUUUAUAAUUAUAUAAUAAAUUAUAUAAGGUUAACUAUAAAUUCGCGUUGACAAUUUCCUAUUUUAUUUAUAUAAUAGCUGUGUAACAUAUUUUUACGUUUAACUCAUUAUUUUGUUUUUAUUUUUUUUAAUAUAAUGUAAUUUGAGUAAAUGAAAUGGUGAUGCGAAAGGCACGCAACAGGAAGCGGAAUUAGUCUAAUUAUAUAUUUUUAUCAUUUAAGUUAUAAAAUUAUAUUUUUAUUAUUAUUUAAUUAUAAAAAUUUAUAAAAUAUUUAUUUGAUUAUUAGAAUUUUUGUCACCCAAUCAUGAAAAUUUAUAAAAUGGUCACCAAGUAAAUAUGAAAACAUAAAAAUUUUUAAGAUAAUUGGGUGAUAAAAAAAAACAAAAUUAAAUAAUUAAAUGACCAUUUUAUAACUUUUCAUAAUUGAAUAACCAAGAAAAAUAUAUAUAAUCGAGUGAUUACUAAAGAAAUUUACCCCUAAAGAAAUGUGUAAUUCUGGGUUAAAAAACUUAUCUAAAUAGUUAGUCAAAUUACUAUGUUGAUAAUUUUUGUGGUACAAUCUAUAUUUUUUUUAUUGAAUUACAAAAAAAAAAAAGAGAAAAAUCUUAACAGCAAUACAACUAAUAAAACUCGUAUCUAAGCCACAUCUAAUACGAAAAACACCCUAACCAUUAGACCAACACAUGAAUAUAUGUAAUAACAUGUAUUAUUUGUAAUUUAUAUUAUACUUAUAAAUCCUUCAAAAGAAUAAAUAAUUUGCUUUAUUUUAAUUUAACUAUAAAAGUAUUUUCAAUAUUUUUGGAAUUAUAAAUUCGGUUAGAUUCGGGCUUCAGUAAAACCUUGGAGAAGAAAUCGGCCUACGGCCCGACCAAUCUGAAGAACAUUUCACAUUCACAAUUUUGUGAAAGCUUUCUAUAUUUUUCACUGAUUUCUACAUUAUGCUCCACUGCUACUAAGUUCAAAAAGCAUGCACUGUGCCUAAACAGAAUCCUACAGUGGUUUUUUUUUUCUUUUUGCAUUUCCAUGGCAAGAAUUUGAAAUACAGAACCUGAAUGACAGGGAAAAUGGAUAAUGUAUUUAGUUGCUACAUUUAUAAACUCUACAUAUAACAAACAAACCCCUCACUUUGAUUUCAGGAGCAGCAUCGGGUUGCAUGUACAGAUUCAAUCUCGAUGAAACGGUGCUUGGGGGAUGAAGUAUCGAGGACAACCCGUUGAAAGAAUCAAUCAAAUAUCUCCUGGGCUUCAAUUAUACUAUGCUGACUGAGAAAAUGAGGCAGAAAAGAUGGUUUGAAUCAGAAAGAUUGGAUAUUACAGAAAAAGGUAAGAAACUUAGAAGAAUAAACAACAAAGCCUUACUGGUCGUCUUUUGCAACGCGAUAAUAUUUCUCUGCGUGUUGCCGUUGACCGAUCAAUUGAGCAAAACGUUCGUCAUGAGUGAUUACUAUCAGCUGAAAAUUCUCCUGGCCUUUUCUGUCCUCCAUGAUUCUGGACCAAAGAGGAAAUGGAAUAAUUGGUAAUUGGUAUAUGAUAAGGCACUGCCUCAGUGAAAUAAAUACGAGAAGGAAAGACAAAAGUGAACAUACCUAUGGAGAGCUGCAGCUAGACUCUCUGCGUUUGGGCCGUCCAAAUUUGUGGUUGGUUCAUCUAAUGCUAAGAUUCCACAGUUGAGGCAAAAUGUCUCGGCUAAAGCCAACCGUAUGAUUAGAGAAGCAAGGACCUGAAACAAGCAGUAAAUUCCAUGAUGUUUCAGUCGCUCAAUGAUGCAAAUAAAGUAACUAAUACAUUACAACUUAUUUUUCCACACAACGACUGAUGAUCACUCACCUUUUGACCCGCACUACAUCGUCCUCUCAUUUCGAGCUCAGCAUCACCGGUUUGCAUAAGAACCUGUUUGGAGGGGGCAAAAGGUAUGACAUAACAAAAUUUUGGAAAAAUAAAAAUAAAUAAAUGAAAGGCCUUACCUUGUAGCUGUAAGAACGAGUUCCAGCACCCUCAGAAUCCGAAUGAAUGCUAAUAUAAUCUAUAUCUUGUCCUCUGUAUGUUUGCUGCCACAAUUCUCUUAUAAUUUUGUUUAUUUCCUCCAUUUUCAUAGAAUGGAAGCGCAUAAGUGCUCUGCAAACAAGGAAGUGGUGUCCAAAAAGAAAACAUGGUUAUUAAAAAGCAAGAACAGAUUUUUGUAUUUACACUUAACAGAUGAUUCACAGUUCUUUAGCCUGGUAGCAAUUAAAGAACUAUUCUUGAACAUUUUUGGAAAGAAUUCACAAUCUAAAUUUCUAGUUGCGCAUGUAAUUAGAAAGACAAAUCGAAAAUUGAGCAAAUCGCAUACUUGUCAAGUGCAUUGUAGUAUCUGUCAAGAUCCUUGUUUGCCAUCUCAGUUGUCUGUCAUACAGCAUGCAAGUUCAUAACAUAUAAACCCAGUAACAAAGGUUAAAUCAGCAUUAUAAUUAAAAUAAUUGUCACCUUGAGCUGGAUUAGCUGAUCAAAGUACCGCUUGUCAAUGUCCUUGUAUUGUGCUUGUUUAAGUUCAGCUUUGUUCUUUGAAAUAUUACUCUGGUAAACGGACAUUGUUCCUCGGCAUCUGUUGAGCUGUAGAAAAAUAGAUGCAUCUUACAACUCUGAGACAGAUACAUUAAACACUUUUUUUAAAAAAACCUUUAAUAAUAGGGAUGGUGAAGUGAACUCAAUGAGUGAAUGGCAAUAACGCACAAUGAAAGAGACAACAAUAAAUCCACUACCCCUUUUUCACACAUUGAAUGAAAAUGAUGGUAAAGAACUGUAGGUCCACAUCAAUUCAACAGGGCAAAAUCAAUGGCAUGCUAGCCAAAGAUGUUACCUGUGAAUGGACAUAAUGAAGAAGGUCAACAUACGAAGAUGCCAGUGAGAACCACACAUACCUCGGAAAGAAGUCUCUCCCUUUCUUCCGAAAUUUUUCGUAUUUCACCUUCACAUUUGGAAAUACCACCAAUCUCCAUUAUUCUCUCUUGCAGUGACUCAAUUUCACGAGAGAGCACAUCUACUUCAGCUUUUGUUUUCCUGUAAUUUAAGUUAUCCUCAAUGUUACGUCUUAAUUGAUCUUGAUUACGCAUCAAGUCUUUACUUUUGUUUAGCUCAGCCAAUAUUUCCUGUUUCCUAGCAUCAAAGUUGAGAAGUUGAGAUUCCAUCACAGACUGCUGUUCUCGCAGUUCCUUUAGUUUCUCCCCUUUCUUUAAGUCAUAAUACCUGGAAGGAAAAAAAAGACUUCCAUUAAAGUUCAAUGGCACAUAAGAGCAAGCUCAAAUUUCAUGGCUCAGAAAUAUACGCUUUAAUCUUGCUGUUAACUUCAUAUAGUACUUCAGCUUCACGUUGAUACGAGCUUCUAAGUUUUUGCUGCUGCUCAUAUUCCUCUGCAAGUUUUACUUUCAAGCAAUCAUAGUCUUCCAAUAAAGAUUCCUUCUCCUUGAAUAAGGACCUUAGAGACUCUGCUAAAUGCUGAAAGUUCCAAGAACAAUGCAUUAGAAAAAAGCAAUUAAAAAGGAACAAAGUUUGAAUGUAAAUCACAUUAGAAACCAAAAUGUAAAGGGUUUAUAAAUAGGACCAAUUAUCACAUUAAAAAGCAUCAUGCCUAAUAAUUUCAGAGACAAAGCUUGAAUCAACUCUAUUUCAUCCUCAGCUGACCUACCUUGAUUGAAGCAAUGAAGAUUAGCCAGUAGGAUGUUAAGGAGAAAGCUUGCAAAUUUUCCUAAAAGGUAUCACCAAUUCUUCUAUCCAUGGUAAACAUUGACAUUUUUUUGGUAAAAUUUGACUUUCAAGUAAUCAAAGACAACGCGAGCUCCCUAUUGAAACCAAAUCUCUCUAUAGCCUAAAGAACUACAGAAGUAAAGCUUAGACAGCUUUAUGAAUACUAUCCUACAUUAGCAUAGCAUCAGUCAAGGUAUAUUUCAACUUGAUUGAAGAGACCGACACAUAACAGUAGAAUCAGAGAGAAAACUUGUUAAUAUCUUAUGAGAUAAAGCAUACAAGUUAAACUUAUGAGAUUAUCAACCUUCUCCUCAAGAUCAAGUUGACGUUUCUCCUCUGACAAGUGCUCCAACUCUUCUUCCGCCUUUUUAAAAUCACGCAAUGUGUUAGCCACCUCAACUUUUUUCUCCCUUAUAUCGUGCCAGCGUGUCUUAACGCUUUGCAAAUCCUUUUCCAUGUACCUCUGUUCUGUCCUUAAGUCAUCCACUUCCUUAAGUAAAACGUCCCUGGUUAUAAGGAGAAGGAAAGUUGCUAAAUACCAAUAACAAGUCAAUAUUGUCUCUACAAAAUUUUAAAGCUUAAAACAGAUGGAUAACAAGCUUCUCAACAACCUAUAUUUGGGUUAGGAAAAACAAUGGUUGCUACCUUUUGCUUUGCAAAUCGUUUAGCUCCGAUUGAAUAUCUUCCACAGUUCUAGCACCACCUUGCCCUCUAAUGUCAAACUUAUAUUCCAAACCUUCAACUUUUGCUUGCAAACCCUGAAUUUCUUGAAAGAUCCUGUCAGCAGUUUCAACAGGUCCCACCAAGAUCUCAAUAGAAUCCUUAUCCAUCUUUAUUUGGGCUAAAACACCUAACACCUAUAAGAAUAACAACAAUAGUAAAAUAAUAAUGCAUUGCUCAAACUAAACAAUCAUCAUGAAAGGUUCUUUGUUAUUUUUAAAAUUAUACCAUAAAAUUUAAAAUUAUCAGUAAUUAUUUUUAAAUGCAGAGCCAAGAAAAGUAAAUUCAAUAAUUGCUUCUUUGGCAGUUGGCAUAUACAAAUUCUGCACACAUACAGAAAUUCAGGGAACAUAGAAAAGAAAAGAAAAAAAAAAACAAGGUGAAGAAGAAAGAAGAAUAUUCUUUUAGAUUGAAAGGUGUCAUCAUAUUUCACAGCCAAUUAUAACGACUUUCAGAGUUUUCACUUACAUCAUCUCAUUACUUCUUGUUCAAUAACAAAGUGAAAUAGCAACUUCUAAUGAUGAUAAGGACUAACAAACAAUGAAGAAUGGUCUUCCUAUAAAGUGGCAAAUUAUUUUAAUUACAAAAUUAGAUUAUCUGAUCCUAAAAGAUCCAUUUAACACCAAGUUAUUUUUCAUGAACCAGAAAUAUAGUAUACUGAGGAAAAUGUUUUCAGUAAACCUAUUUUCAGCACUAUACGACUGACCUCAGAAAGACUUGGAAUUAAACCUUGUUGCACUAGUAGGACCAGUAACAAUAAAUCAUAGAAUUAUAUAUAAUGAAACAGAUACGUACAUCAUCAUGGGCUUGAGACUUUUGAUCCAGCUCUUCAUUUAGUUCAAGCAAUUUUUUCUCAGCAAGAGGAAUUGCCUCCUUUACAGUUUUAAUAUAUUCCUCAUAAACCAUUCGAAGCUUGUCCAACUGCUGAAAGUAAGACUCAGCAUUUGAUGAUUCCACUGCCAACACCUUCAUAUGUUCAGCCGAACUUGCAGCUUUAACUCUUUGCUGUAGUUUUUUCAAGAAAAUACAACAGAAUUUAGAACUUUAUGCUAACUGAACCAAUAGACACCCUAUUAAGAUUUAAAUAUCAGCAAAUACCCCUGAAAGUUCACAGAAAAAAAUAAUAAGUGGUCAAAGAGCGGUAAGGCUCUGGAAGUCCCAAGUACAGAUCCCCCAACCCCCAAUGUAGACAAGUUUAUCAGUAAACAUCUAAGAAAGAGAAGAUCAAUGAUGAGCUCAAGAGAACUUAUAUAUCAUAAUUCACAACCUUCUUAACAAAUUCAUCUUCUUCUUCAGCAGAAAAAGGACGCUCACAGCAGGGGCAAAUAUGAUGAGCACGGGCAACUCUUUCAAAUGGAUCAAACAUUUGCCUCAUACCAUCUGCAAUGUUGUAUUUGCUGCAAGAAAUGAUCCAGUUAUAUUACUAGCAUGACCAAGAAAAUGAAAGAAAAUGAAUAUAUUCAUACAUAACCGAACAUUGCCUCUAAAAAGUUAGGAGCAAGAACCUUUUAUGAACAUCUUUUUUCUCCUUUGCAGUCUCCAGGACUUGGGGAUAGGAAUCAAUGGUAAAAGAUUGUUUCUCUAAAGAAUUUAGUCUGGCUUCAAGAAAUUUCUUCCUAGCUGAAUUUAGAUGACAAAAGAAAACACAAGAAAAUAAUACGAGUAAACAACCUUGAAAUAUCGCAUUGAUAGCUUGGUUACAUUCAUCUCAUGCUCUUUUGAAGCCAAAGGCUAUGAUCAUGGACUCUUUAUCAGUAGUAAGGUCCUCCCGGUUUAGGGAGGAUGACAUCACAGGUUCAAUAUUUAUUGAGUUAAUUCAAGUUUUGGUACAUUUUCAAUUUCUAAUUUUCCAGGAAUGGACCUCAGUCAUUUCCCUAGGGCUUAUUUUGUGUUCAGUGAAUUCAUCCACUUGAAAAAUGUAUAGGUUAUAAAACUUUGGUGACGCUCCUAAACAAAAAAAAAAUUUAAGAAUCUAAGUCCACGUAUGACGAGUUUGAUUUCACUAGAUAUUACCCCAAGGAUCUUAUUACUAUUUUGCAUUAAUGCAAAAUCUGUGAUUUAAGUAUUUCCUCAUUCUUGUCUCUCAAUGCAUGGCAUGUUGUUGAUACAGUAAGAGUGAUACUCAUAAACUUGCUAAAUCACAUUUAGCAGCUAGCUUUUUCCUUCAAUUCCAGCUAUGAUUUAAGAUAAAAUCACAAUCCAUUUAAACCCUAAAUUAACUCCUAGAUUUAACAUGAAUGUUAAAUCUCCAGUGUAGUAAACCUACACAUCAGAAUCUUCCACACUAUAUAAAAAAAAUCACAACAAGAACAUAGGUAUCAUUAAACACUAUGAAGAAAAAAGGCAUGAAGGCUACUUACAGUCCAUUUCUUUCUUAUGUUUGGAUAAGUUACUAUUAAUUUCAUCUAUUUUCAUCUGCAAAAUGUUUACUUCCUUCUCAGCUUCACUGGAUUUUGUGCUCAAUUCAUCAUACUCCUUUUGAACAGCGCUGCAGAGGGAAUGGCUCAAUUUUGAGACAAAAUCACAGACAAGUAUAUAAAAGCAGGAAAAAGGAAUAUUAUAGUUGCAAGCACCUAAAUAUACAAUUCCAAAGAAUAACUCAUAUAAUCAUCACUCUUGGUCAUCAUGAAUACCAACCCUCCAACCCCCCGCCCCCCCUUUUCCCCUAAAAAGGAAAAAAUAUUCCUUCAUAAUAGCAUGUUAAAAAAUGAACCAAGUAUUUUGGUUUAACUAACCUUAAAGUUCGGGUAACUUCCCUUUUCAAAUCUUUGUCAGGAGGAACCCUCCCUUUUAGCACCACUCUAAUCCUGUCCUUGUACUCUUCAAUUCUGGAAAACAAUAAUAAAGCCAUUAGCUUCAACAAUAAAAAAGUAAUAGACCCAAAACAAAUUAUAUUGAGGCUGAUUAAAGUUGAAAGAUAAAGUAGAUUUACAUCUUUUUGUGCUGUUUCUUCUUAUUCUCCAAUUCUCUCGUACUUAUAGAUAGCUCCAUUCUUUCUGUGGCCUCACCAGCGGCUAAAUCUCUUUCAUGACUAAGGACCUUAAUCUUUUGAUCUAUGGCAAACACCUCAAGUUGCUUCUGUUCUACGAUUUUAUCAUGGUUUCGUUCAUCAAGUUGUCUACUCUUUCUAUCAAUCUCAACUUGCUGCGAUCAGCAAAAGAAAGAUUAUUAUUUUCCAUUUUUCUAAUCAAGAUUUACUAGGAAGAGGUUUUUGAAUCCCAAGCAAAGCUGAAUUUGAAAGGCUAUACUCACCAAAUUCUUUUCCCUGUCAUCAAGGCUAGAAAGAUUGACAUCCGAAAUUUGAAUUUCAAGAAAAUCACGAUUACUUUUCGUCUCUUCUAAACGUUUCAAAAUAGAACCCUGAAUUGUAUCACAUGUAAAUGCCCAUAAAAUAUGAGAAUAAAGGUAGUUGGAGAGUAAGUUACAUAAGUUUUCUAAAAGACAGACCUUGAUUUCUAAUUUUGCCUUCUUCUGAGCCUCAGCAAUGUUGCAACGCUCACUUGCACCCAUGUAGCAAUCCCAUGCAGUCUUCAGCUUCUUGUCAUUUGAUUGCUGAAAUUAUGAGAAGUGAUAUUCAGGAUAGGAACAACAGAUAUCAAACCAUAUUAAUACUGGUGAAAGGAUAAUCUAAAUUUCUAAAAUGCAUCAAUGACAAUAAAUAAUGUGUUGUCCACCAUACAAAACUUAACCCCUUUAAUAGAGAAACAAUAACAACUGCACACAAAACCACCUUUUUCUCAUCCAAAUCUCUUUCAAGCUCCAUUAACCUCACUUCUAUUUGCCUAGUGAGGUUCAAAGCAACUUCAUCACUAAAUGGGCUAUUUGGAGUAGAUCCUAAAUUGAGCCGUGCAAAUAGUUGUUCGAUGGCUGUAUCUCUGUCUUUUUUCGACAGCACGAGAGUCUGCAAAAGUGUAAAAGAGUUAACCAUAAUAAAAAUCACACAAUAGAUGGCAAUGAUUUAAUUUUAAAAAUCUCCUGUCUUUUUGUAACACCUCAGCAUCCCUUUGAAGCUUGCCAAUCUCCCCAAUAUACGUCUCUAAUUUCCUCCGAUAAGCAGAGCUCUCCUCAUUCAAAUCCUGCUGGUUACUCUCCAUUUUCUGAAUUUUAUUAUCCAAUAACAUAAUCCUCUCGUCAAACUUGGUUUUCCAUUCCAUCAACUCUUCAUCAGUAUCUAACAGUACGGUACAAGAAAAUAUACAUAAAAAAUUAGUUAUUCCAUAAAUGCAGGAUUUACAUAGCUCCCACAGAAAGAAAAAAAAAUUAAGAAAGAAUCCUGCUUCUGCUGUUGAAUUGACAAACCUUCAUUUUCCUCAGCAAGAGCAGCAUAUUGUCUCUGCUGUUCCUUGAACAAAGUGCUCCUUUCAGCAGUCUUUGUAGAUUUCUGGUCCUCUAGCUUUCGUAGAUCCUUCAGGGUUAAUUCAGCAUUAUGAAUCUUAGCAUCCAGGUCCUCAAUGUUUUUCUCCAAGACUUGUAUUUGGCUUUUCAAGGAUUCUGUUUUUUCUUGAUCCUGAGCAAUGCUUUCUCGAUGCUGUAUGAAGACCAUAUCAAGAAAAUCCCUUUUAAAAAUAAACCUAAACCCUACUGUUAAUCUUACGGAUUAGCUUCCUGUAAAAAUACCAGCUAUUAGAUUAGCUCCAAUGUUUCCAAUAACUACAUUUCCCCUCAACUUUGCUAGCCUUCACUCACUUCCACAUAUAGUCCUUUUCUUCACAUUCAAGACAUACAUUCAAUAAUUGUUCAAAAAAAAAAAAGGACAUACAUUCAAGAAGGGCAAUCUAGGUUUAGAGACACAAGUGUAAUAUCAAUGUACGUCUUUGCAGUCCCACCAGGACAGAACUUAAGAUUCCCCACAGUUAAAACACACAGAGAGAGAGAGCUGGAAUGCUAAAACAAUGGGCAAACAUGCAUGAAGAUGCAGACUGAUAAAUAUCAUGAAUCAAUGAAUGCCACCCAUAAAGCCCUAAACAAACAUGAAAAACAGAAAACCUUUUCUGUAAACUAAAGCUUAACAUGCACGGAGAUCGUCUUCAAUCAGUUUCCUUCUUUAUUUCUCCUGAUAACAGAAUUUCCUGCAGAUUAUAUAACUUAAGGACAAAGAUCCUUUGUGUUUUCCCUAAAAUAAAAUCAAACCCUUUAAGCCCUUACACUUUUUCUUAACAAAAUUGACCAGCAUCAUUAGGCACCUCUAAAACACAAUCACUUGUUGAAUGACAGCACAGUAUGAGUCUGUUAUGUGGCUUAUGCCAUGAUGUAGACCACAGGAGCUUUAUGAUCCGAUUUACAAUGAGAGAGGAACAACAGUAACUCAGCAGAAAUUAUAAACAAAUAUUAAAUUGGACGAAUAAGAAACAAGAUUUAAAUAAAUGAAAAAGAAAAGAUACAAAAGAAUAACAUAUCCACCUUAUAUGCAGCAUCUUUCAAGGUCUGUAAGUGCUCCAGUUUUAGCUUAUAAGCCUUUAUCUCUUGAGCCUGAUCCUUGUGAAGCUUUUUUAUAACCUCCAAGGCUCUUGUAUAUCUGUUUACAGGCAGCCAUUAGCAAAAGAAUAUCCUAAAACGGUCACAAUAAGAAAACUAAACUUUUAUUGUGGAAAAAUCAGCAAAUUAACUACCACAGUUAAGAACUGUACAUGUGUUUUAGGAAAGACAUGCAAAAUGUAAACCAAAACCAUGCAAGGAAAUCCAUCAUGCUUUACUAAAAGUAAAGAAGUUGUAACAGACAUUAAACAAUAUCCAGAUUUGCAAUUUCAGAUAUAUAAACAUUUUAUCCUGUAACACAAAAGAAAUAUGAAAAUUAUGAUUCAAUCCUAAAGAGAUUGGGCAUUUUCCUUAGAAUAUUAGAUGAAAAUUCUCAACUUGCAACCAAAACCUCAAGGAGAAAAGCACCAUGUUAGUAGGCAGUCUUGCUUCAGAAAAGUUCUCUCGGCCUUUCGUAGGUAACCUUUCUAAGAACCAUUUAGGAGCUUGAAUGUAUCAUAAAAUGAGCCGAAAUCCAUAUGAUUCAAGUCUAAUCUUUCUCUGGUACGGUGAUUACUAUUAAAACAAGAAGGCUUUUGAAAUAAGUAUAUAAGCAAUUUACAGACCUUGUACAGAAAGUAAAUUACUUCAUAGGGGCCACAAAUAUAUAAAGAGAGUUCAAGAGAUGAUGGAAAAAAAAUAUUGGAUUCUUGGCAUAUAACUUGGAGAAAAAAAUUGUGAAUACAAGGGCAUUUGAAAGGAAGGGUGUUUUGUAAACUAGACCUGAUAAAAAAUCCACAAACAUGAUAACAUGAAUAGUUUCACAGAUAACAGAUACCAGGUAGUACUCGGUGGAUUUCAAUAUUGUCAGGCAAAGCUUUUUUCAGGGGAAAAAACAGCAUACCUCGUAGCUGAGAAGAUAUCAUCGAAUUUCUUUUUCAAAGUCGAAGGAUCUUGUAAAGGCCAAUUGGCCUCAUCUUGGUGCACAAAAAUCACAUUCUCCAGAAUAGCUUUCGAGACACCCAUCAAAGCUGGGAUUUCUCUGUCCAUGUCAGCACAUCUAUAGCUGAGGCAAACUUUCUGCAGUUCAUAACCAAACCAGAAAAAUUAGAAGUACAACCAGUGGAUUAAAACAACAAAAUAAAACCACACUACAAACAAGUAGGAACAGUCAAAGAAACAUUGACUACAACCUCUCCGGUAUGAGGAUUUAGCGUCUGAAGAACACUCUCAAUUGCUUUAUACUCCAUCUUCGAUGCCUUUUGCGUCAAUUGGAAUGACCUUAUACAUACCACAUCUUUUCCUGCAGCUGUCUUGAACCGGAGCUUAAUUUGACCUUUUGUCUCCGUUUCCCCUGCAACCUACAUACAAGGUAAACAUGUCCUAUAACAAUUCCUUGAAGUAUUAGAAGUAUUAAAAUUAUAAAAACAAAACACAUGGUUCCCUCAUACUCAAUUUCAUUGCUACAACUUUUUUUGGUUCACCAUUUUCGUUUUACUUCCUAAAAAUUGCACAAAACCAAAAUCAGAUUUCACUGAAGAUAAGCAAAUGGCUAAAGUAUAUUACAUAAUAGAACACAUCUCUUACCAUGUAAGCCAAAUCAUCCAUUUUUCUAAUAUUAUCAAAAGCUAAAAUUUCUAAUUCCUUAAAAACAAUUAUUCACUUUUGCAUCAAAAUGAAACUAUAUGUGUAUAUAUAUACAUAUAAAGAGUGAAUAAGGAUACCUUGGGAUCAUGAAUGAAACUAUGACCAGACCUUGCAUUUGGAGGCAACUCCCCAGUGCAUGAAAGUUUCAAACAUUCUAUAAUUGUCUGCAACACCCCCCCCCCGGCAAAAAUAAAAACAAACAAAACCCAUUAAAGAAAACUUUACAAAGAAGCAAUAUAUUAAUUUAAAAAAUGAAGUGAGGAAUGAAUGAUUACAGUUUUGCCAGCGCCAUUGGGUCCAACGAUUAGGGUUAAGGGUUUAAAGAAAGUGAUGACGUUUUUGUUUUCCGGGUCGAAGCUCCGGAUUCCUUUUAUCAACAUUUUAUCAACCGUGCUCAUCUUCUUUUUCUUUGGGUUUUUAUCAAAUUCUGGGUUUGUGUUUUUAGCUCACUGAUGAUGAAGCAAACUCACGAAAGCUGCAAAAACAAAACAAAACAAAAAGCGGGUUUCAUGCAAAACGAAAAAAAAAGUUAAUGAUUCUUAUAGGAACGUUUAUUUCAGCAGAAGGGGAAAAUACUGAAAACAUAUUGACUCAGAGACCGAGUGACUCUGAAUCAUAGUAGAGAUUGAAGGGAGGCACAAAAAAUGGGGGGAAAUGAGCAUUGAUUGUUACUUUUGUAGACUGUUCUCAAGAAGAAAGUGGAAAGACCGGACCGGACCGGGUUAUUUGGGUAUAUUUUAUUUUGGUUAAAUUCUAUAGGUAGUCCCUGUAUUAAGUGUUGUUUUAAAUGUUACACCAAAAAGCACACUCUUGGAUUUGGAAGAGCUUGGUCCAUGGUAGAGAUGCUUGCAAAAGUGGAGUUGAUGUUGAAAUUUGGCAAGGUAAUCAAUGCAUCAAUAGAAGCCAACUCGUUCAAGCUGUAUUCAAAUGAGCUCAAUUCACCGGUGGAUCGAAGUCUUGUAUCCAAAUGUGAUAUGGCACCAGAAAGUAAGGAAUGUCCCUUUGCACCAGCUUUAUGGUUUGGAUGCCCAUGAAACCUUCGUAUUGAGAAUAUGAAUGGUUAUGGAAUAAUCGAAUGGUUGAAGAAGUUGCUUUAUGUCCUCUCACUUGAUGUGGGUCAUCUGGGAAUGUCGAAAUGCUAAGGUUUUUCAAGGUACUCAACCUAACCCAAUGGGAGCAAUACAAUAAAUCCCUCACUUGGCACAAGGUUUUGUAGAAGUUCAUGAUCCCGGAUGUAUGCUUGUUAACCAUCCACAAAAUCAGAAAGUGGAGUUUCCACUGCAAGUUGAACACUCAUGGUUUAUAUCAGUAGCUGCAAUUAUAACAGAUCAAAUCAUGUUAUGGUAUACUUACGAGGAUACCAACAAUGUUCAUUGCAGACUUCUUCUACUUUGUUUGACAUUGGUUCGGCUAAAGGAGAUGGCAACUGACAGAUGUGUAUGCAAGGACCCUUGUAUGAAAUGGCUUAAUAUUUUGCAGGGAAGAACAGCUAUCUAAUGGCAGUACCAACCUUUAAUGGAGGAUAUCAUCUUGCUGCAAAGGGAGAUACAGCUUAUAGGUGACCAAUCCAGGGGUAUCGUCUAUGGCUAAAAUCGUAGCUUAUAGUUGGCCCUAAUAGUUAGUUAUAAGGUUAUGUAACAAAAACAAACAUCAUGUCAAAUUAUUUUACAGGACGAGAUAUCGAAAAAUUUACAUAUGUGUGAUUUAGGGACGGUCGUAGAAUUAGUAAAUUUGACAUUUAUUUGAGGAAUUUAAAUUGAUUAAAAUAUAUUUCAAGUUUUUAUAGGCUUUGCGUAUUUAGAAUUUAAUCAUUUACUUUUGCUUUUAGGAAAUUAGUUCAUUUGUUUUUUGAAUUUUAAAUUUUAAAUUAAUUUGUUAACACGGUUAAAAUUAUGAUUUUUAAUUCAUUGGUGUAAUAUUCUGAAAUGGAAAAUAUUCACUUAGUUACUAUGUAAUUUAUAAAUUGUGUUAUAAUAAACAUGAAUUUAAUAAAAGAAUUUUAGUAAUACUAACAAUCAAACUUGUAUUUUUAGAUCUGAAAAAAAUAAAAAUAUUAAGUUUCUAAAAAUAAAAGUAGAAAGAUUAAAGUUCAAAUGUAUAAAAAAAUAUAGGGACAUAAAGCAUAUUUUAACCAUUUAAACAAAUCACAAAUAUUUUUUGGGGAAGAUUUUUGAAAAAUGAGUUAAAAUGCCAAUUUACCAUGAAAGUUGAAAUUUAUCACUAUACCUUUUUUUUAUUAAUAUAUGCCAUUAUACUUCGAGAAUUUAAUUAAAUUUCCACACAAUUUGUAUGUAAUUUAAUUUUAGUACUAAACUUUAAAUUUCCUUGAAAUUUGUAAUUAAUUUUUAUUUUAAUUAAAUUUCAUCACUUGGUGAUUUGAAAAUAGGAUUUAACAAAAAAAUUUAUUUCAAGUACUUUAGUUUUAUAAUUAAAACGAAAUUAAUUUAUAAAAUAUUAAAAAUUAAUAACUUGAUUUUUUUAUUUAAUAAAAGAAAGACUCAAAAUAAAAUAAUAAUAAAAAAGCUUACCUUUUCUAUAAAUAGUUAUUAUUAAAUGUUAAUUUUUUAUAAAUAACUUAAAUCUUUUUUUAUAGAAACAAUUUUCAUUAAUUGUUAAAAAUGAAAGUUUUUAAUUAAAUUUUGUCUUUGGCCCCAAACUUACUGGCACCUUCUCUCAAGAUGAUACUUAACGAUUUUUGUGUCCCGAAUUUUAUUCUGUCAAUGAUUUUGUUACUUUUUUAUAGCGCUGUUAAAUUUAAUACAUGUGACACUUUUUAGACCAUCAUGGUAGUAAUAAUGAUAUCAUAAUGAUAAAAGUACGAUAAAUUGAUGGAAAAAUUAAACAAUGUGAUUAGUUAUCUUUAAUUGCUCACAUCCGAAAUUGAGAGCGACUAAAUUACUUCAUUUUUUUUAAAGGAACCAAUUUGUUUAAUAUCAAAUUUGAGACGGGCCAGAGAAAUCAUUUUACCCAAGAAUUUUAAGUCUGGUUUCUUGCAAACAUCGAGGCUUCUCCCAUGUAAAUAUGGUGCAAGAAACAAUUGAAGACUAAACACUGUAAUUGUUUUCAAUAUGCAUCCUAAACCUAUGUUACUCAGAUUCGAAGAUUUCGAAGAUAGAUAUGGAUAUACACUUGACGUAGAUAUCUUCAUUUUUUAUCCUAAAUUCUUUUUAUAUGUAUAUGGAAGAUUUUCACAGGAGAGAAUCGUAUUCCUGCAUAUCGAUGCUUGAAUACGAGUCAAACCGAGUACAGAAAGAAAAAUGAAGAAUCAGAGCAACACUAUCCUAAACACAAUGAGAUACAAGGAAUGACACCAUAGCAAUUUUCAGUGGAUCUUAUAGCUUUCACUCACUAGGUGGAACGUCACCUUUGAGCACCUUCCACGGUCCACCAUAAAAUUUAGGCUUCAUCAGUGGCACUGCUUCCCCAGGAUGAUCUUCCCAGUACUUUUCCUGAUAAAAGAAAUAACACAAAUUCUUAUUAUGAUUAAAAACAUGGAUCAUUCCAAUGACCUUUGCACGAUAUAUGCUUGGCAAAAAUAGUAUGAAAAUAAAUGAUAUUUGCUUGAGUUGCAUGUUCCAAUCCUCAUUCAUGAAUUGGAUGAACAAAUCGACCACUUUGUAUGUUUGGAAAAUCGAAAAUAAACCUGUUUUUAGGCCAGUUCAAUGUCUCCCCAGGUUGAAAUAUUAAAGCAGACAAGACAGUUUUUUGGUUUUCAGUUCAACCGGUCCAAUUCUAGUUACAAAUUGCUAUACAAUCUACUGAGCCUAAUAGUAGCUUGCUGUAAUACAAUUACCAAAUAGCUAAAAGAAGCCUAAAGAAUUAAGCUACUGUGAUUUCAACAAUUCAUAAGCAUUUCACAAUUUCUAAUGUGAUUUCCAAGAUUAUUUAUACAUACAUAUAUAUAUAAACAUUUUAGAAAAAGAAAGGAAAACCCUUUAUCAAUAUAAUGCAAGGAAAUCCAUGGAGAUGGUGGAAAGGAAGUACCUUGUAGAGCUGCUCAGUAAUGGCGGCACCAAUGACACCGGUGUAAAAAGCUGCAACAUAAAUGGUAACGAGAGGCGUAAAAGAUUUGGGUCUUCGAUAAGGCUCUAACAUGUCCCAAAGAAAUGUUCUUUCCCAUUUGUUGUAAACAUAAUCUGCAUAUUUUCUCCAUAGAUAGCUCGCCAUUUUCUUUUUCCUUCCACCUCCCCUUUUCUAGUACUUUUCUUUAUGGUUUGUUGAUGAUUUAUGUUGGACUCACUUGAUUACGGUGGCGCCCGAGAUGUAAUGACUUGGUGUGAGGGAAGUGAAUGCUGAAAGAGUACCCAAAAACCUACUUGAAAGUGACAAUUCAACCAAAAAAAAAAUCAAAUUUUCAAGACAGUUACAGAGAUAUGGAUCUUCAAAGACUUUUAACUACAUGAAAAAACUUUCUAAAGUUGAACAUACUUGUAUUAGACAUUUCAUAAAAAAAAAGGUUUAAGCAAGCCGAACUAGAGUACCCUUAUGUUUACCCUUAUGUUUUACUUGAAUAGCUCACGAGCCUAGUCGAGUUAUUUUUAAUCAGUAUUAAAAAUCUCAAUUCAAACUUGAGCUAAAGUGCAAAUAAUUAAGUUUAUAGCUGAGUAUGAAAAUCGAGUCUAUUUUUACUAUAUAAACUCAAGUUUUAUCUCAAAUCUAGCUCAAACUUCAGGCGAGCUUCGAAUUUCGAAUCAAGCUUGAGCUUCUUAUACUUAAACUCAACUUAGCUUGAAUUAACCCCUAUUUGAAUUUGGUUGCCUGAUCAAGAAUCAAUUACAUAGCUAUAAUCAUUCAUACAACACUGCUAACCUAUAAGGAAGUCAAUAUUCGACAUGGACUCGUAUUUAAUAAGUUUCUUCAUGUACUCGAAGGAUACCGGAAGAUUAUAUCUAUACCAUAUCCGAAAAUGAAUUCAAAAUAAAAAUUUGAGAAAACUCAAAGUGAAAACUGGAAGCUUCCAAAAUAAACUACUGACUGAUACAAUCACAACAAUAUUCAUUCUUUCAGUAAAUUAUAAAACCCUAAGAGUUUUUAGGAUGAUUAAUCGUCAAAUUGGAAGAACUUAUUGACCUAACAAAUUAAACAACAGUCAAUGCUAAUCGAGCCAUUAAUAAAAGCAAAUAAUGGAAAAAGGAUGUAAGACAAACCUGGUUAUUGCGAACCGUACCGCCGUUUUCCUGGCCGCCGAUCAGAGGAUAAGGGAAAUAAGGAGUCGAACUGUGAAACAAAGGCACGAAUUCUUACCUGGGAGUCGAUCUGAGCAAAAAAAAAAAACCAGCAAACGAAGGGAGCUCCGCUCUCUAGGAUGGACUGAAACGGUGGAGUUUAUCGCCGGAGAUAUAUCAAAAUAAGAGAGAUUGAAGGAGAGAGAAGCUUCACUCCUUAGUGGCUGGGUUUCUUGUUUUCUUCCCCACAUUCAUACGGUCCAUUAGGUUAGAAUAAGUCAUUAAGGGCCUAGAGUUGGCUUGUUGGGUUUAUUAUAAAAAAAAGCCCAUUUCAAUUAAAAAGAAACUUUUUUUAAUAAUUUAUAAGGUUAAUGAAAUAUUUAUUUUAAUUUUGGCUCCGUUUAUUUCAACAUAAAAAUUUUUACGGAAAAUAUCUUUAGCCUUACUCGAUGUUUGUUUCAUGUAAAAUAGGAUGGUCAACCUAAAAGAUUUUUCAGUCAAUGUAAAAUUAUCCUUUUAUUCCAGUAAAAUAUCGUACCAAUUUUUUUUCGUAAGACAUUUUCUAAACUAAUAUGGCUCUAUUCAUUAUAACACUCUCAUACCCAAUUCGAACAUCGGGUCAAAGCAUCAGGAUGUUACAUUCUCUACUACGUUCUUCACUUAUCCAAUAUUUUCUUAUAAACUUUCAUAACUUUUCAAUUUAGUCUCUUUUUGUCAGAAAAAUUCAAUAUUCACUAAUUAAUCAUAUUAAAUAAUUUUUCUUUCUUGUUACACUUAUCUCAAUAUCUUGUUUCACAAGUUAAAUUUCUAUGCAUUCACUUCUAUUAUUUCAUCCAUAUAUUUUCUCAAGUUUAAUAAUUUAGUCCUUGUCAUCAUAAUAAUUUCAUAUUUUUCCACACUUUCACUUUUACAACACUUUAUACAUAUUUUAUCAUCUCAUAGCACAUCCAUUCAACUUUUAUUAUAAUUUCCUUAUUCGCAUAUUAAAUUGUUUCACACUUAAACUUUUGUAUAUUUUUCAAUUUAGUCCCUAUUGCCAUGUAAUUUAAUUUUCACCGUAUAAACACUUUAAUCAAAUAAUUCAUUAUAAUACCUUAAUUCACAUAACAAAUUUUCAUGCAUAUCACUUCUCUUGUUUCAAUUAUAAAUUUCACAAAUUUUACAAUUUAAUCCUAAACAUCAUGAAGAUUCAUUAUUUACUAUAACUUCAUCUUCACAUCACUUUGUAAUCAAUUCACUACUUAUCAUAAAUCUCAAACGUAUGUUUGUUUCAUCGAAAACAACUUUUUGUGAAAUAUUUUCAGGAAAUCUACCAAACAACAGAAAAUAUUUUACACAAAUUCAUUCAAACACCAGAAAAUAUUAAAUUUUCCAGAAAAGUGAAACAUUUUUCGGAAACUAUUUUCAGUUAAACAAACGAACCUUUAUAUCCAAAUAUGUAUUCUAAUAACAUAACAAUUUCAUAUUUGUUUACAUCUUUUAUGAAGACAAACGUAAGCUUUUUAAAAAGAAGUUGUACACAGGGACGUAGUGGAUGGUAAUAUAGAGUUGAGCUAAGAUAGAUGAUGAAUCAAAACACACAAAAAAUACCAAAAACACUAUUUUUUUUCUUAAAAAUUGAAAAAAAUAAUAUUUAAUUAAAAAAACGUGGAGAAAGAUUGGUCCCUGUGGAACACCCUCCAAAUUCCCAGGUUGUCAAUUUAGUGAAAAAAAACGAAACAACCCACAUGUCUAAGCACAUGGCCAAACACAUCUCAAUCAACAACAACAUUUACAAUUGGUCCCAUUAUAACAACCCCCCCCCCCCCAUUUUGUUGUCUUUUUCUUUUAAUGUCUAUUUCCAACUUUCCACCUUAUAAUGUUUAGCCACUUGUUUUGGCUUUCCAACUUUAGGUAAAUCAUUAGCUAUUUGACAAAAUAUUUUUCAUUUUUAGCAUAAAAACUCAAAGAAAAGAUUAAAUUAUGUUUUAAGCAAGGUUUAAGAUUGUUGAACCGGUCAGAUCUUCAAUUUUUUAAUUCGAUCUGUUUGUUUGGUUAAAUUUGAUAAUAUAUUGAGAAUUCAUAAAAAAAAGGGAGAAAUUUGAUUCAAUCGGAUCAACUAGAUUUGCCAUGAGCCGAGUCACCUGCUAAAAAAAUGGGAAGGUUUGGACAAAAUAUGAGGGUCGAAAAAUGCGCUUGACUAAAAUUUAAGGCCUGUUUUCUAUAUGGCUUGGGCAUUGGGCAAGAUUUUCUAGCCCAAGCCCGGCUUGAUGUGUCUCGAAUAUGAUGCUAUAAAAAUAUUAUAUUAAUCAUAUAUGUUAAAUAAUAAUCAUUUCCUUUUAUAUUUUUGGCCUAAUACCUGCCAUGGGCUAGGUCACCCGCUCAAAAAAUGAGAGGAUUUGGACAAAAUAUGAGGCUCGAAAAGUGGGCUUGAGUAAAAUUUAAGGCCCACUUUCUAUAUGGCUCAAGCCUUGUAAAAGAUUUUUGGCCCAAGCCUAGCUUGGCCCGACCCGAAUAUAUUAUGUUAUAAAAAUAUUAUAUUAAUUAUAUAUGUUAAAUAAUAAUUAAAUGUUUUUAUAUUUAUAUUAUAUCAGUAACCCAAUAACAAUUAGACCUGUUACCCAAAACCUAAAAAAGAACAACUUAAUUAAAUAACCCAAUCCAAAAUAUAAAAAUUAUAUUUAAUACAAUAAAUAUUUAUUAUAUUUAUUAUAGUGUUUUUAAAUAUAAGUACUUUUUUAAUGUAUAUUUAAUGUGUUAGAAAACUUUUAUUUUAAUUUUUUUUUGUGCAUUUAGUGUACUAUAUUUUUUAAUAUAUAUAUAUUUAAAUAAAAAUUAAUCUAAAAAAAUCAAAUAGGGGUGAGUUGGGUCAAGCCCAAGUUUACCUUUCUUGGAUUUGGCCGAGCUUAGGCAAAAAAUUAAACCCAUUUUUUGAGCCAAGCCUGAGCUUGCAAAAAUGGUCUAGAUGCAUUACAUAGGCCCAACCUGAUCUCAGCUCAUCCUGGCCCAUUAGCAUCUCUAGAUCAAACUGUUAGUUCAACUAGUUUUUUAAUCCAAUUCAACCAGUUCAGAGUGGUUCGUGAGUCAACCAGCCGAUCCAAUCUAAUUUAAACGACAUUGGUUUUGAGUCAUUGUACUAUUUGUACAUUUGGAAUUUAGUCAUUCUACUUUAUUUUUAAGAAUUUAGUCCAUUUAGUUUUUAGAUUUCAAAAUUCAGGUAAACUUAUUAGUUUUGUUAAAAAAUAUAUGGUUAAAUUCGUUGAUGUGAUUUUUUGAAAUAAAAAAGUACUCGUAUGGUAGUUAUGUAACAAAAAAAUGUUGUAAUAAACCUGAAUUUAAUAAAAGAAUUUUAAUAAUGUUAAUAAUUGGAUUUGCAUUUUCAAAUUUGAAAAGUAAAACAAUUAAAUUCCAUGAAUUAAAAAGAAAGGAGAUUAAAUUUCAAGUGUACAAAUAAGGAUAAGGACUUAGAGCAUAUUUUAACCAAAUAAAAAAAUUAUACGAAGGGAGGUUACUCGAGUUUAAGGUCAAGAUUUAUCAUAGACUUUAAAAUCGGCUAAUAAUGCACUAUGCAAUUUUCGAAAUUCAACUUUAAGUAAGGUUAUUUAGUAUACAAGUUGGUUCAAAACGGUCCGUCUACUAUGGACUCAAUUUAAUGCAUGUAUUAGUGAAAAGAAGGGAUAAAUAUCAAAAUUACACAUAAACUUGGUGCCAAUGUGAAAUUUGGUUUGCAAACUUUGAUUUAGUGUAGCUAUACACAUGAACCUUUAGUUGUUAUUCAUGUGUAUACAUGAAACUUUAAUUUUGAUUACAUUAUACACAUUUUGAUUGGUGUUUGCUCGUUGUUAUGAAAAAUGAGAAAAAUGACAUGCUAUUUAUAUUGUUUUUUAAAUGGAUAAAAUGGUAAAACAGCAGAGGAUUUUUUUCAAUAAAAAAUAUUCUGAAAAAAAAUAUUUACGAUAAAAUGAACAAAUUCUAUUCAAAAGGACACACAUGGUACAUGUCGUCAACAAGUGUUGACACGAACAUGGACUGGGCCGAACAAUAAUGACACACAUAUGUUGAGCCCUUAGCCCCUAGUUACUAAAUGAAGGUAAUAGGUAAGACUAUUUUUAAAUCCUUUUAAAAAUCUUUCUUCAAUCAAUAUGGGAUUACCCACUUUAAAUCCUAAUUUUGAUACAAGAUCAAGCUAGAAUUUUAUGGUAAAUUCGACUCAACACAAUUAAAUUUUAAUAAAGUGUGUUCAUUUUAUCUCGAAAUUAAACAAAAAACCGAUGUUAUUUCUGUCUUUAUAUUUAGGUUUUACCAUCUCUAAUAUCACCAACACUUUUCUUCCUAUAGAAUAGAUAGUUUACUUGGCUUAAAACUUGGGAUGGCACCCUUGCUUCCUCAAAAUGGUAAAAUUUAUUCUUAAUCCCUUUAAAAAUUAUAAACUUUUAAGUGAAUAUAAUAGUUAAGUUACAUUUUGCCUCCUAAAGAUGGUAAAAUUUAUUCAGAAUUCUUUUAAAAAUUACAAAAUAAUAUGUUAACACAAUGAUAAAAUUAUACUUUAAAUCUCCUUAAAUAAAUAUAACUUAAUCUUGAUCUCUUCUAAAAUAAUUUCUUGACUUCAUUUCUAUUUAGAACUGUCCAUAAACCAAGCAAUACCACUAUUCAACUUUUUUCUAUUUUCCUAAUUCAAGCAUCUCUGUUCGAGUCAUUGUUCAUUAUAAUAUCGAAAUCCACAAUGAGAUUUUGUCUUAGAAAAAAUCCCAUCAUAUAAAAAAUUAUAGAGUAUAAUUGUGAAAAACUUUUAAAAAAAUUAUAUCAAAAAACUAGAAAUUUGUUUUAUUAUUAUUGGUUGAUGCUUUAUUUAAAUAAUUAGCACUGAAAUUUAGGAUAAUUUAGUAUAUCAAGAUUUAAACCAACUAAAAAUAUCUCACCAAGCUUGAGAGUGACCCACUUCAAUUAAGAGUUAUUAUUAAAUUUUUGAAAAUUAUAAAAGAAAAUGAAUAGACAUCACUAUUAAAGAGAGAAUAAGAUGAAUUAACCUAUAUACUAAUUAGAAUUAUUCAUGAAUCGGAUUAUAUCGUAUUAAGUAAUCUUAAUUUUAAGAUACAAUACGAAUUAAGUUAAUAAUUCAAUUUUUAAAAAAGUUUUCCGUUGAUAUAAAAAUAAAUAAAAUUUAAAAUUACAUAUGAAUUUUGAUUAAAUAUGCAUUAUGAUGCUUAAAUUUUGGUUUCUUACAAAUAUGUACAUAUUAAAAUUCGCCUAUCACAUUAUUAUACAUUUGAUUAAAUUUUUAUGUAUAGUUUUAAAAUUUAUCUCGAAAAUAAAUUUAUAAACUUAAAAUUUUCACUAAAUUUGAUAAUAUCCAAUAUUAUACGUAAGGGCGAAAUUAAAAAAAAUAAAAUUAGAGGGACUUAAUUUAAUAUUUUAAAAAGCUUAAUAAAAAAUUUUCACACGAAACAGAUGUAAUUAAUUAAAAAUUUAAUACAUGAAAAAAAUAUAAAAAAAUCUAAUUGCGACACAUUAAAGAGAAGACAGAAGACAACAUUUCAACGGACAUGCGAAAAAAUUUCAAUACUUUAGAGAAAAAAGAAAAAGAAAGACAGCCCAAUCCAAAGUGUUGAUAGCUUCCAUAAACAGUAAGGAACCCAACAUCGAACAUCAAACAUCAAACUUUUUUGCUUCGAAAUAUGAACCAAUCAAAUCAAUGGUUCUGAUAAUUAAACUGAAUUAACCACAAUUUUUAUUUCCAUUUUCAACAUACAAAAAAUCCGAUGUUUUAAAAUUAAAUUUAAAUUCAUAAAAUUUUAAAUUUCGAUUCAAUUGACUCAAUUCGAUAAAUUAUUUAUUACAAAUUUACAAUAAAAAAAUUUAAAUCAGUAAAUAUGAUGUUUAUUUACCUGAUUAGUAUAAUAAUUGUUACAGAUUCAAAGGACUAAUUUUUAAAUUAAGAAAUUAAUUUUAAGUUGGCAAUACAUUAAUAUGAAAGGCAAGGUUCUCCAAUUUAGUGUUCUGCCGACAAUUUGUGUGGAUGGAGAGAAAGCAAGGAAUAGUGUUUAUUUAUUUAUUUAUAUUUAUUUAUUUUAAAUUCACAUGUGAUAAAUGAAGAGAAUAUUCUAUAUUUAUGUAUUUAAAAUUAUAUGUGUUUGUAUUUAUUUAUUUAUUUAAAUUAAAUGAAUUUGUUUAUAAACUCAUGAAUAAUAAACAAACAAACAAUAAACGAGUGUCAGAUGAGUUUUAAGUGAUCUAUUAAAUGAGUCUUGAAUAAAUAUAAAUGAAUUUGUUUAUAAAUAUAAAUGGUUUGAAUAAAAUUUGUUAAUGCUUUGUUCAUUUAAUAAUGAGUCUCGAAAUUUUUUUUGUUCAUUUAUUUAGCUUGAUAAAUGAACAUAAGCGGAAAAAAAAAAUUGAACUUGAAAGUGUUGAAUAGUUGUUAGUAAAAAUCGAUAUGGACACAUGAGUUUGUUACACGAUUCGGAAACCUUUAAGGUCAACUUACUUACCAAGUUGCAACUAGUACUGUUCAUUGGUUGGGUUGCAUCUCGGUUUUAAAUCUAAGCCUAUUUUUGGCUUCACUUGCCCGAAAAACCCGUUUCACUGUUCAAAAUUAAUAAAAUACUAAAAACAUAUUUUUAUAUUAAUAUUUUAUAUAUGCUAUAAUCAAUUUUAAAUUUUAAAAAUAUUUAAAUUGAGUUUGGGUUGGACUGGGUCGAAUUGAGACAUAAAAAACUUUAAGCUCAACCCAUGUCAAGCCUAGUUGUUCGGUUCUUGAAAAAGUCUAGUUGCAACCUAGCUCAUAUAUUAACUAAGAUCGCUCUUUCUCAUUGAAAACCUAGCUACAAAUUGCGCGUGAAACGAAUAUUCGACUAGUGUGAACGUGACAUCUUAAAAUUGUAUUUCAAUAAGACUCUUAUAUGGCAUCAGACAAGGAAAGAUAUUGAAUCUCAUCAUAUGAGAUAACAUGAUCACACAUAAAAUCUUCAAAUAAACUCCUUGCUCGACUAAUAUGAGAGAAGGGCGAAGGGCAAAGGGCGAAGCUUAAGGAACAAUAUGAGGUUUACACGAAAGCUUAAUAAUCUAAGAGUGUCAUAAAUCCUUUCUUUUGAGUAAGCAAAAUCUUACAUAUACAUAUUCUUAAAUAAGUGUAUUCCUUUAAAUGUCCAUGAAAUGACUCACGUGAUACUGUUAACACGUGUAUCGACAUCUCUCUCUCUUAAACUAUAUAUCACUUCACUAAAUUUUCACAAUCUACGUGGUGAUGAGUCAUCAAACUUUACAAGUAAUAAACAGGAUAUUAUAAAAUUUAUCCAUUUAACCCUUUUUAAAAAAAAAUAUCUGAUUUUGGAUUGAUAAGGAUGGGUGAAGCCACUAAACACAACAACUAAAAUUAAUAUUUCUUUUUUAAGAUGGGUGACUUGAAGAAAACUAAGAGUAACAUCAAUCAUAUUUUUUUUUAUUUUUUUUAAAUUAUGUAAUUAAAUUUGAAGCAAAGAUAUCAUAAUUGGUUGGUAAUAAACAGCUUUCUCAAAUUUUAUUAAUUAUUUUACUUAAAAGGAAUAUUUUCUUUUUCAAUUCCAGUCCUCCGUACUAAAGCAAAGGGACCCAAUUCUAAUCAAGUCGUCAGUGGAUAAGGAUUAUGCUUUGGGAUAGAUUUUAUUGAUUCUUUAAAGAAAAAAAGAAAAGCAAUGAAAGUGAUACUUCUUAACAUGUAUGCUAUUAAUUUGUGUAUUUUGCAAAAGUUGUGAAUUUAGUCCUUAUACUUUCGGAACGGUCAUAUUUAGUAUCUCUACUUUUCGAAUUUUGAAGUUUUAAUCCUCGCCCGAACAGUAGUGGUUAGAUCCAUUUGGUUAAAUUCAAUUACUAGUCACCAUGUGUACAAUUGUAUAUUUAGUCCAUAUUAUCCAAUUGAAUCAUUCUACGUCCCUAUACUUUUUUUUUUAAUUUUGAAAUUUCAGUCUUGAUGCAAAUAACAAUUGUCAAUCUAUUAAUUAGAUUUCUAAUAAGUAAUAUGUAGAAAUAACAAGCUGAUAAAGCAUUAAACAUAUGAUAAUAUGUUUAUCGCAUCAAAAUUUGAAAAUAACAUCACUUAACUUAAUGAAUUUAUCAAAAAUUGCAAGAAAUAAAAAUGACCAAUAACUUUUGUAAAAUAUACGGAUUAAUAGUAAAAUUUGACGUAAACUAAAAUAUUUGAUAAUAUUUUUUUAAUUAUCUAUAUAUAACUUGACCCAAGUAUAAUUUAGCUAGCUCUUAAUUACUUAUAUAAGUGAACAUGUACUUAUAUAAAGCUUAAUAAAAUUUUAUAUUUGGUAAAGUUGGUUGGCCAUGGUAGCAUAGUCUUCACACCUAGAAGAAGUGCCAAAUUGGUCUAUAAUCCCUAUUUCACCUAAUUAUGCUAAUAGCCUUCCUAUUUAGCAAUGAAAUCUUGAUUGAGCAUUGACAUAAUGAAAUAUUAAUCAUAGAUAUAAAUAGGAAUCUCAUGUGAAUCUACCUUACUUGAAAAAAAAAAGUAAAAAAAAAAAAAUUAAAGAGGUGAAGUUAGAUAGGUAAUCUUGUCAACAUGAAUAAAGGGAAAAAGGUUUUUUUUUUUAAAUAAAAUAAAAUUUAUAGGUUCUGUUUAUAUCUGCUAUUGGUUUCUCCCUAACCCAUAAAUAAGAAGAUAAUGUGUUUCAGUGCACUUGAGUCCACGUCCUUUUGCGUUGGCAAUGAUGUUCAUUCCAAUCGAGCUGAAACUCAAUGGACUUAUUUUUAUAUGGUUUUCUCUAAAACUUAUUGCUAACAUCUAUUUUUAUCUAAACCGAAACAAAAACAAUAGUUCAAACUCGACAAAAUAAAAUAUUUUAAAAUUAUUUAAUUUAAAUUUAUGCCAAACAAAACCCAAUCUAAGUAUAGAUCUAACUCACACUUGAAUUUUAUUAAUGUUAUUAAUAUUAUUUACAAUUUCUAGGACUCAUGUGAUAGCACCGCCCUCAUACUAUGAUGAAGGUAAAAGAGUUCAUUGCCUCGCACAAUUUUAUCGUCUUAAAGUUUACUCCCUUUAUACUAAAAAAACAAAACCCUAGUACAAAUGAACAAAAAAAAAAAUACAUAGUACAAUCACAUGAAGCACUCCUAAAAGUUCAUGCAUUAAUCUUAGUAAAUAACUUUGUGCACCCAUUGGAAUUAUCUCCAUCAGUUAACCAAUAUAUUUAUUGUAACAUGUACCCAUUGUUACUUUCUUUUUAAAAUAAUUGUUGAAUAUUGUGAUGGAAUAACCUCACGUUAAGGAUUGUUGUUACAUAUCAUUCACAUAUUUAAUAAUCGUAUCCCAGCAGCUUAUAUUAUCAGUCAUAUAUUUUAUAUUGUCAGACGGUACUUAUUGUUUUUACGGAUAUACUUCUAAAGAUAUCUAACACGUCAUACGCGAUUGUCCUGAAGUUAAAGACAUAUGGUCUAUAAUAAUACCAGAAGAUAAGUUCAAUGCUUUCUCAUCUAGGGAUUGCAUGAUGGAUAGUUGCCAAUUUUUUCAAUAAACUUGGAAUGCAAAUGGAAGGAGUGGAUUGGCAAUGUUUCUUUGGUAUGGUUGCAUGAUGUAUUUGAAAAAAUCGUAAUUUAUCUGUCUUCCAAGGAACGUCGUGAAGUGUUGAGGAGUGGGUCAAAGUUUCAUACAGUUGGGCUAAACAAUACACCUCACUCAAUAAGGCAAGUACCCUGAGACAAUUAGUAUCAAACUUAGUCACACCUUUACUUGAGAAUUGGAUUCAAUUGAAUACUGAUGGUGCAAUUAAAGGGGAGACCGAGGCUGCCUUGAUAGGGGGUUCUAUGAGAUAGGUAUGGGUGUUGGAACCUGGGUUACAAUUGGAUAAUUUAUUGGAAUAUGUUUUAUUUUAGAUGCGAAAUUAUAGGGCAUUUUGGAAUGGUAUGUUGAUUGCACUGGACAGAGGAUUCGACAGGUUGAUAAUUUUUUCAGAUAGUUAAGAUCAGGCGGUACAAGCUCUACAAAGCAAGUCUACAAAAGAUUCAAGUUUAGCUUUGGUCAGAAGAAUUCAUCUCUUAUUGACUAAGAUAGUGCAUUGAUCGAUUCAUCAUGUUUCAAGAGAACUCAAAAGAUGUUGAUAGGCUAGCUAAAAUGACGAUCGGUUACAACGAUGGCCUUCAAUUUUUUGAAACACCUCCUUGGAGGCUUGAGUUUUUAUCUAAGUAGUUCUUUAUAAUGCUUUGUCUCUCUAAAAAAAAAGAGAAUACUCUUAAAUACCUCUUUAAAAUACAAUCAAGAGAAUAAACUAAUUCUCACUCGAAUUCCCCUCCCUUUUCCAACCAGCUAACCUCAAAAGCCUUUUUUUCGACUUUUUAUCCAUCGAGUGAACUAAUUGAACCGUUUUCAUAAUAAUUUAAAAAAAGAAAGGCAAUGGGGAGAAAACCAUGAAUGCAAGCUAAACCCGGAUUUCAAGCAGGGAAAGGAAUCAUUAAAAUUUGAGAAAGUCCCCCACCAAAUUACUUUAUCAAAUAUGAAAUGGCAAAUUUUGGUCAAAAUGUUGGCUCCACACCACUUUAGCAUCUUCCUUUUUAUCUCUGCUAUUUUUAGCUAAAGGAACUUCAAUCUCAAGAUAAAGAGAGGGAUUUCUAAUUUUCAAAGGUGUUUAUACCUUAAUCUUUGACUUUUAUUUUCAUCAAAUUAUGAUUUUCAUAUUGAAAUAACAUCAUUUUACGCUGAUAUAUUAUCUAUACAAACAAUGAUAUUAAUCCAAUCCAAUAUGAAAAUAAAUGUAUUAAUUUAUUUAUUUCUUUAAAUGUGUACAAUUGAACCAAAAUUAAAGUUUCAUGUAUCAAAUUUCACAUUAAACGUUCAUGUAUAAAUUUAAUAUUUAGCCCUAGCAAAGUGAGUUAAAAUUUUAAAAUUGUGUUUUUCCUUUCUUUCUUUUUGUAAUCCACAUCAAUAUUUUAACUUGAAUAAUUAACCAUUUGACUUAAAUAAUGACAUUAUAAACAUAGAGGUGCCAUAUUUUUCCAAAUUAAAUUAUAUAUUAAUCACUUGAUUGAGUCGUUGUCGCGAGUCAACUGAACACCAACUUAGUUAAAUAAUGACGAAUAUACACACACUUCAUCGUUUAAUCAAAGCCUCAUUUGUUAUUGAUAUCAAUUUUUUAUAAAUAUAUUUAUUAUAUAAUUAUAUUUUUCACCCAUAUCGUGAAAUUUACAUAAUAUAAAAUUAAUAUUAUUAAUUCGAAUGAAUUAUUAUAAGUAUUAAAUAAAUAAUUUCAACAAUUAAUUCAACCCAAAUUAAUUAAAAAAUUCGAAUCCUUACGCUUAAAAUCUUAAGACCUCAACCAUACCGACAUUAAUGCAAGUCUACCGUUACGUAAGAUAAGACAUACAUAUCCCAUCUCUUUGUGGAAAUAAUAGCCCACACGCAAUGUUCUCAUUUCAUUGCAUUAUUCAAUACGUACGCAUGCAAUAAUUUUGUCUCAACAUGUUUUUGACCAUGAUUUUCAACCAACGUAAAUAUAUGGAUCGGUUAACAGCUAGGUUAAAUUUUAUUAUUAGUCCUUGUAUUUCAUAAAAAUUGUGAAUUUAGUUUUUCUACUUUUUAAAUUGGUCAAUUUUAGUUUCUGUAUUUUUUUGAAAUUUAAAGUUUUAGUCAUGACCCAAACAGCAGUAGCUAAUUUCGUUGGGUUAAAUUCGAUUAAUUGUGGUUAAAUUCGAUUAAUUGUGUUAUACUAUGCGUACAGCUAUAGAUUUAGUUCAUAUUCUCUAAUCGGAUCAUUCUAAGUUUUUGUACUUUUUGAAUUUUAAAAUCUCAUUCUUGACCCAAAUGAUAGUCAUUAAUCCAUUAAUUAGAUUUUUAGUGAAUAAUAUGUGAAAAUAACAAGUUGACAUAGCAUUACACACGUGAUAAUAUGUUUGCUGCAUUAGAUUUUGAAAAUAACAGAACAUAAUGAAUUUAACAGUUAUCGUUUGCUGAUUAUUGAAAAUUUAAAAUUUCACAACUUUUAUUAUAUUAAAAAAAUUGUAUUUAUAUUUGAUGUAUGGAUCGUGAAUAUAUUUAAUUAGCUGAUAGCGUAUAAAAUUAUAUAAUGUUACAAUGUAUCGAAUAUAAAUUCAAAAAAUAAUAUAUUAAUUAUAUGCUUUUAUAAAUGUUAAUUUAAUCACUAUCAAGAUAUUGAUUAAUAAUUUCAAUUAAAUAAUGUUUUUUUAACUUAAAAUAGUCACAUAAAAUUUAUUAAAAUAAAUCAUACAUCUCAACAAUAAAUGAUUUAGAUUUCUAGUUUUCAUGAGAGGUCCUUUGUUAACCUUAAUUUUGAAUACUUGUACACUCAUGACGACAUGUAUGAACAUCUCUAAUCUCUUUUAAUAAUUAUAUGUCAUGAUCUUAACAAUUAUUAUCAUGCCCUUCAAAAGUUUUAAAUUUUAAUUAGGUCUCUCGAAACUUUUAGAAACUUUUAUUAAACACCCUUUUUUUUAAAGUUUUAAUUAGACCCUUCGAACUUUUUCAACAUUUUAAUUAGGCACCCAAAAUUUAUUGGCACGUUUCACUGUUGUGUAUGUUCGAAGAUAAUGAUUUAAGCAUAGAUAUUUGCAGGCACAUGUCCAAAACUUUUUCUCCUUGAACUUUAACCGAAAAAUGUUACUAUUCAAUCACUUAAUGAGUUAAUGUGUCACGUCAGCAAUCCGUUAAAAGAAAGUAAAAAUUUUAAUGAUAGUGACUAAUUCGCACAAUUAUCUUAUUUAAAAUGACAAAAUUAAAAAAAAAAGAUAUUUGAAAUGAUGAAAAUAGAAUAGCCCCUAAUUUAAAGUGAUGAUGGGUGUAGUUUAGCUAUAUAUAUUACAAUAAUUUAAAGCAAUUGAUACCCAUAGUUCCAAGAAUCAAACAACUUAGUAUGAACAAAUUAACUACUAUAUUUCAGUGGCUUAAGUCAAAGCUAGUGUAUAGUUUAAUACUCACCCAUGAAAAACAAAGACCAAAAGAGAAAAGCAGCAAAUUUUGGAACAUUAGUUUGUAAUUCACUGAGAAUCUUGUUGGGGUAUGAUCUAACAAUCUUAUCCAUAUGAAGGAAUUCAAUGAAGAUGGUCCAUCACCACCCACAUCUCCAUAUUCUCUAUAUUUUACAGUCAAAACACUCUUGUCUUAUUAAUUUAAGCUGCAUUUCUUUUAUAUAUAUAUAUAUAUAUUCGAUUUUGUUACACUCAUAAUGUGAGUGAAAUAAAAUAUUAUAUGUUCGAUCUCUGUAUUUAUAAAUUUAUAAUUGUUUUGUUUUAUUUUCUAUUUUUUGAAUAAUUUCAUUAUAGGUUUUUGAUCAUAUAUAUCUGCUCAUUUUCACAGAAAGUCUAAAACUGCCCAUAGUCCAUUCUUAACCCAUAAAUAGGAGGAUAAUGCGUUUCAACGUACUCGAACCCACAUCCUCGAGCUAAGACUCAAUAAUAAUAUUAAAUUAUAAUUUAAAAGAAGGGAUGGUCUUGUAAUUUCAUAAUUGAGUUGGUAGCCCAAUUAAGGGUGACACCAAUUCAGCAAAGUGCUUAAAUAUAAUAUACUAGAUAUCUAUGUUUAUUAAGUCAAAUGGUAAGAAGUUCGAUAUCCUUUAAGUAAAAUUUUCAAAAACUAAAUUUAUUUUUAUUUAAAGAUCUAGUUUGACUCAACUCCAAACAUAAUCAAAAUUCAAUAUAAUUAUCGAAAAUCAGAGAAUUUCAUAUAUAUAUAUAUAUAUAUAUAUAUAUAAAUGAAACUCUAAAUUUGAAAGCUACUUCCAAACUUAAGACUUUUACAACAUUACAACUUCAUUGUGGUGUAUUCUUAUUUAUUAUAAUGCCCCCCUCGAGCCAAAAAAAAAACAAAACGCGUAAUAUUUCAACUACUAAUGCCAAAAAUCCAAAUUGUGGGCACAUGAAUUUCAACUACUAGUACUUUAAACCACUUUUGUCCAGCUCUAAAUAAAAUCGAGAUUAAAAUCAGUGAUAAAAUAUAUCUAUUGAUGAAUAAACGCGAAUUAUGGUAUUUUUAUUUAAAAAAUUUAAAAUUUAUGUGAUCGAUUCGAAUAUUUAAAUUGGGUUAAAUUAAGUAUUAAGGAAAAAAAAUUAAAAUUUAAGAAAAUUAUAGCAUAUAGUUGUUGACCCUAAAUUUGUUUAUAAUUUAAUCAAAAUCAUUAGUGGAAGUCAGAAGAAUGUGAAUGGCUGUUCAAAAGUCUUAAGUGAAGUACCCAACAUGGAACGGUUGACCCUAAAUCUGUUUGCAAUUAACAUUUGGGUGUUGGCAUAUCUUUCUCUAGAUUUGUUUCCAUUUAUAAAAUUUUAAUCUUACAUAUGUCAUACAGUUAAAGUAUUUAGAAGGUUUCUCUUACCUUAAAUUAGUGAUCGAGGAUUCGAUCUUCGUCCUGGAUAUGAAGCAGUUUUAAAACUCAUGGCCAGCGUCUACCCUUUUAAUGGGUCUACAGAAUGCGGAAGAUUAAUUAUUGGGUUCAGCUACAAAUCAAUUCCUAACAAAAAGUUCCAUUUAUAAAAUCGUAAAAAUUUUAAAAAUAUUAACCCUACUAAACAGUAAAUGUUAACUGUAAUCCAUUUUAUUCUUUCUAAUAGUAUAAGAACUACAUCGAUUCAUUUAAUAAUAUAGGGACUAAUUUAAUCGGAGGGACUUUUGAAAUACUUAAAAAAAAUGGUAAAAUAUUUAUUUUGGUCUCUCAAGUUUUAUUAUUUUAAUUUUUUUAUCUAGUCUUUUUUUAAUAUAAUUUUCUAAUUUCUUAAUGCAUCAAAUUAUAUAUAUUAAAUUUAUAUAUUUUUAUAAUAAAAAAUUGCAUUUAUAUCUUCCCAUGUGACCAGGGGAGGUGACCCUAAAAAGAUAUGAAGAGUGGGCAUUGGAGCUAGGAACCUUCCCAUGCAUUUCCCACUUAGCUUCUUGCACAAUAGGGGAUAAUGACACUUUUGGUCCUGUUUUUAGUACCCAUGUCCUACGUCAACCCUUGCGUGGGUCUCCUUUACAUUCAUUCACUUUGGUCUUUUAUAAGAAUAAAAUAAUUGAGCUAUUCAAAUUCAACUUUUUCUUUUUCUGUUUAUCUAAUAUAUAUAUUUCGGUAUCCGAUAAUUAUAUUAAGUUUCUACUAAAUCUAAUGUCGAGUUAAGAUGGAUCUUUAUUCGAGGGGUAAAGCUUCCAGCAUUGUUUUCUACAUUUACAAAAUUCAAACCUUAGACCAAGGGCGGCGAGAGGGGGAUAGGUAGGGCCUUGACCCCUCCUAAAAUUAAAAUAUGGUGAUUAUUAUCCUUUUAAAUGUAUAAAAUUAUAAAUUAAUAAUGGUAAAAUUGCACUUUGACUCCAAAAAAUGGUAAGAUUUUAAUUUAGCCCUUUAAAAAUUAUAAAUAUAUUAACUAAUACAAUGGUGAAAUUACAUUUUAACUCAUAUAAAAAUUUAUAAUUUAAUUUUGAUCCCCUAAAAGUUUUUUUUCCAAAUUCACCGUACCCUAAACCUUACCAAGAAGCAUCAAACUAUUUACCACUCCACCUAACCAACAUUAGUUUUGUUGCUCUAGCAAUAUCAACAACGGCUACUAACUCGUCUAGGACCAUUUCAAACACUUGCAUAGUUGCAUUACUCUCCGAAACCAAUUUGGCUAGUCUAUCUUGAACUUGAUUUCUCUCUCUAGAAAUAUACUUGAACUCCCAUUGCUCCAUGGUUUGUAAAAUCACAUGGAUUCUUCUAGCCAAGGCUAAAGUUAAUUCAGUCAGAUGAAUACCUUGAAGAGCUUUGACAAUCUCUAAAUUGUCUGUAUGAAUGAAAAUCUUAUUGCGUCCCUCUCUUUCAGUGAAAGUUAGACCAUCUAAAAUUUCCCAUAAUUCAACAUAAAAAACUGAGCAAAACCCCAAAAACCAAUUGUAUCUAGCAACCCAUUGCCCAUUUAUAUUUUAUUAUUUAAGAGUUUGAUUACGUUUGUAUCACCCAUCGACUGAGUUCUAACUCAGUUCUGAAAUUAUUAAAAGCUCAUUAUUUUUACAUAGUGACAAUUAUUAUUUUUGAGGUUACUUUUAUCUUUUUAUAAACAUACAAAUAAUGGGAUUUGAACCUUAAACUUCAUGAUCUUUAUUAUCUCAACUUUACUCGUUCAACCAUAAUCAUAUUUAAUUUUUAUAUUAAAUUCUUACGUAGAAUUUCUACCCACAUCGUAAGGAUACAAUAAAUUAAUUUAUAUAAUAUGAAUAUGACACUAUUUUUCCCACUUUAUAUGAGUAUAUUCCCGUUUUUAUUUCCAAGGAAGGGAACACUUAAUUAUUAAAGAGAUCUUCAAGCAAUUUAUUUAAUAUUGGAUCUACAACAUUCAUUAAGUAGUCAAUUUCAAGCUAAGAAAUCCAAAAUAUUAAUUUACUAGAAUUACAUUGAAUCUAGAUCACGAGUCACCCAUUAAAUUUAGGGUUUCCAAGCCAAAAUCACGUAGUUAAUAUGAAUAUUUAAUUUAGGGUUUCAAAGUCAUUUUUUCCAUAGUUAAUUUGCACAUGAAUUUGUUUUGCCCAAAAAGUCAUUUUCUUGAUGAAAUUAAUUGGGGGUUUGCAUCUGUAAUUAAUCCUUUGUUUUUUUUUUCAAGUCGUUUUUUGAGUGAUAAAUGGAAUUAAUCAUAGGGCUGGAAAUAUGGUUUUCAUUUUCAAACCAAUUUUAGUGUCAUAAUAUUAACUUAUUUAAAAAAAUAUAUUAAAAAUGGUAAAAUUAUGCCGCAAGUCCUUGUUUUUAGAUUACAUUAUUUAGUACCAUUGUUUGACACUUUUUUUAAAAUUUGAUACCUUUGUUUUUUUGUCCACUGAGAUACUUAUUUUUGGCAAAAUUGUAUAUUUUGGUAUCCAUAUGUACUAAGAUCGACUUUUUAGUGUUUAAUUCGUGCUUUAGGAUUUACUUAAUGAAAGUUCAUUGCUAUUAUUAUAUUUGAAUUUUCAUGAUCUUGCUAGUAGAAUAAAUUCAGUUUUAUUUGUGAAUCUGUUUAAUUUCGUGUUUAAUUUGUUAAAUGUAGCAUGAUGUUUGUGAUUAGGAUUGAUUUGAUAAAAAUUAAUAACUAAUAUUAUUAGUUGAUUAAAAAUUUCAUCAAAUCAACCCUACAACCCAAAUUAAACACUAAAAAUUUAACAUUGUUAUCUUUAGGUACCAAAACGUAUAAUUUUACCAAAUACAAGUACCAUAUUUAAAAAAAAAGUAUCAAGCUCACGUACCAAAUAAUAUUUUUAGCCGAGAAAGUUAAAUAAAAACUAAACUCUCUUAUUCGUUUCCUAAUUUAAAAAUCUCGUAUUAUCGUUGACACUGUUAAUAUUAUUUAUUAGUCAAAAUUAAUCAUGUAAUUACAUCAAAAAGUAAAUCAUCGUGAACUUGAUAAGCAAACCUAAUUGGACUAAAAUUUUUAACUUUUAACUUAUAUAUACUAAAUCACAAAUUUUGACCUAAAAAUAAUAUAUUAAAUAAUAAUACAAUAAUUAAUCUCUUAUAAAUUUAUAAUUUAAUUAAAAAAAUUCAGUAGAAAAUAGGAAAGGAAAUAAACGACUACUUUUUUGGAAGAAAAAAAAAACUACUCCCAGCUCACCAAAAAUAAGAAAGGGAAGUCAUGAUUAUGACCACCGACACGGCAAGUUUCUUGUCUUGCAGUAAUAGAAUCUAUUUUUUUUAUAUAUUAAAAAUAAAAUAUUUAAAAUUUUUAUAUAAAAUUAGAGUAAUUUAAUUUUUGAAAACAAAAAUUAGAAUAUGAAUCGAAACCUUAAAUUCUUUGUCGGUCAUAAAUAUACAUUUGAAAAUUAAAAAUUACAAAAAAGUAAAACAGGGUUUUAUUAAUUGUUGACCUAAGUUUAAUACAAGUCAUGAUUCAUGGGCCACAUGGUUGUAGGUAUUUUUAUUUAGUUUAAUAAAAUAUUUUAAAAAAUUAAUCUUAAUUUUUUUUUAAUUUUUAGUUUAAAAUUUAAACCUAACCUUCCCCAGAAAAUGCCUUCUAAAUUUGAUUAUUUAAAUUUUUUUUAUUUUUUCAGUGAAUUUAAUGGACUGCUCUGCCCACAAGUUUUACAUAUGGGUCGGUCCAUUUUUUUAUUUAUUGGAUAAUGAGAAGAUUAGAGUUUUUCUAAAAAAUUUAUAUAAAUUUAACCAAUUUAGUUAUCAAAUAUAAAAUAUAUGAUUAAGCGCACUCGAACCUACAUCCUUUUAUAUUGAUAACAAUAUUAAUACCUGUUGGGUAAAUAACCCUUUAUUAUUUCAACACUAAAACGAAUUGAAAAAUCAAAUCGAGUCAAGUUUGAUUCGAGCUUAACUAUAAUUUUCGAUUUUCAUUAUUACAACAACUAAUUUAAUUUUAGUUACAUCAAUAAAUUUUUACAGUCCAUCUAGAAGUAACAAGAAGUCUAGUAGUUGUUACAUUUAUUUAUGGUAAAAAUUAGAUUUGGUAAUUAAAAAUGGAACAACAACAAUAAUAAUAAAAUAUAUGGGAAAUUGGUCUAAAAAUAGCAACACGUGUGGAGCACAUGGGGAGAAAAUGAGGGUUCCUCAAAACAGCAUAGCUGGCAAUUGCAAAUAUCCCAGUCUCUCUUUUACUCCGCAUUUACAUCAAUGUAUGAUAAGUUAAUGCAUUGAUUUUUCUUACAUUAUCAUAAUUAUUAUUGAAAAUCAAAUACCCAUUUUUAUCAUCCAAUUUAUUGCUCACUUUCCAUUUGCAAUUUAAUCCCCACAAAUCAUAAUGUAUAUUAAUGUCUCUAGUUAAAUUUGGUAUAAUAUGAUUUACAUAAAAACUAAAUCGUAAAAUAAAUAAUAUUUUUUUAAACCCGUAUCGAUUAAGUGUUAGAUAAAUAAUAUAAUGCCGAUUGAGUUUUAGUUCGAUUGACAUAGGCAUUAUUUGAGCAUACUGAAGCACGUUAUAAACUUUCAUAUUCACUCAUUUCACUUUUAAAUGAUAAAUACCGUGCUCGAACAAAAAAUAAUUAUAAACCCUAAAUAAAAAUUAUAAAACAAACAUAAAUAAUAUCGAAAAAACCCAAAAUCGAAACUUUACUUAAAUAGCAAUCGAACUUUCUUAUCACCCGACUCAACAGAUAUAGUAUAUAAUUAUAUCAUAUAUUGUAACAUAUUAUAUUAGUUAAGGCAAAGCUAGUUAAAAAGAACCCAAAAACAGAAAGUGGUUUCCAACCAAUACCAACUCCCUUUCCCCUAAUUUCUAUUUUAUUUUAUUUAUUUUAUUUUCAUUUUCAUUUUCAUUUUCCCCUUCUCUCUCUCUUUAUAAUCUACCCCUCUACACCCUUCACAACUUCAGGGCUCAUCCUCAAAAGAAAAAAAAAAAGGAAAAGAAAAUCAAAGUUAUUUUUCUUUCAAUUGAGCCCUUCAUUUUUCUCUCAGUUUCUUUCUUCCCAAACAACAAAUUUUAAAGAAAAUGCCAACAGAUACAAGCAAGCCCAUGAAAUUAGAACGAUACAAUAGCUAUAUUCGUAAAGUCCAUAGUACGAAGCUGUUGAAUGCUUCAUCUAAAUUUCUAUUUCGUGUUACCCUUCUUAUUGCUUUAGUUUUGAUCUUGUUUUUCACCAUUAAUUACCCUCCACUUUCGGAUAAUACCCACAGUGCACCUCACCAUCACCACCGUCAUAGCUUUCUUUCAACUUCACUGUUCUCCGGUUCUUCCCUCGUUGGUGGUGCGGCGUGGGAGAAACAAGUCCGUCACUCUUCGACUCCACGUAGGGUUAAUGGGUUUUCCGUUUUGGUCACCGGCGCCGCUGGGUUCAUCGGUUCUCACUGUUCACUUGCUUUGAAAAAACGCGGCGAUGGGGUUUUGGGAUUGGAUAAUUUUAACGAUUAUUACGAUCCUUCGUUGAAAAGGGCGAGGCAGAAUUUGUUAAGCAAACACCAAAUUUUCAUCGUCGAAGGGGAUUUGAACGACGGCCCGUUGUUGACGAAGCUGUUCGACGUCGUCCCGUUCACUCAUGUGCUUCACUUAGCGGCACAGGCCGGUGUACGGUACGCCAUGCAAAACCCACAGUCGUACGUUAAGUCGAACAUUGCUGGGUUUGUGAACUUACUUGAAGUAGCCAAAGCGGUGAAUCCACAACCGGCGAUCGUUUGGGCUUCGUCGAGCUCCGUUUAUGGACUCAACACUGAAAACCCAUUCUCCGAACGUGAUAGAACUGACCGUCCGGCGAGUCUUUACGCCGCAACGAAAAAAGCCGGUGAGGAAAUCGCUCAUACUUAUAACCAUAUAUACGGCCUUUCCCUCACCGGACUUAGAUUCUUCACCGUUUAUGGUCCAUGGGGAAGACCCGAUAUGGCUUACUUCUUUUUCACUAAAGAUAUUCUUCAAGGGAAACCCAUUGAUAUCUACAGAACCCAAGAUCAAAAAGCGGUGGCGCGUGACUUCACUUACAUCGACGACGUUGUGAAAGGUUGUUUAGGAGCGUUAGACACGGCGGAAAAAAGCACCGGUAGCGGUGGAAAAAAGAAAGGACCGGCUCAAUUAAGGGUUUACAACUUGGGAAACACUUCCCCUGUUCCCGUCGGCCGAUUAGUCUCGAUUUUAGAAGGAUUACUCAACACAAAAGCCAAGAAACAUGUGGUUACGUUGCCCAGAAAUGGUGAUGUCCCCUACACACAUGCCAAUGUCACGUUAGCUUACAAGGAUUUUGGGUAUAAACCCACCACGGAUUUAUCUUCUGGGUUGAGAAAAUUCGUGAAAUGGUACGUGAAUUACUUUGGGAUUGAAUCGAAACACUCGAAAGAAACCCAACAUUUCGAUGAAUCCAGUUAAGAACAAGCUUUCAUAUUUUCAUUUCCAUGGCUGCUGCCCGGUCCUUUUUAAUUUUUCAUUGUUAUUUAAUGGUUAUAUUGAUGUAAAAAAGAAAACCAAAAAAAAGAAAAGGGAUCAAAAUUGUUGCAAUUCUCGUUCAUGUAGAAUAUAUAAAUUUAUAGAUUUUAUAUAUAGAUUUUGAUGAAAUAUAUAGGAAAUGUGAAGAAAAAAAAAAGGGGGGACACAAUUAUGAAAGGGAGAGAGAAAAGGUUGUAGAUCUGUGGAGAUGAGGUGUAAUAAUUUGGUGGGCUCUGCUUAAGAAAAAGGGCAGGUCUUGACCGUUGAUUUUUCAUAUCAAAAGAAAAGAAUGAACUUGUGAUUGAACAACAAUGAUGACAUAAGAUUCUUUCUUUUUAUGCAUUUCUGUAUUUAUCUUGAGUUUUAUAUCUUAGUCAAGAUUUUAAGUUUUUUGUGUUAUGAAUGUUGUUUUUGUUUUUGGUGAUAGUGGAUUGAAUCUUGGCUUAUUGAUAUUGUUAUCGGUGUAGGAGGAUAUAAUUUGAGUUUGUUGAAGCGCAUUAUCUUCUUAUUUAAGAGUUGAUGAGAAGUUAUCGGUAAUUUUAGAUAUUCUAUUAAAAAGAAUAAAAAUAUUAAAAAAAAGUUAAACAUUAAUUUAGUAACGAUAGGUUCGAAUUUUAGAGAUCAUGAUAUUGUUAAGAGAAACAACUAUAAUUUUAAGCAUAGACCGUAAAGUAGACAUAUAAAAUACUUAAAAAAAAACAAUUGUAAUAAAAAGUAAGAAUCGAUUGAAUUGCUUGAACUAGAGGGAUUCGGACUCAAAUAGAAAUAAAUUAGUCUAGCCUUUCUCGGAGUAAUGAUACUCAAUGAAACGUAACAAAACCCAAACCCCGCACGAAAUGGAGGGUUUAUGUAAUCUUUAUAUUCUUCCGUGUUUAGAUAUUCUUUUAUUUAAUAAUAGAGUUCAAACUGUUCGAUGAAUUUUAAAUUUAUUUAAUUUUUAAAAGGGAAAGAAAAGGCGAGAUGUUAUUUUUUGAAUCUUAUAUAUUUAUUUUUAAAAAAUUAUUAUACAUUAUGCAGUAAACCCUAAAAUAAUUAUGCGGGAUGUUUCUUUUAUGUCUAUAUGUCGAAAUCUACAUCAAACGUAUUAGAAAUAACUAAUCAAUACCAAACAUUACAAUACGGGAAUAUUAUAGAUGUAUCCAACACUCAUAAAAGAUAUUCAAGUUUUAAUUAUUAGGAUAAGUUAAGAUCGGAUCAAAAUAGAGUAUACCAACAAUAAAUCCGCGAUGAAUUUAACAAUAUUUACUCCAAUUGGGUCCAAUUUCUAAAGAUUACAUAUUUGGAUUAAAUACAUGAAAAAGAUAUUCAGCCCCAAAAGGAAGAAAAAUUGAAGGAUGAUAAAGUUGAUUUAAUUGAUUAAUUAAAUUUUCCAAAAGACAAUAAUUGGGUGAACUUUCCAGGGUAGAAGACUUGGGAACCAAGCUUUUUCUCUUUUCUUACCUAAUAAAUUUUAAUUAAUUAAUUAAUUAAUUAGUUAAUAGACAACGAAAAGACCCCCGCUGUCUUUUUUUUCUUUUUUGUCUCUCGUAUUAUUAUUGAUCCCGUAUUUUGGAUACGACAUUAGAUUUUGGCAACCAUGCUUUUGAUCGUGUUAGUGAAGGCUAACAUAUUGAGAAUUUGUAUUACAUUUUUUUGAGAUAAAUUAAAUUUUUUUAUGUUAUAUUAAAGCGUAAAUUGAUUGUUAUACAUCAAUAUGAGGUAAACAUGGCAUGUCACAUGUUAUUAUCUAGUUAUUCCGUCAAUUACGUUAGUUUUUAACGGUACAAAAUGAUUAAAUUUUUAACAAAAAAAAGACCAAUUUACUUUUAAGUUUUAAUAUAACGUAUAAAGACUAAUUUACUCUUUUUCUGAAUAGAAAAGACCUCUAUAAUACUUUCACUAAAACUUAAACAUUCUCGAAGAUAAAUGUAAUAGACUCGAGUCGAAUUCAAAUAGUAAUAAGCUUAAAUCAAAAUUAACUCCUCGAUAUUCGAUACAAGCUCGAUUAAAUCGGUUUAUAAAUUUUUAGCACCGAAAUUCCAUCGAUUUUAAUUGGUGUAAAUGAAAACAUAUCAUCAAUCACAUGUUUUGAUUUAAUUAAGAUUUUAGCAAAUCAGAUAAAUCCAAUUUUUAUUUUAAGAUCUAAAUUUAUUAUUGUCUUAAAUUCACUAAUAUAAAUUUACUAUCAAUUAUUAUUAAUAGGUGAAUUAUCAACCAAAUGGUUUAAUCACGUGUAUCUCAUGUAUUUAAGAACACAAAUAAUGAGAAUUAUUAUUUAUUAUUAAUAAUAAUUCACAGCACAGUUUAUGUAGAUUUUUUUCUUUCUUUUGAGGGACCAUAAAUUAAAGUUGAAGCAACCUUUAAGGACUACACAAACAUGAGUUGUUUUAAAGCAAAAAAACAGAACAUAUUUUGUUGUGUUAAACCCCAAAGGAUUGCUUGUAAUUUACUUUUGUUUUAUUAAUUAAUUCAUUCGUUUAUUCCAUUAAUUAGUUGUAAAGUUGAAUUUGUGACAGUAAAAUACAUUAUAUUCAAAGAUUUUGAGAAUCUACACUGAGAUUUGAGUUUGAAUGUUGAAAAUGAAUAUAUAUUGAGAAUCAAAUUUAUUUUAAUGAAAAAAAAAAAAGUAAGUGUUCGGGUUUGAAUAUUAAGAAAGCGAAAAUAGUAUUCUCUAUUUACAAUUUUUUUUUUUAUUUUCGGCUCACGAUCUUCAAAAUAUAAAGACUACAUCGAAAAAAUGAUACUACUCACCAUCAAGCACCCUGAACAUUCUUCGUAAUCGAGGACAAAACCUUGAAGACAUGAACAUGGAAUCUGAAUGAUAUUUUCCAUUAAUAAACAAAAUAUUUCAUUUACAAAAUUAUAAAAACUUCAAAAAUACCAUUUGCAAAAUUAAAUAAUGUUUGAUUGUAAUAUUAUUUUUUACGCAUGUAUUAUUUUGAAUAUUCUCAUUUUUUACGAGAGUUAUCGCGCAUUUUUUUAAAUUUCAAAUUUACAUUUGUAUUAAUUAUUCCUUAUCUUAUGUCAAACCAUUUGUAAUACAUAGAUAAUAAAUAAGCUUUUUCUUCUUGUGAUUACACUUUUAAAAUAUAAAUGUUAACUAUAUUUCAAUUCGAAAUUAUUUGAUUUCAUUUAAUAAUACAAAAACUAAUUUGAUCAAAUCCCUAAAAUAAAGGGACACUUAAAGUACAUUCACCAAAAAUAAAGCUUCGAUAAUUUAGUUAUAGUUUGAAGACAAAUUAUAUAUCAAUAUAUUUACAAUCGCAUGAGCCCUGAAAUGUCAGUGAACAUCCAUUGUAAAAAGGACAUUCCCCAUAGUUGGUCGAAUACUCAUUAGCACUUUCAUGUGCUCGUCUUUCAUGAGUCGUGCUCGUGCUCACAUCACACCAUCAGAAUACGGGACAGUUAGCCCUAUUUUUAUGUGUAUAUAUAUAGUAGAACAUGCAUUGCCAAUAACUCUCGGAAUGUGAAAUACAUAGUAGAACAGGUAUUUCUUCACAUUUGGCAAAAACUGUAUUUCAUCCGAGGAAAAGAAUCUCCCUUCGAUCAAUAAAAGGGUAAGUUGAUUCGACUUGAAAUUCGAAGCUCAAAAAUCAAGAUCAAUAGGGUAUGAAUCUCAGCAAAUGAAAGAGAUAAAAAACUCACUAAAACUAGGCUGUGACCUGUGAUCUUACCUUUAGUCGUGUCUGCAUUUACCUUAUACUGAAAGCAAACGCCAUGAAAUUCCCCUGCAACGAAAGUAAAGAUACAUGCAAUGAAGAGCAUGUUAGAAUCGAACCAAGCAAUGUUGAAACUAGAAAAGCAAAGCUUACCUUGCCAAACAUAGAUAAUGUGUUGGGUAAAAACAUACAAACAAUUGGCAAAACUAAACCUUAUAAAAUAAGUUAUAAAGUAGUUGCAUAAGUUCAGCAAAUCCUUGAAACCAAAUGAACACAUUCUCAAAACUAAAUGCAUAUUAGCUAUGGACGCAUGUCCACGGACAGAUAAUAAUACUGGAGCCUAGAAACUUGAAUCUUCUCUGGAUCCACCACCAAAGCCUCUACUGCCACCGAAACCACCAUUGUUGCCAAAUGAACGAGGGCCGCUAGGUCUUUCAUUGGCAUAACUUACUCGAAUAUUUCUCCCUUGGAGUUCCUGAAAUUUUCAGUACAAAACGGUCAAUCUGUAGUUCAAAAGAAACAUGUUCUGCAUAUAAGUAAUUGUUUGUUUUCCUCACUUGUCCAUCCAUGGCUGACAAGGCAUUGCUGGCAGAUUCAUCGUCAGCAAAGUUAACAAAACCGAAGCCCCUGGACCUCCCAGUGUCUCUAUCGGCGAUAACCCGAGCUGAUAAUUGUAAAAGACAGAAUGAGAACAAGAAUAGAUACCAUCCUCAAUACCAUAAAAACUGUAAUGAAUUAUCAUUUAACAAUUUAAAAUCUCACCUUCAGUAACGUCACCGAAUCCAGAGAAUGCUUCCCUGAGACUUUGGUCAUCAGUUCCAUAUGAAAGACCUAAGAACCACAGAUUCAAUUCAAGUCAAAUACACAUUACAUGAUGAACAUCUAAUUUCUGACCACCAAUUGAACAUGUCUAAAUACCUCCAAUGAAAAGCUUCUUGGUUGAUGUCGACAUGCAACGAAGUGAAUUAAGCAUCGAAGAUAUCAUUGGGGUUUGCCCAUUUUGCCUAAAAAGGCUUCCAAGUUUGCUAGAGAAUGCCAUUAUAAUGCUUUCACUGUAUCAUUUUUUUUUGCAGCAACAAUAUCAAGCCAAAGGAACAAAAUCAAAACAGCAUGUUAGAUCAAAGCUAGAUAGUUUAAUUAAUAACCAAAACAAAACACACAAUAAAGAAUUACAUAAUGAUAUGAAGUUUCAAAAAUCCCUAAAAAUAAAUCCUAUUAUACUAUAAAUAAAAGGGUUUAUGAUCCCAUUAAAAACUUUAACUUCUCAUAACAUCACUGUUAAAAACAGGGUGAAAUUUUCCAGCUUUCUUCAAUCAUUCCUCUUAUAUGAAAGCAUUUACACCUCAUUAAUUUUUUUUUAACAUGCUUCAUACAUCAUAUGAACAAGAACAAUAUCAUAUAUAAGAAUUUUUCCACGAAGUCAUAGAACAAAGAAACAUGCAACAUAAACAUAAAUGAAAACAUAGAUAAAAUCAACAGAACAAGAUAAAAUUAACUAAAAAAGCUGAAACAUCAAAACAAAUCAGAACGAUAAACCCAGAAUGAAAUCAUCAUCUUAAGGAAAAUUUAGUAAACGGGUAAGUAUAAUUAGACCCAUAUCAUAAAAAAAAGCAAUGAUCUUUACCUUGAAGGGGAAGAAUAACAAGGAAAAUUAUGAGAGAGACACAGAGAUUUAAGGAAGCGGCUAGGGGUUUUGAAACAAACGAGAGAGAGUAAGCAAACAGCUAGGGUUUAAGAGUUAGACCCUCACGAAAUAUCUUUUUAAGCUAUUUUAAAGUCGGGCUCGUUUUUAGUAAAUAAUGGGUAAAUUCAUCCAAAUGCCACUUAACUAUUAUUAAGUUUAUGUUUUGAUCACUAAACUUUGAAAAAUUAAAAAAUGGUUACUGAAGUAUCUGAAUUUUUACAUUUAAGUUACUAGGUUGUUAAAAUCUUUGUUGUACGACAUUUUUUGUUUGCAUUACGCCAAUUGAAAACUCUUCUUUCCCUUCACUUCUAUAGUUUUUUUUCAUCAAACAACUUUCUUAUCUGAUUUUUUACACUUAUUGUUACAUCAACUUGGAUUUAAGGUAUGUUCUUCUACAUGUCGAUGGUUAUUGACCCACUGUACCGAUCAUUAAAUCCUAGCUUGGAGCUUGCUAGCUAAACUUUUUUUUUUAAAAACUUAACAGCUUAGUGACUUAAACAAAAACCUUUAAAUAGUUUAUUGACCAUUUUGUAAUUUUUUAAAAUUUAGUGAUCAAAACAUAAACUUAUUAAUAGUUCAGUAACAUUAAAUAGAAUUUACCUAAAAAAUAUUACAACUUUUCCAAUCAUUAUAAGGUAAACUACAUGAUUAAGUUUACGUUUUGAUCCAAUUAAUGCAAUUUGGUCAUGAUAUUGGUCAUUGCGUCAUUACACAUUAAGAGUGACGGAAAUCACUCGUCUUUCAUGCUAAGUAAUUUAGAUAUUUUUAUGUUUAUAUGGGUUUAAACCAAUACUGAGUCAUCUAAAGUUAUCAAUCUUUAUUUCAUCAUCCUCACUUCUACAAAAUAUUUUUAGUAAAAAUAAUGAAAAUAAUUUCUUUAUUAUUUUCUAGUUUCCACAUUUUUAUUUUUUAAAAAUAUUAAAAUUUUUAACAAAAAUAUAUUUUCUUCAAUAUUUUCCACUUUCUAAAAUCAAACAAAAUCUAGAUAAAUCAAAUGAUAGCAAAAAGAAAAGAAGAAGAAGAAGAAGAAGUAGUUAAAUCCCUUUACUUCCACUUUGCUUAAAAGAAAAAUGCUAUCCAAACAAGAGAAAAGAGGUUGCUUCUCUUACUCGUUAUUUUCUUUUGUUUUUGGUUAAUUAAAAAAGUAUGAAAAAACAGUAGGAUGAUUACAAGUAAUAGUACCGAGAAUUACUACUAGGAAAAUAAAUUAAAGAUCAUUGGGCCAUGCGAGUUCCCUAUAAUAAUUAUGACCCAUACCUCUAGCUAAUUUAGCUCUUAAUACAGGAUCGUUCAAGUCAUGUUUUUUUUGUUAUUAGCAUAGGUGAAUUUUUCUAGAUCCAUCCCUCAAAGGAACCAGACAUGAUAUUUUUCAUCAUCCGGCUCAAGCAAAAGUCAAUCGAAUCAAAUGGAUACAAACGAAUACCUAUAAAAUAAAUCUAUAUUCUAUAUGUUUAAAAUAAAUCUAUAUGUUAUCCCUACAUAUAUGAACGGUUCUAUAUGUAAAAAAAAAGUUACCCGAUUCCAUUUUACGGAGUUGCAAUUAUCCAUUCCGAGAAAUUUUAUCUUUACAGGUAAAUGCUCAAUACCUAAAUAGACAUACAAAGUCAAUCGUAAUCAAGUGUUAUAAUUAUAUUAGUUAUUGUUUAAAGUUCUGACAAAAACAAAUUCAGUGACCCAUAAAUAAUUACAUUAGAAUACGGAGUUAAAACUUAUAUGUAAAUAAAAAUAAUAUAGAUAAUUACUUCUACUUUACAUUUUUCACUUUAGUAUUAUUAUUAACUACAGCUAAAAACUAACUGAAAAUUGUACACUAAGCUUCCUGAAGGCUAUCAGAUGACAGUCUGAAGCUUUCUGUAUUUCAAAAUAUUUUGAAACUAGACUUGUUGGGACUCAUCGACCAAGACGAGCCCUCCAAAAAUUGGCGUAUGCCGCUUAGAACGGCGAGCACACGGUAUUCUUUAGUAAAAGGCGAAAGAAUAGUUCGCUCUGUGCUCACCGCACGGCUCCGUGAUCAUUCCUGGUGUAUUGGCGUUAGUUUAUAUACCUGAAGUUGGAGUGUUGGCCUAUGUUUGUUAUCGAUAUGGGAUACAGCUGCAAUAAAGUACGAUUUUAUCUUUAUUUCUCAGGACUUGAAAUCGAAAAGGGACCACGAGUAAAAUUUGCUAUUUAAUUAUCAUAUAUUAUCAGUACAAAUAAAUUAUUUGAAUAAAAUAUUUGUAAAUAUUUAACUCAAAAUCAUUUAGUCUAGCUCAUAAUAUAUUUUUUUAUUUUUCAAAAUUUUAAUUUAAUAUUUAGUUAUUACAUAUUUGCAUAAUUUUUUAAACUUUUACAGGACUUAUAUUUAAUUAAUUUAAUUAUUAUAUUUUAUAUUCUACUAAUUUAAAUUAUAUUUAUAAAAUUACGAAUUAAUUUAAAACAUGUAAUUAUUUGUUUGAUGGGAAAAAAAAAACACAUUAAAAAUGUAUAUAAGAAAAACAUGAUGUUUUUGAGUGUUCGGUCAUUUGCAGAGGGAACAAUUGUUGGGUUCCAAAGAAAUUGGAGGAUUUUGGGUUUUGCCCAUCUUGGCUAAACAUAAGGCAAACGCCUAUGCAAAGCCCCCCAUUGGGCCCUUAUGGCCCCUUUGGCCAUUAUAUCAAUAAUUAUUAUAUAAAAAAUAAUUAAGGGUAGAUUGAUUGCAUUUCGAUUUCUCUACUAAAAAUAUAUAUAUUUCGAGAGGUGUAAAUUAAUUUAUCUAUUAAAUUUUUCUGUAAAAUGAUGACAUGAUACGUUAAAUUUAUGUUAAAAAUUAUUUUUUUAUGGUUAAAUUAUAAAAAUGGUUUCAACUAUAUUUUUCAAUUUAGUCACUAAAAUUUUCGAAAUUAAAUAUUUUAGUCAUUUUGAGUUAAUGUAAACUUUUUUGAUUGGUUUAGUAACAAAAUUAGCACUGUUAUGUUUACACAUUCUAUUAAUUUGAUCCUAAAUGUAAAAAAAUAACAAAUUUAACCCUUAAUGUUUUCAAGAUUUGUCAUUUUAGUUCUAAUUUUAAAAAAUUCUAUAAAUUUGGCCCUCAGUAUUUACAAAAUCUUUCAAUUAGUUCUAACUCUAAAAAUUUUAAAAAUUAAAAAAUAUAUUUUUAGCCUUUUUUAUAACACAUCGACUAACCCAUGUCAGAUAUUAAAAUGAGAAAAAGAGUACUCUCUUUCAAGUCACUUGUAAUAAUUUCUUUUAUUGUAAUUUAGGCCUCACACCGGAUCAAACCAAUUGAUCUGAAACCUAUCAAGAAUAAUUGGUUGCAUUACUAUCCAAACAGAUAAUAUUAUUUUUAUUUUUAUUUUUAUGUUUUAUCCUAACUUUUUAAAUUUCUUUUUAGACAAUAUUUAAUUAGAAAAAAGAUAAGCUUAAAUUAAUAUUCUUGUUUGGCAAUGUCCAAUAUAAUUUUGUUGUCAACCUUAAAAUUUUGGUAAUCGAAUUCAACUCCUAAAAAUUAUUUUCAGUGAAAUAAAUACACAAUAAAAUUAAAAAAGAAAAAAAAGACAAACAAAUGUACAUAUAUAAUAUGUAAUAUUAAAUUAUUAAACGUUAUAUUUAAGUGAUCAAUAAUUAUAAUAAGUGGCGAAAUUAGGAGGGGCUCGGCCUUGUCUAAAAUGAAUUUUUUUUUCAUAUAGACCUUUUAAAAUUUUAAAAAAUUUAAAUUAAUAAAGGUAAAAUUACAUUUUGCCCCUCUAAAAAUAAAAAAUUAAUUUAAUUCUUUAAAAAUUAUAAAGAUAUUAUCUAUUAAAAUGGUGAUAUUGUAUUUUUUUAUCGUAAAAAUUACAACUUAAUUUCAACUCCCUAAAAUAUUUUCUGAUUUCGCCCCUAAUUAUAAUAUCAUAUAAAUAAAAAGCUAUAUAGUCAUGUUUAUUUUCGAUUUAUUGACUUUGUUAAUUAUUUAGCUUGACUUUAUAAUUGAAAUAAUUUAAUUAAAAAAGAGAAAAAAAAAUUGGAGGGGUGCAAUGGUAAAAGCAAAACCACAUGGGGGGAGAGUCUUGAGAUUCAAUCAUCGAACAUUUUCUUAUUUUUUUGCUUUAAUAUUCUCUUUUUAUAUUCAAUGAGAAAUGAUAGGGUUACAGGUGUAAUAAACAUAUGGAUGAACUCAUAGGCUGGGGUGUUGCCACGUGGUGAUUAUCCACUACUUAAAAAGAAAAUGGCUUUCCUUGCUGUAACUAAACUGACGGGUGAAGGAAGGAUUUGAUACAAAACCUCUCUUAUAAUACAUAUUUUAUAUUUAUUAAUAUUUUAUUUAGUUUAAAUUUUAAUUUAAUUUAGUUGAUAUUUAUAAAUAGUAUAUUUUAAAUCUAAUGUAUUGUUUAUAUUUUUCGAGCUUAUUAUUUUUCUCAAAUUUUAAAUAAAUAUUUAAAUUUAUAUAAAUAAAUCGAUCUAUUAACAAAUCCAUUCUCAGCAUUGCAUAAUUGUUGUUUUAGUCGAGUUCAAUUUUGAUUGUAAGAUUUCAAUAGAUGGGUUGCAAAUUUAUCAUUUUAUUAGUAAAUUAACGUUUUCAACAUCGGAUUAAUUAUUAAACUAGUUUUAUUGAUUCUCUGUUAGAUUGAUUUAAUAAAAUAAAUUGCUUUUAAAAAUUAAAAAUUAAUAUUAAUAUUAAAAAAAAUCAAUCGACUAUCCACUAUUCACAUGUCAAGUAAAAAGUAUUUAUAAGAUGUUUCGAGAUUAAUUCAAAUUAAUUCUUCUACCAUUAAAUUGAUCAAUUUAAUAAGGUUCAAUAUUAAUUAAUUGUAAUAUAUAAUUUAUUGAACCAACUCAAACUUAAUCCAUCCGAAUUAAAAAAAGUUAAAAUAUUAUCAAAUUACAAUUUAAUUUAAUUCGUAUUAUAUAAAUUUUGAUAUAUAUAUAUAUUUGGAUAAAAAGAUUUCUUCACCCCCUCUUAAUUUCAAAAUUGAAAAAAUUGAUUUCUUUAAAAAAAUCGAAACAAUUUAAUUUUGCCAAAUUUGAAAGAGAGUAACUAAGCAUAUUUAAUCACGAUAUUAAUAAUUUAAUAUAGUUCAUCAAUUAUACAUAAUUUUAAUUGGAGUAACAACAAGUUUAGUCCUUAAUAUUUACAUGUUUUGUCAAUUUAGUCAUGACUCUUAAAAAAUUAAAAAAAAUAACCUCAAUAUUUACAAAAAUAUUGCCAGUUAAAUUCAUUAAACCAAAAUAAUAUUGAGAGCUCAAAAUUAUGUGUAAUUAAUAAAAAAAUUAACAUUAAGCUUAAUUACCCUUUAUUUUUGAAAUUAAUAAAAAUUAAAUUACUCCCAUUUUUUUUAGGACUGAUUUUUUUUUUUUUACAAAAUAUUUGGGCCUUUUGUAGCUUUCUUCGUCGGCCUCUCUUAAAUUAAUUAAUUAAAAAUUGUUUUUGUUUGGAUUUGAUUUUCUUGUAAGAUUUUCUGUCUCGCGUCGAACCUCCGAAAAUACAAAUUAAUAAUAAGGCCCUCUUCUUUCAAAGAAGAGCUCUUUUAUAAUUUUCCUUUAUUUUCUCUCAAAACACCCAGCACUUCAAUACCCAAAAAAUUAAGGAAAAAAAAACCCACAAAAAAGAAAAGAAAAUCAUUUAACAGGUAGAAAAAAAAACUGGGAUUAAACUUUACUUACUUCUUCUACUUAUCUCUUUAAUUUGUAUUUUUUAUAAUUAAUUUUUUAUUAAUUCAAGAGCAAAAAAAGAAAAAAAAAAAAGAAAUAGAAAGGAUCUUGUUCCUUCCUACAAUGCCCAAUUUGUUGCGGGCAAGGUAAUAAUCUUAACCUUUCCUCAUUACCCUUCAAAUUCCAUUUUUUGUUUUUUUUAAAAGCUGAUUUUUUGGCUUUGAAUCAAAGAUUUUUUUUUUUUUUUUGGCUUUUUGAUCGAUAUCCAUUUACUAUUAAGGUACUUAGAAAAAGUAAGUUUCUUUCUUUAAAAACCCUUUUUAGGGUUUUUUUUUAAUUUGAUGGUUAGAGAAAAUUGGGGUUUUCUUAAUGUUUUUUCAAUUUUAAUUUAAUGGAUACUUGAUGUUAUCUCAGCUGAAGUUUUUGUUUGAUUGAUUUUUUUUUUGUAGGGUUUUCAUCCGGAUCAACAAAUUGGGGGGAAUUUCCCAAAUUGGGAACUGAUUAGGGUUCUGAUUAGAGUAUAAAUGAGCUCAACCUCUCGUUUUUGUAGUAUCGGAUUGAAGAGCUGUUUGUUUCGAGGUUUAAGUUAUUAAAACAGAUUGCUUAAAGGGAAAUGGUGAUUGAAAAGCUUUUGGACAUGGAAGAAGAUUGCUUUCGUAUAUAAUUGUGUAGAUAGUGAUUCAAAAGCUUGAAGAUUUAGUUGUUUUAGAGAAAUAGGGUAUUUGGGUUUUCAGUAAAAUUUUUAUGUGUUUGAUCUCAAUUUGGGGAUGGUUUUGGCAUUGGAUUAUAUUAUUGGGACAAGGAGGUGAUGAUUCUUUAUUGUGCUGCAGAUAACAGUGAGGGUCAGAUUGUACUGGACCAUUUUUGUUUCUUGAAGAACCAUUUGGUAUACCAUAGUUUUUGAGCUAGAAUUCUUGAUCAAAACAGCAUUUCUUUAAGUUAUAUUUCUAUUUGGGGCAUUAUUGAAGUAGCUUAGGGUAAAGCACCAGUAGGGUUUAGCAGUGAUUGGAGACUUGCUGUGGUGAUUUUAUUAUUUGAAGUGAUUCAGUCAUAGAUAGUUGACUUGGAGUUACAUUUGAGGUUAGGGAGAUUAAGGAGCUUGGUGGGUUUAGGAACUCUUUUUGAGCUAUUAAGAGUGACAGGAGUUUCAUGGAGGAACACUGAAGCUGGAAAUGUAUGCAGGGAUAUGGUGCAUGGAUAGGAGCAUAGUUACUUGUUGUUCCUUUUCCUGGACAUUGCUAUCGGAAGAUAAUCCAAGUGUUUUUGCGCUCAAAAGGCAUUCUUGUUUCGUGUUCUAAACUUCUGUGAAAUGUCGCGUUGCUUUCCUUUCCCACCACCAGGAUAUGAAAAGAAGGCUAGGACCGAUGACGUGGACUUGCUAAAUAAGGUUAACACCGCUUACUUACAUUAUGUAACAUUUUUAUGAUAGAAUUAGCAUUCAUUAGUAUCAUGAGAACAAAUUCCCUGAUCUGAAUUCGACGGUAACAUUUCCAAGUGAUGUUAUAAGGUUUCUUCUAUCUUGUCUCGAUGUAUAUUAUGUAAAUAUAGUGUUCUGUGAUUUUAUUCUUAUUGAUGAUUCAAUAAUGCCUUGCCUUGCUGAAUGAAGAAUUUUUAUAAUUUCAGAUUAGGUUGAUGGGCUGUAUGUUAUGAACUUAUAGCAACUGAAUCAUAUGGGAAUAAAUAGUUAAACUGCAGGCUUAUUUAAAAUGGUAUACUGGGAUUUCUUGUACUAAUUUGUAUACUCACCAUUAGGCACUAGCUGUGAUAUUUAUGAUUGAAUGGAAAUCUCAAGGACUAGUUAGCAUCUCAAUAUCUUAAUUAAUGGCUGAAUGAACAUCUCUAGCUGUGAUAUUUAUGACUGAAUGAACUCUAUUUAGUCUUGAAAUGUAUUCUAUGAAGUCCCAUUUUUUGCCUUAACCAAGUGAAUGCGUGAUUCUAGAGAAAACUGUGUGUUAGACUUAAUAGAGUAACCAUUCUGGUCAGUGCAUGAAAAGUCCUUACUCCUAUCUUUCACAAGAAGGCACCUAUUUCUCUAAAGGAAACAAAAAGAUAAGGCAAGAGUCCCUGGAUCACUGCAGCGAGAAUAAAACAUUUUAUUGAAGUGAUUAUUUAAGCAUAGUUAAUUGGGGGAUAUUUAUGUUGACCAUGACUAUUUGUUGCUUUACUGCAUAAUUUGAGAGGAAGAGUAUUUUCACAUUUGACAUCAAAUAUGUAGAUGAAAGCUGUCUAGAAUUGCAAGUGAAUCUGCAAUUAAGAAAAUGAUGUUUUUUGGUGUGUUUUUCAUGUUUUUCUUUCUCGUGUUUUAGAACACUUUACGUUAGUUUUGUGCCCAUUCAUAAUUUUCUUUCCCCUAUCCCUCUGGCUUGGGUUAUUGUGUGCUGGUGUUGAGAGACUAGAGUCAGUAGAUUAUAUUUCCUUAGUGUAUACAAACUGUUCAGAGCAGAAGCAGCUUCCCCCCUCCUACCCCCCACCUGAAAAGGCAAAUCUAUUCCUCUAAGCCUUCAAGUACAAUGCAUGUAUAUAUGUUAACAAUCAAUGGUGUCUGAAAGUUGAAUGGGACAAUGUGUGUGACAAGUAUAUUGCGCCUUGAGAAUUUCUUGUUUAAAGGAUGGAAUUUCAAGUGAAUAGAUCUUCUCUAGUACUUUGGUCUUGAAAGUGUCCAGGGAUGGUAAUGCUAAUCUCUCUCUGUUUGUUCUCAAUCUCUUCAUUACUAGGAUGUUUUUAAAUGUCAAUGAAAUCCACCUUGCUUUGGUGGCGUAGUGCAUAUCUCCUUUCUAUCAUCUAUUUUGUACUAAUGCCAUGAAGGCUGUGGUAUUACCUGAGUUCCUAUUUCUUAACAGCCUUGUUCUACUGCUUGUAUAUCCACAAAUUUAGGUUGACAACUGCUCCGUGGUCACCCUAUGCACCCAAAAUCUAGAAGAGAUUUUUGGAACAUUUUGGUGUACAGGCAGUACUUUAUGGAUUUGAAUAUCAUUUUCCAUGCUCAAACUAGUAGAAGUUGCUAUUUUUUCCUAGUUGUUUUUGCAUGGUUAAGCUCUUUGGACAAAAACUGAUUUUAUUCAUUAUGUAGUAUGUUAUGUGACGGGUAUUUUGUCUGUGAUUUAAAGUUUGGUAUUUCAUAAUUGUUAUAGCAUAUGACGUUUUAUGGUAGAGGUUUGUGGAACUUAACAAUCUAUUCUAGCUAGUGCCGUCUGUUUGCUGAUUCGUUAUAUUGGUGAAUGAUGGUGGUUCAACCUUGUCUCCUUUAAUUCCCUUCUGUCGUGAUUUUUCAGGAUAGAAUGCAUAGAUUAUCUUCUGCACUAAGCUGAUUUGUUAUAUUGGUGAAUGAUGGUGGUUCAACCUUGUCUCCUUUAAUUCCCUUCUGUCGUGAUUUUCAGGAUAGAAUGCAUAGAUUAUCUUCUGGACUAACUUUUAACUAAUCCUGUCUAUAAUUUCUUGAUGUACAAUUGGUGUGUAAUUUGUUGACUGAGGUAUUUUCUCAGUUGGUAUGCUUUAUUCGGUAUUAAUUGUAACUUGGUGCUAUUGGAUCUUUUAGUGUUACUUUCAACUUUUUAGGCUUACUGAAGAUAUGUUUGGUUGUUUCCGAGUUACGUAAAUGUUCUUUUGCAUUGGAUUUGUGAGACUAUGUUUUUCAAACAUCGUUCUCAAUUUUCAGGAGAAGCAAAAAGAGAAGUCACAUAAGAAGGAGAAGAAGGAGAAGAGAGAAAAGAAAGAAAAAAAGGAGAAAGAUAGAAGCGAUGGAAAGCAUAAGGAUAAGAAAGACAAAAAGGAAAAACACAAAGACAAAGACAAAAAGAAGGAAAAGAGUCGAGAUAAAGAAAAAGAGAGGGAAAGAAGUAAUAACUCGGAGGAAAAGAAGUUUCCUGGUCAACCUGAUGGUCAAAAUGGGGAGAAAACCUCAGAUGAGAAGAAAUUUCUGGAAAAACCUGAAGGUCACAGUGGGGAGAAGUUUAUCCAGAAAGAGAAGGGCAGGGAUAAAGAUCGAAGCAGUUUUUCAAGUGAGAAGAACUUUGCUGGGCACAUUUCAAGUUUUAACCGGGAGAAGAUCGGCCAGAAUAGUCAUCCGGCUCAAGGUUUUAGGGAUUCUAAAUUUGUGCAGGAGUUGGCGGGGAGAGUCAGAGAUGAAGGUGCUGGAGCUGCAAGCCAAUUGGCAGAUAAGUCUAUGGGUACUAACCGGAAAAGAGAUGAGGGAAUGGUCGGGUUUGUGGCUAAGACUGCCCACAAACCGGCUGAAGAGAAAGAAAAGUCCAAGAGAAGUGAUCAUAGGAGGUUCGAUGUGCAAGGGAUCAAGGAGGAGACCAGAGCUGGUGGAAAUGCUAUGGUUCCGAACCUUGCUGGGGCAGUUAAAGCUAAAGUUGAAGGGAUCCCCAAACAAGUGGAGAAUAAUACCGAGAAGCGAGGGGAGGGGAAAGAAAAGGUUAAAGAAAAAGAAGGUGAUAAUAAAACCAAGGAUAGGCGCAAAGAUAAAGACAGAGAGAAGAAAAGUCACGGCAAAGAUAAGGAUAGGGACAAAGCGAAGGAGGAGAAGGCGAAGGCGAAGGCGAAAGGUGAACAUAGGAAUUUGGAGCUGGAUAACUUAAAAGGAAGCAACAAAGAUGGCCCUGGGGGUAACAUUAAUCUGAAAACAUCUCAUCCUUCCAAGGAUGGAAACAAGGGUGUUGUUGCUGAGGAAAAUCUCCGCAAGCGGAAGGACUUGGAGAAAAAUGGAUUUUUUCAUGGUGAGUUUUAUACCAUGAUUGUAUAUACAAUCCCGCUGAUCACUUGAAACUUUUUUGGUGUUAGUUUAGGUAGGUGAUCACUUGAAACUUUGGUGUCUUUUAUCUGUUAAGAAAACCUGUCCAUAAAAUCGAGCAAUUGCUUUCAUGGCAAUAAUUUAUCAAAUUUUUUGUUAGCAGGGGCUAGAAUUGGAAAGCUCUAUAAUCAUCUUGGUAACAAGUUCCACUUUCUUUUUUGCUUUUUUCUUACAGUUGAUGACAUUAAACCCAAUAAGUUGCCCAAAAGUUCUUCCUCUCAACCGUUGACGGGCAAUGGAAGGACAUUGGAACCUUGUCAAGCUCCCAUUCCACUUACUUUAGAUAGCAAGGGGGCAGGAACCAGUCUUAAGGUUGAUAAUAAAGAACGCAAGGUGAAUGGCAUCAUUGAAGCUCAGCUGUUAUCUGUCUCCCCACCAAAGCAAUUAUCAUCAAGUGCACAAGCUAGUCAAAUUGAUGAAGUGUCUAUCAGACCGCCCCAUCCGGACUUGAAGUACUUGAGCCAGGUACUUUCAGUGCCCAAAAUGGAACAAUGGUCUGAUUUUGAUGACCAAUCAUGGCUAUUUCACAGUAUUGAAUCUCAAUCAAAGAAACCCAAGGUGGGAUUUUCAGAGAUUGACGAGCCACCACAAGUAUGGGCCGAGGCUCUGCAGAUAGAGUCGGCUGAUGUUUGUGCUCUCCCGUACGUUAUUCCAUAUUGAUUUAUCUUUAUUUAGUGAGCACAUGGUUAACCCUCCUACACUGCAGCAGGGUUUUGCCCUUGUUGGGGGUGGAUUCUUUGGUUUUAUUCAGCAUUCUUUUGUUGUCAAACUCUAGUGUUGCAGUGAAUGUUUUCGAACAACUGACUGCCAUAUUGAUCUGCCACGGCAACCAUCACGUUGGUCCAUCACGUCAUUCCACUGCUGGAAGUGUAGGGUGCAUAUCUGCGUCCUGGUACCAAGCUACUAAUUCAUUUCAAAGCACACAAACCGAUGAGAGCAACCGAAUGACUGAAGGGUGCCUUAAGAGAAGGUAAUGUAUAAAGCUUGUGCAUAUUCUUAUUUGAAUUGCUUAAAGCUGAGAUGGUCCUUUCUAAUUGAGAUUGUGAGAGAAACUAGCUGUGGUCUUUGCAAUUCCACUGCAAUUUUGAUUUGUAACAUAGAACUCUUAUAUUUACAAUAAAUGUAAGAUAGAGGGAAAAGAAGUAGUGGCAUUCAUUUAUUCACCUCUCCUGUAAGUGUUGUUCAUAUUACCAUUUUGCUUUUUGUAUACAGUUAUAGGUUUUUUCGAUCAGAUUUGAGUCUCACGAAGCUGUCUUGGUCUUGAAAUUAACCAAACCAUUAUUCUGUCUGAAACAUCCUGUUAGUUCUCAUAACCGUCUUAUAUUCAAUCCUCUGCCAGUGUCUGGAUUCUUCAUGCUUGUAAGCUACGUUAUUCCGACUCUUCUCAUUUUUCUCAAAGUAAUCGUGUCCAGACAUGGAUGUGAGGAUAUGACCGUCAAACAUCUUCAUAUACAAAGGGAACUUAGAAAUAUCUGGUUUUACCCAUAUUAGAAUAUAGAUCAGACCAGUUGAUUCAAUUGGGAACUUUUAGGUCAAGUAGUUUGACUGUAUUGAUUUAAUCGAAGAUUUUAAGAACUGGUGAAAACUGGAAACCGGAAAUCAGAUGACCCGGAAAAGCUACGGUGAACUCAAAAUUUGUGUAUUUUUAAAGAACUUAGGGUGCGUUUGGUUCGCUGUAUUGGAUUAGAGGUGUAUUGGAUUAGAGGUGUAUUGGGAUUAGAGGUGUAUUGGAUUAGAGGUGUAAUAGCUAAUCCACUGUUUGGUUGAAUGUAAUGGAAUAGAGGCGUAAUAGUAAUCUUGUGUUUGGUUGAAUGGAAUAGAGGUGUAAUAGCAUAAUGGAAAAAACUAAAAUGACUAGAAUACCCUUAGCAUAAAAUUGUUUUGGUAAAUGAUUAUUGUUAUUGUUAUUUAAAUUUUAAUAAGAUUAUUAUUAUCAGUAAUAAAUAUUUUAAUCAUAUUUAAACAUAAUUAUAAUUAAAUAUAUUUUAAUUAAAAUAUAUAAUUUAAUAAAAUUCUUAUAAUUAGCAGAAAAUUGUUUUGGUAAAUGAUUAUUGUUAAUGUUAUUUAAAUUUUAAUAAGAUUAUUAUUAUCAGUAAUAAAUAUCUUAAUCAUAUUUAAACAUAAUUAUUAUUAAAUAUAUUUUAAUUAAAAUAUAUAAUUUAAUAAAAUUCUUAUAAUUAGCAGAAAUUUGUUAUUGUUAUUUAAAUUUUAAUAAGAUUAUUAAUAUCAAUAAUAAAUAAUUUAAUCAUAUUUAAACAUAAUUAUUAUUAAAUACAUUAUAAUUUUGGUAUAUAAUUUAAUAAAAUUCUUAAUAAUUCAUAUUCUUAUAUGAAUUUACUCAAAUCAUAAUAUAAUGAAAAUUUGAAAUAAUUAAUAUUAAAUAUAUUUUAAUUAAAAUAUAUGAUUUAAUACAAUUUAAAAUAAUUAUUAUUAAAUAUAAUUUCAUAAAAUGUUCUUAUGAAUUUACUAAAAUAAAAAUAUAACUUGAGAAUUAUUUUCUGCAUAAACAUAAUUAACUUAUACUAAGAAAAAGUUAGAUGAAAAUGAAAUUAUACAUCAUAAUCCAUAUGUUAUAUAGUUUUACAACAUCAAAAAGUUUGAACAUUGAUAUUUAAUGGUGAGAAAGAAAUCUUUUGACCCAUUCCAAUCGGGCAACGGAAGGUAAACUAAAGAAAACGAUNNNNNNNNNNNNNNNNNNNNNNNNNNNNNNNNNNNNNNNNNNNNNNNNNNNNNNNNNNNNNNNNNNNNNNNNNNNNNNNNNNNNNNNNNNNNNNNNNNNNUUGAAGCUUUUUCUUCCAUAUUCUCUUCUGACUUGUGCUGAACUACCACCUCGGAGGCAAUACUCCUACUGAUUUUAUCGCCAACGGCCUGGAUUUUUUCCCCCAACAAGGUGGCAGCCUCCUCAAAUGAAGAAUACACAUCAUCACGAGCAUUAGAUUUCUUCUUUCUCUUGUUUGAAGAUGAGGAACCCCCUUGGUCUCUAUCUCCUCGCGAAUCCGUACCAGAAACAUCCAUGUCGUCUAAAGAGACGUCAGCUUCGCAGUCAUAGAAUGUGUUUCUCUCUUCAUUCAUAUCUGUAGUACGUUCAUCCUCAGCAUGUAUUUCUUCAAGAACAUCAGCAGCUGUUUGAGCGUCUUUCCCAGUCGCCCGAUCUCUUGCGUAUAUGGCAGUAAGCUGGUUGUAGUAAGGGAAAGAACGAUGUCUGAACUGAGAGGCUUCUUUGUGACUCUAAAAAAAACGAGGAAAUCAUAUUAGUCCAUGUGUUUUGUAAAAAAACAAAUUAAUACUUGAAAUACAUUUUACCUUAACAUAGGAUUCCCAAACAGCAUCUUCAGCAACAACGAGCUGCCUAUGCUCGUCCCAACCAAAACCGCUGUUGUUCUGACCAUUAAGCAUGUCGUAGACGACUGACCAUUCCCUUUUUAGGCACCUAAUCCGAGAUUCAAUAUUUGGUCUCGCCUUCAACAUUGCUCUUGGUAAAGCCUUUUCUAGCAUUUUCUCUAGCUCGUUCAAAUAACCGGCUUUGAACCCGGUAUCAGCAUUAAAUGUUCCUACAUUGUGCAAAUCCACCAUGCAAGAAAUCAAGGCUGCAUCCUCUUCUGGAACCCAUUUUCUUUUGCUUCCUCGAGAAGCUUGAGAAGAAGCACCNNNNNNNNNNNNNNNNNNNNNNNNNNNNNNNNNNNNNNNNNNNNNNNNNNNNNNNNNNNNNNNNNNNNNNNNNNNNNNNNNNNNNNNNNNNNNNNNNNNNNNNNNNNNNNNNNNNNNNNNNNNNNNNNNNNNNNNNNNNNNNNNNNNNNNNNNNNNNNNNNNNNNNNNNNNNNNNNNNNNNNNNNNNNNNNNNNNNNNNNNNNNNNNNNNNNNNNNNNNNNNNNNNNNNNNNNNNNNNNNNNNNNNNNNNNNNNNNNNNNNNNNNNNNNNNNNNNNNNNNNNNNNNNNNNNNNNNNNNNNNNNNNNNNNNNNNNNNNNNNNNNNNNNNNNNNNNNNNNNNNNNNNNNNNNNNNNNNNNNNNNNNNNNNNNNNNNNNNNNNNNNNNNNNNNNNNNNNNNNNNNNNNNNNNNNNNNNNNNNNNNNNNNNNNNNNNNNNNNNNNNNNNNNNNNNNNNNNNNNNNNNNNNNNNNNNNNNNNNNNNNNNNNNNNNNNNNNNNNNNNNNNNNNNNNNNNNNNNNNNNNNNNNNNNNNNNNNNNNNNNNNNNNNNNNNNNNNNNNNNNNNNNNNNNNNNNNNNNNNNNNNNNNNNNNNNNNNNNNNNNNNNNNNNNNNNNNNNNNNNNNNNNNNNNNNNNNNNNNNNNNNNNNNNNNNNNNNNNNNNNNNNNNNNNNNNNNNNNNNNNNNNNNNNNNNNNCUCACAAUUUGUGUAUCCAGCAUCAACUAGAUAAUAACAACCUAUAAAAUAAAUUGGCUAAAAAAUGAUUAAUUCAGCAAACAAAGUUUGAUCUUAAUGAAUAAUUCAAAUUCCUCUAACUAUACAUUGUACCAUGAGGAACUUUUAGUACCAUGAGGAAUCCUUGUUCAUUUAGUGAAACAAAGUUGUUUUAUGUUUUGGUUUCUUUCUCCCAAUCUUGAUGCUUAUAAAGUUGUAGAAAACGAAAAUUUUAAAGUGAGAUAUCAUGUGCAGUUCAGUAGUGGUUUUAUUUUUUGUUCAGACUUCAGAGGGUUCAUGUGAUUAGGCAGGUUAUUUUUGACUAAUUUUGUUGUUUGUUUGUCUUCCUGAGAUAAAAGUGACUAGUUUUAUAUUUCAAAACAACCAUAAUUGAGCAAGCACUAAAGGAUAGAAAGGAAGUAGAGGGUGAAAAUGUUGCUUAGGAGGUAGAAAUCUAGAAAGAAGAGAACUAAAACACCACAAAAACCUGCUAGUAGGAAAAUGAAACAGCGAGCUAGCAUGUAAGCUAUAUAUAAAACUGUGAAAAGGCUAAACUUAUAUUUAUGAACCAUAACAAUCCAAUCUCCAUCAAUGAAACUAACUGUAGUAAAUGAAUAUUCAUAAAAUUUAAUCCUACUACAGUUGCUAGCUUAACUACUCUUGAACAAUAAACACCAAACAGGUCCAAACCCCAGCAUUAACAAGCACAAAAAAAUAUAUUAUAGAGGGAACAAAUGCCCAUGGAAAGGGUAAAGAAACCUCAUAAAGCCAUCAAGCAAACAACUCGCAACAAGAACCAUUAAUAAAUGGUACAAAUUAACUACCAAAAUUGAACAACAUUUUCCCAGAAAUUUUCCAAGAUGGAUUCUUUAAGAUGUCAUUUGUGCGAAUGAAUUGACUAAAGAAAUGAAUAGCAAACAUGGUAUUUAGCAUUGUUGAUUUUUCAUGAUUUUGGCGAGAAUGAUCUUUCUGUGGAACUUGUAGGUUCAUACAAGUAGAACAAGUCUUGGGGUAUAUAUUGAUUUUGAGAUUGUUGAAUCGAGUACUGAAGAGUUUAGGAGCAACACAACUUGAGAUGAAGAAUGAAUGAAGAAAAAUAGCAAAUGUCCCAAUGACAGAUGAAAGCAAAGACAAAUAUAGGGUAGAGGGGAAUAGAUCACCAGCCAAAUGAAGCACAUCCAAAUGGCGGUAAAAGUAUAAGGAGGCCCUGCAAUAGGAAUCAAAUUGUAUUUUAAAUUAUUCAUUGUCCAUUAGAUCAAAGAACAAAUUAAUCCUUUCUAUUAAAAAUUUCAUUCAUUUGUACUCUUAAAAACUAGCAUAACUAAUAGAAUAAUGUGACACGUGGCAUCUACCUCAUACUAAGGUAUGAAGACUAAAGAAUGACCAGUUUGCUCUUUGAUGUAAUGUACAAAUAUUAAUUUACCUAUUUUUAGUAAAAGAAACAAAAUACAAUCUGAUUACUAAUAGAGGAGCCAGUGUCAAUUUCAAAAAAAGCAAAAGAGUCAAUGAUCAUACCAAACUGAAAUCACAUAUCCAGCACAUCAUCAAUCUCCCCUAACAGCAAACAACCAUUGCAGUUUCAUAACUAUAUUCAAGUAAAUAAACUAACGAGUGAGGCGAUAAGAUCGGACUGUGUAGUCGAAAUUGCCAAUAGCUCAUGUGAAAACAAUCUAGUCUCAAAUACCACAAAGAAAACUGCAAUGAAAAGCAUACACAACUCUGUUCAAAUUCUUCACAAAAAACCUGUUUAUCAAUUAUUGACCAUAGUGGUUAACAAUUUAGAUCAAACAUACAUAAUGUGGAAUGAAUUUAGAACAAACAGAAUCCGGCAAACAUUUCACUCGGAACUGAUUGAUGAUAUAAUUGAAUUAUUGAAUCCAAUCAUAGAGAACUAUUUACCUAAUGAACUAAUCCUACUACAGCUGCUAGCUUAACUACUCUUGAACAAUAAACACCAAACAGGUCCAAACCCCAGCAUUAACAAGCACAAAAAAAAUAUUAUAGAGGGAACAAAUGCCCAUGGAAAGGGUAAAGAAACCUCAUAAAGCCAUCAAGCAAACAACUCGCAACAAGAACCAUUAAUAAAUGGUACAAAUUAACUACCAAAAUUGAACAACAUUUUCCCAGAUAUUUACUCAAGCCCACAUUUAUUUAGACCAAACAAUAUAACUUUAUAUAGGACGCAAUAGAGAUGGAGAGAACCUGAAGGUUAUGGGAUUUGAUAUAGCUCCAGAUAUGCUUAAAAGCAUCGGAACGGGAAGCCUCUGGGGCUCCAAGGAAUCGAGCCAAAGUAGGAGAAACAGGGGUAAGUUUAAAAAUCCCAGAGGGUCGAGUGGUAGUUCGAGGAGUAGCUGGUUUUUCAGUCUUGGGUUUUGAAGCAAUUUACAUUGCUAAUUAAAACAGAGAAAACGAGACAAUUUACAUUGCAAUCGAGUUCCAAUUUCCACCAGCAACAAAAACCUUUAAGAAAUAGAAAUCUACUCGGAACUUAAGCUAAUUAAAAUACAGGAAUCCAUAUAAAUUUGAGAGCAAAAGAGAGUUAGAAAUAUGAAUUUACCUUUCCAGUUGCAGUAAACUCCGAAAAUAAAAGGUUGAGAAGGCCAAGCGUCGAUUCUAUUGUAAUCUUCAGCAAAAGAAAGACAGAAGGAAGAAACAGAAGACGGAAAGGGGAAGCAUGAGGGUAAAACAGGGUCUAAAACUCAAGCAGCACCUAAUCUGAGAAAGAGGAACGUAAUAGAAAUCGGUGGAUUUUGGGGAUUAGGGGUGUAAUGUAAUAGACGGGUAUUAGCCAAUACCCUGAACCAAACAGAGGAUUGAAGUGGGAUUAAAUAGGGCCCACCGAUUAGGGGUGUAUUGGCUUAGCCAAUACACCAAACCAAACAAGCUCUUAAAGUUAUGGGGCUUAUUAAGAUUAAAUACGAGCAAUGCUGUUGCCUGUUGCCUGCUUGAAGUACGGUAACGGUAUUUAUAAUCUUUACUUCUGUUUAAUGCAUUUACGGAUAAUAUUAUUAAUUUCAUCAGCUCACUGAUCUUGUUCUUCACACUUCCAUUCGUAUUUGUGAUUGAAUCUGAAACCCUGAUCGGUUUAACCUUUGUUUCAAAUUUUUUUACUCAUCAUUGUAAUUUGAUGGAAAGAAUGAUUAUACCAUAUACUGUGAUCAUUUGUUAAAAAACAAAGCGUAAAAUGAAAAAUCACAAAGAGGCUUCAACUUCAAGACCAAAAUAUGAGCAAAGUAAAAUUUAAGACGAGCAAGUCAAACUCUGAUAGAUUUUAUGUACAUAUUGGAAGACAAGUUCUAAAAUUAGCACUGGAAGUCAUAUAUUUGAGCAAUGCUAUAUAUAUACAAGAGAAAGCCAAAAAAGCUAGCAGAAGGCGUUUCAUGUUUUGUAUGAACAGAGGUUGAAAGGGAAAUUCUGUUUUAUAGUUCUUUAGAUAAUUCUUCCCUUUGCCUACGCAUUCGAGCUCCCCAUGACAUGUUUCCUCCGGCAUCCCUGUUCAUGCUUCUUCUCUUCAGCUCUGAUAGCUGAGAUUGCCAUCGAUUUUUCCACUCACUCCGAUCUUCUAGGUCCUGGUUGUGAAGAAAAUGUAAGAAUUUAAAGCGAAAACGUAAUGGAUUCUCUCAACGGACCAGAAAAUACGACAUCUGACAGUAACGCAGGAAUGUCGAAAGACUCUAAACAGUUAUGCGUAUUUGUCAGCCCUGAAACAAAUUAUUACAGGCUAGAAGGAAAGCAACUUUCAUCAGAAAACAAUCCAAAAGUAGAAGGUUCAGAAGAAGAUAACAAAAGCUUAAGACUUGCCGAAUAUCAUAUAGUAUAAUUAAGGGACCAGACAAAACUUAAGGACUUCAUCAUUAGCGGUAUUUAGUCACAACAAGCAAAUCCUACUUGCAAGGAAAGCAACAAAUGAGGUCUCUCUGCUUUGCUUUAAUAACCAUGGCAAUUUGAGGGAGUAUGGCAGGUGCCCAUGUUUAAACCCGAGAGUUUUAAAGCAUACACGUGUGGCAAUCACAUCUUGCUCAUAUGAAAUCUAUCAAAGUUAAGGAAAUGUUUGAAAAUGAUGCAUCAAGAAACAACUAAUAAGUUCCAAAGCAAAGGAGAAGGACUAGUUAACCAUCAUUAACAUUUGCAAAGACAAGGGAGCUAGCAAAGGCAGUUUCAUCGUAUUGCAAAGUAUAUGAAAACUCCAGGUAACUUAUAAACGGAAGUCGAACUAACAGCUUAGACUCAAAGACAAAAUGAACACAUUAAACACUAUAAGUGUCCAUUAAUUUUGCAGAAAAUGACUUCUAGAAACGAUGUCCUCGUUUACUAGUAUUUCUUUCACGAGAGACAACUUGGUCAAUGAAAAAUUAACCCAUUCUUCCGGAAAAUGUCUUAAGCUUUAAGCACUAUAGAUCCCCUACGAAUUGAGUUCGAUCCCACUUUAAAGCAAAGCAUAAAAAAGAAAUCCUAAGUAUUGUUCAAUUCUGUUUAUAUCAAUAGAAAUUUGCAGAAAAAACAACCACCGACAAAAGUUAUAUUAAACUGGAUGACCCAACAAAUAGACUAUCAAUUUUCUGAAAAAAAAAAGUAGAAUUUUCAUAAACCAAUUUUCUAAAAGAUGUACCUAGUCUACACUUCAAUACCCUUGAAGCUUUAGCAAAUACAAUAAUUUUUUCUAUGUUCUAAUUAUAUUGGAAAGGACCAAGUUUCCAUAUGUUUCUCUCAAUUUCAACAGACAAAAUAUACUAAAUUUCAACCAAUCCCAACUACAAUAUAAAUUGAAAAGUUUGUCAAACCAUCAAUCCAAUACCCUAAAUAGACAUCAAAAUUAUUACAAUUUGAAAUUCCAACUUAAAAGCUACCAAAGUUCAAAUCUUGGAGAAAGAAAUUAGAUUCAUGGAAUAGAACCAAAAAAGUUUGAAAAUUCCCAUAAUAAAAAGUGAAAAGAAAAAUAAUUGGUCAAAAACCUAUUUCAAGAGCAAAACAAAUAAAACCCAGAUAUGAAAUGCUCCCAAAAACAUUAAAAAAAACCCAAAGUUAGAAUUAAUAAGAAAAAUAGAAUAGAAUAUAAAAGAAGAAUACCUCAUCGUAUUGAUAACGUCGUCUAGCAGAGAAAGCAAGGUGAAUCCCCAAAGCUAAAUCCUUAUCAUACAAAGCCCUCGUCCUUGGAUCCGACAAAGUCUCAUAAGCUUCCUGGACCCGUAUAAAGCGCUCCGUAUACUCCUCGACCCGAUCCGGCGGCGAAACAUCCGGGUGGUACUUCCUUGCUAGCUGCUUAUACGCUUGUUUUAUCUCCAACGAAGUACCCGUUUCUGAUAUCCCCAGUAACUCAUAAAAACUCAUCUCUUUCCUCGCUUCAUCGAUUUUCGCCUUGAUUUUGAACGACCCAAAUUUAAUCCGGGUCGGUUGGAACGUUCUACGUAACUUGAGGAAGGAAGUUUCCGGCGAAAAGAAUCGGGCGUCUGUCCCCGGUAUCGCUGUCAAUCCAUAACUGCAACGCAUCUUGGGGGGGGGAAUUGGAAAGGAUUUCUUAGCCAAUUAUGAGGGAAAUUUGUUCAUUAGUUAAGUUUUGCAAAAAUUGAGAUGAAAUUUAGAAGCAAAAAUGGCAAUAAAUUAUGAGAAAAAGGGAGAAAUUAUUGGUUGUGUGGAGAGGGAAGGAAGAAAGGGAGAUUAGGAAGGGAAAGUGAUAUUUUGUGGGGGAUGAAAGUGAAAGGAUAAUUUGUUUGGAAGGUUUUGAAGACACGUGUCCCUUCUAAACUCGAAACCUUUAUUAAGCUUUGUUAUAUUUACCUUUCUAAUUACGAAAUUGAUAUGAACUUCAUCAAUGAAUCUUAACUCGAUUGUCAUAAAUAAAAAAUAUGAAUUCAAGUGUAUUAAAAUAUAUUAUUUUAAUAAAAGAUUAAGGAAACUUUUAAAUAUUAUAUAAAAAAAUUAGAUAUGAUAAGAAUAAAAAAUUUUCAAAUUCUUUUUAAUAUUACGUAAACAUAACAAACUAACAUAGUAUUAUGUAUAUAUUCUAUGUUUGAUAGGAGCAUUAUUUGUUCAUCACGUUUUUUGAGUUAACAAUAAAUUAAUUUCAAUUAGUAAUUUUCAACCACUCACUCGAUUUGUUUUGGGAGAAGAGAAAAGUUUUUUUCUUCUUAUUUUGUAGAGGUCAUAUUUUUAUACGAGUUUUUACUUAUUUUUUCAGUUUUAAGUUUAAAUUUAUAGUAAUUAUUCUUUAUUUUAUGUCUAAUUAUUAUAGCAUAUAAUUAAUAAAUAAUAAUUUUCUUCAUCUUAUUAUUUAGUAACUGAACAAGAUAAUAACGACAAUUGGAUUAGAAUUAAAAUUUUAAAUUUUAGAAAUUAAAAAAAUAUCAAAUUAAAAUACAAAGAUUAUAUUGAAUUUGAAUUAUAUAAAUUAUAUGGAUAUGUUUAGCAAAAAAAAUUACUCAACAAAAUGGGAAUGAAAAAUAAAUAAAUAGUCAAAUAUUGAAAAUAGUCUUAGACUAAAAUAAAUAAAUAAAUAAAUAAAGUAAACUUAACAUGUUUUUGUUAAGUGACAAAAUAACUUUUAUUUAUCUAUCAUUUUCAAUAUUUUUAUUGAGAAAUCCAAUUAAGUAGUUUUUAUCCUAAACAUGUUUAGAAAAGUAAAUUAUUGAAAAGAUGAAUUUUCAAUUAGUUAAAUGUUUUUAUUGACUAGUCAAAUAAACCCUAAAUCUAUAUAUAUAAUUAAUAUAAUUAACAUAUUGUUUAUACUUUAAAGGAAAUUUGGGAAUUGUUUCAUUUUAUAAAAAUAUAAUGAUUUAUUUGACCCUUUAAUUUUAUAAAAAAUAAUAUUUAAUUUUUCGUUUUUUAAUUUUUAAACUUAUUUUUUUAUCAAAUCAUCCUAAAAUAGAUGGAAAAUUAAUAUUUUUAACUUUGCUGACUAGACAUACACAUGGAUUAUCAAGUGGAUGUCAACAUUUAAUUAAUUUUAAAAAUUCAAAUAUAUAUAAUAUUUUUUAAAAUUGAAAAUCAUCAAAAUUAUUAAUAAAGUAUAAAAAUUAUAAAAAAAUAUUGUUUUAAUAUUCUAAAAAUUAAUUAAAUGCCACGUGUAUACCACACCAAUAAAAACACAAAUUAAAAAAAAAAGACGAAAAGAUGAAUGAAGUGUUAAAAUAAGUGAUUUAAAAUUAGAGGGAGACUUUAAUCACUGUCUGAGAAAAUACUCACAUUUUGAGGCAGAACUUUAGGAUAUUCUAGACGGACUCGUCAUAUUAUUAAAUAAAGGAUACAAAUGAUCCACAAGUUAGACUGAUAAUCUAGAGGUGCUUAAAGCUUUGACUAUGAAAGAGAUGAUGGACUCCAGAAUUACUUUACUCAAAAAGAUUCAAAGACUUAUGCUUUCUGAAGGACAUCGGAAAGUAAGGUGCACAAAUAUUGCAUUUUAAAUGCAAAUCAAUUGGCAAAGACUAACUUUACUUAAUAGACAAGCUUACAAAUCCUUGAAGUGCCUCCUAAUAUAGUGUCUUCGGUUCUUCGACAAGACAAAGCAUUUAGUAUUUCUUAAUAAUUGAUUUGAUAUUAUUUUAUUUUAUUUUUCAAAAUAAAAAAUAGAGGGAGAAGUUUGGUUUGUAUAAAUCCUAACCCCUAACCACGUGACAUCUCAGAACCGUUACUUUCAAGUCUAAUCAUAAAAUCAUUUACUCUGGAGUUUGGUUUUAUCUAUUUUCUCAAAAAAAUUGCAAUACCAUUUGAGAAAUGUCCAAAUCAACUUUUCAAAAUUUCCACAUCAUGUCACGUAACCCAUCAAUUCUCUUCAAUUUCAUUUGUUCUUUUUUUCUAUAAUAUAGUUUUAUAUAUUAUGGUUGAGUCAAUUGUUAAAUUUUUAGAUUUAUUAUUAAGUUUAAUUUACAAUCCUGCAAAUUUUUAAAAAUUCAAUUAAUUCGCUUUUUUUUUUUACCUUACACAAAAACUUAUCAAUUUCAACCCAAUCUCCCUUUUUUUAUUUUUUUCCUUUUUAACUUGCUCAUUAUAUUUUAUCCUUUAAUCAAUUAAGUCUUAACUCGAUUAGUAUAAACAUUAUUACUAGUACAGGAAAACACAUUAUCCUCAUAUUUAAAUAUUAAGAAGAGAUUAUGAAUAAAAAAAUUUCUAUAACUUUUCUGACUUGGACUGUAAUUAUUUUUAAUUUUUAAAUUUUAAUUAAAGGCAUGCAAAUGAUUUUCUAAUCCUAGUUGUAAUAUAAAAAAACUCCUACCCUAGUAUAUAUUCAGUGACUAUCCUUUAAACAUUGUAAUAUAUAUUUGGGACAAAACAACAUUUAUUAAUUUUUUAUUGACUUGAUAGCCUUUUUUUCUUAAAAUUAUAUUAUUUACAUAGACAAAUAUUAUGUUUCAAAAAUUUUGGGACUCAAAUGAAAAAAAGGGAACUGAAAUAGAACCAAAAAGAAAAAUGUUUGGUAGAGACUUAAAGAGAAUUGACCCAUUUAUCCUAUAAUGCAUAAAUGAUAAUGAUAAUGAUUUCAAAUUAGGAGCUAAAUUACAGAUUAAUUAAGAAUUUGUAGUUAACAACAAAGAACACAGCUAAAUAAAGAAUACAAAAAUUAUGAAGUACAGUGUGACAUCCAAUUAGGGUUUAGAGAAUUAGGUUAAAAAAUUAUCUUAAAUGCAGCAUCGUUUUGAUGUCUGCUUCAUCGCAUUCCACACAUGUUCCCAGAUAUCCUCUAAAGGCCAUCCAAACACGUUUAAAAAAAUAACUAAAAUAUUGCUUUGACUCUUCAUUUUUCUUGAAAUAUACCCUCUAAACUCUCCAAACCAUGAAAAUGAAAAAAUUGAACAGUCAUGUUAGAAAAAUAUUAGUAUCAAUCACGCACACAUGAAUCCAAGUAAAUAUAGUGCUGCAUGCUAACUCAACAAUUUCCAGUGUUUGACAUCAAGGCUGCGCUCUUAUACCACCAUAUCCAUGCCUCCUAGAACAAAAAUACAAGCCAAAAAAAAGGGGGUGGGAGAGGAAAAAGAAAAAAAAAAUCUGGAAAGAAGGGGGAAAAGAAAAAAAGAAAAAGAAAGAGGAAGACCGAAGACGAUAAAAAAUGGGUGAGAUUUCGACAAUACCAUCACAGGCCUAAUAGAAAUCAACCAUAACAAAUCAUCAGCUGUCUACCAAUUCCAAAUUAAAACAAAAAUGACUAAAAUAAUAAUAAUAAUAAUAAAAUCCCUUGAGUGUCAUCACUUUAUCUAUGCAAGUCCCUAUACUUUUGUUACACUCAAAUAAACCCCUACCCUUUAUACCUUUCAUUUGAAAUAAAAAUCUUUAAUCAGGUACAAAUCAAAAGAUAAAAAAACUAAUUUGGGACUUGCUUAAGAAAAGUGAAAUGGUUCAGGAUUAAUUUUUUUAAUCUUUUAGCCAACAAAAAUUUCACUCUCAAGUAAGUCUCAACUACAAGCUAAACCCCAAAGGAAAGGCCAUGUAAUGUUUCAAUUCUAAAAUAGGAAACCUGGAAAUGGUUGACAUUAAUUUUUCCAGGAGACAACCAUGCAACAAAGUAGAAUGUAAUGAUUUCAAAUUUCUUCCUUGAUCAAAUAGAGUUUGAGGGAGCAAUUGCAUCAAACUACCACAGCCAGAGCAGUACUAUGUAGGCCACAAAUGGAAGCAAAUCCAACUGAACAAGUACUACCAUAUACAGAACUGAGACAAGCAGUAUCAUGAAAGAUUACCUGUGAAUAAACCACGAAAUUAUUUUUAUGAUCAACCAAUCUGGCUAUGGGGCUCAAAUAUAGACGCUAUUCAUCCCCGCGGAGUCUGGUUACACAGGACCUUAAAGUAGCUUUGGAAAAGAAUUUUCCUUGGAAAUGACGAAAAAAGGGAAAAAAAAAGGGAAAAAAAAGGAGGAAAAAGAAAGAAAAAAAAUACAAGCAAAGUGAAAAGAUAGAACCAAGCCCAAAACGCAGCAGUCACCUAAUUUGAAUCAAUCAACACUAAAGAAAUUUAAUCAAAAUAUAUAUCUUAUAGCAUUAGCUCUCUGCCACAAAGCAACUGCAUACCUUCACAUAGAUAAAGUUAAAAAUCAACCCUCCAAACUGAUCACUGACAGGUCCAACAGGAACACCGUGAAUAAACCUGCAUGAGUUGGGAUAUAACAGGCUGUCUAGACCAUCAAAGGCAAAUAAAACAGGUCCUAUGAUCAAGCACAUCAAUCAAAGGCCAAGAGUCGUAGGACAUCAAUACGGCUAGAAGACAAAAACGAUCGAGGAAGAUAAGCAUGCGUUGGAAUUUAAAGAUGUACGCACGAAGAACACUUUGCUAAUACAUACAUAAACAUAAAUAGAGGCAGAAAGGAUAGAUCUAAACAAAGAUGCAAACUUUCAAGUAAACACUUCAUAAAUUACAGUUCAUAAGUAGAGAUAAUGGUCCAACAUACAUCUAGCAGUAAAAGAGCCCUGCUACAAACAUUGCAUGGUUGAUUGCAGAAGAAAGCAGAACACUGCUUGAAAUACUUUAUCCAUUGUAAAUGUGAGCUCAAAGACUUCAAUGCCAAUCUGUUCCACAUGCCUGCAAAGGAUAAAAGAGCACAAUGGCGUACAUUUAUGAAGAAACAACAAUUGUCUGAAAAAUCCAAACACCAAAAGAAACACUAAGCAAUGUCUUAAGUGAACUGCUGUUCAUAUAGGAGCCAAAAGCUCUCAUAGAUCUUAAUAGCUUGUUCAUAUCUGAACAAGCUUGAAUUGAUCAAAGGGUAAAGUGGAGACUGAGUCAGACAGCUUGGAACAGCUUUAGUCUAAAAAAUCCCCAAGGUUCAGUAACACAUUAAGCCCACGGCUCAUUUCUGACGAGGAGAAAUGGAUUGAUCUCCUGACCCUGCAAAUAAAAACAUUAAUCACCAACCGUACAACUUUAUUAGUGUUAUUUCAUUUUUGGUGAUUUUUGACAUUACCAUUACUACCAAGCCACUGCUUACUACUUGAUCUUUCAAGUCUGUCUGGUUCAUCUGCAUUCAAUUUGCUAUUUGGUGAGUACCCUUCAUCACUGUCAAAUAUUGGUAAAUAUUUGCUUCUCAGCUCCUGAUCAUCAUUCACUGAAACUUUCGUGUCAUAAGCCUCCUCUUUUGAAACCAGCAUUCCAUCAUCCCCUGUAUUUUUCAAAUAAUUAAAAACGGAAGUAAGCAGAGCCCAUUACCAUAUCCAGUCUUUCCUAUUGUUUUGCCAAAAUGUGAACUUUUAUUGUUACGAUCUAAACAAUACUUACCUUCAGCUGACUUUGGCCUUGAAUGCCUUCUGUGCCUCGAAUCAUUGUCUUCAGAACUUCUUGGUGAAGACCUGCUUCCUCUAGGAGGCUGAGCUUCAGCAGAUGCUAAAUGCUUUUUGUCAUGACGUUUUGAUCUUUCAUCUACUUUAUCAAUGGAUCGAUGUUUUCCCUCAGUAGACUUUGACCUAGAGCGCCGUCGGUGUUUUAAUCUAUUUUCAUCUGAAUUUCUGGGGGACCUCCUGCUUCCUCUGUGAUGCUUGCCAUCAAAAGAUCUUGACCUUGACCUCUUUCUAUCCCGAUGCUUGCCAUCAGCAGAUCUUGACCUCGACCGCCUUCUAUCCCGAUGCUUAGAUUUCUUAUCUCUGAUUCUCUCACUCCUCUCUUUGGUGUAAUGCCUACCUUCAGCAGAUCCUGAUCGUGAUCGCCUUCUAUCGCCAUGUCUCAAUUCAUCAUUUCUCACUUCAUCAAUUUUACUGCCGGAGCGAACCUUGCCUUCUACAGAAAUUGAUCUGGACUGCCUUCUGUGUUUUGAAUUGUUUUCAUCUGAACUUGCAGAAGAAGACCUGCUUCUUCUUUGAGGUCUACCUUCUGAAGAUAAUGACCUGGAUCGCCUUCUACUGCGGUGCUUUGUUUUUUCAUCUGGGGUCUCAUUCUUUUUGUUAUCCGAAUCAACAGACUUUGACCUAGAGCGCUUUCUAUAUUUCAAUUUCCUUUCAUCAUCAUUCUUUGGGGAUGACCUAUUUCUUCUGUGAUGCCUUGGUGAUGUUGAACCUGGAUGGGAUGAUUUCCUAAGCUUAGGUGAACUUUCUCUACUAUGUUUAGGGGAGUCAGAAUCUACAGGAGUUAAUUUUCUAGUUCGAGGACUAAUACUCCUAUUUCUCCUCGAAAUAGAUGAAUGACGAUCACGCGAUCUCUCCAAAUCUCGUCUGCCACUCCUGUCAUUGUCAUCUCUAUCUCUAUAUGAACGUCGUUCACUUUCAUAUCUUGAACGAUGAUGAGAUCGCACAGGUGAUCUGGACCUACGGUCUCGUUGGAAACGGGGCAGAGGUGAAUAAGAGCGAGACCUCCUCCUUCGCCUAUAACUGAUAGGUGAUCUUGACUUUGACCUUGACUUUCGCCUAUAAAUGAUCGGUGAUCUUGACUUGGACCUUGAUCUUCGCCGAUAACUAAUUGGUGAUCUAGUCUUUGAUCUUGAUCUUCUCCGAUAACUAAGGGGUGAUUUUGAUUUGGAUCUUGACCUUGCACGAGAAGGGGAUGGUGACCUAUAAACAGGAGUUAUAAAUUAGUAUAACUCUGAUUUAUCAUUAUGGAAAUUGAAACCUAGGAACAUACAGACAAACAAGGGAAGACUUUGAUUUUUUGAUUCCCAAUAUGUAAAAUAUCAUCUGUAAGACAACGAAGAUUUAAAAACAUGAGAGAAUCAGUGCAAAAAAGACAUGUGCUACUCAUGAUAAAAUACACAUCAUAAACAGUAUUGAUUGGAAAACAAUGCUGCAGACAGCAACCUAUUGUAUACCCAUAAACCAAAAGGACCAACAUAUAGAUACUCCAAACAUGCUAAGCAGUGACAUUCUGCUUGCAAAUCACUUAAUCCCAUGCAACUUUAUAAUAACAGCUUUUAGGCAAACAUAGGAGAACACAAGUAACUCCAUAUUCUUUAACAAUAUUAAGCCUUAAGAAACAAUACAUGCUUGCGGGGAAAUAAACUUGUCCUGAUGAGGAGACAUACCUAGACUUACUCUUGGUUUCCUUCUCUUCAGUAACAAGUCCAUCAGCUUUUAGCUUCCUACUUAUUUCUGCAGCUCUUGCUGCAGCUAAUUCUGUUGCAGACUUCAUGCUUGCAGCUCGGUUAGCUGCCUGCUGAGCAGUCAAUGUUUGUUGCAUAAGCAAAGCCUGUUGGAAUUGCAUCUGUUGCAUGGCAACAGCUUGCUGCAUCAUCAAAGGUAGAGAUGAAGAAGUCAAGGAUGAAAUAGCAGGUUUCGGAGGAAGUGUUUUGGCCAUUUCCACAUUUAAUGGUCGACCACCAAUAUCCAUAUUGUUCAAUGCCAAAGCAGCCGUUGCUUCCUCUGGUUUUGAAUAUUCUAUGUAUGCAAAAUGCUUUGAAUCAGUGAUUGUACACUCAACAACUGUACCACAGAAGCUAAAAAGCUGCUUCAACUGUUCCACUGUGAGAAGUGGGUUAAGAUUGCUAACUUGUAGGGUUUUUUUCAAUGCAUCAGCCUUUGCAGCUUUGUCAGGAGAGUCUGACAAGGAGCAGAUAACUGUGAGGUUGGACACUUAGCUAAAAAGGAAAUAUAUAGGACUUGGAAAGUAAAUUAAAGAAACGACAGUAGUGGAAAGCAAGAUAGUAUAAACAGUACCAGAUGAAUCUUUGGUUGACUGAGUUUGUGAUUGCACCUGAGCAGCAUGAGCUUGAAGGGCCUGAGCAGCAACAAUAGCCUGAGCAGCAGCCAUUGCAGCUGCAGAAGGUGCCAUAGGAACCUGACUGAGAGUUCCCAUGCUGGUUGUUGCUGCCAAAGCAGUCAUCAGCAAAUUGUGGGGAGGAUGGUUCAAUUUGCAAUCAGUUUUAGCACAACGGCCAUUGAGGUAUUCUCGACAAACUUCCCCAAGAGAUGCCCCCAUUCCUGGUAAAAUAGCACCACCUGAAGCACCAGAAACAAUGCCUGGGAUCAUACCCAACAAGCCGGGGAAAGCUCCAGAAACAGAUCCUGUGUAGUUUGGCAUGUUGGGCAUUGUUUGAUUUACUAGAUUUGGAUAUGUGGAUGCAGGCGCCACCCCUAGUACAGCUCCAGUAGAAGUACCUGCAUUACAACAAAUUCAACAUCUGCACCAUGAGCGCUAAGAAUGCAAUCAAAAGCUAUGCCCGAAAGUGAAGUCAAACAUCUCAACACUAAGCAAUAACAGAAAUUCUACAGCAAGUUAGAUGGCAGUGGGCAAAAUUAUAUGAAGGUGAAUCACAUCAGGAACUUUUCUCAUUCCAAAUUGUGAGACUUCUUCACAACGAACAAGGUAAAUAAUACUAUUUCAACUACUUGGACAUUAAGAAAUUUACAUUAUAUAGGACAAUCAAAUAGGGUUAACGAAUAUAGAAAAAUCUACAUGACAAGUGAUAGCAAAAGAUACAACUAAAAAUGAAUAGACGUAGCCUUAACAAUGUUACCUGCACUAAAGAACACUGGGAAUGGGCUGCCCAUGAUGGGUUUCCCAUUGCACUCAAUGUUCACCAUAUAGUUCCCUCUCUUGGGCACCACAUAAGUCACCGUGUAAGUCCCAUCUCCCAUAUCCUUCACAAUGCCCUCCUGUUCCGCACCCCCAACACCCACACCUGGCGAAACUUUCACCUUAAUCUGCGCACCUCCAAUCUGCACUUUCCUCCCAUCUGCAUCCUUUGUUACCACCAUAAAGGUGGAUGCUGCGCAUGCUGUGCCACCAGCUAUUCCUGGUCCUGCUGCCAUGCACUUAGCAGGAUCCACAGGUCCAACCGGUUUGUCCACCAAGUCAUUGGUGUCCUCAGACUCACUAUCCGAUGAAGCUGCCACCACCUCCUUGUUACGGCCCUUAUCAACAUCUUUGAAUGUGGCUUCGAAAGCCGCUUUAGCAGCAGCAGCUUUUUCAGCCUCACUUUUCAGCUUGGCCUCUUCAGCUUGUUUCAUCCAUAUAGGCUUUGGAGCAGCUGAGGUCCGAUCCGCCAUCAAAUUUUAAAAAAACCUAAAGAUCUAAAAGUCAAAAAAAUAAAAUUAGCAAUUACCCAAAUUCUAAAAUCUAAAAAUACCAAUUCCACUUCAAUUAUUGGAAAAAAAAAAAGCGAUCUGAUGUACUUCAAUAAUCCUAGAAAACUCCAAAACUAAAAACUAUACCAAUUUCAAUUUGCAAUUCGAAUGCAACCCUAGAAAGAGAACCUACCGAAUAGGUGAAGCAAAACCUUAAAUUCGAAGCUAAAAAGGGAGAGAAAUACGUUAAAAUUAAGCAUUUGAGAUUCCAUUUUUCAUAAUUUGAUAACUUUUGGAGUCCCUUAGGCUAUGUUUGGAUGCAAAGAAAAUUAAGGAAAAUGUAAGAAAAUAUAUAUAAAAAGAAGAAGGAAAGGGGCAUUACCUUAUGCUGCAAUUUUGGGAUCCGACGGCGAAAUCGGGCGGAUAACGAAUAUGUGUACAUAUAUAGGGCUGAAAGCGAUGUGAUGGGGGCAAAAGCGGGAUUUAAUUAUAAACCUUUCGAAUAAACAAAAAAAUUUGGUCAAAUUUUGGCUUGGGUCCGUCUAUUAUGUAAACAUUUGGCUUGAUUAUUUGCUUAUGUAAAAUUAUAAAGUAAAAAUUUAAAAAUGAAAAUAUACUCUAGGUUCUCAUAACUCAUGCAUUGUUUGUAUUGUUAGAUUAAAUAAAUCAUCAAAAACCUAUCAAAUAAAAUAAAAAAUUGAUUCAAUCAGUUUUUAGCCUAGUUCAACUGACCCAUACCAAUUCACAGGUCAACCAGUUUGAUGCCUCUUUAGACCGAUGUUCUAGUCAGUCCAGUCAAAUUUAAACAAUCAUGACUUUAAAUUUCUACACUUUUUAUAUAUGAAAUUUAGUGCAAAUUAUGUUAAAAAUUAAAAUGUAAAAAUUAAAUCUCAAAUUUAAACGUAUCAAAAAUACCAUAACCGAAAAUGAUCCAUUUUUUCAUAAAAUGCAGAAAUAAAAGGAGCUUAUGGGAAUGUGUCAUGUCAACCUUCCUUUAAUAACUGAAUUAACUAACACAUUUAGAUUUAUUGGUUUGAUUAAAUCGAUUUAAGAUCCAAAUAAAUGUUAAGUCAAUCGAUUGUCGAUUAAUGAAUUCUAUAAUCGAAUAGAAUGAUUUAACCAAAUUUAAUUCAUAUUAUUUCUAGUUAUUUUAAAUAUGUAAUAAUAUAUAAUAUAAUUUAAAUUAAUUCAACCUAAUUAUUCGACUAAAAAAAUAAAAGUCAUUUGGGCGAAUAUAAGAUUAAUUUAAUUAGAUCGAUAAGUGAUUGAUUAAUUGAUUAUAUUUAAAGCUGGUGAGUUAAAUCGAUUAAAUUAUAAAAGGUGAUUGAAUUAUACAAAAAAUCUUAAUGACGUGGACAAGCUCUUUUUGUGUGUGUGAAUUAUAAUAACAGAGCAAAACCCGAACAAUAAAUGCAACUAGUGGAAUUCGAACUCAGACCACACCUGAGAUAGUAAACACCCUUGACAAUUAGACCAUCACAUGAGGUCCAAAUAAGCUCUUUUUUAAUUCCUUAUGUUAGCAUAAAUUUUAUUUUGUUGGAAGUGGUGUUUUCAGAAAAAUUUGUCAUUAAGUUAAUUGAAAUAGUUAACGAAUAAUUAUUUAAACUAAUUAAUGAUAUUUUAAAAAUAAAUUGAAUAGAUUAUGCUAAAUUAAAAUCCAAAAUUUAAAUUUUAAAUUUGAGUAUAAUAAAAGGAUAAAAAAUAAAUGAAAGGAGGAUCAAUGGAUUAUUCACGUAAGGAUUAAAAUUUUCAAAAUAGUCAUAUAAAUACUGCUUAAAUAAAAGGCUUCUCAAAUACUGUAUAUCAUGUUUCAAAUUAUAUUUUUUUUCUUUUCAUUUUAAUCAAUAUCUAAUUCAACUAUCACGUGUUUUAUUUUAAACACGUCAACAUUCACCUAAUUUUUACUACAAACCAGGUUAAAAGUUAGUAAAAAGCCCUUUUUUGAACAUUUCUGUCAAAAUCGAACCCUUAUAUGACUAUUUUGAAAGAUUUGGUUUUUAUAUGAGUAAUUCCUAAAAAGUUGAGCCCUAAUUUAAACAUUUAGAUUUUUUUUUUUACCUCAAUUAGGUGGAAAAACUAGGGAUUUUAGUUUCCUUUAAAACGCAAAAUGCCUUUUUUAUCCUAUUAACAUUUGACCUAAGUUAUUUUAUACAAAAAGAAUAUAAUUAAAAAAUUUUAUUAUAACCAAUCAAUUUAUUGAUUAUGUCCAAAUAUAGAGAGAUAAAGAGGUCAUUCUAUUAGAGUUUAUGUCCAAAAAAGAUGAUAUAAUUCGAGUUUAUAAAUACCUCGCAUCAAUUAGAAAUAAAGAAAUAUUUUUACCUUGUUAUGAUCCAUAAAACUAACAACAAGGACUAAAAGGGGUGAAAAGUUAUUGGAGGAGCCUUGGCUCUCAAAAUUUUAGAAAAUUUCUAUUAAACCCUUUGAAAUUCUUUGAAAUUUCAAUUAAAUUCUCAAAUUCAUUAAAAACUUUAAUUAGGUCCUUGAAACGUUUCAAAAAUUUUAAUUAGACCCUUUAAUAUUUUUGAAAAUAUUCAUUAGUCCUCGCAAAAAUAUUAAACCUUAUUAUUUUUGAAAAUUCAUAUUAAAUCCUAAAAUUUUUAAAAUUUUAAGUGAACUCCCAAAAUUUAGUGGCACAUUAUACUACCAAGGACUACUGUGGAUAAAUUAAAAGGUUGGUACCACACUGUGCCUUCUAACUUUUUCAAUAUAUUUAGUCAAAAUACCUAAUUACACUGAAAAAAAAAAAGAUCAUGUUGAAAUGAGGGAUCACUUAUUAGAACUAAGGGGCUUCAAGCACAACAUGAUUCUUAACAAGAAGUUUGAAUUGGUCAAUUAAGAGAGCUAAGGGCAAGUCCCUAACCUCUACAAUCUCUAUGAGGCUUUUAAAGCUUUUAAGGUUUCACGUGUCUGUUUUAUAUUUCAAAAAAAUUAAUCUCUUUAGAGUUCAUGGCUGCUUUUAAUAGUAUUAUUCCACGUUUUUAACUAGAGUUCUUUCACUGAAAGUGUAAUGUACUUAUUGGUAAGAUUACCAUUUUUACUAAAUAGUCUAACGAGACAACUGUAUAUUUUUGGGUAAGUUUGUAACCAUUGCCAUCUUGUAGUUCGAGAUUGGCUCGAUGAUUUGAAAAAUUCAUUGAUUUUACUUUAGACAUGAAUUUUUUUUUUAAGAUUUAAUGAUUUUUCUAGUUUAGUUUUUGUAUUUUUUAGAUUUUCAAAAUUUAAUCCGUUCGUUUGUUUUUACUUUUAAGAAUUUAGUCAUGUAAUUGUCUAAUUUAAAACAUAAAGUGCAUUUAAUAACAUUAUUAAUUGAUGUUUGUUAUAUGUAAUAUAUGGUAAGUUCUUAUUCGGAAAUUAAAGCUGAAUUAAUAAAAGAUAUUCAAAUUUAAUGAAAGCUAAUUAAUUAGGUUAUCAAUUAGACUUUAUUUUUUAAAUCAAAUAAGUAGAAGUUUUAAAUUCUAAAAUUAAAAGUAGAAAAAUUAAAUUUUAAAGCCUCAAAGAGUACAUGAACUAAGAGCAUAAUUAAACUAUUUUUUAAGGGUAAAUUAUCAAGAUAAUUAUUUUUGUUUGUCUCAAGUUACAUUUUAGUCAUUUAUGUUUGAAAUGUUACAUUUUAGUCACUUACAUUAUCAUGUUGUAACAUUUUAGUCACUAAGCCAUUAAUUGUUGUUAACGGUGUAAUAAUAAGUUGACGUGGCACGUUAAAUAAUCGUUUCAAAUAAAAAUUUUAGCUUAAAUUCUACAAUUGGUCCCUAUAUUUUUUUAAUUUUGAGCAAUUUAGUUUUCUUCUUUUAUGUUCUUUUAACUUUCUUUCUUUUUUUCAUUCUCUUCUGUUUCUUCCUCUGUUUUCCUCCCUUCUUCAUUUCUUUUAAUGUAGUUCUUCUAUAUUUUCCAUUUGUUAAAACAAGUUCACAAGCUCGCCUCACUCAGAAAAAGAAAUUGUUCAAAAAAAAACAAAAGUACAGGGACUAGUUUUAACAAAUGGAAUACAUAGUAAACAUACGUUAAAAGAAAUGGAGAAGGGAAAAAAAUAGAGGAAGAAGCAAACGAGAAUGGAAAAUAAAGAAAAAAAACGUUAAAAGAACAUAAAAGAAAAAAAUUAAAUUGCUCCAAACGAAAAAAAUGAGGACCGAUUGUAUAAAUUAACUUAAAAUUUUUGUUUGAAAUGAUGAUUUAACAUGACACGUCAGCUUACCGUUACACCGUUAACGGUAAUUAAUGGCUUAGUAACUAAAAUAUUACAAUGCGAUAACGUAAGUGACUAAAAUGUAACAUUUCAAAUAUAAGUGACUAAAAUGUAACUUGAGGUAAACAAAAGUGACUAUUUCGGUAGUUUAUCCUUUUUUAACAUUAUCUCUUAUUAAAAAAGCUAUUGUUUUUAGAAUCGGACUGAAGCGAUUAGACCAUGAACUAUUCAGGGGUAUCAGACUAGAGUUGAUGGUUGAAUCGUGAUAAAAAAAUCGAUUGAACUGAUUUUUUUUAUUUUUAUUUUUUAUUAAUUUUAAAAUAAUUUAUUAAAUUAAACCAAAAAAAUUAAGCAAACUGAUUGAACUGAAAACUAGUGGCCUGAUUUGUUCUAUCAUCGGUCCCGAUUUUGAAAACAUUGUAAAAAAACAAAAGAAUUAGCAAAAUGAUGAAAAAUGAAGGACUAUAAGUGAAAAAAAGAGAUUAACGCGGGAUUCGGAGGCGAUAUAAAGUAGUAGUUUGUUUCUACAACGAUUGUGUAAACCUAAGUAACGAACUUAGCUUAUUUUACAACUCUUUUUCUCUAUGCAAUUCCUUUUCUUUUCAAAGAAAAGAAUAUAUUUUUCAAGAAAUUCACUAUUUUUAUUUUUUUUUCUCUUCAAAUUCUUGAUUGUUAUUAUGAUAUGAAUCUCUAGUUUUCUCUCUUUUUUUUUUUUUUAAUUUUGCAGUGUGCCAAGAAAAAAAUUGAAUAAAAGGUAUAUAUAAGUUAAAAGAAUCAUGCUUUUUGAAAGUGUUUUUUUUUUUCCAGAAUUGUUUAGUGAUAUUUUGAUUUGAUUUGGGUAUAGGAAUAUCUGGAUUGAAAAUCUUGGCCCUGCGAAAGAAGAUUUAAGUCUCUUUUUUUUUUUUGGUACGAAAGAUGAACGGAAUGUCAAUGGACAAUUUUCGUGGCCUCAUUUUGGCUGUUUCAUCGAGCGUUUUUAUUGGAUCUAGCUUUAUUAUCAAGAAACAGGGUCUUAAGAAAGCUGGAGCAUCGGGACCAAGAGCCGGUUUCUUUCUUUGCUUUCUCUUUGAAUUUUUGUUGAUUUUAAUUUUGUUAAAGUAUUUGAAUUAGAGUCUAAUUUCAAGUGUUUUUUUAAUGGAUAUUUGAAAAUUUUGAUAUUAGGGCAAGGAGGACACUCUUAUUUGUAUGAACCUUGGUGGUGGGCUGGAAUGAUAACCAGUUAGUUCAACAAUCCACUUCUAAUUUUGUUGAUUUCUUAUCAUUUUUGUUUCUUUGUUUUUAAGUUGUGAAUUGUAAUUGAUGAGAAUUAGUUGGAAUGUCGGAAGAAAUGAAGUUUUGAGAUUAAGGAGGUCCUUUGUUUGUAGGAUAAAUUGUUAACGGAUUUGUGAUCAAUAUGACUAUGUUCAGUUUUUUUAUGGUUUUCGAUAUACAUGUAUGGAUAUGGGUGAGACAUGUCUGUCACUGUCGUCCAUUGGUACUUCAAUGAAAGCAAAAGUCGAAAUAAUGUAGACAAUGACAUGCUUUGUAGCUGCCUUUGUUGGAAAUUCGCACCAAUUUUUUUAUAUUCUCUCAAUUAUUCGUGUUCGGUAUUUGUGUUUAACACCCGAAUAGUUGUAUAGAUAUACAUGUAUGAUCAACAAUACUUAAGUUGUAUUAAUGCUAAUAUCCAACACUUUUCUUCAAGUCUAAGUAACAUACAUCUUGUCCUUUCAAGUGAAUAACCAAAUUGAAGGAAAAGAAUCUGUUUGCUUUUAGAUGUGUUUUGAAGUGAUGUAUAAUAGGAGAAUUUUACUUGAACGAUAAUACCAAAUCUGCAAAAAAAUGUUACAAGGCAGAGGGAAAAUUAGCAAUGAAUCUUUCUUCAGUUUUCAAGGAAUUUAUCAUCAAAGCAAAUCUGUAUGCAAUGCCAUAGGGCAGUAGUGUGCCAAAGUAGAUAAUUGUACUAGGUUGUUAUGAUCUUAUUUUACUCAGACUCGGGUGUGAGUGUUGGGUAUGAGAUUGGUAUGUUGAAAAAUUUGAAGCUUUUUUGUGUAUUUGAAGGGUUAUGUCCCUUAUCUUUAUCUAGAUAUGUCUUGGACAAGAUGGUCAAACACACAUGCUUAAAAAAAUGAAGAGUCUGAACAACGUUAGUUAUGGCCUUUAAUACUGCAUGUUUACUUACUGUAGCAUCUUUUUUUCCUUACUGCCAGAUAUAACUGCUUGAGUUAAGUUAAUGUGCUUUAAUUUUAUAGUGAUAAUCGGGGAGAUAGCUAAUUUCGCUGCUUAUGCGUAUGCUCCUGCAAUUCUUGUAACACCAUUGGGAGCCUUAAGUAUUAUUUUCAGGUAUGUAUUAAGUUCCAUUUUUGUUAAAAAUAUGAGAAUCAUUUAACAACCCAGUUGCGUUCAUGCUCAUAUAAGAAAUGGUGUUUAUAAGCUUACAUCUUUUUCUAUGUUGCUCUUACUCGUUUUCUUGAAGGACUCAUGUCUAACAUUUGUGUUCAACACAUUUGGACAAGAUACAGGGAUGUGACCUUCUAGAUACAUUUAAAGAUUUGAAAAAACUUUAAUAGACCCAUGUUGGAUAAUUCUUGCCUCCAACAUUCACACUCAAGUUCGAGUAACAUAGCAUAUUUAUUUAUGAAGGCACGUGGAGAAACAUGUUUGCCAUUGAUGGAUGGGAUUGGCCUGUAGAUUUGACUAAUUUUAUGAAGAAAACAUUAUUAUGCAGUGCAGUGCUAGCACAUUUUAUUUUGAAAGAGAGAUUGCACAUCUUUGGUAUGCUUGGAUGUGCUCUUUGCGUAGUUGGCUCUACAACCAUUGUCUUACAUGCUCCCAAGGAGAGACAUAUUGAAUCUGUGAAACAAGUAUGGCAUCUUGCAACUGAGCCAGGUAUGUAAGAACAUUCCAAUAUAGCUACUUAUUUUUUAAGAUUUACUUUAAAAUAACGUAAGUUGUUUUGAGUUUUUAUUUUUCUUGAAGGAUCUGUGUCCAACACUUAUGUUGAACUAAUAUAUGCAUUUUUGCGUUGACAGGAUUUCUUGUAUACUUUUGGGUUGCUUUGGCUGUGGUAGCAGUGAUUAUUUUUCAUUAUGUUCCACGCUAUGGCCAAACCCAUUUGGUAGUUUAUAUCGGAAUCUGCUCUCUUAUGGGAUCUCUUACGGUUUGUUGAUUACUUUUAAGGCUUCUUCCUCUUUCUCUUUCUCUUCUUCUUCUUUUAUUUUUAUUUUUAUUUAUAUUAUAUUUAUUCUUCAAUUUUUUGAAGAUCUUCAUCUGACACACUUCAGGAUAUCAUUAUGAGGAUAUGAAUCUUCAAAGAUUCUUUAAAUGCAUGAAAAGUUUAGAAAAAAAAUGAAUAUAUCUGUAUCGAAUACAUAUCCAUAUUCAACUUGCAUUCCAAUACAUUUGUUUUAACAACCAUCUUUUCGUUCUCAUAGGUAAUGGGUGUUAAAGCAGUAGGAAUCGCGCUGAAGCUGUCGUUUGGAGGAGUGAAUCAGUUUAAAUACUUCGAAACAUGGAUUUUCACAAUAAUUGUGAUCUUUUGCUGUCUUCUGCAAAUAAAUUACUUGAACAAGGUGAGUGAUGAGACUUAGAUUUCAUUACCCUUUGUCAAUCUGCAUACUUAUGUAUUGGUUUAGUUUGUGUCACUCGAAUUUUGUUUGAAUGUUGAAUACAGGCAUAUUAGACAUGGAGGUUUUUAUUUUUUAACUGUUUUCCAUGUAUUUAAAGGAUUUUAUUCCCAUACACGAGUCUAGAUAUAUAUAUGUAUAUGUGUGUGUGUAUGACAUGAGUAUUUUAAUGAAACUGAAAGUUGAAAUACGUAAAUUAAGUGCUUUACAAGUUUUGGCACUACGAGUAAUUUGGACAUCAACAUUGUUAGUUACUCGUUAUUAAGUCGUUUAUAGGAUAAAAAAGCAUAAAUGUGUUUUUUUUAAAAUAAUUUCUUUCAACCUUAUUUUCUUAAUUUAAUGUGAUGAUUGACUCUAAAUUUAUGUUAUUGUUGUUAUUCUUGAUGGUACUGAAAGCUCAAAAUUUUGCAGGCUUUAGACACCUUUAAUACUGCUGUUGUGUGUCCUGUUUACUAUGUCAUGUUCACAACAUUCACCAUUAUUGCCAGCAUUAUCAUGUUUAAGGUAAGGUUUUUUUUUUUUUUACAGCCUUAAUCCACUUAUAUAUUGGUAGGGAGGGCGAGUGAAUUGAUCUUUUAACCAACAAUAUAUUUUUUUUUUUUUACUUUUGAGCUUAACUCUCCUUCUCAUGGAGAUAUGUUUGACCACUUUCAUGAACAUCACAAACACAUUUUGUUAGUUUAUAUGAAUAAACGUGAGCACAAAUAGACCAAAAAAUAAACCAACUGAUCAAACUUGAUUCCUAUACAAUCCUACUUACAAAAAUCUUGUGUUUUUGUAUAUAAUAAUGCAUUCUUUUCUUUUUUGUUUUCUUGAAGGAUUGGAAUUCACAAGGCGGGACAGAGAUUACAACAGAAUUAUGUGGAUUUAUUACAAUUUUAUCAGGCACAUUUCUCCUUCACAAAACCAAAGAUAUGGGAAAAAGUUCCAGUGGCAGACUCCCUGUUUAUUCAUCUCCUGAAUCAAAUACAGUUGCCGAAUCUAGAUAGUUAGCCCUACAGGUUUGGAAUUCGUAUUUGGAUUCUAAUCCUUAGUUUUCUUGCAUUUAGUUUCGUACAAGAAAGAUAAAAAAAGAAAAAAGAAAAAAAAGAGAAACAAAACUAGAAUUAGGAUGGUUUUUUUUUUUAAUUUGAGGUUUUUGGACAUUUUCUAUGUGAAAAGUUGCUACUAAAAUGUUUAAGAAAUAGGUUUUUCUUAGUUUCCUUCUGUUUUUUUAUUUGUUACUUUUUUUCAUAAUAUGUUUGAGUUUGAUAUUCAAUCAUUAGAAUUAAAAAUCCAAUUGUCUACUAGUAAAUCAAAUAAUUGUUUUUUUUAGUGUUAUUUUUGAGCUCUUAUGUAUUUGUAUUUGACCGUUUAUAGUGUUGACUGGUCAAAAUUAUAGGGUAUAUAAAAAAUAUUAUGGUGUGAAAUUGUUUGAUUUAAAUUAAAAAAUUAAGCAUGUCAAAUUAAAAUUUUGUUAUAGUAUAAUUAAUAUUUGAAAUCAUAAAUAUUUGAAAACUGUUUCAAAGCAAAAUAAUAAAAGAAAUUAUUAUAGUUUUUACAUAAUAUAAAUUUUAGAAUUUUUAUGAAUAUUUUGAUUUUAAAAAUUAUUUUAAUUUUUUUUGUAAUUUUUGUUGAGAGAUUAAUUUGUUAAUUUUUAAAAUUGAUAGGAAUCAAAGGAGUAUAUAUCAAUCUGUUGUUUGAAUUAUUCGAGUUAUUUAAAUUAUAAAAUUCAACUCGAAUCUCGAAUUAUAAAUAUUUUUAAUAAUAUAAAACAUAAAAAAUAUUAAAAUUAAAUAAAAAUUAAAUAAUAAUAUAGAAAUGAAAAUAUUUCUCACGCUCUAAGAAAGUUUGAAAGCUAAAACUUAAAUAUGUUUCUUUCAAAAGUAAAAAAAAAAAAUAUAUUCUAUCAUCAAAAUUUCCACUCAUUGUGUCCAUCAAUCUAGAAUGUGACUUGACUUGUACACAUUGGUUGAACGAUGUUUUUGUACAAUAAAAACUUGGACAUUUGCAAUUGCAUGCAAUGCCAAAGACUUAAGACUUAAAAGGCCUAUAAUAUUUCAUACUAUCAUUUUUUUUUUGGUCCUAAAUUAAGGAUUUUAAAAAUUUCAAAUUAAAACGUUACUCAUAAUAUGAGAACUUAAUGAAAACAUUGUAAAGUUUAGGGGUCAAUUUAAAAUUUGAUGUAUAAUUUUGAGAUGUAGGGUGAAUUAAACAUUUGAUAAAUCAUUACAUAUUUACAAGUUGGAUACUCAUUAACAAAUUGAUUUUAUAUUAUAAGUUAAAAUUUAUAUUUUUGUGCUAAAAAGUCGAUACCUAAAAUAUAUAAUUUAAACUCAAAAUAUCAAUUGAAUUGUCAUCUUUGCUCAUUCUAUGCGUAGUAAUGGUUCUAAUAUGGUUUAAAGUGCUAUGGUUUAGUCUUUUUUAAUGACUUAGAUUUAGACGAUUAUUUUUAUAGAAUAUAGAGUGGGUGAGAAAACUACAGCCUUGACAUUAAUAGGUUAAUAAGAUCGAUAAAAUAUUAAAAUCUUCUCCAAAAUUAAAAUUAACAAAAAAAGACAAAUUAAGUGUGAAUUUAACAACUCAUUUCUAAUACUAACAAUAAAUAAUUUAUGCAUCAUCACUAACAGCUUUAAAUAAUACAUUAUUAUCCCUUGCUGGAAAAGGUUGACCAAAAAGACUUAACCAAAGUGGUGGAACAGUAUUUUGAUGGAGUCUUGAUUUGGCAAAAUGACUUGGAAAUUGCAUGCAAUGCCAAUCACUCAUAAACAUUGUUCUAUGGAAACUACACAUUUGUGUAUAAAUAUGUUGUAUGCCAGACACAUUCCUCCUUCACACCCACCCAACAUGAACACUCUUCAUUCCCUUAUUUCUCCACUCUUUCUCUUGUCAUGCUUCCUUCCUCUUCUCUUGUCCUUUUCAUCUCCUCAAACUCAUUUCCCAAUGCAAUGCCUUGAUGACCAGAGAUCUCCUCUGCUGCAAUUCCAACAUAAUCUUUACUAUGCCCCUAAUUUUACUUUCUCUUCCAAAUUUGAGCUUUGGGAUCCCAACACUGAUUGUUGCUCCUGGAAAGGAGUCACUUGUGAUGCUUAUGGUCAUGUCGUUGGCAUUGAUCUUAGUUACAAAAACCUUUCAGGCAGCUUUCACCCCAUAUUCAAUCUCCAUCGUCUUCAACGCCUUAAUCUUGCUGGAAACAACUUUAAUACCACUCUGUUUUCCUAUGGGUUUGAUAAACUCCAAAAUCUAACUCAUCUCAACCUUUCAAGCUCAUGUUUCCAUGGCCAAAUUCCAAUGAAGAUCUCACAACUGACAAGGUUAGUCUCUCUGAACCUAUCUUUUCAAGAUGAUUGCUAUUGGAGAAAUGGUUACGAUUAUAAUUCAGCUACUUUAAAAUUGGAGAAACCAAACUUCAAGACAUUUAUCAAGAAUUUGAAGUUUCUCAUGGAGCUUUAUUUGGAUGGUGUCGACAUUUCAACUUAAAGUACUAAAUGGUGUGAAACCACAUCUCUUGUACUUCCAAACCUGCAUGUGUUGAGUCUGUCAAGCUGUGGUUUGAAAGGUCCAUUAUGUUCCUCACUCUCAAGACUCUCUUUUCUUUCCAAACUUAUCCUUGAUGGGAACACAAUCUCUUAUUUACCUCCCAAUUUCCAGCAAGCAAUGCUUUACAUAGUUUGUCUCUUUCUUAUACAAAUUUCAGUGGAAAACUACCUGAAUCGAUUGGUAAUCUUAAGUUCCUGACAAAUUUUGAGCUUUAUGAUUGCAAUUUUUUUGGACCCAUUCCAUCGUCAAUUGCAAAUCUUAGUCACCUGGUGAACUUGGAUCUAAGUUCAAACAAGCUUUCUGGAUCAAUACAUUCUUCUUUAUUUACUCUUCCAUCGUUGAAGAUCUUGUAUCUUGAAGAGAAUCAAUUGGUUGGGAAAAUUGAUGAGUUCCCCAAUGCAUCUUCUUCUUUGAUUCAAGUAUUAUAUAUAGGCAAGAAUUAUUUAACAGGACCAAUCCCGAAGUCAAUCCUUCAACUUCCAAGGCUUGAAGGGCUUUAUAUCGGAGACAAUAGCUUCAGUUCCAUGAAGCUUGACAUGUUUGUCCAACUCAAGAACUUAAAGGGUCUCGACUUAUCCAACGUAAGCUUGUUAAUUGACAGCGACAACAGAAGUCUUACUUUUCCCCAAUUACAGAGCCUAGGGCUAAGCUCAUGCAACCUUACUGAAUUUCCAGAAUUCAUUAAAAGGCAAGACAAGUUGGUUGACUUAGAUCUUUCUAACAAUCAUAUCCAUGGUGUUGUGCCUAAUUGGUUGUGGAAGAGCAGCCUUUCAAGGGUAAACCUUUCUUUCAAUGUGAUUGAUUUUCCAAAACAGCUUCCCUUAAGUGAUGCAAACUUCUCUUUCCCAAUGUUGAUGGAAUUUUAUCUGGAAUCUUGUAACAUAAGCUCAUUUCCAGAGUUCUUAAAGAGUCAAAAAAAUUUAGAAGAAUUCGACGCAUCUUCUAACAAUUUGAGUGGCCCAAUUCCAAAUUGGUUAUGUAAUAUGAGUCAACUUUACAGUUUCGAUGCAUCUUAUAAUAAUUUGAGUGGCUCAAUUCCAAAUUGCUUGGACAAUAUGAGUCAACUUGUCAGUUUCGAUGUAUCUUAUAACAAUUUGAGUGGCCCAAUUCCCAAUUGCUUCGGCAAAAUGAAUGCUCUCUUUUUCUUGAAUCUGCAAGGAAAUAACUUCAGUGGAAUGUUACCAAAAUUUUCAAAAGCAACCCAACUAAACUUUCUCAAAGUUAGUGAGAAUAGAUUGGAAGGGAAGUUGCCCAGAUCACUAGCGGAAUGCACUCAGCUUGUAGUUUUGGACGUGGGAAAAAACAUGAUGAAUGAUACUUUCCCUUUUUGGUUGGGGAAAUUGCCUGCGCUAGAGGUUCUCAUUUUGCGGGAAAACAAAUUUUAUGGUCAAAUUAAACAUUUCAAACAUAAAUUUGUUUUCCCAACUUUGGAUGUGUUGGACAUUGCUUCAAAUCAGUUUUCUGGUGAACUAUCUAUUGAUUUCCUUCGAGCCACUCGACUAAGGUCACUCAAAACAGGUGGGAAUAAAUUGAAAGGGAAGCUGUCGAGAUCAUUAGCCAAUUGCACAGCACUUGAGGUUCUGGACCUUGGAAAUAAUAUGGUUCAUGAUACAUUCCCAUUUUGGUUAGAGAAGCUGCCUUCCUUGAAGGUUCUUGUUUUGCGAGCAAACAGAUUCUACGGCACAAUUACAAAAUUUGACACGAAACAUGGGUUUCCAAAGCUACGCAUAUUGGACAUUGCUUCCAACAAAUUUUCAGGUGACUUGUCCAUUGAAUUUUUGCAAAGUUUGAAGGCAAUGGCGAAGAUGACUAAUGACGAAAAGGCUAAGCUGGAUUAUAUCGGAGAGAAUUAUUAUCAAGACUCUGUGACAAUUGUUAACAAAGGGAUUGAAAUGUUGUACCAAAAAGUCUUGACAAUUCUUACUUGUCUUGACCUUUCCAACAAUAGUUUCCAUGGGAGAAUACCAGAAGAGAUACAAAUGCUGAGGUCACUCAGAGUGAUGAACUUAUCCAACAAUGGCUUUUCUGAUGAAAUCCCAUUAGCAUUUGAAAAUCUAAAAGAUAUUGAAUCUUUGGAUCUCUCACAGAAUGAGCUUUCAGGGAAGAUUCCUGCACAACUUACAAGUUUAACUUUCUUAGCGGCAUUGAACUUGUCUUACAACCAACUCGAAGGGAGCAUACCAUAAAGCAACCAAUUCAUUACAUUUACAAAUGAUUCCUACCGUGGGAACCCAAAAUUGUGUGGGCUGCCAUUGUCAAGGAAAUGCAAUGAAGUCGGUCUUCCAGUGGCACCACCUCCACGGGGAGAUGAAGAAUCAUGGUUAUAUGCUAUGUCUACUUGGAAAAUUGCGUUGAUAGGUUAUGCUAGUGGAUUAGUCGUUGGGCUAUGUAUCGGAUAUACAGUGCUGAAUGAGUUGGGAAACAAAUGGGUUGACAAGUUCAAAAAGUGUGGGAAAAGAAAUAGAAGAAGAUGUAGGUGACUCCAUCAGAAUUCUUGCUUCAAAAUUAGGUGCUAAGCAUUUGUCUUCCUAAUUUGAAUAGAUAGUUGUUGAUAUAUAUAUAUAUAUAUAUAGGUUUUCAUAACCUCAUUUUUUGCUGUCUUUACCAAGUUCACUAUCAUAUCGUGUAGUCUUCCAUGAGUACAAAUAAGUGUUCAUUCAUUUUGGAUCCAGGUCCAUGUGGAUUUGGGGGAUGCAAUGUUUCACUGCUACUGAAUUUCCAUGCUAAUAAUGAUAUUAUAAACAAGGAAAUGGCUGGCCAAGCUUUCUUUUAUAUGCAAUUUACUUUUUCUUCAAUUUUUUUAUCUUCAGAAUAUUUGUACAGCUGAGGAGAUUUGAUGGCAUGAUGUUGAUGAAAGCCAUAUCUGAUGGAUAUUGGACUGAUUGUGUAAAGAGACGCAGAUGCUACUACUCCCAUCCUUAGCUCUUCCAAACAGACAUCAGGUUUAUAUUUUAUGAAUCACGUGUUGGGCUUUAGGACCGGGUGUAAAGGGUGGACCUGUUGGUCCGGGUUUUAGUUCAGUCGGACACUUAUUUUUAUACUAGUUUAUUUAUCCUUUCAAUGAUAGUUUUAUUAAUUUCAAAAAACUUUUGAAAUUGAAAUUAAUUUUUUCAAAGAAUAGAAAAAUUGUUAAUAAUAUAAGACAUCUCGUCAGUCUCAUUUGUCUUUGAUAAUUUCAAUUAAAUCUAAAGAAAUUUUAAUGUGAAAAUAUGUUUCUUUCAAAGAAAUUACCAAGAAGAGAAAAACUGUAAACAUUGUAUCAUCAAAAUUUCCACUACUGAUGCCCAUCAAUCCAUCUCAACUACCUAAGAAACUUGCUAAACAUUGUUUUCAUGGGGUAAAAAAAGAUUUAGACAUUUGCAUGCAGUGCCAAAAGGCUAAGAAUAAGUCCAAUAAUAUCUCAUUCCAUAAUUCUCUAUUGAUCCAUACACUUUAAGUUCAUUAAUGAAAAGUCAUCAAAGUAGUGAGAAAAUUUAGUCUUUGAGCCAUCACUCUCUCUCAGUCAGCUAAAAAAUAUCACCACAAUUCCAUUUUUUUUAAUUAAUUGACUAAAAUAAAAUUAGUGGUACAACAUUAUUUUCAUGCAGUAGUGAUCGGGCUUAGUCCAAAAUUAAAAAUAAUGUAUGGAAAGUAUGGAAACAAUCCUCCUUCACAGCCACCAAACAUGAAAGCCAUACCUGAUGGACAUUGUACUGGAAAGAGACACAGCUGCUGCUUCUACUCCCAUCUUUUGCUGGCACAUUGGGUUUUUAUUUUAUCAAACACAUGUUGGGUUUUAGUACAGCCUCGCACUUAUUUUGUACCAAUCUGUUUCGCAGAAAUUGUGUGGUCAUCAUAAUUGUCACUCCAUAUUCCCAUCAAUCCAUCUCAACCAGCUAACACAAAAGCUUUAUUUUUGUGUAUAUAAUGACUUGACUUAAACAAAGUGGUAAACCAUUGUUUUCAUAUAGUAAGGAUCGUACUUGUAGCGUUGACCUUCAUUUUCAGAUUCUAUUGUAAUUUUAUGCUAACAUUUAGGAAUGCAGGACAUGGAAUGUCCAGUCAGGAGGUACGUUAUGUUUGAAGAAAAUGGUAAUAGUUUCUUAUGACUGUGACAUGCCAAUUCUGCCCGGCCCACAAAUUAAACCCAAAUAAAUAAAAAUCUAAUAUAAGUCCAAGUCCAUUACAGAAAAAAAAUCAGACCCAAAUUUACAAGGCCUUAAAGCCAAAAAAUUUUAAAAAAGUCUAUGAUCAUAAAUCUUAACAAAAGAAUGAUUUUACUAUAAAAAAAAUUUCAGGAUUAUAGGACUUUAUCAUCAAUGUAACUAUUUUUAAUGUGGUUAUAGGAGAGGGUGUGGCUGAAUUAUCAUUAGCUAAUCAUGGUCAAGCCAUAGUUGCAGAAAUGGGACCUGAAUAAUGUGCAACCAUGGGUUGUCUUUCCUGUGGAUCAUACAGCCUUGCAAUUCCUUAAUUUAACCAGCAGGAGUGGUGACACAGUUCAUUCUCUGCGUGGUGAUGACUCCAACAAGGUUUUAUGUUAUUAUUGCUACUAUUUUGUCUUUUUAAUAAUUUAGAUAUAAGAAAAUUUUCAUAUAUAUAUAGAAAAAGGAUGAGACAGAAAGACUAAAAUAUUGGCAUCAAUAAGAACACUAAGACCAAUAAAAUCUCAUAUUUCAAAAUUAGAAUUGAAAAAAAAAUAUAUAAAAAAUUGAAGAUGCAAAAGUAAAUUAAGUGUGAAUUGAAAACCUUAAUGCUAAGACUAAGAAUAAAUAAUUCAUCCAUUAAGACUAAUAGCUUCAUCAUCAUUCUUUGCUGUGAUAUGACUCUGGCUUGAAUUUAAAGAAGCAAAUAUGAAGUACUCAUAAUGCGAGAGAAAAUUACUUAGCUAAGAGAAGAAAUCAUUUACUUUAACCAAACUAUCCCCGGUAGAAAUAAAAGCCAAACGAAUUAAAUUCAUUCAAAACAAAAAUUGUAGGGAUUAGUUUUAUAAUUUUACUUAAAUUUUCAUUUCAACAGCAGGACGUGGGUUUGAGUACGUUGAAGUGCAUUAUCCUCCUAUUUAUGGGUUGGAGAGAGACUAUGCGUAAUUUUAGGCAUUGUAUCAAAAUAACAGAUUUAAUCAUAACCUAUAAUGUGAAAAGUUGCUACUAAAAAGUUUAAAAAAUAGAAUUUUUAGUUUCCUUUUGUUUAUUUAUUACUAUUUUUCAUAAUAUCUUUUAUGUAUAUUUAAAGUGUUUUGGGUUUGAUUUUUAAUCAUUAUAAUCAAAAACCCAGUUUUGUACUAAUAAAUCACGCCAUUGUUAAUUUUUAGUGUUAUUUUUGAGGUAUUAUAUAUUUGUAUUUGACCUAUGUUUAUAACGGUGAUCAGACCCGUUUUUGAUAUUUUUGAGACCCUAGGCGAAAUAAUAAAUCAGGGUCUUGUUUAAAAAAUUAUUAAAUGUAAUACAAAAAAAAUAAAAAAAUGAGCCCUUUUUAUUUUAUAUUUUUUCUGCCUGUUAUAAAUCAAAAGACUAAAAAAGUUAAAAAAAAUUUUCACUUUAAAAAUUAAAAAAAAGAAACUUUUUGAGCUCUAGACGGCUACAAUCUGAAACUACCCUAAAGUCGGGCCGACUCCAACAAAUUCUAAUCAAAUCUCAAGCUCCAAAAUUGGAAUUAACAAAUGGAAAAACAAAAAGACAUUGGUAAAGCAAAAUAAGUGUGAAACAUGAAGAAAUUGAUAUGAAGACUAAGAAGAGAGUAUGAAAAAUUUGAAAAUUGUAAAUUAGGAUGACUUUAAAAUAUGGGGAAGAUUCAUGGGUUUGAAAUCAAUGAUUUUGCAGUUAAUUUCUCUUUGUUGAUUUGGUGGAUGUUUCCCACUACUUUUGCUUUUAAUGGUUCCCAUUAUAUACUUGGAAAUUGGAAUUACUUUUGCCACUCAUUUCUCAUGUUUGUUUGGCCAAUAAAAGAUUAUUUGCAUAAAGAUUAUUUUGAAUUUUUUGAAAAUUAUUUUAAAUUAGAUUGUAAUUUGUGUUGAGAGAGAUCAAUUUGUUAAAUUUUAAAAUUAACAGGGACCAAAGGAGCAUGUACACCAAUUUAUUGUUUGAAUUAUUUGAGUUAUUUAAAUUAUAAAAUUCAACUCGAAACUUAAAUUAUAAAUAUUUUUAAUAUUAUAAAACAUAAAAACAUUAAAAUUAAAUAAUAAUAUAGAAAUGGAAUUUUUUUCUCCAAAUUUCUCAUCCAAAUACAGUCUAAGAAAGCUUGAAAGCUGAAAUUUAAAAAUAUUAUUAUCUUAACUCGAUUUAAAAUUUUUUUGAGUCAAGUCGAGUGCAAAGAAAUUAGAGUUGAAUUGAAUCAAGUGAAAUUGUUUGAGUUAAACUAAAAAUUUUAAUAUGUCAAAUUGAAAUAUUUUUAUGGUAUUAAUUUUAUGUUAGAGCCCAUAAAUUUGAAACCAUAUAUAUAUUUGAAAACUUUUGUUGAGAGAGAUCAAUUUGUUAAUUUUUAAAAUUGACAGGGACCAAAGGGGCAUGUACACCAAUUUAUUGUUUGAAGUAUUCGAGUUACUCAAAUUGUAAAAUUCAACUCUAAACUUGAAUUAUAAAAAUAUUUAAUACUAUAAAACAUAAAAAAUACUAAAAUUAAAUAAUACUAUAAAAAUGAAUUUUUUUCUUCAAAUUUCUCAUCCAAAUAUAGUCUAGAAAAGUUUUAAAGAUGAAAUUUAAAUAUGUUUGUUUCAAAAGUGGAAAAUUCUAUAUAUUGUAUCAUCAAAAUUUUCACUUAUUGUGUCCAUCAAUCCAGUUAAGACUUAACUUGUACACAUUUCUUUGAUAAAUUAUAACAUAUUUACAAAUUCGAUACUCAUUAACAAAUUGAUAUUAUAUUUUAAGUUAAAUUAUUUUAAAUUAUUUUGUAAUUUUUGUUGAGAGAGAUCAAUUAAUUUUUAAAAUUAACAGGGACUAAAGGAGAAUGUACAUCAAUUUGUUGUUUGAAUUAUUGGAGUUUUUCAUUAUGAAAUUCAACUCGAAGCUCGAAUUGUAAACAUUUUUAAUAAAUAUAAAACAUAAAAAAUAUUAAAAUUAAAUAAUAAUUAAAUAAUAAUAUAGAAAUGAAAAUAUUUCUCCAAAUUUCUCACCCAUAUACGCUCUAAGGAAGUUUUAAAGCUGAAAUUUAAAUAUGUUUCUUUCAAAAGUGAAAAUUCUCUAUAUUUUAUUAUAAAAAAUUUCACUCAUUGUGUCCAUCAAUCUAUAAUGUGACUUGACUCGUACACAAUGGUUGAACAUUGUUUUUGUGCAAUAAAAACUUAGGCAUUUGCAUGCAAUGCUAAAGACCUAAGAAUUAAAAGUCCUAUAAUAUUUCUAACUAUCAUUUUUUCUGGUUCAAAAUUAAAAGUAUUAAAAAUUUCAAAUUAAAACGUUAUGAAUUUAAUUAGAACAUCAUGAAGUUUAGGGAUCAAUUUAAAAUUCUAUGUAUAAUUUUGAGAUGUAAUGUGAAUUAACCCUUUGAUAAAUCAUAACAUAUUUACAAGUUGGAUACUCAUUAGCAAAUUGAUUUUAUAUUAUAAAUUAAAUUUUAUUUUUUUGGUGAUAUAACAAAAUUUACUUAAAAAAUUAAAUGAUGUAGAAAUAAUUAUAUAUAAAAUAAAAAAUGAUAAAAUAUACCUGAGUUUAAAAUAAUUAAAACUAAAAUAUUUGCAACAUCGAUUUUUAUUCCUAAAAAGUUCAUACCUAAAAUAUAUAAUUUAAACUUAAAAUAUCAGUUGAAUUAUUAUCUUUGUUCAUUCUAUGCGUAAAAAUAGUUUUAAUAGAAUUUAAAGUACAUUAUUAUUGCUAUAAUUUUGUCUUUUUAAUGACUUCGAUUUAGUAAAGAGUGGGCAAGACAACUAAAACCUUGGCAUUAAUAAGAAAAAUGAGAUGAAUAAAAUAUUAAAAUCUCAUUCUUCAAAAUUAAAAUUAACAAAAAAAAGAAAGACUAAGUGUGAAUUUAGCAACUUAAUUCUAAUACUAACAAUAAAUAAUUUAUGCAUCAUGACUAACAGCUUUAAAUAAUAAAUUAUUAUCCCUUGCUUUAAUAUGUUGGAAAAAAUUGACCAAAAAGACUUAACUAAAGUAGUGGAACAUUCUUUUGAUGCAGUAUUGAUUGGGCAAAAAGACUUGGAAAUUGCAUGCUAUGCCAAACAUGAAAACUACACAUUUGUGUAUAAAUAAGUUGUAUGCCAAACAAAAUCCUCCUUCACACCCACCCAACAUGAACACUCUUCAUUCCCUUUUUUCUUCACUCUUUCUCUUCUCAUGCUUCCUUCCUCUUCUCUCGUCUUUUUCACCUCCUCAAACUCAUCUCCCAAUGCAAUGCCUUGAUGACCGGAGAUCUCCUCUGCUGCAAUUGCAACAUCAUCUUUACUAUGCCCCCCAUUUUACUUUCUCUUCAAAAUUUGACCUCUGGGAUGUCAACACUGAUUGUUGUUCUUGGGAAGGAGUCACUUGUGAUGCUUAUGGUCAUGUCGUUGGCAUUGAUCUUAGUUACAAAAACCUUUCAGGCAGCUUCCACUCCAUAUUCGAUCUCCAUCAUCUUCAACACCUUAAUCUUGCUGGAAACAACUUUAAUGCCACUCUGUUUUCCCAUGGGUUUGAUAAACUCCAAAAUCUAACUCAUCUCAACCUUUCACGCUCAUGUUUCCAUGGCCAAAUUCCAAUGAACAUCUCACACCUAAAAAGGUUAGUCUCUCUGAACCUAUCUUAUCAAGAUGAUUGCUAUUGGAGAAAUGGUUACAAUUAUAAUUCAGCUACUUUAAAAUUGGAGAAACCAAACUUCAAGACAUUUAUCAAGAAUUUGAAGUUCCUCACGGAGCUUUAUUUGGAUGGUGUCGACAUUUCAACUCAAGGUACUAAAUGGUGUGAAACCACAUAUCUUGUACUUCCAAACCUGCAUGUGUUGAGUCUGUCAAGCUGUAGUUUGAAAGGUCCAUUAUGUUCUUCACUCUCAAGACUCUCCUUUCUUUCCAAACUUAUCCUUGAUUGGAACCCAAUCUCUUAUUUACCUCCCAAUUUCUUGGAAAUUUCCUCUCGUUUGGUUUCUCUCAGUUUGAGGAACUGCAAUUUGAGUGGCCAUUUUCCAACCGAAAUUCUCUUAUUGCCAAAAAUUCAAAGCAUUGACAUUUCAUUUAAUCCUCAACUUAUGGGUCAGUUGCCAGAAUUUCCAGCAAACAAUGCUUUACAGAGUUUGUCACUUUAUGACACAAAUUUCAGUGGAAAACUACCUGAAUCGAUUGGUAAUCUUAAGUUCCUGACAAAUUUAGAGCUUUCUUAUUGCAAUUUUUUUGGACCCAUUCCAUCGUCAAUUGCAAAUCUUAGUCACCUGGUGAACUUGGAUCUAAGUUCAAACAAGCUUUCUGGAUCAAUACAUUCUUCUUUAUUUACUCUUCCAUCGUUGAGGAUCUUGUAUCUUGGAGAAAAUCAAUUGGUUGGGAAAAUUGAUGAGUUCCCCAAUGUAUCUUCUUCUUUGAUUCAAGAAUUAUAUAUAGGCAAUAAUUAUUUAAAAGGAACAAUCCCAAAGUCAAUCCUUCUACUUCCAAGGCUUGAAUGGCUUUAUAUCGAAAGCAAUAACUUCAGUUCCAUGAAGCUUGACAUGUUUGUCCAACUUAAGAACUUAAAGGGUCUCGAAUUAUCCAACGUAAGCUUGUUAAUUGAAAGCGACAACAGAAGUCUUACUUUUCCCCAAUUAGAGAGCCUAAGGCUAAGGUCAUGCAACCUUACUGAAUUUCCAGAAUUCAUUAAAAGGCAAGACAAGUUGUUUGACUUAGAUCUUUCUAACAAUCAUAUCCAUGGUGUUGUGCCUAAUUGGUUGUGGAAGAGCAGUCUUUCAUCCUUACACCUUUCUUUCAAUGUGAUUGAUUUUCCAAAACAGCUUCCCUUAAAUGAUGCAAACUUCUCAUUUCCAAUGUUGACAGAAUUGUAUUUGAGAUCCUGUAACAUAAGUGCGUUUUUAGAGUUCUUAAAGAGUCAAGAAAAUUUAGAAGAACUCGACCUUUCAAAUAAUAAAAUAAGUGGUGCAAUACCAAACCGGGUGUGGAAGAAAAGUUUGCGGUAUCUGUUUCUUGCUAAUAACCAUCUCUCAUCUUUGGACCAACUUUUACCCAAUCAGAGUUCAACUUCUUCACAAACCUCCUUGACUAGACCUAUUUGCAAUUUGAGUCAACUUAGAAAUUUCAAUGCAUCUCAUAACAAUUUGAGCGGCACGAUUCCAAAUUGGUUAGGCAAAAUGACUGAUCUCUAUUUGUUGGAUCUGCAAGGAAAUAACUUCAGUAGAAUGUUACCAAAAUUUUCAAAAGCAACGUAACUACAAAUUCUCAAAAUUAGUGAGAAUAUAUUGGAAGGGAAGUUUCCCCGAUCAUUAGCUGAAUGCACUCAGCUUGAAGUUUUGGACGUGGGAAACAACAAGAUGAAUGAUACAUUCCCUUUUUGGUUGGAGAAAUUGCCUUACUUGACGGUUCUAAUAUUGCGGGAAAACAGAUUUUAUGGUCAAAUUAAACAUUUCAAACAUAAAUCUGUUUUCCCAACUUUGGAUGUAUUGGACAUUGCUUCAAACCAGGUUUCUGGUGAACUAUCCAUUGAUUUCCUUCAACCCACUCGACUAAGGUCACUCAAAAUAGGUGGGAAUAAAUUGGAAGGGAAGCUGUCGAGAUCAUUAGCGAAUUGCACAGCACUUGAGGUUCUGGACCUUGGAAAUAAUUUUGCACAGAUUCUAUGGCACAAUUUCAAAAAUCGACACGGAACGUGGGUUUCCAAAGCUACGCAUAUUGGACAUUGCUUCCAACAAUUUUUCAGGUGACUUGUCCAUUGAAUUUUUGCAAAGUUUGAAGGCAAUGGCGAAGAUGACUAAUGACGAAAAGGCUAAGCUGGAUUAUAUCGGAGAGAAUUAUUAUCAAGACUCUGUGACAAUUGUUAACAAAGGGAUUGAAAUGUUCUACCAAAAGGUCUUGACAAUUCUUACUUGUCUUGACCUUUCCAGCAAUAGUUUACAUGGGAGAAUACCAGAAGAGAUACAAAUGCUGAGGUCACUCAGAGUGAUGAACUUAUCCAACAAUGGCUUUUCUGGUGAAAUCCCAUUAGCACUUGAAAAUCUAAAAGAUCUUGAAUCUUUGGAUCUCUCACAGAAUGAGCUGUCAGGGAAGAUUCCUGCACAACUUACAAGUUUAACUUUCUUAGCGGCAUUGAACUUAUCAUACAACCAACUUGAAGGGAGCAUACCACAAAGCAACCAAUUCAUUACAUUUACAAAUGAUUCCUACCGUGGGAACCCGAAAUUGUGUGGGUUACCAUUGUCCACUAAAUGCAAUGAGGUUGGUUUUCCAAUGCCACCAGCUCCAGGGGAAGAUGAAGAUUCAUGGUUAUAUGCUCUGUCUACUUGAAAAAUUGCGUUGAUAGGUUAUGCUAGUGGAUUAUUCGUUGGGCUAUGUAUUGGAUAUACAGUGCUGAAUGAGUUGGGAAACAAAUGGGUUUACAAGUUCAGUAAGUGUGGGAAAAGAAAUAGAAGAAGAUGUAGGUGACUCCAUUAGAAUUCUUACUUCAAAAUUAGCUGGUAAGCAUUUGUCUUUCUAAUUUGAACAGGUAGUUGUUGAUAUAUAUAUAUAUAUAGGUUUUCAUAACCUCAUUUUUUUGCUGUCUUUACCAAGUUCACUAUCUUAUGGUACUUGUAAUUUUAUGUUUCCAUUGAGCAAUGCAGGAGGUACUUGAAGCAGGGCAUGGAAUGUACAGUUGUGAGGCUCAUGAAGAAUGUAGGGCAAUGAUCCUAACAAGAUCAAUCCACUGGUUUGUAAUUUUGCUUUAUAUGCACUUUUUUCCUUUUGUAGUUUUCCAUGAGUAUAAAUAAGUGUUUAUUCAUUUUGCAUCCGGGUCCCUGUGGAUUUGGGGGAUGCAAUGUUUCACUGCUACUCAAUUUCCUUGUUUAUAACCAUGCUAAUAAUGAUAUUAUAAACAAGGAAAUGGCUGCCCAAGCUUUGUUUUAUAUGCAAUUUACUUUUACUCUAAUUGUUUUAUCUUCAGAAUAUUUGUACAGCUGAGGAGAUUUGAUGGCAUGAUGUUGAUGAAAGCCUUAUCUAUAGACAUUGGACUGAUUGUGUAAAGAGAAGCAGAUGCUGCUACUCCCAUCCUUUGCUCUUCCAAACAGACAUUAGCUUUAUAAUUGAUCAAUCACGUGCUGGGCUUUAGGAUCGAGUGUAAAGGGUGGACCAAUUAGUCUGGGUUUUAGUUCUGCCCGACACUUAUUUUUAUACUAGUUUAUUUUUCCUUUCAAUGUUAGUUUUAUUAAUUUAAAAAAUAUAGUUGAAUUAAGUAAUAAUAUGAUAAAAUAAUAAAAAUAAUUAAUUGAAUGAAAUAAAUUAUGUCUUAAAAUCUAGUAUGCUUUCCAAUGUUAGCCAAAGGCCAACAAUAUCUCACACUAAUAUUUUAUUUGUUAGUCCAAAAUUAAAAAUUUCAAAUUAGAAUGUUAUUUAUAGUUUAAGGACUUAAUUAAAUUUUUAAAAAAAAUUUAAAGAUCAAUUUAAAAUUUAAUCUAUAAUUUAAGGAAUUAACCCUUUGGUAAAUCCUAACAUAUUCAUAAGUUCCAUACUCAUUAAUAAAUUUGUACUAAAAAUGCUGAUUUGGAUGUAUACAAAAGUCAAUUAUGAUAAAAAUGAAAAUAUAUGAAAGAAAUGAUGGCUUAUAAUGUGGUGUGCUUUAAUUGGAUUUAAAUUUUUCCAAGAGGAAAAUAGUUGAAAAUCAGGAGCAAGAAUCUGAUUUGUUAUUCUUCUAUUAGAAAGGGAUAAAGAUGACAUAAAAUCACAGUUUCAUACAAUCUAUUCUCUUUAUUCAAAUAUUUAUUUGCAAGAAAUAAAAAUUAUAUGUUGUUUAAUCUAAUAGUGUUUUAAUUGGUUUGAUAAACUUUGAAAAAAAAUUUUGAAAUUGAAAUUAAUUUUUUCAAAGAAUUGAAAAAUUCUUAAUUAUAUAAGACAUCUCGUCAGUGUCAUUUGUCUUUGAUAAUUUCAAUUAAAUCUAAAGAAAUUUUAAUGUGGAAAUAUGUUAAGAAAUUGCUAAGAAGAAGAAAACUGUAAACAUUAUAUCAUCAAAAUUUCCAUUACUUGUGCCCAUCAAUCCAUCUCAACUACCUAAAAAACUUGCUAAACAUUGUUUUCAUGGGUAAAAAAGAUUUAGGCAUUUGCAUGCAGUGUUAAAAGGCUAAGACUAAGGGCUCCUUUGGAUGCCAACGCACAACAGUGCCUUGAAUUUUUUCUCCUUUAUUAUCUAUCUCACUGCACUGGACUGAACUCUGGACAGCCUUUGGAUGUGUUGGCUUCCAGCACAGUGAAGAAUUUCUACUACACUGGACAGCCUUAAGUUGACUUUAGCAACUUCUUUUCCUCUUUUACCCAUAUAUUCUUCGGUUGCAUUCUUCAGGUUUUUUUUUAUGUUUGGUUACCCUUCUUCUCCCCUUUCCCCUUCACUUUCCCCUUCCCCUUGGGUUGCAAAUCAGUUUGGUCAAGCACCUCUUCCGAUUCCUCCUUCAUCCAGGUAAGGCUCCUUCUCCUUCUUCCGUUCUUCAUUCCUUUUUCAGAUCGUUGAAAUCAAGGAGAAAUCCGAAGACCUACAUGCUCUAAUAAGGUAUUCCAUUAAAAACUAAUAGCUUUUAUUUAUCAAUUUUUAAAUGUGCAUGCAUAUAAUUAUUUGAAGAAAAAAAUCGUUCGUUGUGGAAAUUCUUAUAUGAGGUUUUUUUUCUUCUACUGAAUUUCUAGGUUUUGUUGGAAUCCUUGAAAAAUAUAUAUUUCGUUGUCAGAUCGUGAUGACAUUGACUAGAUUGGUUGUCUUUGGAUUACAUUAAUGACCUUUCGAUUGCAAAAAGAAGUGUUGGGUCGAUCUUGCUUUUGACCAAUGAUGAGGGUUUAGUGAAUAUCAGAAUUAUGGAAUCAAUUUAUGUUUUUUUUAUAAUUUUAAUUGUUUGCAAUGAUAAUUGUUCAAGUGGAAAAUAGUAUUUAUUUUCAGCUUUGUGGUGGGUGGUUGUACUUAAGAUUGAGAAUGAAAUUAUCGAAUUAUAGUCAAUUGAAAUCCGCUGUGCCUUUUUUUAAUAUCAUGGUAAUCAUUUCAUUUUUUUUUCUGUAUGUGAUAUAAUGUAAGCUUCAACAUUUGUUCAAUCCAAUAGCAGUUUGUUCAAAAUAGGAACAUGAAACAUUCUCUUGUUUUUAGUGACUUCUGGGCCUUCUUCAUUCUUCUUAGUGGUUCCUUGGUUGCUUCAUAUGGUUCUCUCUCCCUGUCUACAUUUGGUUUGACUAUUCAAAACAUUCUAAUGGGAUUUUCAGAAAACUUAAGUGGGUUCUUUUUCUUUUUAUUGCUGCAUAUGGGCCUUUAUAUGAUUUUACUGCUUACACAGAGGUAAAACAGUUUGAGAAUAGAUCAUUUAUCUAUUGACUAUAUCAUGAAUAUGUAGUCUGAAGUUAUUUGAUUCACCGCAAUGUCCAUAAUAAUUGUUGAUGAUGUUGUUGGUUUGCAGUGUAAAGCACAGCCAGAGGAGACACUGUACCAAGGAGGGAUUCUGAAAGAUGAGCCUCCCAUUAUGAGACCUGCCAUUUUUGGCGAAACUGCAACUGGUUUUUACACUCCAGGUUUUCUCUUGAAGAAUCUCACGGUGGGCAAUUUUUACUGUUUCUACAGUUAAGUUCUCCAUCCAUAUGAAUUUCGGAUACAAAUAUUAAAACACAAAUACUUUAAAAAAAGAAUAAACAAGUUCAUCGACAUAGGUGAACCCUUAAUGUACCUGUUACUGACUUACUGGCAUGUCACACUGUAUCACCCGUGGCCCAACAAGUGGCAAUGUUUAUGGUUUGGGUUUAUCAAAUAAAGUGGCAACCGACAUAUGCAAAUGCUAGAUAUGGCCCCAAUUCAGGAACAUCCCCCUAUUGUAGAGGCAAUUGACAUUUUAACAUAGACAAAAACUUUUACUAUGAAUAUCAGACAAAUUAUAUUUUGAAACAUUACAGGAUUGGCUUACUCUGUUUGGUGCAAUUACUGCUUGGAUCAAAAUACAAAGUGCAAAUUCAGCUCUCAUUAGGGCAAGCUUGAAGACAGAAAACAGAACAUAUAAUUGUAUAGGGACUGUUUUGGCUAAGAAUGGUUGCUGGUCAUUUCUCAAAGGUGGAUUUGUUCUUGAUUCACCUUCAAAUUUAGCUUUACUGCUAUUCCAGGUGAACCUGUUUUCAAAUCAAUAUAAAUUUAGGCUUUUAUAUGUGAAAACAAUUGAGCAUUAGAUUAUUAAUGCUGUCACUAAUUUUUGCUUCUAAGAACCCUUUUUUUUUCUAAUGUCCUGGAUAUGCAGAACUCAGAUGAUAAAGACAUUGAUAUAACAAUUGAUAGUUCCUCGUUACAGCCAUUUACAGAUCAAGAAUGGAGGUUCAAUCAGCAAUUCAUGAUUAACACUGUAAUUACUAUUGACACACUUUGUGAAAUGAUAUUUCAACAAUGGUAAUGUUCAAUAUCUUAACAAAAUUACUUACUGUCUAGUAAAGGAAGCGUGCUGUAACAAUACAUGUCUCAGAUCAACAAGGUAAUAGGUUGCAAGGAGCAGCAAUAACUAUAAACCAAGUCUCAAAGGAUUUCCCAUUUGGUUCUGCAAUAGCACACACCAUUCUUGGGAAUUUGCCCUAUUAGGUAUGUGUUCAUAUUCAUUUCUUAAUACUUAUCGGACAAUGCUAGCUAAUUGAUCUUGUUUUUUUUUGUCUUCCAGAACUGGUUUGUUGAACGAUUCAAUGCAGCAGUGUUUGAAAAUGAACUGAAAUGGUAUGCAACAGAACCAGAUCAAGGGAAGACCAACUACACCUUAGCUGACCAAAUGCUGGAGUUUGUUAGAGCUCACCAAAUAAUAGCCAGGGGCCACAACAUAUUCUGGGAAGACCCCAAGUACACGCCUAGAUGAGUGAAAUUACUUGUCUUCUGCUAGAUUAAAAUGUUUUUAAUAUCCUUUCUGUAGGCAAUUUGAUUAAGGUCAAAUGAGCUAAAAUUGGAGAGGCAAUUGGAGAACUCACAGGCUGAAAUUUCUUCUUUCAAGUAUGCUUUUUUAGGUCUAAUUAUGAAAUUUGUCCCUUUAUUUUACAGCAUCUGAGAAGUUAGUCCCUCUGAUUUGUCAGAAUGGUCCUCAUAUUUUAUGAACACUAAGAAAUUAAUCCAAUUGAGUAACAUUGUUAAACCUUCUUGUUAAACUGAGCUGUUCAGGAACUUAUGUGCUAGGAAUUAGUAAAAACCAGCAGUAGCAUAUUUAUGGUACAAAAAAAUUGACCUAUAUUCAACUUAGAUUACUAUUGAAGUUUUGAGUAUAGUUUUGGCACAGCAUGCAACAUGUUAAUUUUGCACCAUGCAUCUGGUGUAAUUAUAUGUUAUUUUCAGUCUUACUAACCUAGAUUAUUUUAACAGUUUGUAUCCUUGGUGCAUCCAUCAGUUAGUGUUGAUUGUUCGAUACUACAUGAUUGCUAUGAAUCAUUUGCAAUGUAUUGCUUUGGAAGAUACCUUGUUGCUUGNNNNNNNNNNNNNNNNNNNNNNNNNNNNNNNNNNNNNNNNNNNNNNNNNNNNNNNNNNNNNNNNNNNNNNNNNNNNNNNNNNNNNNNNNNNNNNNNNNNNCAGCCUUGCACGAUAUUUCAUUUAGUUUACAGUUUCUGUGGUGACAUUGUCUUUGUUAUUUGCUUUGCUUAUGCCCUUGAAUCUGAAUUUUGGACACCCAUAUAUUAUUUUCAAUGUCAUUUCAACACUCUGUUUUUUCAUAUCUUUACUUUUUAAGAAUAUAUAGGUUCUUCUGAUGUCUAACAUACCAUAAUCAUAAUUCCCCUUAAUGCACUAAAAGGAAUAUUGACUACUUUGUUAGUAAGCAAAGUAUAGGAUGUUGUUGAACUUUGGCCUGCAAUGCAAUAGGAAACCAGCAGCAAACCAGCAUGCAGACCAGCAUCCAAGCUGAACCAGAUAAGCAGCAGCAUUUUGUUUAUUUUGUUCAUUUGUAACUUGAUUUAGUUGCAAUGUAAUUUAUACUUAAAGUUAGUAGGAGUAGUUGUUGAUUUAUGUUUGAUGUUAUAGCUGGUAUGUCAGCUACAUUUUGUUUGAAAUUGUAUCUAGGAUUUNNNNNNNNNNNNNNNNNNNNNNNNNNNNNNNNNNNNNNNNNNNNNNNNNNNNNNNNNNNNNNNNNNNNNNNNNNNNNNNNNNNNNNNNNNNNNNNNNNNNAUUAGUUAACUGCCAUAUUUCAUUGUAACAUAAAUGCUUCUCAAGUCAAUGAAAAAGAUCUGAUUUUUGGAAAUCAAAUUCAGUUUUCUUCUUGUUCAAACUUCUUUGCAUUCGUUUUUUUUUCUCCUUAUUUUUAUGCUAAAAAAAACCAACACAUGUAAUCCGGACUACUUAUGUAUAUGGCAUAUUGCUUAUUCAAGUAAUGAAGUUAAUUUUUACAUCAUCCGGGUUACUUGCUUUUGUUUUCUUUCUCUGCUAUCAAAACCCCAACAGAUGUGAUUUUCAACUCUUCCCUUUAGCAUUGAUGACCAGCUCAAGGCUCGACAUUGCACGUUCUACAUGGUGGCCAUAGGCUAUUUCAGUUACUAGCCAACAGUUGGUUUUAGUUUUGAAGUUAUUUGGUGCUAGAAAUGUCUUGCAUUGAGUUAUUGAUGACAAACAUUUGAAAUAACAUGCAUUAAGACGCACAGACAUUGAGAAAAAGGGUAUUGUAAAUAUUUCAUUAAAAAGAUUUGAAAGAAGAAUGAAUAGUAAUAAUUUUUGAAUUUUUCUCUAGUUUUAAUUUAUUUUUAAUUAUUUAUUAUUAAAAAUAAAUAUAAUUGUAAUAAUUUUUAAUCAUUUAUUAAUUUUGUAAUUGUUAAAUGAUUUUAAAAAUUUCUAUUAUAUAUCAUUUUUAAUCUAAUGUCCUUAAAAGUCAUUUUCUAUUUUCACCUCACCGCUACAGCUGCUUUUGAAUCCAAACAUACACUCCACCGCUGUUUCUAAUCUCACUGCUACAAUAUCCAAUCUUACCGCUACAGUAACUAAUCUCACUACCACCGCUGUUUUUAAUCUCACCAGAGCUAAACACACCGCCCAUCCAAACUAAGCCUAAGUCUAAAAAAAAAUAUAAAAAUUGUAUGAAAAGGUUAUAAAAACCAUUUGGACAGAUUGUAAAAGAUAUAAAAGAAACAAAAAAAAAAACUUUCAAAAGGUGAUAUUUUUUCCCUUAUUUAUUUAUUUUGAAUAUAUAUAUAUAUAUAUAUAUAUAUAUAUAAGAACAAAAAAUAAAAAUAAAAACUUUCUUACCUUUUCGGAUGGUGAUCGGCAGAUCUAAGCUCGGGUGGCCGAUAGAGAGAGGAAAGAAAAAAAGGAAAAACUUUCUUACCUUUUCGGACGGCGGCUGCCACGUGGCCAAUGGCCAAAAUCUGGGCUGUGCCCAGAGAGAAUGGGAGAGGAUUUCUAUUUUUAUUUUUGAAAAUAUGGUGAAAUGAUUUUUUUUUGUUUUUUUGUUUUUUACUUAUAUAGGCAGACAAAAUGACGUUGUUUUGGGACUGGCCUCAGACUCUCAAAAUGACGUCGUCUUGAGGUGGACCCAAUCUGAUCCGAUCCAUUCCCUAGGAUUUUUUGUAAAAUGAUCUAUUUUUGCUUUUGGCCCUUUCACUGUUUUGAUGAGUUACAAUGAGGUCCUAUUUCUUUUUUUCUCUUUUAAUUUUACCACGGAAUUUUAAUUUUAUUUCAUUUUAGUCCCCUAAGAAAUGGUGUGCAUAAGGUCAAGGAAUAGUUUCCUAUUCGGUCCCUGUUCUUUUUAGCGUGUUAUUAAUUCUUAUUAGCAUAUUUUGUUAUUUACAAUUUAUACCCCUUAGUUUUAUUUCAAUUUCAAUACGAUCCUUAGUUUAUUUAACUUCAAUUUUUUUACGAACUGUUUCAUUUAUUAUUUUAUUAUUUUAUUACUAUUUAUUUAUUUUCAAUUUUUAAUCAAAUGUUUUAUUGGUAUUCAACUUAUUUAUUUAUUUAUUUACUUAUUGAUUCCUUUGUUUUUAUUUUUAAUUGGCUUGCUUUUUGUAUUUUCCUUUUAUUGUGCAAUAUUUUUUUUUAUUUUUCCUUUAUUAUUGUUAUUAUUCCAUUAUUUAUUUAUUUAUUUAUUACCUUUUAUGUACUUUCAAAAAAAAAAAGAUUAUUUAUUAUUUAUAUUAUCAUUUUCAUUAUUAUUAUUAUUAUUAUUUGUUUAUGCAUAUUAAUAUUAUUAUUGCUAUACUUUUAUAUUUUAUUAUGCAUAUUAUUAUACCGUUAUUAUAAAUUGGUGUUGCAUUAUUACUAUUAUAUUAACAUGAUCUCAGCUACCUACUUAUUAUCAUUUUUACUAUGAACAUUUCGAUUUCUCUUCUCUUUAUUCGUGUAGCCGUUUUAUUUUUAUUUUAGGCCUUAUCAUAUUUUCCCUUAGGUUUAGAUAUAUUUAUUUGUUUCCUCACUAUGGCUCAAUCCCGUAUUGUGUUAAAUAGUGAAUCCAUUUUUUACACGACUUGUAAGAAAUAAUUAAAAUUAAGCCAAUGUUCUGUAUUUGGAAUUUGAGAAGUGAUCCCCUAACUUACGGGGCUCAACUUUCUUGUUAAACCUAGAUUACAAAAUAUUAUUUUAAAAUUAAAACACGUGAGAUUUAAAUAAUAAUUUAAAUAAAGAGCAAGCUUAUUUUUGAAGAUUCGAGAUGUUGUAUCCUAACUUACGGGAUAUGACCUUUAGUUACCUCGAGAUAAGAGGGCCUUUUACAUACAUUUUUGAUUUAUUCAAAUGAUUUUUAAUAACAUAAUGCAAAGUGGGAUCGUGUUUUAAACUCUCUUCAAAUUUUUUAAUUCACGACACUAAGACUUUAAUUAAUCAACUAAGUACCAAUUUUGGGCGUCACGAGAUGCUAAUACUUCCUCAGAAUUCAUUUUUUUUCAAAAUCAGCGGGUAUGCACCACCUUAUUUCUUUUUUAUCUGUGGACAAAGUUAACUAUCAUAUGGUAUUUGGACUUGUAGCUUGUAACAUUGACAUUCGUUUUUCAGUCUAUUCUAAUUUUAUGUUACCAUUUUACAAUGCAGAAGGUACUUAAAACAGAGAGGCUCAAGCAAAAAUCUUUAAUGAAAAUGGUAAAAGUGUCUAACAAAUAUGAGCAUAUUUUUCCUUAAAAUUGUCUUUUCCUUGACAUUGGCUUUAUAUUUUAUCAAACACGUGUUGGGUUUCUUCAUCUAUGGGUUUCCAGCAAAUACCAUAAUUUUUGUUCUUAUCGUCCAUUGCAGCACCUAUAUAUGGGUUUCUUCAUCUUUAAUUCUGGUAAAGAAGACGGGAUUUUUAUAGCUUCAAUUGUUUUAUCAAACCCAUAGUCCUCAUCUUUUACAAUCUUCUUCACCACUCUCCCUAGUUUUGAGUUUUUUAACCUAUUCUAGUAAAUAAUCUUUUAAAUGACCCAUUUUUGUAAAUAAAGUUGGAAAGGGGUCUUUUUUAGUAAAAUGCCCUAUAAAAGCACCUAUAUAAACUAUUUUCAUCAAAAUUUAAUUUCCAAGAAAUUCUCUUUGUUGCCAAAAUUUCAAAGCAUUUGACAUAUUAAGCAAUGAUGAUCAAAAGUAUUUUUGAAUUCCCAAAAUAAUUGGAAAUUUCAUUAUUUAUGAUCAGUCAGUCAACAAACUCUUCAAUCUUAUUUGGUUUGAAAAAAUAGAUAUAUUUUUGAAGUAGUUUUUUGAAAAAAUGAAAAGCGUCCAACACAUCUCAAGCGUCAACAAAUUCAUUUUUCAGUUAAACCAAGAAAGUUUAAAAAGUUCAAUCUUUUUAAAAAUAAAAAUAAAAAAAUUAAAUUUAAACUUAAACUUAAAAAAAAUGAAAACAUAUUUUAACCUUCAACUAUUUGUUAAUUUCCUACUUAUUUCCACAACUUUUGCUUUUGAUUUUGAAUCUAAACAGUGAAAAACAAAGGAGAAAGCAAGAAAGGAAUGAAUAGAAUGAAUUAAAAUAUUUGGUGGUACUCCAUUUUCUCUUUCGAGUUUGAAUAUUAUGGUUUUGGAUAAUAUUUUGACUAUAAUUGGUAGCAGAUAUGGAAGAAAAAUUUAAGACUAAGGCUAAUAAAAUCUCAUAUUAUCCUUUUCUUUGUUAGUCCAAAAAUAUUAAAAAAUUUCAAGUUAAACUAAUUUAAGGAUUUAAUUAAAAUGUUUUAAAAAAUUUCUAUACUUUUGUAAAUAAUGAUUUGAAUAUCGGAAUUAACUAUUAAGUAAAAGAAUAAUGUUGUAUGGAAACUACAAAUUUCAUAAAUAUAAUUUGAACAACAAUAUUAGCAAAAAGGACAACUAAGAAUCCCUGUUAUGAAUCUUAAAAUGUAACGGGCAACUUAUCAUUUGAUGUAGAAUUUUUUAUAAUUAUUUUAUGUCUUUUAAUAUAUUUUUUUAAAUUUUAAAAAUUACAUUUAUCAACUAAUUAAAUUAUAUUCUAUAAUUAAUUUUAAAAAAUCUAUUAAAUAAAUUUUAUAACUUAAAUUUAACACCUAUUUUUAAUAUUUAAUUUUUAACACUUAAUAUUUCAAAACAACUAAAACUCCCAUCAAUAAAACCUCAUACCAUCAUUUAUUUAUUAGUCCAAAACAUAUAUAAUUUCUAAUUAGAAAUUCUUGGAAAAUUAAAAUGCUCCACCACUAUUGGAAUAUUAUUCAUAUAGAAUAAAGAUGGAGAAAAAAAAAAGACCGAAACAUUGAAAUUAAUAUGACUAAUAAAACCAAUAAAAUCUCAUAAUCCCAAAUUAAAAUUAACAAAAUGACAAAAGAAAGAUGUAAAGCAAAUUAAGUGUGAAUGGGACAUAAGACUAGGAAUAAAUGAUUCAUGCUUUAUUACUAAGAGGUUUAAUAUAUAUAAUAAGGGUAAAGUUAGACCAUCAAACCACUCAAAUUUGAUUUCAAUAACAAAAAAAAUUAUUCAACUUUCAACUCAAUCAUUUAAUUUUCAAAAAAUACCAAACCAGUCUUACUAAUUAUUUUUCGUUAUAGAUAUAACGAAAAUGUGACCUGUCAUUUAACUGGCCACGUUGGAGUCAUUGUUGUCAUUUAAUUGACCAUGUUGGAGAGUUUAUUGUCAUUUAAACAACCCCAUUUAAGAACCCUAGCUAGGAAGAAGAAGAAGAAGCCAGUGGCCUCAAAUCCUAAUAAUAAAACAAUAGCAAAAAAAUUAUUACAAGCCCAAAUACAAAAGAGAGGCCCAAUCCUAAUAUUUCAGUAGAAACCCUAGUUGCCCUAGCCUCAUGCUACGCCGCUAGCCGACAUGUCAGCAAAAGCAGCGCCCAAAACCUUUCCCCUUGCACCAAAACGGCAACAGCAACCUCGUUGACUUCCACCGCCUCUGUAAGAAACAAAAAAAGGAAAAAGAAGCAAAAACAAGAAACCGAAAAAACAUAUAUUGUAAUAUUAUUUCGGUUAUAAAAAUUGAUCUUUGUAACACGAAAAGGGAGAUCGAAUACAUCAAAAUAAGAAGACGAAAUUGAAAUACAAAAAAAAUAUUAGAAUAAUCGAAAUAAAAAUACCACAAAGUUCAAAAAGGUAACAUUUUAUUGUUUAUUAUUAUUUUAUUUUGAUUUUUCUCUUUUCAAAACAAAAAAAAAGGGGAAGAAACUUUACCUGUUUUGCGCCAUCGCCGGAGGUGCCCUCCGACUCGAGAAGACUUGGACCCCUUAGGGUCUAUGGAAAGCAUCGUUGGAGAGAGUAGAAGCCGAAAGGUUUCUCCCAUUUUUUACAAAUUUGGCUAAGUUUUCGACGAUUUCGGCUCCAAAUUUGUGAUCUACGCGGAAAAGGAUUUCGGGGCAAUUUCUGGUGAUCUUCAGCCACCGGAGGUGGCAGUCUCCGUCAAUGGUGACCGGCAGCCACAGCGGAGACUUGUUGGCCUCGUGGCCGGACUUGAACCCACUUUAGAGAAAAAAAAAGGAGAAUAAAGUUUUUUUUUUAAAAAAAGAACAGGCUAAAAUGAUUUUUUUAAAAAAAUUUCAACUUAUAUAGACAUAUCAAAACGACGUUGUUUUGGCCUGACUUUAGAAACCCCAAAACGACGUUGUUUUGACAUAUCAAAACCCGUUUUCCCCAUAGGAUCUGCGUGUUUUUGAAGGGAGGGGAUAUUUGCAGCUUUGGUCCUUUCACUUUUUUCAUCUUUUUUAAAACACAAUUUCCAAUAAAAUCUAACCCUAGAUCUAGAAAUAGUUAAAAAAAUCUAUAAAGUCGAGGUUGAUUAACAAAUGAAACAUCGUUAAGGAAACCUAUAACAUUAUUAAGGAAAUUUACAUAUCGAUUGGAAGGUCUUCUUCACCGGGUUAAGCGACGGGAAGUUGGGAGGGGGUGAACAAAUUAGGAAGGAAAAGUUUGGAUCUCUGAUGGUUUUUCUUGUUUCAACAUAUCCAUUUCUUCUCCUCCUCCUCCUCAUCUUUCUCUUCUUUUAGUGUUUUGUUUGAUUCUUAAAAUGGGUUUCCAUUGUGGCAAGUUAACUGGCCACGUCACUUGUCUCGUUAGACUUAUAACGAAAAAUGUUAGUGGGUGAUUGAUUUGUUAGUUUUUAAUAAUGUUAAUGAUCAAUUUGUUAUUUUUUAAAAGUUGAGUGACUAUUUUGUUAUUGAGAUCAAAAUUAAAUGUCUGUUGGUGUAAUUUAUUCUAAUAAUAAUUAAUUAUUAUUAUCCCUUGCUUUAAUAUGUUGAGAAAGUUAAGGGAAAUGUAAAUAAGUUAAAAGAAAGUUAGAAAUUAGUGAGUUUCAUCACUUUAGAAUUUUAAAAGACCGAAAAAGUGAGUGAAAAAGUGCCCACUAUCAAUUUGGAAAUUACUUUCCCCUCAUUUUUUAAUAUUGGUAUGAAUUUCGAUAUUAUAAGUUGUGAUGAUAUUUAAAUUUAAAUAUUCUAAUUAUUAUCUAUAAUAAAUUUGGAAUAGAUGUAAAUAUUAAUCCUUGAAUAUCUGUAUAUCAAAUUAGCUUUGCUUUUGUAAACAAUGGACUCAGAAUUUUGGACUUUUUAAAUUUAAGAUAAUUUUUUUAUUUUAAAUUUGAAUAACAAUAUUAUGAUUUAAUGCACAUAAUAAAGGGUUUAAAAUUUAAAGUAAGGACUCAAGUUGAAAUAUUAUAAGAAAAGUGCCAAACAAUUCCACAAAUUAAAAGCAAAGACUAAGAAUAGUUUAUAUUUUCCUCAAAGCAACCCAUUAUUGACUUUUUUUAGUCGUUAAUUUCAGUGUGUAUCUAUUCAUUUCAUACGCUUUAAGAAGAUUAUUGAAAAUUCACUAAAUUAUGAGAAAAUUUAGUCUUUGAGCCAUCAAUCUAUCUCGAUCAGCUAAGACACUCACCACAAUUCCAUCUUUUCUUUAUGUCAAAACUUAAAUAUGUUCUUUUUCGAAGAAAUUAUGUUAAGUUCCGUCAUCAUAAUUUCCACCCUUGUUUUUAUAAUGACUUGACUUAAAUGAAGUGGGAGACCAUUACAUUCAUAUAGUAAAAAUCAGAAAAAAAGAAAAAGAAAAAGAAAGAUUUGAUGGGUCAUAAAAGUAACUAAAAAUUUGACUAAAGUAAUUGUACCUAUCAAUUAAUAGGAUAGUUAUAGUGAAUAAAGAUAUCAUUUUCACGAAGACUUAAAUUCCUGUCAAAGAAAUAAUAUACUGGUAAAGCUAGGUUGACUUUGAAAUUUCAGUCUAAUUAAAAUCUCUAUUACAUUAACUUGUUCUUUGGAUUCCCUAUUAGAUUUGACUCUAAUUCGGUAGAUUUAUGUCGUCAUAUUUCUAGGAUUGCAUGCAACUUCACUCAACUACGUAAGAUUUACUCUUAAACAUGAUCUAUUCCUCAUUUGAUUUAAACACAUUAAACAUGGAUCAAUAAUUUAGAAAUAUUAAACCAAGAAUUGAGCACACAUAAUUGAAAAUAAGAAACUAAGCGUUUAUUAUGUAAAAUAAAAAUCAAAUGAUAGAAUCCAUCAUAGGGUUCGUCUUUCCUAGGUAUUUAGAAAAUUAGUUCAUGCUCGAAAAUAAAAACAUCCAUGAGAUAGUAUAAUAGAAAGAAAUAAAGAAACUCAUGAUAACUCCUUAGGAAUUCAACUAGGAAUCUUCAAUCUUAACUGAAAUCUUCUUCCAAGACAAGUUCAAUGGUUUUUUUGAGUUUUUUUCUUAAACGGCUUACUCCUCUGUUCUUAUUUCUGUCAUGUAUAAGUCUUAGAAUGCCCAAAAAUCCUAAAAAUCGCAUUUUUCGCAACUGGGUGUGAAAUCCCAUUAAAUCGAUAUAGUCUACCACAUGGCUAUGUGAUAGGCUGUGUGGAAUGGGUCAGCCUUUGUGGCUUCUAUAGCUUGCUCCAAUUUUCACUCAUUUUUCACUUCUUUUGUUCCCAAAUGCUCUAUUAAGCAUAAAAUCAUGAAUCUAAAGGAUUAGGAGCAUAAAAUUCACCAUUAACAUUGAAUAAUCAACCAAAAACGCAUUAAGAACGAGCUUAAAAUAUGUUACUUUUUAACACUUAUCAAGACUUAGAUGUUUGCAUGCAAUGCUAAAUAUUAGCAGCAACCUCAUUGACUUCUACCGCCUUUGCAAGAAACACAGAAAAGAAAAAGAAGCAGAAACAAGCAAUCGAAAAAAACAUAUAUUGUAAUAUUAUUUUAGUUAUAAAAAUCGAUCUUUGUAACUCGAAAAGAGGGAUCGAAUACAUCGAAAUAAAAAAAUGAAAUCGAAAUACAAAAAGAAAUAUUAGAAGAAUCGAAAUAAAAAUACGACAAAGUUCAAAAAGGUAACAUUUUAUUGUUUAUUAUUAUUUUAUUAUUAUUUUUCUCUUUUUGAAACAAAAAAAAGGGGGGAGAAACUUUACCUGUUUUAUGCUGUUGCCGGAGGUCCCCUCCGACUUGAGAAGACUCAGACCCCUUGGGGUCCAUGGAAGGCAUCGUAGAAGGGAGUAGAAAUUGAAAGGUUUUUAUUGUGUUUUUCACAAUUUAAGAAAUAGAAAUACCAAUGGAACAGUGAUUUUGGGUAGAUAAUGGACAGGUACUUGAUGAAAUUAUAACGAAUUACAAGGAAAAUUUGCAGAAAAUAUGAGUUGAGAGAAGAAAGUUACAGACUUAGGGAUGAGAAAAGAACAAAAACGUAUUACUGAAAUCAUGACAUUUUCUGGUAUUUUUCCUCCUUAAAAAAAGGGUAGCUGCAUGAGGGAAGUGUGAACUGUUAUUCCCUUCCACGUGCAACCAGCUGAGGUGUCACUUGACAAAAUCUUUCAGCCAUUUGGGAGCCAUUCUGGGCUGAGUGCUUCCUCUAGUAGCCUGUGUAUUUGCUAUUCCAGUAGCCUGCUGCUGCCUUGGUGGAUCGUUCACAACAUUACCCCCACAUCGAGACAUACCUUGUCCUCAAGGUUGAGAUCAGGAAAUAAUUUCAACAUGUGAGCCUUAUCUUCCCAAGUUGCUUCAUCAACAGAUGAGCCGUCCCAUUGUACCAGCCAUUGCUUAAUCAAGGAAUUAGCUCGCUGAAUAGACCCCGUCUUCAAUAUAGCUGUUGGUUGUAAUAUAAGAGCAGAAGUAGAAUCAAUGAGGUGGAGAGGUGUUACCUGUUGAUCUGGUUGGCCGAGGCAUUUCUUGAGCAAAGAAACAUGGAAUACAGGAUGGAUAUGCGCGGAUUCCAGUAGCUCCAAUUUGUAAGCAACUUCACCAACACGACCAAUUACCUUAUAAGGACCAAAAUAACGUCUACUCAGCUUGUGCUGGCGUUGCAAACGAAUAGAAUGUUGGCGAAACGGUUGGAGUUUGACAUAUACCCAAUCUCCUACGACAAAAGUCACUCACGAUGGCUCCUAUCAGCCAGUAACUUCAUUCGGUUCUGUGCUUACCGUAAAUUCUCCUUUAACACCCGAAGAACUUGAUCACGUUCCACGAGUUGAGCUUCUACCAAAGCAUUACCAGAAGUAUCUCGUACAUAGCGAGCAACAGUAGGAGGAGGGCGACCAUAUGGAACCUCAAAUGGUGUCAUUUUGGUAGCCAUUUGAUAUGCCGUAUUAUACCAAAAUUCAGCCCAUGGCAGCAUGUUUGUCCAAGUCGAGGGGUGAUCCGAAGUAUAGCAGCGAAGAUAUAUUUCAACACAUUUAUUCAAUGCUUCAGUUUGGCCGUCAGAUUGUGGAUGGUAGGCAGUACUCAUACUCAAAGUUGUACCCUAUAAAUGAUGGAUUUCCUUCCAAAAGUCACUGAGAAAUAGAGGGUUGUGGUCUGAAACAAUCUCCACUGGUAUGCCAUGCAAACGAAUAAUCUCCUGAACAAAAACAGCAGCCACUGAGAUGCUAGUAAAAUUAGUGGGCAACCCGAUGAAAUGGCCAUAUUUGGAUAAUCUAUCAAUGACAACAAAGAUAACAAUUUUGCCUUUGGAAGAAGGUAAUGCUAUAAUAAAGUCCAUAGAAAUGCUCUCAAAAACCAAAUUGGGAAUCGGUAAUGGCUACAGCAAUCCACUAGGACUCAAGGAUGAGGCUUUCAUUUGUUGACAAAUUUGGCACUCUUUGACAUAUUGCUUAACAUCUCGACGCAUAGAAGUCCAAAAGAAAUUGGAGGAAAGACGAUGAAAUGUGCGUGUAAUAUCAGAAUGGCCACUGAUGGGAGAUGCAUGAAACUUAUGAAUAAGCUGUAAACGGAUAGGAGAAUCAGCUGGAAUCAUUAGGCAACCCCGAAAUAAUAAUAGGCCAUCAUGGAAACUAAAGUCAGGAAAUUGUGCUGGGCCAGCACACACUCGUUGCUGCAUACCCAAAAGUUCAGGGUGUUGUAAGUUUGCUGCACGAAGAUCAGCAAUAAGAUCAAAUUGCACAGUAGAUAAAGUAAGUAAUUGAGAGGAAGGGAUGCGAGAAAGAGAGUCAGCAGCAACAUUCAACUUCCCAGAGCGAUAGAUAAUGUCAAAGUCGUAACCAAUAAGCUUGCUCAACUAUUUCUGUUGCUCAGGGGUUUGUAUAACUUGAUGCAUGAUAUUCUUAAGUGGUUGUUGAUUAGUGAUAACUGUAAAUCUCCUCCCCAACAAAUAUUACCGCUAUUUCGAAACAGCUUGAGUGACCACAUACAUUUCACGUUGGUACGUCGAGUAUUGUUGCAUGCGAAGACUCAUUUACUAGCUGAAAAAUGCUAUUUGAUGCUUAUCUUGGGACAAAACAGCUCCGAUCCUAGUACCAGAAGCAUCUAUUUCAACUGCAAAAGGUUUCAUGAAGUCCGACAAGGCUAAGACAGGGGAUGAACUUAAAACCUCUUUCAACUUGACAAAAGCAUUGGUAGCAGAUUUUGUCCAAAAAAAUUAUCUUUGCGAAGAAGAUUAGUAAGGGGCUCUGCAAUAGAAGAAAAAUGUCGAACAAAACACCGAUAGUAUCUUGCGAGACCAAGAAACCCGCGAAUCUCCUUAACUGAACGUGGUAAUGGCCAUUUUUGAAUUGCAACAAUUUUAUCCGGAUCGACAGAUACGCCUUGGCUAGAGAUGAUAUGCCUCAAAUAUCCAAUAGAAGUUUGGCCAAAAAUAAAUUUGGAUUGCUUUGCCACUAAUUGAUGUUGCCGUAAAAUCGAGAGCACAAGAUGAAUGUGCUCCAAGUGAGCCUCCCAAGAAGGGCUGUAAAUUAAGAUAUCGUCGAAGAAAACGAGUACAAAAUUCUGCAAGUAAGGUCGAAAAACAUUGUUCAUGAGACUUUGAAAGGAGGAUGGCGCAUUGGACAAGCCAAAUGGCAUUACGAGGAAUUCAUAAUGCCCCUCAUGAGUUCAAAAGGCAGUUUUGUACUCAUCGCCAAUGCGAAUUCGCAGUUGAUGAUAGCCGGCCAACAAAUUUAAUUUAGAGAAAUAAACAGCACCAUAUAACUCAUCAAAAUGUUCAUCAAUGGAUGGAAUAGGAAAUGGAUCAUUGAUGGUAAUGGCAUUUAAGGCUUGAUAGUCAACGCAAAAUCGCCACGUGCCAUCCUUCUUGCGCACAAGUAGUACCGGAGAAGAGAAAGGGCUAGUGCUUGGCCGAAUAAUUCCAUCCUGAAGUAUUUCAGCAACUAAUUUUUCAAUCUCAUACUUUUGAAAAUAUGGAUAACGGUAAGGUUUAACAUUGAUUGGCUCACUGUCAGACAACAAAUGUAUCGCAUGAUCACAUGCACGGAUAGGAGGCAGACCCUGCAGUUUGAGGAACACAUCAGCAAAUGAAGUAACCAGUUGUUCUAAUUCCAAUGGAAGGGGCGUGGAGUUAAUAGGUUGAAAGGAAACCAAUUCCAAAUGAAAAUACUAUGCAAUAGCAUUGAUUUGAUGAAGGCGACGCAACCCAUUAAAUUGUACCGGUUGAACCGAAGAUGAAGCUUCUCCUGUCCAUCGAAUAGAUUGACCGUGAUGCUUGAACUCAAAAAUUGAUGACCCAUAAUCUAUCAUAACUGGUCCAAGAGUGGAUAACCAAGUAACACCGAGGACCAUGUCCCAUCCCUUUAAUGGUAAGACAUAAAAAUCAAUGCAUAUUUCACAGCAUUGAAUUACUAAGGGUACUUGUUUGACAAUACCAGUGCAAACUAAACGCUCGCCACUGCUGACCAAUAUAGAGAAACUAGGAGAGGCAGUUAUUAGAAGAUUCAAAUACGUGGCCACACGGGUUUGCACAAAGUUAUGUGUGCUCCCACCAUCGAACAACACCUGGACUUGCUUGCCACGGACUGUACCCUCAAAUCGAAGAGUAGAAGAAGAGCAACCUCCAGCCAGGGCGUUGUAAGAAAUCGAAGAAUGGAGCUGUAAGUUGGUGUCAGGUGUGGUGGAAUCGAAAUUUAGUAGGUGAAGAUGGCGAUAAAAGUUCAGGCGCGAGAGCAUCAGGUGGCUCGGACUCUUCUUCCAGAAGUAACAGGUGGGAUUUUGCUUUACAUUUGUGUCCCCACUCAUACUUCUCAUCACAAUGAUAACAGAGGCCCUGUGAACGGUAGUGGGCAGCCUCAGUACAAGUAAGGCGGCGAAAUGGAACGCGGUUACCACUAGGUAAGGUUGCAGUGGCUGUUGGGGUGGAAGGAGAAAACACUGAAGGACCAGGAGAUUGUUUGGGAGUUGGUAACAAUGGUUUGGAACCACCCAGGCUAGGCUUAAGUACCCCACGUUCCAGCUGAAUGCGCUGUUCAUGGAGCUGGGCUAGAUGCAUGGCUUCAGACAAGGUGGCUGGUUUAUAGACCAAAACGGAGUGUUUAAUGUCAGCGCGGAGCCCAGAAAUAAAGCAAUGAGUCAAGAACUGGGUCGGAAGAUGCAUCGUGUGAUUUGUAAUGGCUUCAAAUUGAGAGCGAUAAUGAGCCACGGUAGAGUUCUGCUGCAACUUUGCUAAAAUUCCCUCGGGUUCCUCUAGGUCUUGAGAACGAAAUCGCUUCCAGCACGUAAGUUGUCUAUUUCUAUGCAUCCAGUCAUACCAAUCUAAAGCGGCACCGUCAAAAUAAAAUGAAGAAAUAGUUACCCGAUCGUCCAGUUUGAUUUGAUAAAAAUCAAAGUAACGUUCUGCCUGCAUUACCCAAUGUUCAGGAUGGUCGCCGGCAAAUCGAGCCAUCUAUACCGGAGUGGGUUUAUGAUGGCCCAAAGGUGUGAAACCAACAGAAUCCAUCGAAAGAGAAGCACCUGAAGAAUCAACAAUGGAUGUCCCCUUGAGCUUAGCCAAAACGUCCUGAAGAAGAUGCCUCUGAUCUUCCACUGAAGAAGCUAAUAGGUCAAAAUCACGACGCAUCGUCGUUUGAGAAUCGACAAUCGCCUUGAUAUUAUCAUCCAAGACCUUAAGACGAGUUUGAUGUUCACCCAUGGCUGGGGAGGCUCAAUGAAAGCACCAAUGUUGUGUUUUUCACAAUUUAAGAAAUAAAAAUACCAAUGGAACAGUAAUUUUGGGUAGAUAAUGGACAGGUACUUGAUGAAAUUAUAACGAAUUACAAGGAAAAUUUGCAGAAAAUAUGAGUUGAGAGAAGAAAGUUACAGAAUUAGGGAUGGGAAAAGAAUAGAAACAUAGUGCUGAAAUCAUGACAUUUUCUAGUAUUUUUCCUCUUUAAAAAAAAGGGUAGUUGCAUGAGGGAAGUGUCAACCGUUAUUCCUUUCUACGUGCAACCAGCUGAGGUGUCACUUGACAAAAUCCUUCAGCCAUUUGGGAGCUAUUCUAGGCCGAGUGCUUCCUCUAGUAGCCUGUGUAUUUGCUAUUCCAGUAGCCUACUGCUGCCUUGGUGGAUCGUUCACAACAGUUUUUCUUAUUUUUUAGGAUUUUGGCUAAGUUUUCGGUGAUUCUGACUCCAGAUUAGUGAUCUACGUGGAAAAAGAUUUUGGGGAAAUUUUUGGUGAUAUCCGACCACUUGAGGUGACAGUCUCUAUCACUGAUAACCUGUAGCCACUGUGGAGACUUGUUGGCCUCAUGGCCAGACUUGAACCCACUUUAGAGAAAAAAAGAAGAGUAAAGUUUUUUUUUUUAAAAAAACGGGCUAAAAUGAUUUUUUUUUUCAAAAUUUCAACUUAUAUAGACAUACCAAAACAACGUCGUUUUGGCCUGACUUCAGAAAUCCCGAAACGACGUUGUUUUGACUAAUUUUCUUAUGGAUAUGUUUGACUAUUUUAAUGAACAUCGCAGACACAUUUAUUUAGUUUAUAUGAAUAAACGUGAACACAAAUAGACCAAAAAAAAAUAAACUGACGGAUCAAACCUAAUUCAUAUACAAUCCUACUCACAAGGCGGGACAAAGAUUACUACAGAAUUAUGUGGAUUUGUUACAAUUUUAUCAGGCACAUUCCUCCUUCACAAAAACAAAGACAUGGGAAAAAAUUCUAGUGGCAGACUCCCUGUUUAUACAUCUCUUGAACCAAAUACAAUCGCCGAAUCUAGAUAGUUAGCCCUACAGGUUUGGAAUUCGUAUUUGGAUUCUAAUCCAUAGCUUUCUUGCAUUUAGUUUGUAAUAGGCCAAUUUAGCCCGAGCUCACAAAAAAAUAAUAAACCCAAAAUAAUAAAAUAAAGUCCAAGUCCAGUCCAAAAUUGUAUCAUUUGGCCCAAUCAGAAUGACCCAUUACUUGAAAAAGGAUAUGCAAUCUUAGAUAUGAUAUGCAAUCUUAGAAGAUAAGAUUUUGUAAUUUUAGAUAUUUAAUUUAUAGAUACCCUUUAAAUCUUAACCGUUGAUGAAAUUGAUCUAUACCGUUGGAUUUGGGGAGACUCAACUAUAAAUAGAGGCCUCCCCCUUCAUUGUAAAACACUGGAGUUGGGAGCAAUAAUAAAUCUUAAGAGCAUCCACUCAAAUUUAUCCUUCUCUUGCGUUCUUAUUUUCUGUGGCUUGUUCUUAUUUUGUUUUUCGUUCAUCUUCGUUUCUUUUUAAGUUGCUUUCAUUUGAGUUGGAUUUUGGUGGAGGAAUUUCUUUGAAUCUUCAUAUUGUGGGAGUAAGGCUGCUUUAAGCGUUUUUUAACCUUUUUUAAUUAUCUAUUUAAUUGUUUAAUCAUUAAUUAUUCUCUUACUUUUAUUUGUUUAUUUAUCUAUCAACUUUCUUAUUUACAUAUUGUUCAUUCAUUAAACCAUUCUUAUCAUUCUUUUAUUUUUUCAUUAAUUAUAUAUUUUAUUUGUUUUUAAUAUUAUGUCACACAUGUUGUUUAUUUUUUAAAAACUCGUGUUAUAAAUCAUUCAUUUUAAAUUGUUUGAUUAUUUGCCUUAAAUUUUUUUCCAUAUAUUAUCAAUUGCAAUUUAUAUUUUAUACUAUCUAUUUUUUUCCAUAUUUUGGCCCUCAGUUUGGUUUUAUUCUCAUUUUUUUUCCUUUUAAUUCUGUUUUAAAUUCAAUUUAAUCCUCACAAGUUUGAUUUAAUUUGUUUGUGUUUUAUUUAUUUAAGUAUUGAUUAUCAUGUUUUUUCAAAAUUUUGAAUCUGAUGUUAUUUGAAUGUUUAUACUUAUUAUUAUUAAAUUAAUCAUUAAAAUUAUCUAAGUGUAUUGUAUAUUAUUAUUUUAGAUUUAUCAUGUUUUAUUGUUUGUGAUUUAUCAAUAUUAUUAUUUUAUAUUUAUUGUUAACAUUAUUUUAAAUUUAUCAUGUAUAUCUAUUUCAAAUUUAUCAUUAAUAUUUUUAAAUUUAUUGUAUGCUAUUAUUUUGGAUUUAUCACGUAUGAUUAUUCUAGAAUUAUCAUCAAAAUUUUUAAAUUUUAUAUGUAUUAUUAUUUCAAAUUUAUUAUAUAUUAUUUAUUGUAAACUAUCCAAUUCAUUUUAAAUUGUAGAUAUUAUUUGUAUUAAAUUGUACAUUCAUAUAUAUUAUUAUUUUUAACUCAUAUAUAUUGUUUAUUUUAAAAUUUUCAUCCUAUAAUUUAUUGAUUAUUAUUUCUCCUCUUGCCAUUGAUUUCUUUAGUAUAUCUUUUAAAAUUGAUUAUUAAUUCAUUUAAUUUUAAAAUAUUGAUAUUGGUAUUUGUAUAAUGUAUGAUUGAAAUUAUUGUUGCCAUGCAUGUUUAUAUUUGUUUAUUAAUUAUUUGUUAUUCAUUAGUGUGUGAUUUAUUUACAAAUUAUCCUUUUGCGUCGUAUGUUAUCAUUUAAUCACAUUACAUUUUAUUCAAAAGUUUAUAAAACAAGACUCGAUAUUUAAGAUUUUCGAGAAGAUUAUGCCCUAACUUACUGGGCUUCAAUUUUCUCUUUAAAUUCAAAAUAGCCGAGUAUCCCUUUUUUCAAUAAAAUCAUACAAAUUUCUAAUAAAAGUUUAUUCUCAAGAAUUCAAAGGGUUGUGUCCUAACUCACUGGAUGUGACAUUUUGUUAUCUCGAGACGAGUUUUUAAAACAAAAGCAAAUUAUUCAUUCGACCUUAAGACAUUAAAUAAUUAAUUUGGUACCAAUUUUAGGCGUUACGAGGGUGCUAAUCCUUCCUCGUACGUAACUGACUCCCGAACCCAUUUUUUUUAAAACUCGUAGACCAAAAUCGUUUUCAGGUGAUCCAAUCAUAUCCCAAUAAAGGAUUGGUGGCGACUCCAAUUCUCAUUUUUAAGUCGAAACUAAAAGUUUUUUGUUUUCAAAAAGUGGUUUCGACAGCUUGGUGACUCCACUGGGGACCUAAGAGAGUCGAGCCAUAAAUUAAUUAAUUUUUGUCUCAUGGUCGAAAAAUCAAAUUUUGUUUUAAAUUACGUUUUUCCUUCGCAUUCAUUGGUUUUCAUCAUGGCAUACUUGCUUGGUUUAAGUCUGUAAAUUUGUAUUUUGCAUUACAUAAGUUGGUCGAAUUUACCCCUUUAAGUGGGAGUGAGAAGCUAGUCCUUCGUGAGGUUUUCACCUCCGUGCAGGGUAGUGGACCGCUUUCGGAAUAAAUCCGUACCUAUGUCUUCGUGAGAUUUUCAUCUCUGUGCAGCCAUAGGGAAAUGUAUUCCCCUGAACCAAACUCGGUCCAUAUGAGCCUAUAAUGGGUGAGGAUCGAGGAAUCUGCUGGUUCGGGUACCUUUGCUCUAGAAGCCAAAACCUCAUAUAGUGAGCUUUAGAAACUUGCCCUAGGUAGAACUAUACCAAACCUUAGCCAAUUCUUGAAUAGGUGUUUUUAUUAUUUCCUGUUUGUGAUGAAUUAUGUUUUUAUACAUGAUACUAACUAUGGUUGUGUUUUGUUGUGUUUGCAUGGCAUUUUGAUUACAUUGCAUUAUCAUCAUAAAAAAAGGGUGUUGAUUCAAGUUUGAUUACUAAAUUAGAAGGCUUGUCAUGGAAAACGAAUUUCUUGAUAAAGUGGAAGAUAAUAUGGCUGCCCAAAUAUAUUUCAAAAAACAGAACAAAAAAAGUACAUGAUGUUACUUAGUGGCCCAAGGAUUCAAGCAGAUUAUUCAAGAGCUACUGACAUUCUAACUUCCUUAAAAGAGCUGAUUAGUAUUACGAGGAUGGGCAAAUGAUGGAUCGUGACCAGGAUUAAGAAAAAGGAGCUAGUAGUAGCAUCCAUUGGAAAUUUGUGAGAUUUAUCUUGAACAUACGAAUAAAGAAAGAAACCGAUGUUUCUUAGAGUAUAAGGGCGAGGCCGUACAUGCAUCCGUUUUGUGUAAAGAAGUUUGUUUUCUAGUAAAGUCUUCUAAAUGGAAUUGAAUUAGAAUCAACAUCCCUUUUUGCAUUCACUUUAUGCAUUUGCAUUGCAUUACAUCAUAUGCAUUAAAAUCCACUAAAAGGGUCCUAAUUAAUUAAAAUCAUUUUAGUUUAUCUCGAAACCGAUAAAAAAACUUACCAACCAAACCUUGUUAUGGUAUCUGAGCAAAAGACGCCAAUGAAAGAAAGUAUUAAAGAGAUGUUGGGAGGCUUUCAUAAUAAUGCCAUAGACACAGCUGAAAGAGGGACCCUGUUAGUAAUCCGUCCUAACGAAUCUAGAAGCAAGCUAAAUAAUUGGACUGCAGAAGAAAGCCCUGUAGUCUUUAGAGCUUAUUUAGAGUAAUGUUCCGAACAUUCUUGUUGUUUUUAGCCUAAAAAUAAGAGGAAAUCCUUUGUGAAAUAGGCUCAUGUCUGAAUGUUAUUCUAAUAAAACACAUUUUUGCAUUCGCUUUAAGCAAAGUGUUCUUUUAUUCUUUCAUUUGUUUGAAAUUGUCUUCCAAAUCAUUCUUUCAUUACAUUUAUAAUCAUGUUCAUAAAUUUAUAUAUUCUUUGUAUAUUCUUUGGUACCUACCGUAGGUCCACAGAUAUCAAUGACAUGAGUGACACUGCUACAAACUUAGAAUUUCCUUUUGAACGAGACAUGUGUUUAGAGGGAUCGUAUGACUUUGAAGAUGACAUAGAUUGUAGCCUAUCUCCGGACUUGUUGAGGAUGGUGGAACAGGAAGAGAAACAAAUCUUACCUCAGAAGGAGUCAAUAGAAAUUAUGAGUUUGGAAGAGGGAAAAAAGGUGAAUAUUGAAACUGAUAUUAGCACAAAGACGAGACGAGACCUCAUUAAGUUACUCUAAGAAUUUAAAGAUAUCUUCGCAUGGUCAUACCGAGAUAUGCCGGGAUUAAGCACUAACAUCGUAGUGCAUCGCCUUCCUAUAAGAGAGGAUUGCAAGCCAGUACAGUAGAAAAUCUGAAGGAUGAAGCCUGAUAUUGUGCUAAAAAUAAAGGAGGAGGUCAAAAAGUAGUUUGAUGCUGGGUUCUUACAGGUGAUCAAGUACUCUGAAUGGGUAGCCAACAUUGUCUCAGUCCCUAAAAAAGAUGGGAAAGUAAGAAUGUGCGUGGAUUACAGGGAACUGAACAAGGCCAGCCCAAAAGAUAAUUUCCCAUUACCUCAUGUCGACACUCUAGUGGAUAAUACAGCGGGCUAUUCUCUGUUUUCCUUUAUGGAUGGCUUCUCGGGAUACAACCAGAUAAAGAUGCAUCCCGAAGAUAUGGGAAAGACCACAUUCAUCACCCUUUGGGGAACGUUUUGCUAUAAGGUGAUGCCGUUUGGUUUAAAGAACGCUGGGGCAACAUAUCAAAGAGCUAUGGUAGCCUUGUUUCAUGACAUGAUGCAUAAGGAAAUCGAGGUUUAAUUUGACAAUAUGAUUUCCAAAUCUAGAAUAGAAGAGGAACAUGUGCAGGUCCUGAGGAAGCUGUUCUUAAGACUGUUCUUAAGACUGAGGAAAUUCCAGCUCAAGCUUAACCCAACGAAAUGCACUUUCAGAGCUAAGUCAGGAAUGCUAUUGGGUUUUAUAGUCAGUAAAAAAGGGAUCGAGAUUGACCUAGAAAAAGCUAAAGCGAUACGAGAUUUACCUCCACCACGUACUCAGAAGGAAGUUCGAGGUUUCUUAGGGAGAUUGAAUUACAUUGCCCGGUUUAUCUCACAACUAACUGAGAAAUGUGACCCAAUAUUUUGUCUAUUAAAAAAACAUAAUACAGGUGAAUGGGAUGAGGAAUGCCAAGAAGCCUUUAACAGGGCAAAACAAUACUUGUCAAAUACUCCAGUACUGUCACCACCUAGCCCCGAUAGGCCACUGAUACUGUAUUUGACAGUGUUUGACAAUUCCAUGGGAUGUGUGCUGGGCCAACAUGAUGAGACAGGAAAGAAAAAAGGGCAAUAUACUAUAUCAGAUUGUGAAAUGAGAUACUCGCCUAUUGAGAAAUUAUGUUGCGCUUUGAUCUGGACGACUCGGAGACUGAGGCAGUACAUGUUGUACUAUACGACUUGGCUAAUUUCAAAAUUAGAUUCUCUAAAGUAUAUGAUGGAGGCGCCUGUUUUGAAUGGGAGGAUGGCUAGAUGGUAGGUUUUACUUUCUGAAUUUGACAUAGUUUAUGUGAGUCAGAAGGCCGUGAAAGGGAGUGCAAUAGCUGACUUUCUAGCUAGUAAAGCUUUAGAAGAUUACGAGCCCUUGAAUUUUAAUUUUUCGAACGAGGAUUUGAUAUAUGUGGCAACUACUAAAGAAGAUUCCCAAGUGGGUCGCAUUUGGAAGCUAAAUUUUGAUGAAGCCUCGAACCCUGUGGGCAAUAGAAUUGAGGCAGUCUUAAUAUCCCCAGAUGGGAAUCACUAUCCUUUUACUUGCAAGUUGGAUUUUGGUUGCACAAAUAAUAUGGUAGAAUACGAAGCAUGCAUUAUGGGUAUUCGUGCUACUAUAGCGCGUGAUAUCAAAGUACUAGAGGUAUAUGGGGAUUCUACAUUGGUGAUAUACCAACUCAAAGGUGAAUGGGAAACGAGAGAUCCCAAAUUAAUCAGCUAUUGAAUGCUAGUUCUCGAAUUGAUUGAAGAGUUUGAUGAUGUUACUUUCUGCUAUCUCCCACGAGAUGAAAAUCAGAUGGCUGACGCGUUAGCUACUCUAGCCUCCAUGAUUAAAGUGAACAGACAAGAGGACAUGAAGCCUAUCUAGAUGAGCAUCUAUGAAGCCCCAGCUCAGUGUUACAAUAUCAAAAAAGGAAAAAAUAAUGAUAGCCCUUGGUAUCAAGAUAUAUUGUGAUAUGUGAAGAAUUUUGAAUAUCCUGACCAGGCAGCUGAGAAUGAUAAGAGGACUCUGAGAAGAUUAGCCAUUGAUUAUGUCCUAGAUGGAGAUAUCUUAUAUAAAAAGGGAAAGGAUCAGGUACUAUUAAGAUGUGUGGACGCUGUGGAGGCUAAGAAAAUAUUGGAGGAGGUCCAUGAGGGUAUUUGUGGAACACAUGCCAGUGGUUUCACAAUGGCUAGACAGAUUAUGAGAUUCGGAUACUACUAGUCCACCAUAGAAGGAGAUUGCAUUAAUUAUGCUAAGAAGUGCUAUAAAUGCCAAAUUUACAGUGAUAAAGUGCAUGCACCUCCUUCGCCUCUUCAUGUUAUGACUUCUCCAUGGCCUUUCUCCAUGUGGGGUAUGGAUGUCAUUGGGCCAAUAUCACCAAAGGCUUUUAAUGGGCAUCAUUUCAUCUUUGUGGUUAUCGAUUACUUUACUAAGUGGGUGGAAGCUGCUUCAUAUGCUAAUGUCACAAAGUCAGCAGUCAGCAUGUUCUUAAAAAAGGAGAUCAUAUACCGAUAUGGAAUGCCCGAAAGAAUUAUAUCUGACAAUGCAUUGAAUUUGAACAACAGCUCAAUAGCAUAGGUCUGCAGUCAAUUUAAGAUUAAGCACUAUAAUUCGUCACCGUAUCGCCCAAAAAUGAAUGGAGCAGUAGAAGCUGCCAAUAAGAAUAUCAAGAAAAUUAUGGGGAAAAUGGUUGAGACUUGCAAGGACUGGCAUAAGAAACUACCAUUUGCCCUCCUUGCUUAUCGAAUGUCAAUCAAGACUUCCACCGGGGCAACGCCUUUCUCCUUGGUUUAUGGUAUGGAGGCAGUGUUACCUAUUGAAGUCGAAAUCCCUUCUCUCUGGGUGUUGACUGAACCAAAGUUGGAUGAAGUAGAAUGGGUUCAAUCUCGGUAUGAUCAGUUGAACUUAAUAGAGGGAAAAAGAUUGAAAGCUAUUCAACAUGGUUAGAUGUAUCAAAAGUAAAUGAUGCGGGCCUACAACAAAAAGGUUCGUCUAAGAGAAUUCCACGAGGGGGACCUAGUAUUGAAAAAGAUCUUUCCCAUGCAAAGGGAUUUCAGAGGGAACUGGAUGCCAAAUUGAGAAGGUCCAUAUGUUGUAAAUAAGGCUUUUUCCAAAAGGGCUCUAAUCUUGAGGAAGAUGGAUGGCAGAAACUUGCCAAACCCUAUAAACUCAGAUGCAGUCAAGAGGUACUUUACCUAAAAGGAGAAGGAUCAAAGUGAAAACCCGCAAAGGACGCUUUGAGUCCUUAAAAAAAAGAGAAAAGGAGAGGCCAAGGUGAAAACCCGUAAAGGGUGCCUUGAGACCAAAGGGGAUUUGAGUUGAAAACCCGAAAAGGGUAGCUCAGAUUUUGAUCAAGGUGAGACAUGAGGUGAUCAAAGUAACUCAAAAUUUUGAUUGGGGCAUGUGGUGGUUUUGCUAUGCCUGAAUUAAGGAGAAAGGAGGUAUGCGAUGUUUAGGGCAUCGACAGAGUACUGUAGAUCUUCUAAACACAUGUCUUCAGAAAGUUUGUACAAAGAAGCUCAGGCUGCGAUAUCUGGGGCACCUAGCCUUCCUACUAUUUAUAUUGAACUUGUCAUCCCUGGAAUACUUUAUUCUUUGCUAUUCUUGGAAUACUUUAUUCUUUUCAAGAAACUUGUUCUCAAUCAGUUUUUUUAUAUAUUUACAUACUUUUUGACAAUUUAUUCAUUUUGAACUAUCUUAUUCUUAUCCAGUGUUAUAAUCUUUCGCACUCAUGUUGCGUUAGAAUACUGAUUAAUAGACUAAUAAAAAUUUCACAAGGGAAGUUUUGCAUAUUACUCUGGAAGUUUCUAAAUAAUACAGUAAUCUGAAACGGGACUAGUGUUUAGAAUACACCAAGCUUAAAUGUUGAAAUAUCUAGGAAUGAAAAGUCUAAAUUCAGACUAUCCCUUUAGAUAUCCCUUCAGAUUUUGUUGUCAAAAGUAUUAAUUGAACAAAAUGACAAGAUGUCAUGUUGGAGAUAAAGCUUCAAUCACCAAGCAAUAAAAAGGGGUUUUCUUGGAGAAGAGAAUAAUUCAUUGUGUAUAGGCAUGGUGUAGAGAGCCAAAGAGUUUCACAUUCCAUAUCCUUGAAUUGCGAUAAGAGAAGAUUGAGGGAAAACCAGAUUUUUUUCUCUACCCUUGGGUUACAGAAGGAAAAGAUGGUACAAAUUUUGUGUCCCAGUGGAUUGAGCCUUGAAGUUUAUAGUGGGGUAAUCUGAUUAAAUUCUGUUUUGGAUGCUGGCUGAGCAUGAAGGCGUUAUAGCACUUCGGUGAUAAGACCUUAAUAAACUUUAAGCAAUGGCAACAUAAGCGAUAAAGAAGGAUCAUUCUAAAAAAUGACAUUCUGCAUUCAUGCAAACAUCAUUCAUACAUGUCUAGUUAGGAGCAUUUGACUCACUUUGAUCAUGGCAUCCCAAUCAUUAGGCAUAAUUAGGUUCAUGCAGGUCUUGUUCCCUAGAGAAUAGACCAUUGGAAAUAGCAAAUCUUGUCUCCCUAAACAGUAGUGGAGCAGAUCGAGGACAGCAAAUCUUAUAUUCCUAAGAUAGUAAUGAAGCAGAUUCAAGCCACCGGUCCUAUCUCCCUAAGCAGCAGUGGAGUAGGUUGAAUAUUGUAGAUCCUGUCUCCCUAAGCAGUAGUGGAGCAGAUCGAAGACGGCAAAUCUUAUCUUCCUAAGAUAGUAGAGAAGUAGAUUUAAGCCACCGGUCCUAUCUCCCUGAGUAGCAGUGGAGUAGGUUGAAGAUUAUAGACUCUGUCUCCCUAAGCAGUAGCGGAGCAGGUCGAAGACGGUGAAUCUUAUCUUCUUAAGAUAGCAGUGAAGCAAAUUUAAGCCACCAAUCCUAUCUCUCUGAGCAGCAGUGGAGUAGGUUGAAGAUUGUAGAUUCUGUCUCCCUAAGCAGUAGCGGAACAGGUCGAAGACGGUGAAUUUUAUCUUCCCAAGGUGGUAGGAAAGCGAAUUUAAGCCACCAGUCCUAUCUCCCUGAGCAGCAAUGGAGUAGGUUGAAGAAUGUAGAUACUGUUUCCCUAAGCAGUAGUGGAGCAGAUCAUGAAUCUUAUCUUCCCAAGGUAGUAGGGAAGCAGAUUUAAAUCACUAGUCCUAUCUCCCUGAGUAGCGGUGGAGUAGGUUGAAGAUUGCAGAUCAUGUCUCCCUGAGCAGUAGUGGAGCAGAUCUAAGACAGAGAAUUUUAUCUCUUUGGCAUUACAGUGGAACAUAUUAAAGCUACAACAGCGAAUCUUGUUCCCCAGACAUUACAGUUAAAUAGAUUGAAGUUACAACAACAGAUCUUAUUUUCCUAGCAUUGCAAUGGAACAGUUGAAGCUACAAGUCUUAUCCCCAUAAAGUUACAGUGGAGGCAGACAGAAGAUGACGAAUCCUAUCUCCCUGACAUUGCAGUGGAGUGGAUCGAAGUAGCAACUCCUAUACCCUUGAAAAUAGUAGGUCGGAGUGAAGAUACUUACCAAAAGAAGUCAAUACUCGACAAGACCGGGCAAAAUUGGCCUUCUUUAGUCUUUGCUCUAUUCUCAUUACACGACAAUGAGUAAAGAGGGGCAGCUGUAAUAGGUCAAUUUAGCCCGGGCUCACAAAAAAAUAAUAAACCCAAAAUAAUAAAAUAAAGUCCAAGUCCAGUCCAAAAUUGUAUCAUUUGGCCCGAUCAGAAUGACCCAUUACUUGAAAAAGGAUAUGCAGUCUUAGAUAUGAUAUGCAAUCUUAGAUAAGAUAUGCAAUCUUAGAAGAUAAGAUUUUGUAAUCUUAGAUAUUUAAUUUGUAGAUACCCUUUAAAUCUUAGCCGUUGAUGAAAUUGAUCUAUACCGUUGGAUUUGGGGAGACUCAACUAUAAAUAGAGGCCUCCCACUUCAUUGUAAAACACUGGAGUUGGGAGCAAUAAUAAUUCUUAAGAGCAUCCACUCAAAGUUCUUCUUCUCUUGCGUUCUUAUUUUCUGUGGCUUGUUCUUAUUUUGUUUUUCGUUCAUCUUCGUUUCUUUUUAAGUUGCUUUCAUUUGAGUUGGAUUUUGGUGGAGGAAUUUCUUUGAAUCUUCAUAUUGUGGGAGUAAGGCUGAUUUAAACAUUUUUUAACCUUUUUUAAUUAUCUAUUUAAUUGUUUAAUCAUUAAUUAUUCUCUUACUUUUAUUUGUUUAUUUAUCUAUCAACUUUCUUAUUUACAUAUUGUUCAUUCAUUUAACCAUUCUUAUCAUUAUAUUGUUCAUUCAUUUAACCAUUCUUAUCAUUCUUUUAUUUUUUCAUUAAUUAUAUAUUUUAUUUGUUUUUAAUAUUAUGUCACACAUGUUGUUUAUUUUUUAAAAACUCGUGUUAUAAAUCAUUCAUUUUAAAUUGUUUGAUUAUUUGCUUUAAAUUUUUUUCCAUAUAUUAUCAAUUGCAAUUUAUUUUUUAUAAUAUCUAUUUUUUCCAUAUUUUGGCCCUCAGUUUGGUUUUAUUCUCAUUUUUGUCCUUUUAAUUCUGUUUUAAAUUCAAUUUAAUCCUCACUAGUUUGAUUUAAUUUGCUUAUGUUUUAUUUAUUUAAGUAUUUAUUAUUAUGUUUUUUCAAAAUUUUGAAUAUGAUGUUAUUUGAAUGUUUAUACUUAUUAUUAAAUUAAUCAUUAAAAUUAUCUAAGUGUAUUGUAUAUUAUUAUUUUAGAUUUAUCAUGUUUUAUUGUUUGUGAUUUAUCAAUAUUAUUAUUUUAAAUUUAUUGUUAACAUUAUUUUAAAUUUAUCAUGUAUAUCUAUUUCAAAUUUAUCAUUAAUAUUUUUAAAUUUAUUAUAUACUAUUAUUUUGAAUCAAGUUUAAUAUAAUUAUAUUAAUAAUAUAUUUUUAUUUUUAAUAUUAUAAUUUUAUUUUAUUAAUAAAUUUUAAUAAUUUAAUUUAAUUUUAAAUAAUGUUCUCAAUAUAUUAUUAAAAAUAUUGAUAUUGAUAUUUUAAUGAUAAAAAUAUAUAUAAUUUAUAAAUAUUCAAUAAUAAAUAUUUUACAGUAUAAAAUAUGGUUAUUUUAAUUGUCAUUCUUCAAUGGUAUUUUCAAUGCAAUCACAGUCCAUUCUCCACAAUCAACAAGGAAAGAUGUUUUAAAUAGGUUAGACUUCAAAGUCGAGCUUGCAUAUAUUUGGAAUACUAACCUCAUUUAAUGUCUAAAAAAAUUAUAUCAAUAAAUCGCGAACAUCAAAUAUAACGAGUAUAAAAUUGUUGCGAGGAUUAUAGAGGUGACUACUUCUGAUAGGCAACCCAAAAACUUGACUCAACAAAUUUUAAUAUCUAAUCUAUUAUUUGAUUUCUUUUAAAUUUUUAUUUAUUAAAUUUAAAUAUUGAACAUAUUUCAACAUAUGAUUAUUUGUUUUGGACUUUAAUAAUAAUACUUAGACUUAAAAAGACUGAAACAUCAGCAUUAAUAAGAAGAACAAGACUUCAACAAAGUGGUUGAUCAUAGUUUUCAUGCAUUAAUGAUAUCGCAAAAAGACUUCAACAGUUGCAUCUGCACGCAAUGCCCAAGACUAAAGAUUAAGGCCAACAAUAUUUAUAUUUGCUUUUUUAAUGACUUCAACUCAUGCAGUAAUGAGGAGGCAAAAGACUUGAACAUUUGCUUGCAUGACUAAUCUCUCAUACUAUUAGUCAUAGUUUCAACACUUAAUUAGAAUAGUUUAAAGUUUAGAUACUAAUUUAGAUCUGAUUCAUAGUUUGAGGCAAAUCAAUUGAAACAUAUAGAAUAAAGAUGAAGCAAAAAGACGAAAAUAUCAUAAUUAAUAUGACUGAUAGGAUACAAAUAUUUUAAUCAACAGAGUACAAAUUCUGAUAAUUUUUAGAUUUGAAUAUUUUAAUUAUUAUCUAUAAUGAAUUUGGAAUAGCUGUAAAUAUUAAUAUUUGAAUUUACGGUAUUCAAAUUAGUUUUAGUUUUAAUCACUAGAGUUAGGUGAGAUAUAUAGUAAGGAUCUUUCUUACCUUAAUCCGUGGUUGAGGGUUUGAUCCUCGCAUUAAGUAUGAAGCAACUUUAAAGCUCAUGGCAUCUACUCCCUAAAUGGGCUUACAAAAUGCAAAUAUUUACUUACCGACUAGAUCUUGAGAAAUAUAUUUUUUUGGUUUUAUAAAUAAUGGAGUAGAAUUUCGGAAUCAAUUAACUACUUUACUUUUAAAAUUUAAGAUAAAUUCUUUAUUUUAAAUUUGAAUAACAAUACUAUGAUUUAAUCCACAUAAUAAAUGGUUUUAAAUUGAAAGCAAACAUAUGGAGUGAACUUCAAAUAUUAUAAGAAAAGUGCCAAACAUUGUGCAAAUGAAAGCAAUUCCUCAAACCAAACCAUUAUUGACUCUUUUUAGUCUUUAGUUUCAUUGUGUUUCUAUUGAUUUGAUACACUUUGACAAGUUCAUUGAAAAGUCACCAACAAAAUUUAGUCUUUGAGCCAUCAAUCUCUCUCAACCAGUUAAGAAAAUCACCACAAUUCCUUUACUUUUUUAUGAAUUGACUAAAAUGAAUUGGUAGAAACAUUAUUUUCAUGCAGUACUGAUGGGGAUAAGACUAAGAUUAAUAGUAUUUUAUUCUUAUACUAAGACUUAGUCUAAGGCCAACAAUAUAUUUUACUAUUAUUUAGUUAAAAGUUUUUGAAGUUUAGAGAUAAAUUUAGAAUUCAACUUAUAAUUUGGGGUGUUAAAUUUAAUUAAACCCUUUAAUAGAUCACAACAUAUUUAUAAGUUUGGUACUGCUUCAUAAAUUAGGACAUAAAAGCACUAUAUUAAAAUUAAUUUCGUAUAUAAAUUAAUUCUUUUGGGUGUUAUACCAAAUUUAAUUAAAAAAUUUUAAUAGUAAUUUUUAUUAAAAAUUAAAUUAUGUAAGAAUAAUUAUAUAUAAUCUAUAUCUAUAUACCUAUAUAUAAAAAUUGGUUUCUACCUUCUUUCUUUUUACAUGUGGCAUACCCAAUCAUUUUUCCUUUUUUUUUUAAAUUUACAUUUUACAAAAAAAUUAAAAUUAAAAUUUAGUUUCUUUAAUAUGCCUAAAUUUGAGAUUUAAUCUAUACUUUAUUUUUUAACAUAAUUUAGGCACUAUAUUUUUAUAAUGUAAUAGAUUAGUCCUUACACGUGGCACAUCCAACCAUUUUUGUUGUCCUUUCCUUUAUCCUUUUUUUUUAAUUUUACAAUAAAAUGUUAAAUUUCAGUUUCAAUCCCUCUAAUAUGUCUAAAUUUGAGAUUUAAUCUAUAUACUUUAAUCUUUAACAUAAUUUGGGCCCUACAUCUUUAUAAUGUUAUUAAUUAGUCCAAAUUAUUAAUAUGAUUAACUUUUCGGUGAAACAUUACGUGGUUAUUGAUAGUUUGCAUACAUAAGAGUCUUAGAGACUGACACAUUACUUUCCAUUUCUUUUAGGUUUGCAUCGCUUUUUUGUAAGCUAUACUGAAACUUAAUAUUUAAUCUAUAUAUUUAAUUUUUGAUAUAAUUUAGUUCAUCUACUUUUGUAAUGUAAUUAGCUAGUCAAAAUAGUUAAUGUUGUUGGUUAUUUCUAUCAAAAUGCUAAUGUCAAUUUUUCUUAAAAACAAUAUGUUUCUGAUAGGAUUUUUUUUUUAUCGUGGCGAUGUGAAUGAGUGUUUUUAAGAAAAGUCUUUAUAAAAUAUUUUAAAAGUUAUUUUUAUUGUUACAUGACUACCAAUUGAUUUUUUUUUAAUUUCAAAAUAUCACCUCAGAGAAUUUAAUAGAAGAAUUUUAAUGAUAGUAUAAUUGAAUCAAAAAUUUUAAAUUUUAAAAGUAGAAAAUCAUAUUUCUAAAAAUAAAAAUAGAGAAGCGAAAUUCUAAAUGUACAAAAUAGAGAGAAUUAAAAUAUAUUUUAACCUUCAAAUAUUUUACUCUAUAAUUAUAUAUUUUUACUCUAUAAUUCUCACUUCCACUUUAUCUUUGUUAAUUUCCUACUUAUUUCUAUUUUUUCUUUUGCUUAUGAAUCUAAACAGAGAAAAAAAAGGACAAAAAAAAGAAAGAAAUGAAUAGUAUGAAUUAAAAUUUGAGAUUUGAUCCCUAUUAAAAAUUAAAAAUUUAUUGUUUCUAUUUUUUUUAAUUUAAAAAUCAUAGCUAAAUCCUUCUACACGUAAUUUAAAAUUUUUGUGCAUUCAAUCAUCAGAAUUUCCACUCCUUGUGCCCAUCGGUUCAUCUCAAAUCACCUAAGAAACUUGCUAUAAUUUGUUUUUAUAAUGACUUAUACAAAUCGGUUGAACAUUGAUUUCAUGCAGUAGUGGUCCACCAAGAAGACUUAGGGUAAUUUUGGAUAGGUGGUGUAUUUAUUUGCUGUUAGUCUAAAAAUAGCGAUAACGGUAAGAUUAGAUAUUGUAACGAUACUGUAACAUGAGAUAAAAAAUAAGCUAAAUGCAUCGCACCGCACCGCCCAUCCAAAUCCACCCUUAGACAUUAACAUGCAUGCCAAAACAAUUAAGACUAAGGCUAAUAAAAUCUCAUAUUAUCAUUUUUUUUGUUAGUCCAAAAUAAAAAAAAUAUUAAAAAAAUCUAAGUUAGACAAUUAUUGAUAAUUUAAGGACUUAAUUGAAAUAUUUUUAAAAUUUAGAUAUUAAUUUAUAAUUUAAUCCAUUAUUCAGGGGGAAAAGAUCAGAACCUUGGAAUAUUAUUCAUACAGAAUAAAGAUGCAGAAAAAAGAAUGGUCUUCAUUUCUUUCGUUCUUUAUCAUUUUAAUUAACUUUAAGGAAGCUUCAAAGUAAAAAUUUAAAUAUGUUUCUUCCCAAGAAAUUAUAUUAACAACUUAAUGUAAAUAAUGAUUUGAAUAUUGGAAUUAAUUAUUAAGUAAAAUAAUAAUGUUGUAUGGAAACUACAAAUUUAUGUAUAAAUGUGUUGCAUGAAAACCAUCCUCCUUCAUACCCAAUCAACAUGAAGACUCUUCAGUCCAUUGUUUCACUUUUUCUACCUUUCUUCUUUCUCUUCUCAUCCUUUCUUUCUCAAACUCAUCUCCUAAUGCAGUGCCUUAAUAAAUAAGUUGUAUGCCAAACACAAUCCUCCUUCACACCCAUCCAACAUGAACACUUUUCGUUUCCUUAUUUCACUAUUUCUCUUAUCAUGCAUCUUUCCUCUUCUCUUGUCUUUUUUACCUCUUCAAACUAAUCUCCCAAUGCAUUAAUGCCUUGAUGACUAGAUAUCUCCUAUGCUGCAAUUGCAACAUCAUCUUUACUAUGCCCCUAAUUUUCAUUUCUCUUCCAAAUUUGAGCUAUGUGAUGUCAACACUGAUUGUUGUUCUUGGGAAGGAGUCACUUGUGAUGCUUAUGGUCAUGUCGUUGGCAUUGAUGUUAGUUACAAAAACCUUUCUGGUAUCUUCCACUCAAUAUUCGAUCUCCAUCAUCUUCAACACCUGAAUCUUGCUGAAAACAACUUUAAUACCACUUUGCAUUCUUAUGGGUUUGUGUUGAAGUUGGCCUGCAUGCAGCCAAGAAGUAGAGAAGCACCCUGAGCCAUGAAUGUUGCAAUUGAAGAUGGUGCUGUUUUUUUGUUUAGUUUUGUUACUUUAAUUAACAUUUUGUAACUUAGUUAGAUUCAAACCAAGUUGUUAAUGUACUUGAUGUGUUUGUCAAUGUUUUGAGUUGAUAAACCAGCUUCACUAAGUGUGCAAGUUAUGUUUCAUUAGUUUCAAGGUUACUUAGUGGCAGUAGGUAAUGUUUAGGUAACAAUAUGCUUAUUUUUAACUAGCUUAUGUCUGGUAUAUGUAUUGGCAUUGUGCCAUCCUUCAAUGCUAAUGAAAAUUCAUCAAAAUUCAUCAUAAAAUUUCCUUUUCUUGCUUUCUUUUGUCUUUCAAGCCCGAUUCUAUUUUGUUUGCUCAGCAGGUAUCAAGCCUUCAAGCUCAAGAAAUUGCUAACUUCAUUCAUUUCACAUUCUUAGUUCCAACAAUUGGUAUCUAGAGCUCAUCUUCUUAGUGGACCUGUCAUUUUUCAUUCCUCAAAACUAUGUCUUCUUUAGGUUCUCUCCAGCUGCACCACCAGUCUUCAAUGGAGAAUGCUACCACAUUUGGGUAGUAAAGAUGAAAACCUACCUGCAGGCAUUCGACUUAUGGGAAGUGGUUAACUCGGAUGUUGAACCAGCACCUCUAAGAGUCAAUCCCACAGUGGCUUAGAUCAGGCAGCACAUAGAUGAAAGAACUAAGAGACACAAGGCCAUGUCUUGCAUCCAAAACAGUGUGUCUGAUGUGAUUUUCACAAGGAUCAUGGUUUGUGAGUUACCAAUAGGCCUGGGACAGGCUGAAGGAGGAGUUUCAAGGGACUGAAAGAAUGAGACAACAAUAAUUAGUAAUUUGAGAAGGGACUUUGAAAUUUGAAGAUGAAGGAAGAAGAAAUAGUGAAGCAAUAUUCAAAUAGAAUUAUGGUUGUUGUGAACAGUAUCAGAUUGCUCGGGGACCAGUUUAGUGAAGCAAGAAUUAUAGAGAAGGUUAUCUCAACCUUGCCUGAAAGAUAUAAAGCCAAGAUCUCAUCCCUUGAAGACUCGAAAGAUCUGAUUAGCAUCUCGUUGACUAAGUUGAUUAAUGCUCUUUAUGCUUAAAAGCAAAGAAGAGCCAUUAAACAUGAAGAGCAUAAAAAAUGUGCAUUCCAAGCUAAAAGUAGACUUGCCUCGAGCUCCUCUAGCUAUAAAUGGAAGAAGACCUAGAAAGAAUGUCUAGAAGAGAUGGAGUAAGAAAAAGAUAUCCACCUUACCCACAUUGCAAAAGGCUUAGUCAUCAGGGAGAAAACUAUUGGUUCAAGUCUAAUGUGCAGUGCAAAGUCUGCAAAAAGAUGGGCUAUGCUGAGAAAGUUUGCAGAAACAAAGGCAAGUUGAGACAAAACCAACCUCAACAGCCAAGAGCUGAAGCUCAAGUGGCAGAAGAAGGUAGUGACCAAGAAGAGCAAGCUUUUGUUGUUUCAUGCUCGACUGCCAAAAGAAAAGCCACAAAAGAAUGGCUGAUAAACAGUGGUUGCACAAACCACAUGACUCCUAAUGCUGCUAUUUUCAAGACCUUAGAUAGAACCUUCAACACAAGGGUGAAAUUUGACAAUGGACACUUCAUCAAAGUAGAAGGCAAAUUGGAUGUGCUGAUUGACACUCUUACAGGUAUCAAACUUGUUUCAAAUAUCUUGUUUGUGCCUGAAAUUGAUAGAAAUCUGUUUAGUAUGGCUCAGUUACUAGAAAAGGACUAUUCAGUAAAGCUCAAAGGCAAAGAAUGCCUGAUUAGUGAUCCAUGUGGAUCAAAACUAAUGUCAGUGACCAUGGCUGACAGAAGUUUUGUUGUGGACUGGAACAAGGGUUCUGACAGUGCCUAUACAGCUGCUUUGGAUGAACCCAAGCUAUGGCAUAAGAGGCUAGGCCAUGUCAACUACAAGUCACUGCCUCAGCUAACCAAAGAAGACUUGGUUGAAAACUUCUCCAAAUCAGUUAAGAAAGAAGAAGUGUGUGAAGUGUGUCAGCUAGGAAAGUGAGCUAGACUGCCAUUUCCUUUGAACAAGGCUAGGAGAGCCUUUGAAAAAUUGCAACUAGUCCACACUGAUCUGUGUGGCCUUAUGAAGACACAAUCUUUGAAUGAAAAUAGGUAUUUUAUCAUUUUCAUUGAUGACUACUCAAGAUAUUACUGGAUUUACUUCCUAAAGGACAAAUCAGAAGUGGCCUUAGUAUUCUGGAAGUUCAAGGCUGUAGCAGAAACAGAAACAGGUUGCAAGCUAAAGACAUUGAGGUCAGAUAAUGGGACAGAGUAUACCUCAGCUAUGUUUCAGGGCUUUUGUGAUGAAGCAGGUAUCAAGCACCGACUCACCAACACCUACACACCUCAACAGGAUAGUGUUAGUAAAAGAAAGAAUAGAAGCUUGAUGGAUAGGGCAAGAUGUCUAUUGUUUGAGAGAGAUUUUCCCAAAAUCUUGUGGGCUGAGGUAGUUAACACUGCUGUAUAUCUUCAAAAUAAGUUACCAACCAAGGCAUUGGUUCAUAAAACUCUAUUCGAGGCCUGGUUUGGGUUCAAACCAUCAAUUGCUCACCUGAAGGUCUUUGGAUGCAUAUGCUAUGUACAUGUCCCAGCAGUAAAAAGAGAAAAGUUGGCCAAGAAGGCUCAACUUGGCAUGCUGGUGGGCUAUAGCAGUGUCAAGAAAGGCUAUAGGGUCUUGGCCCCAUCAUCCAAUGAAGUUUUCGUGAGCAGAGAUGUAGUAUUUGAUGAGAAGUGAGGUUGGAAAUGGGAUAAAAAUGAACCAGAGACUGCUGCUGAAGACCUAGCGACAAAUCAAGCUGAAGCUGAUCGAAAUUAUCCUGAAAUGGGCAUUGAUGAUGUGCCAGUUAGAGGAACCAAACCAUUGGCUAAAAUAUAUAAGACGACUGAUGUGGCUGCUAUUGAACCAAAUUGUUUUGAAGAGGAUGAAGCUCAACAAGGUUGGAAACAGGCAUGCUUGAUGAAAUGAGCAUGAUUCACAAGAAUAAAACCUGGGAGGUCGUUGCAAGACCAGCCAACAGGAAGGUUAUAGGAGUGAAGUGCGUGUUUCGAGCCAAGCAUAAAGCUGAUGGAACUUUGAACAAGCUGAAAGCAAGAUUGGUAGUGAAGGGAUUCAGUCAAAGGUAUGGCAUUGAUUACCUUGAAACUUUUGCACCUAUGGCCAAGUUUGACACAAUUAGACUGCUGGUUACCUUGGUUGCACUAAAUCAUUGGAAGAUUCAUCAACUCGAUGUAAAAUCUGCCCUCCUCAAUGGUUUUCUUGAUGAGGAGAUAUAUGCUGAACAAUCUGAUGGUUUCAUAAAAAAUUAUAAUAGUUUUUGCAUAAUAUAAAUUUUAGAAUUUUUUAUGAAUAUUUUGAUUUUAAAAAUUAUUUAAUUUUUUUUUGUAAUUUUUGUUGAGAGAUUAAUUUGUUAAUUUUUAAAAUUGACAGGAAUCAAAGAAGUAUAUAUAUCAAUCUGUUGUUCGAAUUAUUUGAGUUAUUUAAAUUAUUAAAUUCAACUCAAAUUUCGAAUUAUUAAUAUUUUAAUAAUAUAAAACAUUAAAAAUAUUAAAAUUAAAUAAAAAUUAAAUAAUAAUAUAGAAAUGAAAAUAUUUCUCACGCUCUAAGAAAGUUUGAAAGCUGAAAUUUAAAUAUGUCUCUUUCAAAAGUGAAAAAUUCUAUAUAUUCUAUCAUCAAAAUUUCCACUCAUUGUGUCCAUUAAUUUAUAAGGUGACUUGACUUGUACACAUUGGUUGAACGUUGUUUUUGUGCAAUAAAAACUUGGACAUUUGCAUGCAAUGCCCAGGACUUAAGAAUUAAAAUACCUAUAAUAUUUCAUACUAUCAUUUUUUCUAGUCCUAAAUUAAAGAUUUUAAAAAUUCCAAAUUAAAACGUAAUUUGAGAACUUAAUUAAAGCAUUGUAAAGUUUAUGUGUCAAUUUAAAAUUUGAUGUAUAAUUUUGCGAUGUGAGGAGAAUUAACCAUUUGAUAAAUCAUUACAUAUUUACAAGUUGGAUACUCAUUAACAAAUUGAUUUUAUAUUAUACGUUAAAAUUUAUAUUUUUGGUGCUAUAACAAAAUUUACUUAAAAAAUUAAAUUGUAAUUUUUUAUUUAAAAAAAUUAAAUGAUGUAGAAAUAAUUAUAUAUAACAUAAAAAUGAUAAAAUUUACCUGAGUUUAAAAUAAUUUAAAGUUAAAAUAUUUGUAACAUGGAUUUUUUUUUCUAAAAAAUCGAUACCUAAAAUAUAUAAUUUAAACUUAAAAUAUCAGUUGAAUUAUCAUCUUUGCUCAUCCUAUGCGUAGUAAUGAUUCCAAUAGGGUUUAAAGUGCUAUAAUUUAGUCUUUUUUAAUGACUUAGAUUUAGACGAUUCUUUAUAGAGAGUAAGGAGUGGGCAAGAAAACUACAACCUUGGCAUUGAUAAGUUAAUGAGAUCGAUAGAAUAUUAAAAUCUCAUUCUUCAAAAUUAAAAUUAACAAAAAAGAAAGACGUAAGGCAAAUUAGGGGUGAAUUUAACAACUUAUUUCUAAUACUAAAAAUAAAUAAUUUAUGCAUAAUCACUAACAGCUUUAAAUAAUACUUGAUGGAGUCUUUAUUUGGCAAAAUGACUUAGAAAUUGCAUGCAAUGCCAAUCACUCAUAAACAUUGUUCUAUGGAAACUACACACUUGUGUAUAAAUAAGUUGUAUGCCAAACACAAUCCUCCUUCACACCCACCCAACAUGAACACUCUUCAUUUCCUUAUUUCACUCUUUCUCUUCUCAUGCUUCCUUCCUCUUCUCUUGUCUUUUUCACCUCCUCAAAACUCAUCUCCCCAUGCAAUGCCUUGAUGACCAGAGAUCUCCUCUGCUGCGAUUGCAACAUCAUCUUUACUAUGCCCCUCAUUUUACUUUCUCUUCCAAAUUUGAGCUUUGGCAACCCAACACUGAUUGUUGCUCUUGGGAAGGAGUCACUUGUGAUGCUUAUGGUCAUGUCGUUGGCAUUGAUCUUAGUUACAAAAACCUCUCAGGUAGCUUUCACCCCAUAUUCAAUCUCCAUCGUCUUCAACGCCUUAAUCUGACUGGAAACAACUUUAAUACCACUCUGUUUUCCUAUGGGUUUGAUAAACUCCAAAAUCUAACUCAUCUCAACCUUUCAAGCUCAUGUUUCCAUGGCCAAAUUCCAGUGGAGUUCUCAUUCUUAAAAAGGUUAGUCUCUCUUGAUCUAUCCAAUCAAUAUUCUUGUUAUUUGAGAUACUACGAAGUUCUCUACCCUGGCUUCUACAACUAUUUUUCAUUGCCUUACGAACUUCAACAGCCUCUUAAAUUAGAGAAUCCAAACUUCAAGACAUUAAUCAAGAAUUUGAGGUUUCUCACAGAGCUUUAUUUGGAUAGUGUGGACAUUUCAACUCAAAGUGCUAAAUGGUGUGAAACCACAUCUCUUGUACUUCCAAACCUGCAUGUGUUGAGUCUGUCAAGCUGUGCUUUGAAAGGUCCAUUAUGUUCUUCACUCCCAAGACUCUCUUUUCAAAACUUAUCCUUGAUUGGAACCCAAUCUCUUAUUUACCUCCCAAUUUCUUGGAAAUUUCCUCUCGUUUGGUUUCUCUCAGUUUGAGGAACUGCAAUUUGAGUGGCCAUUUCCAACUGAAAAUCUCUUAUCGCCAAAAAUGCAAAGCAUUGACAUUUCAGAUAAUGACUUUCUUAAUGGUCAGUUGCCAGAAUUUCCAGCAAACAAUGCUUUACAGAGUUUGUCGCUUUUUUAUACAAAUUUCAGUGGAAAACUACCCCAAUCAAUUGGUAAUCUCAAGUUCUUGACUAAUUUAGAUCUUGAUGGUUGCAACUUUUUUGGACCCAUUCCAUCGUCAAUUGCAAAUCUUAGUCACCUGGUCAACCUAGAUCUAGGAGGGAACAAGCUUUCUGGAUCAAUACAUUCUUCUUUAUUUACUCUUCCAUCGUUGAAGACCUUGUAUCUUGGAGAAAAUCAAUUGGUUGGGAAAAUUGAUGAGUUCCCCAAUGCAUCUUCUUCUUUGAUUGAAGUACUGUAUAUAGGCAAUAAUUAUUUAAGAGGAGCAAUCCCAAAGUCAAUUCUUCAACUUCCAAGGCUUGAAUGGAUUUAUAUCGAAAGCAAUAGCUUUAGUUCCAUGAAGCUUGACAUGUUUGUCCAAGUCAAAAACUUAAGGACUCACUGGCUAAACAAAAUAAGCUUGUUAAUUGAAAGCGACAACAGAAGUCUUACUUUUCCCCAAUUAGAGAGCCUAAGCUUAUGGUCAUGCAACCUUACUGAAUUUCCAGAAUUCAUUAAAAGGCAAGACAAGUUGGUUGACUUAGAUCUUUCUAACAAUCAUAUCCAUGGUGUUGUGCCUAAUUGGUUGUGGAAGAGCAGUCUUUCAUCCCUACACCUUCCUUUCAAUGUGAUUGAUUUUCCAAAACAGCUUCCCUUAAAUGAUUCAAACUUCUCAUUUCCAAUGUUGACAGAAUUGGAUUUGAGAUCCUGUAACAUAAGUGCGUUUCCAGAGUUCUUAAAGAGUCUAGAAAAUAUAAUAUUUCUCGACCUUUCAAAUAAUAAAAUAAGUGGUGCAAUACCAAACUGGGCGUGGAAGAAAAGUUUGCGGUAUCUGUAUCUUGCUAAUAACCAUCUCUCAUCUUUGGACCAACUUUUACCCAAUCAGAGUUCAACUUCUUCACAAACCUCCUUGACUAGACCUAUUUGCAAUUUGAGUCAACUUAGAAAUUUCAAUGCAUCUCAUAACAAUUUGAGCGGCACGAUUCCAAAUUGCUUAGGCGAAAUGAAUGAUCUCCUAUUGUUGGAUCUGCAAGGAAAUAACUUCAGUGGAAUGUUACCAAAAUUUUCAAAAGCAACCCACUUAUAUAUUCUCAAAGUUAGUGAGAAUAGAUUGGAAGGGAAGUAGCCCAGAUCAUUAGCUGAAUGCACUCAGCUUGAAGUUUUAGACGUGGGAAACAACAAGAUGAAGGAGAAAUUGCCUUACUUGACGGUUCUAAUAUUGCGGGAAAACAGAUUUUAUGGUCAAAUUAAACAUAGAUUUGUUUUCCCAACUUUGGAUGUAUUGGACAUUGCUUCAAACCAGUUUUCUGGUGAACUAUCCAUUGAUUUCCUUCAACCCACUCGACUAAGGUCACUCAAAAUAGGUGGGAAUAAAUUAGAAGGGAAGUUGUCGAGAUCAUUAGCCAAUUGUAAAGCACUUGAGGUUCUGGACCUUGGAAAUAAUAUGGUUCAUGAUACAUUCCCAUUUUGGUUAGAGAAGCUGCCUUCCUUGAAGGUUGUCAUUUUGCGAGCAAGCAGAUUCUACGGCACGAUUACAAAAUUCAACACAGAACGUGGGUUUCCAAAGCUACGCAUAUUGGACAUUGCUUCCAACAAUUUUUCAGGCGACUUGUCCAUUGAAUUUUUGCAAAGCUUGAAGGCAAUGAUGCAGUUAACAAAUGAAGACAAAGCUAAGCUGGAUUACAUUGGGGAGAAUUAUUAUCAAGAUUCAGUGACAAUUUUCAACAAAGGGAUUGAGCUGUUUUACGAGAAAAUCUUAACCACUCUUACUUGUCUUGACCUUUCCAACAAUAGUUUCCAUGGGAGAAUACCAGAAGAAAUACAAAUGCUGAGGUCACUCAAAGUGCUAAACUUGUCCUAUAAUAGCUUCUCCGGUGAAAUCCCAGUAGCAGUUCAAAACCUAAAAGAUCUGGAGUCUUUGGAUCUGUCACAGAAUGAGCUAUCAGGGAAGAUUCCUCCACAGCUUGCAACAACUUUCCUAGAGGCACUGAACUUGUCUUACAACCCACUUGAAGGGAGCAUACCGCAAGGCAACCAAUUCAGUACAUUUUCAAAUGAUUCUUAUCGUGGGAAUCCAAAAUUAUACGGUCAACCAUUGUCCAAGAAAUGCAAUGAAGACGGUCUUCCAGUGCCACCGCCUCCAGGGGAAGAGGAACAGUCAUGGUUAUAUGCUAUGUCAACUUGGAAAAUUGUUUUGAUAGGUUAUGGUAGUGGUAUGGUCGCUGGGCUAUGUAUCGGAUAUACAGUGUUGAAUGAGUUGGGAAACAAAUGGGUUGACAAGUUCAAAAAACAUGGGAAAAGAAACAGAAGAAGAUCUAGGUGAUUGUGUCGGAAUUCAUGUAUUAAAGUCAACAGGUAAACAUUUCCUUUUGAAACUAUAGUCUUUAUAUUUUGAAACGAUUGAUGUUACAAACUAAUUUUGGAUCAUACAACACUGCAAUUCCUUAAUUUAAGUAGCAGGAGUGGUUACACAGUGAUUUUGUUUUUCCUAUGCAAUAUUCCUAUAUUUGCAUGCUUAUGAGAAGUUAUAUUCUUGGUGGUUUGACUUGUGUUUCUUAUUUUGUCACAGGGAAAUGACCUCUGUCCUUCUAAGCUUCAAGUCAUUGCAUGUAAUUGGUGGCAAUGAAUCAUUUCAAGUAGAAAACCACGCAAAGUAUGAUAAAUUUUGUCUUUUUUGUUUGGGUUUUUGUGCUAUAUAUUUUAUCAAACACAUGAUGGGCUUUAGGCUCGGGUGUAAUGGGUAGACCUAUUGGUCCGGGUUUUAGUGCAAUCUGACAUUUAUUUUGUACAAAUAAUUUAUUUAUCUUUUAAUAACAGUUUUAUUAUUUUAAAAAUAAGUAAAUAAAAUAUAAUGAAAAAUUAGAUAUCUUAAAAGAUGUCCGUUUCCGGAGUUGGCAAACUAUGUAAAACACUAUAAAUAUGAUAGCUUAUUCAAAUGAUUCUCCCAUUAUGAAACAUUUAAACGAAUUUACAAAAAUGAAAUAUUUAUUUACAAGAAAUAAAAAUUAGCCAUGUUAUGCAUAUGAAAAACAUAAUAAUUGCAAGUGAAAUGAGAAGCUUCAUAUUCUAAUUUUCAGGCCAACAGUCUGAGAAGAAAGCAUAGAUUGGUAGAAGAAAGCAUAUGGUGAAAAGGGUAAUCCCAAAACCGAUUUGCUGCACUCGAGGUUCUCUUACAUGUAGUUUGUAUCAUACGUGGAUGGUUGGAUCUUAUUAUAUUAGGAUUUAGUUUACCCAACUAUGAACUUCUACUUUAAACACAUUAAUCCUAUUCUAAAUUGGUGUCGAAACCAUUUUUAAAUUUGAAAAAUGGGAAUCGAUUUUGAAAAAUUGAGAUUGGAGUUGCCACCGAUCUUUUAUUGAGGUGUGAUCGGAUCACCUUGAAAAUAAUUUUAGGUCUGCGAAUUUUGAGAAAAUAGGUUCGAGAUUCGGUUACGCACGGGGAAGGGUUAGCACCCUUGUGACGCCCAAAAUUGGUACCAAAUCGAUUGUUUAAUGUACCAAAUCGAUUGUUUAAUGUCUUAGUGUCAAAAAUUUGAAACGAUUUUAAAAUACGAUCCUUUGAAAAGAAAAUUUGAAUGAAAUAAAUUGGAUGAUGAGGCUCUCUUCUUUCAAAGAAAUAAAUUGUCACACUUAGUAAGUUAGAGUGCAACAUUUUAAAUCCUAGAAAUUAAGUUCAUCUUUUGACUUUUAAAACCUAUGCAUUUUGAGAAGGAUAUCUGAUUAUUUGGGUCAAAUGAGAAAAUCAAAACCCAGUAAGUUAGGGUUCGAUUUCACAAAAUUUCUAAAUAUCGAAUAUUGCCUUUAUUUCCAUUUGUUAGAAGAAUCCUCGUCUUAAGAAAACAAUAUGUCAUAUCCAAUGCGUUAGGAUACCACGUAUCGAAUUCCCGAGAAUGAGCUUUUUAUUUAUGUUUUAGUUAAAAAGGAUAUUUGGUCUCUUAGAUCCCGAGGAAGAUUGGAAUCCUGUAAGUUAGGACACAAUCUUUUCAAGGAUCCCAAAUUCCGAGUGUUGCGUUAUUUUGAAAGCUUUUUGAAUAAAAAUGCUUUUGAUAUUUAAAUAAUAUGAAACAUAAUCUUUUGAACAAAUAAAAACAAUGAAAUAAUAACGUACACACGAAAUGGUGAUUUGUAAAUAACAUACAUUAAUGAAUAACAAAUAAUCAAUAGGUAAAUACAAAUAAACAUAGUAACAAUAAUCUCAAUCAUACAUUAUGCCAAUGCUAAUAAUAUCGACAUUCAAAGAUUAAAUGAAUUAUCAAUACAAAAAAAAAAAGUGUUAUAUGUGUAAAAUGUUAAAAUAAACAAUAUACAUAUAUGAGUUUAAAAUAAGUCAAAAAUGAAGAUAAAAAAAAUACUAUAAAAAUAAUAUCAAAAUGAAGUUUAAAAUGAAUAUUGUAUAUGAAGAAAAUCAAAGUACAUGAAAUAAUAUAUGCAUAUUAAUUUAAAUAAUAUUACAUAUGGAUUGGAAAAUUUCUUAUGAUAAUAUAAUAUAAUAGUAUGUAUAAAAGGUUGAUAUAAAUCAAGUAUAUAAUGAAAUAAAAUUUUAAAUGAAACCAGUUAUAUAUGUAAUAAGUAAAAAAUGUAAAUAUGAAAUUGACGAUACAUUAGGUAUAUACGUAUAAUAAAAAAAAAAACUUAAUACAAAUUUUAUAUAGAUAUAAUAGUAUUACAUAAAUAUGUUAUUGAUUUUUAAAGCAUAAAAGUAUAUAUGAAUAAACAUUUUAAGAAAAAAGUAUUAUAAAAAUAAACUCAUUAAUUAAAAUGUAUAAUAAUAUAGUUAACAUAAAAUAUAUACUAAUGCAUUAGAAUAGACAGUAUGUAAUAAAAUAAAAUAGUGUAUAUAUAUAUAUAUGAAAAUAAGUAAAUAUAUAAACUAAUAUGAUAAUAAUACCAAUAAUAACAACAAUAAAGAUAAUAAACUAAACAAUUUUAGCAAUAAUAACAAAACAGAGGACAAAAUUGGCAUUAAAGCAGUAAUUCAGGGGAGAAAUCUAAAAUAAAUAAAAAGAAAGGUCCAAAUUACAAAGAGCAAAUGACAUGGGGGACUGAAAGGGGAAUAUUCCCCACCCUCCAAAACGCAGCGUUGCAUAUGGACCUAGAUGAAAUCUGCAACAAAUUAUGCUACCCAAAAUUAAAGAAACUUAAAGGAUCGAGUUGGAACACAACGCGAAGUAAGAAGGACCGAGCACGCAAUUAUCCCUCUCCAUACCAAAACGCGCAGAUCUAGCCACGGUUGGAUCGGGUCAUCGGGUAUGGUCGUUAAACGGCGUCGUAUUGUUUGCUGUACAAAUUAAAAUCGAAGAAAAUCAAAUCGAAAUUCCACAAAACUAGAGGGACUCGUCGUGAAAAUAGACCAAUGAACAGAAGCACGCGGAUCCUGCCCCGAGUCGGGUCACCACGCGAUUUUGAACUUCCCAACGGCAUCGUUUUUAAAGCUACAUGGCCUGCUUAAAACGCUGUCGUUUCUUUCACCGUACAAAGGCUAAAAUAAACCUAAAACUAAUCAGCCAUCAGUCAUUUACAAAAAAAAAAAAACCUAAAGAAAAUCUAAAACCUAAGGAUUUCUCCCUGCGCCGCUCAACCUUUCAGAUCCCAUUUGCUCUGAUUACGACGAGAGAAGCAGGGAUUCGACGGUCACGUUAUGCAGGUGGACUCUCAUCCUUCCUCGAUUUCUUUUUUUUUUUAAACAAUGAAUAAAAGAAAAAAAGAAAGCAAAGAAUCGAAAAAGAAAAAAAGAUCGAGAGCCAAAAAAGAAAAUAAUACUCGAAAUCACCUUUAGAAACUGUUUUUCUAUUGCUUUUCAAAAUUUUCUCUCUGAUACACUAUUUGUGUGUGUAAUCCCCUUAUACAGAUUUCAAUCGGCCCUCUUUAUAGCCGAACCGAGAAAAAGAAAGAAAAAAAUCAAAUUUUCUCUAUUUUUUUACAUUUUUCUUCUUAUUUACUACCGGUAUUUACUGUCAAAUUGUUGCCUCUUUCUUUGCUGUUGCUAUCUAUUUUUCUUCUUGUUUGUUUGUCCUUCUUGCAGGUACGGCGUACGGAGGGUGGACGUGGCGUGCGUAGAGAGGGAGAGCAGAGAGGCGCUACUGCUACGGCUUGAUGGCUUGCUGGAGCGGCGGCUGAUAUCUCAGAAACCCUAGGGUUUCUGUUUGUGAUUUUUCUUUUGGGCUUAGGUGAUUUGGGCUGGGGUUAGGUGUUGGGCUAAUUGGGUUGGGGAUAUUGGGCUAGGCUAAUAUUUGGGUAGUGGGCCACACAGGCUAUUGUAAAUGGACUGCUAUUGGACUGUUAUUAAUUUUUGGAUUUGGUUUAUAUAUUUGUGCUUUUGGGCCCGGGCAAAUUGGCCUAUUACAAUUGGUAUUGGGAUUAGUCUAUUUAUUCUUUCAAUGAUAGUUUUAUUACUUUAAAAAAACACCCUACAAUUAAACUUUGUAUGUAAUAUGAUAAUAAUAAUUAAAAUAUAAUGAAAGAAAUUAUGUCUUACAGUCUAGUGAAGGCUAACAAUGUGUCACAUUAUCAUUACAAUGUACACAUACUUUGUAGGAAAUUUAUCCAAUGAAACAGAGGAUUAAACUAGUUUCCCAGAUGCAGGGAAGAAUUGGUAUGCUACAAUACUAAGAAAAAUACUAAUAACAAAAAAAUGGUAAUGGAAUCACCCUUGUUAUUAGGCUUAUGAAUUUCAUUGAUGGAUUCUCUUAACAUAUGGGCAAAUCUGGCGGCGGCGGUGCUAACCUCCUUUUGUAUUUUUAUUGGAUCCAGGAGGUUGGAGAGAAGGAGUAUGUGCUCCUCAUAGAGCUGCGGUGCCAUGGCUGUGCGGAAUGGUGCUGAGGAAUGUACUGCUGCAGGCGGUUAUUUGCCAGUGUCCUUGUGCAGGUAGCUGGCCAUUUGUGGAGACCACAAAAAAUAAAAAUUAGCCGUGUUUUGCACGGAUAAAAAAAAAUCAUAUUUUAGAUUUAAAUAAUUAUAUAUUCUUUAAUCUCAUUGGGUUUCAAUUGGUUUGGUAAAUUUUGAAAUAAAAAAAUAAAAAAAAAACCUUUUGGAAUUGGAAUUGGUUUGGUAAACAUUGUUUUCAUGCAGAAAGAUUUAGACAUUUGCAUGCAAUGUCAAAGGCUAAGACUAAGUCUAUGAAUAUAUUGAAAUUAAUAUGAUUAAUAAGACCAAUAAAAUCUCAUAAUUCAGAACUAUGGGGCAUUCUGGAUGGUCUUGGACCAGGUUUGACCAACGUAAAGGCUCUUCAUUCCCUUGUUUCACUUUUUCUUCCUUUCUUCUUUCUCUUCUCAUCCUCUCUUUCUCAAUCUCAUCUCCCAAGCCAACGCUUUGAUGACCAGAUAUCUCCUCUCUUGCAAUUGCAACAUCAUCUUUACUAUAAAUAUAGUAGCUUAUCCAAAUGAUUCACGAAACAUUUAAACGAAUUUAUAGAAAUUAAUACUUAUUUAAAAUAUUUACAAGAAAUAAAAAUUAGCACAUGAAGAAUAAAGAAAGGGAAAAAAAAUCCAUAUUUUAGAUUUAAUAGACUAUAUGUCCUAUUAUUGCGUUUUAAUUGGUAUGAUAAACUAUUUUCGACCAAAGGUCCAUCAAUUGAGCUGAAUUUUAUAUAUGCUGGCCUUCUCAUUGGUAAAUUUUGAAAUAUAAAAAAUAAAAAAACCUUUGGGAAUUGGAAGUAAUUCCAAUUUUGCAUGCAAAACCUUUGGGUAAAUUUUGCAUGCGGAGCCUGUUAUAGACCAUGGAGCACUGAUUGUGGGCAGUACUGGUCGAAGCAUGCAAAACUAUUGACAUUAUCCUAAACUUAUGUAAAACCAAAACUUAGAACUGAAAUUCAAUACAAAAUUUCAGUUUUCAAAAAUCAGCAGCCUAUGGCCCAGUGUAGAGGUGAUCAUGGGCCGGGCCAAGUUUGGGUCGGGAGCAGACAAAAUUUUAGGCUCAUUUUCUAGGCCCGUGUCUAGCCCAGCCCAAAAUAUGUGCCUAAAAAAUUUGUCUAAGCCUGGCCAAAAAGAAAAUUGCUAAGCCCGAGCUUAGCCCGGCUCGGCCCAUAUUAAAUUUUACAGAAACCAAUACGGUUUUGACUCGAACACCAAUGUUGAGGAAACAUGGUCAUGAUGGUGUUGGCGAGUUUAUUGAGUUUUAUGGUUAGGUCUAUGGUCAUAAAUCUUGACAAUGGAAUGCUUUACAAUCAAUAAUAUUGGUUUUAAAGUGCAUAUAGGAGAAGGUGUGACUGAUUAGGUAGAUGGCAUGUUUUUGGUGCUGAUUAGGUAGGCAACCACUUCAACCAUUAUUCCAAGUGAAGUUAGAACAAAAACAUCUGUUCAUUCUACGUGUAAUCAUGGCUCUAAUGAGGUUUAAAGGACAUUAUUAUUGCUAUAAUUUUAUUUUUUAAUGAUUUAAAUUUAAGAAAAUUAAAAUUAGAAAAUCAUUUAUAUAGAAUAAAGAGCCGACAAGAAGAUUGAAACCUGGCAUUAAUAAGAAGAAUAAGAGCUCAACAAAGUGGAUCAACAUAGUUUUCAUGCAUUAAUGAUAUGUCAACGACUAAGACUAAAGCCAAUAAUAUCUCAUAUUAUCAUUUUUUUUUAUAAGUUCAAAGUAUUAAAAUUUUCUUGUAUUAACGAUAAUGUUUAUAUAUGUUCAAUAUUCAUUAAGGAACCAAUUUUAUAUCAUUUUUGGGUCUUUUAUCAAAUUUUACUUAAAAAAAAUCAAUAGUAAACUAUUUUAUUUAAAAAAUUACCAUUAUUUCUUUUUUCUUUUAUGACCUUACUUAAUCAAAUUGGUACAUCAUCAUCAUCAUUAUUAUUAUUGGCAUGCAGUUAUAAAGACUUAGAAUUUUGCAUGCAUAUCAAAGACUUAGAAAUUUCCACUACUUGAUAUUUUAAUGACUUGAAUUAAACAAAGUGGUUGAACAUUACUCUCAUGCAGUUAGGGGCGAGUGUUUGAUCGAAUCGAAUGAAAAAAUUUCUAGUUAACCGAGUUGACAAAUUAUAUUUUAUCAUCGUAAUUUGAUUUGAAAUUUUCUGGAAUUGAGUCGAAUCAGAUGGAAUUCAUUCGAGUUAAAUUUUAAAAAAUAAUUUUGGGUCCUUAUAACUACUGUCACUCACCGUAAUAAAAUUUAUCCACCAUAAUCAAUUUUUUUAUUAACUUACAUCACCUCAUAAUUUAUAUUUUAAUCUUUUUUAUAUGGGUUAGCUUCUUUGCUUGUUUAGUUGUUUCAAUUAUCUUCAGAUUCUUGUCACUAUGUAUUUUGGAAUUAAGAAAUAUAUUAAAUGUAAAAAUGUGAAUUUUUUAAAUAAAAUUUAUAAAAUUUUAACAUAAAGAUCUUAUGGCUUCAUUAAUAAUUCAAUUUUAUGACUAAACAAAAGUAGAAUUAGGAGUUUUUUUAUUUUUUUAUUUGAGAUUUAUGGACAUUUUCUAUGUGAAAAGUUGCUACUAAAAUGUUUAAGAAAUAGGUUUUCUAGUUUCCUUCUGUUUUUUUAUUUGUUUGAGUUUGAUAUUUAAUCACUAGAAUUAAAAAUCCAAUUCUCUACUAAUAAAUCAAACAAUUGUUUGACUCUAUAAAAAAUAUUAUGGUGUAAAAUUGUUUGAUUUAAAUUAAAAAAUUAAAUAUGUCAAAUUAAAAUCUUGUUAUAGUAUAAUUAAUAUUUGAAAUCAUAAAUAUUUGAAAACUGUUUUAAAGUGAAAUAAAAAAAAAUUAUUAUAGUUUUUGCAUAAUAUAAAUUUUAGAAUUUUUAUGAAUAUUUUAACUUUAAAAAUUAUUUUAAUUUUUUUUUGUAAUUUUUGUUGAGUGAGAUUAAUUUGUUAAUUUUUAAAAUUGACAGGAAUCAAAAGAGUAUAUAUAUCAAUUUGUGUUUGAAUUAUUUGAGUUAUUUAAAUUAUAAAAUUCAACUCGAAUCUCGAAUUAUAAAUAUUUUUAAUAAUAUAAAACAUAAAAAAUAUUAAAAUUAAAUAAUAAUUAAAUAAUAAUAUAUUUCUCAGCCUCUAAGAAAGUUUGAAAGCUGAAAUUUAAAUAUGUUUCUUUUCAAAAGUGAAAAAUUGUAUAUAUUCUAUCAUCAAAAUUUUCACUCAUUGUGUCCGUCAAUUUAUAAGGUGGCUUGACUUGUACACAUUGAUUGAACGUUGUUUUUGUGCAAUAAAAACUUGGACAUUUGCAUGCAAUGCCAAAGACUUAAGACUUAAAAGGUCUAUAAUAUUUCAUACUACCAUUUUUUCUGGUCGUAAAUUAAAGAUUUUAAAAAAUUCAAAUUAAAACCAUUAUGAUUUAAAUUUAUUAUAGUUUUUACAUAAUAUAAAUUUUAGAAAUUUUAUGAAUAUUUUGAUUUUAAAAAUUAUUUAAUUAUUUUUUUGAAAACUUUUAUUGGCAGAGAUCAAUUUGUUAAUUUUUAAAAUUGACAGGGACCAAAGGAGCAGGUACACCAAUUUAUUGUUAGAAGUAUUCCACCACUUUAGUUAAGUCUUUUUGGUCAACCUUUUCCGGCAUGGGAUAAUAAUAAUAAUACUAAUAAUAAAUAAUUUAUAUGCCAAACAUGAAAACUACACAUUUGUGUAUCAAUAUGUUGUAUGCCAAGCACAAUCCUUCGUCACACCCAACAAACAUGAACACUCUUCAUUUCCUUAUUUCACUCUUCCUCUUCUCAUGCUUCCUUUCUCUUGUCUUGUCUUUUUCACCUCCUCAAACUCAUCUCCCUAAGCAAUGCCUUGAUGACCAGAGAGCUCCUCUCCUGCAAUUGCAGCAUCAUCUUUACUAUGCCCCUAAUUCUACUUUCUCUUCCAAUUUUGACCUCUGGGAUGUCAACACUGAUUGUUGUUCUUGGGAAGGAAUCACUUGUGAUGCUUAUGGUCAUGUCGUUGGCAUUGAUCUUAGUUACAAAAACCUUUCAGGCAGCUUUCACUCCAUAUUCGAUCUCCAUCAUCUUCAACACCUGAAUCUUGCUGGAAACAACUUUAAUACCACUCUGUUUUCGUAUGGGUUUGAUGAACUCCAAAAUCUAACUCAUCUCAACCUUUCAAGCUCAUGUUUCCAUGGCCAAAUUCCAGUGGAGAUCUCAUUCUUAAAAAGGUUAGUCUCUCUUGAUCUAUCCAAUCAAGGUUCUUGUUAUUUGAGAAAUGGUUACGAUUAUGAUUCAGCUACUUUAAAAUUGGAGAAACCAAACUUCAAGACAUUUAUCAAGAAUUUGAAGUUUCUCACGGAGCUUUAUUUGGAUGGUGUCGACAUUUCAACUCAAAGUACUAAAUGGUGUGAAACCACAUCUCUUGUACUUCCAAACAUGCAUGUGUUGAGUCUGUCAAGCUGUAGUUUGAAAGGUCCAUUAUGUUCUUCACUCUCAAGACUCUCCUUUCUUUCCAAACUUAUCCUUGAUGAAAACCCAACCUCUUAUUUACCUCCCAAUUUCUUGGUAAAUUCCUCUUGUUUGGUUUCUCUCAGUUUGAGGUAUUGCAAUUUGAAUGGGCAUUUUCCAACCGGAAUUCUCUUAUUGCCAAAAAUUCAAAGCAUUGACAUUUCAUUGAACCGCCAACUUAUGGGUCAGUUGCCAGAAUUUCCAGCAAACAAUGCAUUACUGAGUCUGUCACUUUAUGACACAAAUUUCAGUGGAAAACUACCUGAAUCGAUUGGUAAUCUUAAGUUCCUGACAAAUUUAGAUCUUUCUGGUUGCAAUUUUUUUGGACCCAUUCCAUCGUCAAUUGCAAAUCUUAGUCACCUGGUGAACCUAGAUCUAGGAGGGAACAAGCUUUCUGGAUCAAUACAUUCUUCUUUAUUUACUCUUCCAUCGUUGAAGAUCCUGUUUCUUGGAGACAAUCAAUUGGUUGGGAAAAUUGAUGAGUUCCCCAAUGCAUCUUCUUCUUUGAUUGAAGUACUGUAUAUAGGCAAUAAUUAUUUAAGAGGAGCAAUCCCAAAGUCAAUUCUUCAACUUCCAAGGCUUGAAUGGCUUUAUAUCGAAAGCAAUAGCUUUAGUUCCAUGAAGCUUGACAUGUCUGUCCAAGUCAACAACUUAAGGACUCUCUGGCUAAACUAUAUCAGCUUGUUAAUUGAAAGCGACAACAGAAGUCUUACUUUUCCCCAAUUAGAAAGCCUAAGCUUAAGGUCAUGCAACCUUACUGAAUUUCCAGAAUUCAUUAAAAGGCAAGACAAGUUGGUUUACUUAGAUCUUUCUAACAACCAUAUCCAUGGUUUUGUGCCCAAUUGGUUGUGGAAGAGCAGUCUUUCAUCCUUACACCUUAGACCUUUAUUUCAAUAUGAUUGAUUUUCCAAAACAAAUUCCUUUAAGUGAUGCAAACUUCUCUUUCCCAAUGUUGAGGCAAUUGAUUCUGGGAUAUUGUAACGUAAGUGCAUUUCCGGAGUUCUUAAAGAGUCAAGAAAAUUUAGAAUAUCUCAUACUUCCAAAUAACAAAAUAAGUGGUGCAAUACCAAACUGGGUGUGGAAGAAAAGUUUGCAUCAAUUGUCUCUUGCUAAUAACCAUCUCUUAUCUUUGGGCGAACUUUUACCCAAUCAGAGUUCAACUUUUUCACGAGGCUUUUUCUAUUUCGACGUAUCUUAUAACAAUUUGAGUGGCCCAAUUCCAAAUUGGUUAUGCAAUAUGAGUCAACUUCUCAGUUUCGAUGUAUUUUAUAACAAUUUGAGUGGCCCAAUUCCAAAUUGCUUGGGCGAUAUGAGUGCUCUGAGUUGGUUAGGUUUGCAAGGAAAUAACUUCAGUGGAAUGUUACCAAAAUUUUCAAAAGCAACCCAACUGCAAUUUCUGAAAGUUAGUGAGAAUAGAUUGGAAGGUAAGUUGCCCAGAUCAUUAGCUGAAUGCACUCAGCUUGAAGUUUUGGACGUGGCAAAAAACAUGAUGAAUGAUACAUUCCCUUUUUGGUUGGGGAAAUUGCCUGCGCUAAAGGUUCUCAUUUUGCGGGAAAACAGAUUUUACGGUCAAAUUAAACAUUUCAAACAUAAAUCUGUUUUCCCAACUUUGGAUGUAUUGGACAUUG